UAAGUAAACUUUAGAUGAUGGUUCUGACCUAAACCAUUUUAAUGCUUGGCAAAAUCACAUCCUGAGCAUAGAGUAAAGAAAGUGGCAUACAUGGUAAUCAACUUCAAGAAGCUCUUCGAAAUGCAUAAUACUGUUGGGGAGAAAAGAAAAAGAAAGAAUACAAAUAAAAAGAAGUCACACAUCAUCAGCAGUUUUUCGGGAACACAAAAAUGUUAUAAUAACUUUUCUUGAUUGCCACCCACAUGCUAAACUGAUCAAAUACAAAACAGGAUACAGAAAAUCUCUAACCUUUUUGGCACUGAAGAAGACGCCAGUGCUUUCAAAAGAAAAUGCUUGAUUGUUGGCAUUCUGGUUUGAAAAAUAUGAGUCCAAUUCCUGUGUCCAGUCAUGUACCAAAUCAGGACGACGUGCAAGUCAUACAAAGAUGACAAAAAUACAGUAUAAAUUGCGUCAAACCAAUUCAAGUCAAUUGGAGAAGUAAAUCAAGGACCAUUUGCAAUAGUUGUUCUCCACAUCAAAUUUGGGUGUCCAUCGUCUUCAUCCUCUUGUGCACUGAACCUGAGAGUCCACGAGAAAUACAUAUAAAAAUUAGGCAUGAUUGAAAUUGAUAGUAGUACAAAAUGGAUAUAAACAUCACGAUGAACAAAUUAAAUUGUUCCCUGUCAGACAAAUCCAACCUGCAAGCUUAAGCUCUUAAGCUAGACCAAAUCACACUGCAAAUAACAAGACAUAAGGCCAAAAAAAGAUAAUAUGUAUCAUUCAUAUGCUUCGCCCUAUAGAAAUGAUUUGGGCCAUAGGUCAAUUAUGUUAAAAGCAGCGAUACUAAACCCAAAAGAAGAGAGGUGAGGCGAGGGAGUGGUGGGUUUUUUUUUUUUUUUUUUCAUUUAUAUAUUUUUACCUUAAACCAAAUGACCGGUUUUACAGGUUUCUGGUUGUUUCAAAUUUUUUUAUUGCUUAAUAAUGAAACAAAUCUCAGCCAUUAGAUCACUCCAUUUAAUCCAAUGGUCAGUUUUUGUGCAUGUAUCAGAUGCACGCAUGUAUUGUAGCCGCCCCAUUUUCCUUUUUAGUUGCAAAACCUCGUUCGAAAGCAACAAUGACUUUCACUCAAAGUAAAUGAGAAAUUACAAUGAAAAUGGGAUCAGAAAAAGGUUGAGGUGAAAUAAAACCAAAGGGAUGAUGUUUCUGCUUUCCAGCUUUGGGAAACGGCGUGGAUGGAGCACGUUCAAUACGAAAAACUUCAUUAGCUCACGCGCUGCUCAGCUGAUUCUUAACAGAAAAUGAUUUAGUGGAAACGGCGUGGAUGGAGCACGUUUAACAUAUCAGUUUAAGUAACCACGUGAGAAAGCAUGUGAUGAAGGUUGUUCCGAGUUCGUUGAAGGUUGUUAACCACGUGUCAAAACAAAGUGUUCAUACUGGAAAGAAACAAAAUAUUAAUAAAUAAACCAUUAAAAAGAUUAUCUGAAAAUUAUGUUUAACUAGGCCAAUUCAAUUAUCGAGCAGUUUGAUAUAUUAAAUGAGCUAGAACAGUAGCCUUUUAAUUAUUUCACUUACUAUUAUCGAACAGUUUUAUAUCAUUCCCUAUCUUAUAGUAAAGGUAAAAGAACAGAAAAGGUAUAUUGCAUUAGAGUUCGUGUACUUCUACCUUUUAGUUUAUUCUUCAUUUUAUUAAAAUGACAGAUUCCUCAUUAAAAAAGGUCACUCUACAUAGUAUGUGGGUGUAUGUUCUUUUAAAAAGGACUGAGAGAAAAAUAAAUGUGAAAAACAAGUAACAUCUGAAGAAGAAAGUGAUGCUGACACAUUAACGACCACUUGAUUUUGUAGGGACUGCACAUAAUUGAUAAUUUCAUCCAACAUGAGACCUUUCCAAUUACCUAAUUUUAUACCAAACAACAUGAAGUUUAUAAGAAAUAUUAAAAACACAAAAACUCGUUAUUUGUUUUAAGACAGGAAAAAGUGAAUAAAAAACAAUAACAAAAAAAAGAACUCAAAUUACUUAAUUACCAUAGCUAUGAACAAGUUUUUGCAAAAUUUUCAUCCUCUCACUAACUUUCUCUCUUCUUACCUAAAACCAAAUAAUGACAAGACAACUGCCCAUUAGACUAUGACAAAAGUUGGAAAUUAAAAUAAUAUAGUAGGUUAUUUUGGAUAAAAUUAGAAAAAGAAAGUUUGAAUUUGUAUUAAUAUACUCACCCUUUCUGUUAACCCCUAUUUGAAGGGCCGAAAGAGUAGUAACAGUAGCAAAAAAUUCAAAUAAUAGAAAUCAGAGUGCCCACUACAUAUAAAUGGAUCUAAAGAAUAGAUUAUAUAAUAGCUUGUUUCUUAUGAAUGAUACAUGUGAUUCCACAGAUAAAAAGAAAAUAAAAAUCAAGUAUGUGAAUUAAAAAAAACACCUAACCAAUAGGGGUUAGUGAGAUAUUUUAGCUAAAUAUCAGUUGACAGAAUCUGACCCACAAUAAAAAUUGCUAUCUUUUCACAAUGGGAAUCUGAAUUAUAAAAUUACUGAACAAAACUUUUAACACCUACAAGUCCAAAUAACAUCAAAUAAAAUGCCUAACCAGCUGUUAAAUAUAAAAUGUCCAUGUAGGACUAAAGCCCUGUGGCUAAUCCUUCAAAGUUCCAAGCAACAAUAUGAUAAAAACAUAAUGCAUAAUAUAUAAGGAGCUUAUCUGUAAAACUUCCAUACAAUACUUAUCAUAUUAAACAAUGUACAUAAUGAAAUAUUGGCUUAUUUCUACAGAAUAUUACGAUCUAAGUACACCAAUUUCUCAAGCAAUGCCAUAUAGAAAGAUACCGAAGAAAAAAGGAAAAUAAAAAAUCGAAGUAUGUUAGUUAUGAUUUCAACUUUUGAACUAAAAGUCUGUGACAAAUUUUGCUUCGGGAAAUACUAACAAACACUUGAGAAAAACUAAAGUGUAUCACACUUGAACCGUAUAUAAAGCACAAGAAUAAAAACAACAAGGGGCAAAAAGAGGCUAGAUGUAUCAUCUUCAUUAGUUAAACAACAUAAAUAGAAUCAAAAUAUUAAUGCAUACACCAAAACCUUCAAAAUUCUCUAAACAUUCAAUUUUUUUCAGAGUAAGAAAAUAAAUUUAUAAGAAAUCGAGAAUGCGUAUUUGUUGCGGUAUUUUAUCAAGCAAUUAGCAUGCAGCAAUGUAAAUGACAAUUAAAACAUGUAAAUCUCUGUACUUUGAAAGCUCACCUUCGUUAUUCAUCCAAAGAGAAUAUAUAGGGCAUGUAAGCUCCUUCUUUGAUAUUUAUCCCUAUCGUUCAAUUAUUUUGUUUUCAUCAAAUUCCGUUAGCUCAAGUGGAGACAAAGCAAUACAAAUGGUGCAUUUAGAAGGUACAACUUUAGAAACCGAAUUUGUGCUUGCAACAUAGGAGAAACAGGGGCUCUCCUUCCAUUUUCCUGGUUUUGUGUUUGGUGAUUUUAAAAUUUUAUAUCUAUAUUUACGAAAAAAGAAAAGAAGUUUUCAAAACUAUUUUUUUUAUACAAGUUCUGUGUCAACUCAAAAAUUGCUCAUGACCAAAAAACAUCUAUGGUUCUUCAGUUACUCAAAAAUUCCUCGUUUUUGAGUUACUUUUUUUUUUUUUUUUAAUUUUUAUUCUCAAGUAAUUUUAUCAUGGAAUUGUUAAUUUUUAUUGAAUGUUGAACAAGCCUUUAUUUCUUUUCUUUCCCUUUUAAUGAAAUUAAAUAAAUGGUGGGGAUAUACCCUACAAAUUAUUGUCUCCACCCCAUAUUUAGUAUUGCUUUUACCACAUGAAAAAUUAAUUUUAUACGAUAAAUUUAUUUACUUGAAUAUUAAACCAUAUCAUGAACCAAUUGACAGGUUGAAGAAUUAACUUUCAAGUUUCAACAUUAUAAGAUUAAUAAAUAGCAUAAACAAAUUUUUAUUUUCAUUUAAAUUAAUCUAAUCCUACCAACUUCAUUUGGAUUUCAUAGUUGUUGGUUUCAUGUAUCACACGAAUUGUUAGGCACCAACUAACACAAGUAUAUGUUACUCAAGCAUCUCACUUGAAUAAUAGUCUAAGGAACUUUGAUUCGGAUGGUAGAUAUUUAACUAACUAAAACUAACAUUCUUAACUCAAAGCUCAUUUACUAGUAAAAGUAGAACCUUCUCCGUCAGCUUAUCUUGUUCAUUAUAUAACAAAAGAUAUUUAGUGAAAAAAAAAAAUUGGAGGGGGGGGGGGGAGGGGGAGACUAUGAUAAUAAUUAUGUUCAAGAUCUAGCCGCUAGGGAUAGAUUUGGCUAUGACUAUUUGUUGAUCCAGUAAUUAAUUUGAACAAUAUUGUUAAUUUUAGUUGAAACUGGAAUGAAUUUUGUGAAAGAUGCUUUCUCAUAACUAACCAACUAAAACUAACAAUCAAAUUAUCAAAAUCAGAGCUCAACUACUAGUAAAACUAUAAAAGUAAAACACUUGCUUCUCCAUCAAGUCAUCUCUUUAUAUAUAACAAAGAAUGUUUUAUGAAAGAUGGCAAAAGCAGUCAAUAACAAUUAAGUCUCAAAUAAUUCAUAAAAGAUGUCAAGCUCUGUUGCGAAUGCUGCUGAGGCUGAGAUUUGGAUUGUCCCAUUCUUCGGUAAGGGACAUAUGUUUCCAUGCAUUGAAUUAUGCAAGCAAAUCACUUCUCGUAAUUACAAAUCUACCCUCAUUAUUCCCUCUCACGUUUCCGCCACCAGCAUCACCCCUUCUUUUGUUCACCAAUACCCUCUAUUUGAAAUUACUGAAAUACCCUCCUCAUCUCCACUACUACCAUCGCCUCCUUCUUACCUCCAUGUUGUCAUGCACAACCAAAUGCUUCAGGGUCUUCGAAACCUCCUUUCAACCCGGAACCCGAAAGCCGACCUGUUUGCGUAGUCAUCGGCGUUAUGAUGGGCUGGACGGCUGAUGUUUUCAAGAAUUUUGAAGUUCCCAUUGUUGGGUUCUUCACUUCUGAUGCUUGCUCAGCAGCUGUGGAGUGUGCCAUGUGGCAGGCUCGCAUCCAGGAUGUCAAACCGGGAGAGGCCCAUUUACUUCUUGGGUUACCCAAGGAUGUUGCUUUAUUCCAAUCAGAUCUUAAACGCAGGCCUCACGGGUCCCUUCCUGGUGGCCCACAACCUUUGUGAGGUGCACCCGGUUCAGAGAAAAUAGGUCCAUCAGAACCGAGUGAUCAACCACACUGGAUGAAGCAAGUGGAGGGAUCGAUGGUGUUGAUGCUAGUGUGGGGAGUGGGCCCAUUGUUACCUGAACAAUUUUACAAAUCGACCGGUUCAGUGCUUCGUGAUUGUGAGAUGAGAACCAACCGGCGGAGUUCUAACAUGACCAAAGAUGAGAUCAUUCAAUGGUUAGAUUUGAAAUCAUGUGGAUCAGUGUUAUACAUGUCAUUUGGUACCGAAAUGGGUCCCACCUUAAAUGAUUAUUCAACAUUAGCCAAUGAUUUAGAAGCAUCAAAUCCACCGAUUAUUUAGGUAAUUCAAACUGAUGUAAAUAGAUUGGAUCCUCCACGUCAUUUAACCAGCUUAUUUUCAUAGUGGUUUAGAUAGUAAAGCCGGUAAAAAGGGUUUGAUAAUAGAUGGAAUGGCACCACAAUUAUUGAUGCCGAGUUAUCAAUUAAUAGGUGGAUUUUUAUCUCACUGUGGAUAAAAUUCAACUGUAGAAGCAAUUGGCUGUGGGGUCUCAAUUUUAGCAUGGGCAAUUAGAGGUGAUCAACGUUACAAUGCCAAAUUGGUGAUCAAUCAUCUCAAGGUGGGGUGCAUGAUCUCUGAUGAUCAGUCGAAAUUGACUUAAAAGGAUGAUAUAGUGAGUGGUAUAGAAAAGCUUAUGAGUAGGGUUGGGCAAAAUAUCCGACCCGAUCCGAUCCGAUCUGACCCAAAAAAUAUCGGGUUCAGAUCGGAUCGGAUUGUUAACAAAAUCCAAUCGGAUGUAACUUUGCCAACCCGAUCGGAUCAUGAUCGGAUCGGAUGAAACCCGAUCCGAUCCGAAAACCCGAUCGGGUUGGCUUAAAAAAAAAACUGUGUAACAAACUAACAAAGUGGCAAACACAACAAAAUCGGAUUCACACCACACAAAAAGCAAAUCUUAGAUCUAAAUUAAAAUAAUCUGUAAGUGCACACACACACACUCACAUCACACACGGUCACACACAAAUAGAGGUUUGGCCUCGGAGAUCGGAAAUGUUGAGAUGCCAAACAACGAAGCAGCAGCCAACAGAUUGGAGAUACAACCGCAAGAAGCAGCAACCAGCAGACCGGAGAUGCGGCCGCGCGAAGCCGCGAACCAGCAGCCAGCAAUCACCGACGUGAUCGUGCGAAGCCAAACCAUCGGAGAUCGGAGAUGUCAGCGAAGCAGCGGUGAGCAGAUCGGAGAUGCAACCGCAAGAAGCAGCAGCCAGCAAAUCGGAGAUGCAACUGCGUGAACCAGCAGCCAUCAGUCACCGACGCGAUCGUUCAAAGCUAAGCCAUCGCUGCAACCGCAACGUGCCGAUGGAAUCUACUACACCUCGACUGCUACCGCUUGCUGCCACUAGCUUCACCGGUUACCACAACUGCUACAACUAAAUUCACCUCCACAUUCACUGUCACCAAGUUUUUGGUGGUAUUGACUAUAUUGUUUUAAAUAAUUUAAUUUAAAAAGCUUAAAACAAAACUAUAUCUUGAGAAAAGGUUGAUUGUUUUACUUGAUUGCUUCUGAAAUUAACCCAGAAAUAUAGAAUGGAUAUAUAACCCGAAUGCUUUUAAAUCUGAAUCUAAUCCGAAUUAAUCCGAAUUUUCGAUCCAAUCCGAUCCGAAUUAUAUUCGGAUCGGAUUGGAUCGGGUUAAUAAUUCGGAUUGAGUUCGGAUGAUUUUUUCCCCAACCCGAUUGAUCCGAAAUUGAUCAAAUCAACCCGAACCCAAUCCGAAUCCGAUUUUGCCCACCCCUACUUAUGAGUGAUCAAAGAAAUUGAAAAACGAGCUCACAUGCUUCGCCGUGUAUUUAAUCAUGGCUUUCUUAUAAGUCAAUGACUUCUUUAAUAUAGUGUUUACUUUUUGGAGUGAGAGUGAGGAGUGUGGAUUCCUCUUACUCCAGUGUUUACUUACAAUUUUCAAAGGGGAAGUGAGAAUUCCACUCCGUGGAUCCCACCUAAUUUUGGAGUGGGGGAGUGAGAUUCCCACUCCCAUGGAGGAAGGUGGGAGUGGAAAUUCACUCGCCUCUCUUCCUUUUUCACCCUUAUAUUUAAUAAAAUAAAAUAAAUAAUAUCAUAUUUAUUUAACUUAUAUUAUUAUUUUAUUUUAUAAAUUACAUUUAUUAAAAAUAAUAAUAUUAAACAUAUUUAUUUUAUUAAAUUUAAUAAAAUAAGUAAAAUCAUAUUUAUUUAAAUAAUAAUAUUUUAUUAUUUUAUAAAUUAAAUUUAUUAAAAAUAAUAAUAUUAAACAUAUUUAAAAUAAUAUUAAUUUUUUGGUUAAAAAUAAUAAUUUACAUUGAUUCUAAGUUAAAAUUACUUAAAAAUAAUAUCAUUAUAUUCAUAAAGAAUUAAUAAUAUUACUAUAUUCUAUUUUUAUUUGAAAAUAUAAUAUUAUUAUACUUAUUUAAAAAUAAUACUAUUAUAUUUAUUUAAUAUUAGUAAUUAAUAAUAAUAAAUAUUUUAUUCUAAAAAAAUUAAUUUUGUACUAUAUUAUCAAUAAUAAUGUUUCAUUUGUAUUGUUGUUAUUAAUAAUUUUUUAUUUAUAUAAUUAAAAUUAAAAUUAAUAAAAUAAUUGUGAUUUACAUAGUUAAGAAUAUUAAUAAUUAUUAUUAAUUUAAAAAUAUAAUUUUUAUUAAUUUUGUAAUUAAUAACUAUAAUUCUUUAAGAGUAAAGCUGUAAUUUAAAAUCAUUACUCACAAUCUAAGACAAUGUAAACAAAUAAAUUGGAUUCUGAUUUCAAUUCCAUACUUCCAUUUCAGUGUAAGUAAACAACAUACUUCGACUCCCACUCCACACUCCUAAUCCCAGGAUUCUCACUUCUCACGAUUCUCACUCCAACGCAAAAUGUAAACGCUACCUAAAUGCUUUCAAAUAUCUUGUUAACCAGAAAUCAAUUUAACAAAAACAAUUACCGUGUAUAUUAUUAACGAAAAGGCUUUGAUUCCGUUGGCUUGGGUGUAAAUAAAUCGACUUUAUCAAGAACAGACAUCUCAGCAACUACAUAAUAAUAUAUGUAAGCUUUUGUUAAUUGACUGCAUUAAAUCAUUAAAUCAAAAGCCUUACAAAGCAUCUACAAUAAAAAGAUGGCACAUCCUCCAUCCAAACGACAAAAACAUGGACUCGCAACGCAAUUCUUGCUAAUUAAUUAAUAGGUAGUCAUAUUCCUCCGAGCAACAAAAUGAACAUCAAAUUGUUGAUGAGGCACCAUAUGCACAAAAUGUUGAUAUUGUUUAAUGUUUAAUAUUAUGGGAAAGUUUUAAUAGAUCUUCAUUUCCCUUACAUAUUGUGAGCUUAUAACCAAAAAUGGGACUAUAUGGUUGUGUGACAAACAAAAAGGGAAAUUUUUUACUAUUCGGCUAAAUUUUAAUGUCAAUAAUAUAGGAUCUGAAUUCACUUUAAUAUGAUAUCGACAUGUGUAGAAAAUUCCUUAAGUAAAUAGAUUUUGCAUAAAAGGUAUCGACCCAGAGUCAGAGGAAAAUUAAAUAGAAUGUCUUUUAAUACAACAAUCACUGGUGACCCUGUUUGGGCAUAGUUUGAGAGUACUAAAAUAUCUACUGCCAACUCUAUUCUAGUUGAAAGGCUAUCAAGGCAAAUUGGUCGCAUUGUUGAUGAUGAGGAAAUAGAGGUUGGAUUCAAGAAGAAGAAGAUUAUGGUAGUAAUGUUCUUGAAGGUCGAGAGAUGGAGAGAUUGAGAAAUAAUAGUGCAGCAAGUUUAAUGAGUGGAUAAUAUUAUGGUCAUAUGUUUUUUUUUUUUACACACAUGUAUAUAAUAUUAUAUUUCUAUGAACUAGUUUGAUUACAAUGAUUUUAUGUACAUAAAAGUUUAUAUAAAGAUUAAAUUUUUGCAUUUUCUUUUUUGCACUUAAUUUAUUAAUCAAACUAAUGAUAUGUUAGUAUUUGUUAUAUCACGAACUACAUAACAAAUUUUUUAGUUAAAAAGAUAUUGAAGUUAAUUUUAUUGCAAAUUAAAAUAGUUAAUAAAAAAUUAUUUAAAUAUGUAAUAAAGAAAAUAGAAUAUGCUCUUAAAAAAUCUUGUAAAUAAAAAAAGAUUUAAAUAAUAAUAUUCUAAAUAAAUUACAAACAAGUAAACAAGUACAUUUUUGUCAUUGUACAUGAACAUUUUACACUUUUAAUUUUCAUUUACCAGAUUUGUAUAGUAAACCGUUUAAAAAUUGAUUGUCAAAUAAUCAUCAUUUACCAAACACCCUAAUAGAUUAUUUGUAAAAUUAUUUUUUUGUUCAGAAUCAAGGUAGAAAUUAAUUCUUGGAAAGUAAAGGAAAUCUCAAACAUACCCUCAAUCAACCAUGGGAAGUUAUUUAAGUUGUAGUAUCUAAUAAGUUCUAUUAAUAGUGAGCGCACAUAUCAAAUAUAUAAAAAUAAGUAUUUUAGUUAUUAUCCACCUGUUCCCUUGAAAUCAAUCUCAGUUUUUUUUUUCUUUUACCUAAAAUUCCAAGAAAAAUAUAUAAAAGAAGAAGAACUUUUUUUUGGGGGGGGGGGGGGGGGGGGGGGGGCGGGGAUUGGGGUGGGGGAGGGGGGAGCUCCUCUGUUUUCAUUCCAUUGUUUUGAAAUUAUCUAUCAUCAGUAUAAAGUUAUACUUUUGAAUCAAUAUGCUUUGUGACUCGAUAAUUUAGCAUAAUAAAAAAAGAAAAACACACUUACUCACAUCCCGAUUGAAUCUUAUCUCUAAGGAUAAGUAAAAAAUUAUUGUUCCUCUUUUUCUUUUACGGUUUGUUUACGAAAAGAAAACACUCACACCUUCAAGAUAUUUAUAAGUAGAACACUUAAGUUUUAAGAAUAAUACACCCUAAUUUGAAAAAAAAUGAAUACAUGUAUCAUAUUUUAUGUUUUUUUUUUAAAAAAAUUAUUUGAUGACAUUAUGAGACUCUAUAUGCCAAGAUCUAUGUGAUGGUGAGAAUGGUUUCAUAAAAGAAGCAAUAGUAUAACCGCACACAUGGCAUUGUUUGUAAUGACUAAAAUUAGAAGAGAGUCUAUGUAUCUACUCCUGAAACAUUAAGAAUUUAACUAUUUAUUAAUUAAAUCAAAAUUUCAAGAUCAUAGUGUCGUUUUACAUAAAGAACCCAAAUACUAAAUCUAGCUAAUAAAGGAGAACGGUUUAGAUUAGUUGCUUGGACUUCCUUGUCUCGGGGCUGUGUGGUCAAGCCUGUCCAUCAGGCGGAUUCAGAUUUUGAAAGUUAUCUGAAUCUUCUUCUCUAUGUAAGCCUAUACAAUGAUUUUGUGAAAGACAUAUGCAAAAACAGUACCAGUAAGCAUAUUUAUUUAUCAAAGAUGUCAAGCUCUGAUGCUCAGAUAUGGAUAUCAAAGAGAGAGAUUGAAAAAGAGAGAGAGAGAGAGAGGAUAAUCAGGGACUCGUCUGUUAUCAUUCCCCUGUUUUUCAGUUUGGUGAUUGGAAGUAACAUUAUUUGCGUGUACUCUUUAUUUAAUUUAUUUUUCAAUUUUUUAAAAAUUAAUUAUUGUUCUUCUCAAAGCGUUUAGUAAAUUAUAUGAUAAUCUGAUCAAAUCUCUAACAUUAAUGUCCGCAUAAUCUAGUAAUGAAACUUAUAAUUUUAUAAUAAUCAAAUUGAAGAUUUCUUCACGCUGUUUUGUAUGAUGACGAGUUUUUAUUUUUCUGUUAAACAUAAGAUCAUUUUCUAAUAAUGUCCAUCUGGAAUUAGUAAUAACGAAGCAUCAUUUGUGGACAGAACAAUUGAAAUAUCAAGUCACUAUUGAUCCCACUUUGAUGAUUGCACUUUAGUUUCUUUCUAAAAUGUCAUUCUUCAUUCAAGCUUUUACUUUAUCUUUUAUCAGGUAUCUUACAAAGCUUUUCCCUCCUAAUAAGCUCUAAUAAACCAAUGUGCUUUUCAAUUUCGCAGGAUACAAGUAACGUAUAUGCCAAAAUUAUUCAAGCACAACAAGUAUUUAUUCGUCGAAAACUUCAACUUAAUUAUUUCAUUAGAAAAUAUGAAACGCAGAGCCAUAAACUAGUGUUUUCUUCAACUUACUUGGGUUAAAUAAAAUUUUUUCAGUAUUUUUCCCGAUCCAUUUCUUGUAUCUCACUGCAUGCUUUAUUAAAGCUUCGUCUUUGUUCUUGAUUGUGAACUUCAAGAUUAAAUCUUAAAAAUCGGGUAUAAAAGGGGUGCUUGAUUAAGUCUUCUUCUUUUGCAAUUCAUUGUUACGGCUCUUUUCAGCUUUUUACUCACAAAUUCCUCUGACGUUAACAGUGAUCUAUCGCUCACUAAAAUUGUUCUUCAUAAUUUCUUUCAAUACCAGUUCUUAAUAUUCAAGGCGAAUAGAGAGCUCAUCAACUCUCUGAUCCCAAAUAAUUAAAGAGGUACACAUGCUCCUAAAUCCUCUAAUAAUUUCUUUUAACAGCAGUUCUUAUUUAAUUUAAUUUCCGUCUAUUUUCCAAGAAAAAUUUCUCCGGUUUGUCUUAAUCUUAUCAUUUAUUUUGCUUGAGUUGUAAGUUAUUGUUCAUUUGUAAGGUCUGUGUUCUUAUUACUAGCUUUGGUUAAUUUGAAUCUAUCUUCCCCAAUAAAAAAAAAAAAGAAGUUUUUAAAAAAAGCGCGGGUUUUUAUUCGGACCCUUAAAACCUCUCUGUUAAUAGCAAAGAAAGACUCUAAUCCUCGAGCCAGGGGGAGUAAAAAAAGAACAAAGAAUUCUCUGUUUAAGUAUCAAUUGUCUCAAGAUCAACAUUGUUUUUUUUCUUUUUCUUUUUUUUGUUAAUUUGUUUGUUAUUUUAUUAGAUUUGCUUUUAAUCUAAUUGUGCUUGAGGAUUGAAGAUGAGUGAGAAAUACCCUUUUUUUCUGAAGCAACCUACAAAUUUUAGAAUAGGGUAAGAGUAUUAGAGAUUCAAUUAAUCAAAAAAAGUUAUUUACAUUCGUCAUUUGCAAAAAUGUUUGCAUUAGAAUUUUUCUAGCAUUCAAGAGCAUUACAUAUCAUCAUGUCACAAAAUAGCCUGAAAAACAAGAUAAAUCAAUUAGAGCAACUUGCUCUUUAUUGAAUUUUUUUUUUUUUUGUUUGGUUUGCCCGAAAUCCCAGGGAAAAUAUUAUAUAAGAACAAGAGUUAAGAUCAAAAAAAUGUAAAACAAGUUUCCUCUGUUUUCGUCCCCCCCCCCCCCCCCCCCCGGUUUGAUGAUUGAAAUUUUUUUUAUCUAAAUUUUAUGAUUUUCCGUUGGGGUUUUAUUAAAUAAAAAAUAAUUAGAAAAUGUAAUUCUAGAUUUACCCUUGUGCAUCGAGUGAUUAUUAUUAUGUUCUCUUAAGAUUUGAUAGUGCAAUUUUGUGUGAUGUGAAUUUCAUGUUUCUGUUAAUCAAUACAAACACAAUUUGUAAGUAAUGGCCAUGUGGAACUUAAUUAUAACCAAGCAUCAUUUGUGGAAAGAACAAAUGAAAUAACAAAAAAGCAGCGUUGGCAAUACAAUAUCAAACUUUAUUUAUUUAUUUAUUUUUGUUUUUGUUCUUGAAUAUGCAUUAAUCAAAUCAUAUAUUGUUGAUCUUACUUUGAUGAUUUGCUGUUCAGUUUCUCUCUCAAAUGAUUUUUGUGUGUUUCCGGUAUCUGCUUUUAUGAAAGAAGCCCUAAAGUGCAUGUGGAUUUUUAAAAAAAGAUUGCAUAUAAUUAUCCUAUACGUGCGUAAACAGGGCAACAAUAACCAAAUACAUGAUAUAAAAAAGGGGUGCUUGAUUAAUGCUUUUUCUUCUGCAAGUCAAUGUUAUUAUUCUCAUCAACCCUUUUCUUACACAUUCCUCGGCAGUUACCGGUGAUCUUUUUGCUCUUUGAGGUUGUUCUUAAAUAUUCAAGGCCAAAUAGAGAAUCUCACCAACUCUCUAAUCCCAGAUAAUUAAAGAGGUGCACAUUUUCCAAAUCCUCUAAUGUGUGUGUUUGUGUAUAGUAGAUCUUUGAUCUUGACAUCUGUUCUUUCAUAAUUUCCAUCUAUUUUCCAAGAAAAAAAAUUUCUCUGGUUUGUUUUAAUAUUGAAUUUACUUUGCAUGAGUUUUAAGUUAUUGUUCAUUGUUAAAGCCUGUGCUCUUAUUAUUUCGUUUGGUUAACUUGCAUUCUUCCCCCCCCCCCCCCCCCCCCCCCCCCCCCCCCCCCCCCCCCCAAAAAAAGAAAAAAGAAAAAAGAAAAAGAAAGUUUUUAAAAAGAUUAUAGGUUUCUACUCAGACCCUUGAAACCUUUUAGCUUUCCGGUAAUACCAAAAUCUCUAAUCCUCCAACAAAUGAAAGCUAGGAAAAAAAUGUCCUAAAGUUUAAUAUCUGUUGCCUUUGUAUCAAUAUUGCCAGUUUGUUGUCUUUUAUUAUAUUGCUUGUUUGUCAUUUUAUUUGAUUUACUUUAUAUCUAAGUUUACUUGAAGAUUAAAUAUCAGUAGGAAAAGCCCUUUUUCUAAAGCAACAUACAGAUUUUAGAAUAGGGCUCAGCCACAUGAAAAUGUUUACAUUGUAGUAUCUCAUAUCAAUAAUCUAAAAACAGCCAAUCCAACAAGUUCAAAUUCAGUCAAAUCUAAAAAUGAUUGCUUUUAAGGAGUACAUGAUAGCUAUUAAAAAGAUCUUUUAGGCAGAAUUGAAAUGCAGUCAAUCGUAAAUCAACCAAUCCAACGAGUUCAAGUACAGAGUCAAUUGAACAAAUUCAUCACUUGCAGAAUUAAGCUUAUCUUCCGAAAUUGAGUUGUUUCCAUUAGAAAUUUUCCCAUAGUCACGAGCACUAUCAUCAAAACAAGAUUAUUUGUAUAGGAACAAGAGUUAAGGAAAAAAAAAAAAAGGUAAAACAAGAUUCCUCUGUUUUCAUUCCCAUUUUUUUUCCUUGGUGAUUGAAAAAUUUUAUCUCUAAAUUUUUAUAAUUUUCCAUUAAGAUUUAUAUUUAAAUAAAGAAUUAAAAAAAUCUAAUUUUAAAUUUAUGCAUUGAAUGAUUAUUAUUAAAUUCCCUUAAAAUUGGUUACAAUAUCAAUUAAAUAACGCAUAGAGUUAUUGAUCACUUUGUUAAAAAUGAUCAUGUGUUCUAUUUAUAUAAUAAAACAAAAGAUGGGGUCACACUUAAGUCUUGUUCUUUUACAAUUCAUUUGUAUUACUCACUCUCAUGAACUCUUUACUUACAUUCGUCUGCAGUUAAUAUUCAUCUUCUGGUCGUUCUUAUAUAUUCAAGGCCAGCAGUGAAGGUCAUUAACUCUUUAAUAAUUAAAUAGGUACAAUUGUCCAAGAAAAAAUAGCCCUUGUUUGUUUUAAUCUUGUCAUUUAAUUUUCUACGUACUGUUCAUUGUUAACUUCUGUGUUCUUAUGUAAUAUUAGCAAUGGUUAAUCUGCAUCCAUCUUACAAUUUUUUUUUUAAAUUGUUGGUUUUCCAUUCAGGCCCUUGAAACCUUUUUUUAAAAAGUUGUUGGUUGUCAUUUCUUUCUCCGUCUUUCCCCUAGUUCAUUUUAAUUUAUUUGAAUCUAAUUUUUCCAACAGCUAAUAUAUAUAUAUAUAUAUGUAUGUAUGUAUGUAUGAAAGCAACAGGCUAGGCAAUGGCUGCAGACCUGGUUUCCACUACUUUUUCCGGCAUUGUAACAGAAGGUGCAAAGGCAUUGUUCGAACCGAUUAUGCGGCAGAUCUCUUAUGUGUUCAAGUACCAGAGCUACAUAGCUGAGCUAAAAGUUCAAGUGAAGGAGCUAGAAUAUAAAAGAGAAAGGGUGGGAAUACCCGUUCGUGAGGCUACUCAACAAAGAGAUGAGAUUUACAAGGAUGUUGCAGACUGGCUUAAUAACGUUGAUGAAUUCAUCAGUGAAGGGGUUGCAAAAUCCAUCAUUGAUGAUGAAGAUAGAGCUAAGAAGUCCUGCUUCAAAGGAUUUUGCCCCAACUUGAUUUCUCGUUAUAAACUUAGUAAACAAGCAGCAAAGGCCGCAGAAGCUGCCGCUAGUCUCGUGGGAAAAGGCAACUUCUCUAGUGUUUCCCACCGUCCUGCUCCAGAGAGUACAGAACAUAUGCAAGCGAAAGAUUUCGAGGCCUUUGAUUCAAGAAUGAAAUUAUUUCAAGAUGUUGUGGAGGCAUUGAGGAAUGAUAAGCUCAACAUAAUUGGGGUCCACGGUAUGGGCGGCGUGGGUAAAACCACGCUAGUCAAGCAAAUUGCAAAGCAAGUUAUGGAAGAUAAGGUGUUCGAUAAGGUCGUUAUGGCUGAGGUAACAGAGAACCCAGAUGUUCAGAAAAUUCAAGACAAGCUCGCUUCCGAUUUAGACUUGAACUUUGACUUGAAUGAUAGCAAACCCCACAGAGCAAAACAACUUUGUCAAAGAUUGACGAAAGAGAAGCGAGUCCUCAUUAUAUUAGAUAAUAUUUGGAAAAAACUUGGGUUGGAAGAAAUUGGAAUUCCUUUUGGGGAUGUUGAUGAGAAAGAUAGAAAGCAAGAUCUAAGGAGACGCAUGAUAAUAUUGACGUCUAGAAGUAAACAUUUAUUGACCAAUGACAUGAAUUCUCAGAAGAUUUUCCUAAUUGAAGUUUUAUCAAAGGAAGAAGCAUUGCAAUUUUUUGAAAAGAUCGUGGGCAAUUCCGCAAAAGCAUCUGCUUUUCAACCUUUAGCAGAUGAGAUUGUUGGAAAAUGUGGAGGAUUGCCUGUUGCACUGAGUACAGUUGCAAAUGCUCUGAAAAAUAAGAAGCUUCCCGUUUGGAAGGAUGCGUUGACUCAGCUGCGAAAUUCUAAUCCAAGAGAAAUUCAUGGAAUGGAUGCAAAUGUCUGCUCUUCCAUAGAAUUGAGUUACAACUUCUUGGAAAGUGAUGAAGCAAAAUCUUUGUUCCUUCUUUGUACUCUAUUUGGUGAAGGUACUCCUAUACAAGUUGCUUCCUUGUUGAGAUAUGGUAAGGGUUUGUUUAAAAAUGUUCGCACAUUGGAAAAUGCAAGGAAUAGAGUGGACGCAUUGAUCGACAAUCUCAAAGCUUCAUGCUUAUUGUUGGACGGCGAUGCUGAAGAUGAAGUUAAAAUGCAUGACGUCAUUCAUGUUGUUGCCGUAUCAAUUGCCUCAGAGAAGCUCAUGUUUAGUAUCCCAAAUGUUACCAACUUGAAGGAAGAGAUAGAAAAGAUCAUACAGAAAGGUGCAAUUGCUAUUUCUAUACCUUAUGGAGAUAUUCAAGAGCUUCCCGAAAGGUUGGAAUGUCCCCAACUCAAGUUAUUACUGUUGCUUGCAAAUGGUGAUAGCUAUUUGGAAAUUUCACACCUCUUUUUUGAAGGGACGGAAGAUCUCAAAGUUUUAAGUCUUAGCGGAAUUCAUUUCUCUUCAUUAUCUUCAUCACUUGGUCACCUCAUUAACCUUCAAACAUUGUGUUUAGACUGGUGCCAACUAGAAGAUGUAGCGGCAAUUGGACAGCUAAAGAAAUUAGAGAUUCUUAGCUUUCGAUAUUCCGACAUUAAGCAGUUGCCACUUGAAAUUGGUCAAUUGGCGCAGUUACAAUUGCUAGAUUUGAGCAAUUGUAGCAGCCUUGUAGUGAUAGCACCAAAUGUCAUAUCAAAAUUUUCUCGAUUGGAAGAACUAUAUAUGGGUGACAGCUUUCCGCAGUGGGAUAAGGUUGAAGGAGGAAGUAACGCCAGUCUUGCUGAAUUGAAGGGGCUGUCAAAGCUAACUACUUUGGAGAUACAAGUUCAGGAUGCCCAAAUGCUGCCGCAGGAUUUGGUCUUUGUCGAAUUGCCAAGAUAUAGGAUAUGUAUAGGAGAAGCGUGGGGCAUCUGGCGCGCUAAUUCUGAAACAUCAAGAUUGGUGCAGCUCCAUGGGUUAGAAAAUGUUAGCACUCUUUUGGAGAAUUAUGGGAUGAAAAUGUUGCUGAAGUUAACUGAAGAUAUCCGUCUAGAGGAACUGACGGGUGUUCAGAAUGUUGUUCAUGAAUUAGAUGAUGGGGAAGGUUUUCCACGAUUGAAGCAUCUUUGGGUAGAAAGGUGUUCUGAGAUUUUACACAUUGUCGGUUCAGUUGGACGGGUUCAUCGCAAAGUCUUCCCCUUGCUGGAGUCAUUGUCUCUCUAUAAAUUGAUCAAUUUGGAGGCCAUAUGCCACAGCCAACUCAGAGAAGAUCAAUUUUUCAGCAACUUAAAGAUUAUAGAAGUAGAAUCCUGUGAUAAAUUGAAGCAUCUUUUCUCAUUUUCCAUAGCCAGAAACCUACUGCGGCUUCAAAAGGUCAAAGUGGCUUCCUGCAAUAAACUGGAAAUGACUGUUGGUAAGUGUUGAAAUUAAGUGUUGGUGGAUUUAUGGACUUCGCCUCAAUUAUUUUGAAAAAAAAAAGACAACGACAAAGAUUAAUUAUGUAUAUUGUUUUUGUUUGUUUACAGGACCCGACAGGGAGAAACCAACAACUUCUUUGGGAUUCAACGAAAUCAUUGCUGAUGAUGAUACUGCUCCAAAGGUGAUAAUUUUCUGUUCAAUAAUUAAUUGAUUAAUUUAUUAUCACGAUUAAUCUUCGAUCAUCAACAGAAUAUUAUACUAGACGGUUGUACUUGAAGGAACAAAAAUGUACGGCUUUUCUUUGCAGGUUCUUCUUCCGAGCUUAGAGGAAUUGAAUCUCACGGAAUUAAGAAACAUCAAAAAAUUAUGGGCCGAUCAUAAUCAAGGAAUGUACUGUUGUCAAAAUUUAACAAAGCUGUACGUGAGAAGUUGUGAUCGUAUGAAGUAUCUGUUUUCGUAUUCUAUGGUUAAUAGUCUUUUGCAACUCCAACAUCUUGAAAUAUGGUCUUGUGAGUCAAUGGAAGGGGUAGUCGACACCACGGGGUGGUCAGAAAGAGAUGAAGGAAAGUUGAUUGAAUUAAAGGUUUUUCCUAAACUACACUCCCUGCAGCUCUAUUGGCUUACAGAACUGACAAGCUUCGCCAAUACAGGACAUAUUCAUUCAGAUUUAGUUGUUGAAUUCCCUUCUUUGCUAAACCUCGAGAUUGGUAAUUGCAGUAAUAUGUUAAGAUUCAUCUCUACGAGCUCACCAGAAGACACCAAUCAUUCUGAAAUGCAACCUCCUCCUCUCUUUGACGAAAAGGUUUUUUUUUUAAUAAAUAAAAUUAAUUUUAGUCACAAUACUUAAUUUGUCUUUUCCUUGAGUCUUCAAAUUUAGUUAAUAUCCGCCUCUAAUUUAGUUAUCAAUUGAUUAUGCCAUUAAUUGAUUAAUUAGUUAUUUAAUCUUUAACUUCCAGGUACGACUUCCUAGGUUGGAGGUAUUAGAUAUUAGCUGGAUGAAUAAUUUGAGAAAAAUAUGGCACCACCAGCUUCCUUCGGAGUCUUUCAGCAAAUUGAAGAAUUUGGAGAUAUAUAAGUGUCAUAACCUAAUGAAUAUUUUUCCUCCAUUGGUAAGGUCGUUGUAUUCAUUUCGAAUCUUUUUUUUUUUAAAUUACAUCCAACAAUAUUUUAACCAUUUUUGGGUUUACAAAUGAUAUUCAGCCACUGAUUAUUUAUUUCAAGUAUUGUAUUUCGAACCACCACUCUCAAAUCUACAUUUUAAGUCCAUUUUUUAGGUUCGCCAGCAUUAGAAUCAACAAUAUAAUUUUUUUAAUCACGAUUCAACAUCAUAAUAUAAUUCAAUUUAAUUGUUUCUGCUCAUAUCUUAAUAAGUACAAUUUUCAAAAAUUAAAGGAUAGUCACUCAUCUUAUAGGUUCACAAAUUCAUCUAUAUAUUUCUCUUUUCCUUAAUUCUUCACAUUUCGAUUGGAAAAAGAAAAAAAGAAAAGAAAAGUCUUCAAAUUUAAUUAAUAUCUCUUGUUUAGUUACGAACUGAUUAUGCCAUUAAUUAACCACAAAUUCACGAUUAUUUACAACUGAUCCUUGAUUGUAAAGAAAUUUCCUCGAGUCUGGAAGUACUUAAUAAAGAUCCACUUUAAUUUUGUUUCCAAAAUUAAAUAUACAUAAAAAAAAGGGACCAAGGGAAAAGGGAAAAAGCGGCAUUUUGGUUGAUUUUUUUUUCCCAAAAGGAAUAGUUGAAAUUUGCAAAUUUUGUUUAAAAACUGGCAUCAAGAUGCAAAAUAAGUCUAAAAUAUUUAGAAAUUGCCUUAAAUUCUUCGUACGUUCCUAAUACUAAAUAGUGUAAAUGCAUUUAAUAUCUUUGUUUAUCUGGCUUUUAUUUAUUUAUUUAUCUUGUUGCUUUUUUUGUUUAACAAAAAAUUAUCUUGUAGACAUUUCAUGGUUUGUUAUCUUUAUAAAACGUAUAAUUGUAUGAUUAAACAUACUUUGAACCUAGUUGAAUGAUAUUCUUACAUUUUUACUUUUUUAAUAUACACACACUUUUGCUUAUUUUCAGGUUGGAAUUCCUAGUAGUUUGGUGAAUCUUAAAGUAUCGAAGUGCCAAAAAAUAGAAGAAAUCGUAGGACAUGUUGGAGAAGAAGUGAAGGAGAAUCGUAUUGCUUUCAGCGAAUUAAAAGUUUUGAUACUUAAUUAUUUAUCAAGGCUUACCAGCUUUUGUUUGGAGAAUUACACUCUUGAAUUCCCAUCACUGGAACGAGUUUCUAUGAUACGUUGUCCAAAUAUGAAGACUUUUUCUCAGGGAAUCUUAUCCAUUCCAAAGCCAUGCAAAGUGCAAGUGACUGAAAAGGAAGAGGGUGAACUGCACCAUUGGGAAGGCAAUAACCUUAAUUCCAUUAUGCAAAAGUAUUACAAAGAAAUGGUAUGUGUUAAUCGAUUCACCCAAAUUGUUUAUGCAUCUCCCCUGCAAUUGCACAUUUAAGCAUAUACCCCGGUCUUGUAUAUAUAUUUUUAGAAGUUAAAACACAAAACAUGUAAGUUUAAUGUGUAUAUAUAUAAUGCCUUUCAAAAAAAAAAUUGUAUAUAUCCGGUGCAAUUGUUUUGGUUUGUGCAGAUUGGAUUCCGUGACAUAUGGUAUUUGCAACUCUCACAUUUUCCACGUUUGAAAGAAAUAUGGCAUGGCCAAGCACUGCCUGUCAGCUUCUUCAACAAUUUAGCACGGCUGGUGGUGGAUGACUGCACGAAUAUGUCGAGUGCUAUUCCUGCCAAUCUGCUACGAUGCUUGAACAAUUUGCGACGGCUGGAAGUGAGGAAUUGUGAUUCACUAGAAGAGGUGCUUCGUUUGGAAGAGCUAAAUGCUGACAAAGAACAUAUAGGCCCCAUGUUUCCUAAGCUUUCCAAUCUAAGGCUCAUUGAUCUUCCAAAACUCAAAAGAUUCUGCAACUUCACUGGGAAUAUAAUUGAACUGCCUGAGUUGAGAUAUCUAACUAUUGAGAAUUGCCCUGACAUGGAAACAUUCAUAUCCAAUUCUACAUCUGUAUUGCACAUGACAGCAGAUAAUAAGGAAGCUCAAAAAUUAAAAUCAGAAGAGAACCUCUUGGUAGCUAAUCAAAUACAACAUCUCUUCGAUAAAAAGGUAAUCAUUAUUAUUAUUUUUCCCUUCACUUUCAUUCGCAUAGAUGUAAUUUCAUUAGAAUCAAAUCAAAUUUAAUGACUUAUCUUUUUGCACGUCGUCUUAAUUUAUAUCUGAUUUAACAAUAUAAUUGUAGUUAUUAACUAACUUUAUAGUAUGAAUUAAAAAAAUGUCUCAAAUUAAUUAGAUGCCUAGUGACAGGAGGUGAUGAACUAUAUCGCAUAAAUUAUGCGUGUUAGAUCUUUGUUUUCCUAGCUAAUUCAUAUUGGAUUUAUGAUCAGAUUUCAUUUAUGUGUUUCAAAGGGUAAUCGAUUUGAUACUUAUAUUUGGGAUCCUACUGCAAAGCAUACUAAUUUGGAAAUAAAAUAUAAAAUGCCGUGAUUAAUCUUGUCCAUAAAAUAUGUAGGGGAAGACUGUAGAGAUUGGAUACAUAUUUUCAUUUACAACUUAAUUUUGUUGAUUUUCAGGUUGCAUUCCCUCAAUUGAUGAAGUUAAAGCUAUCUGGAUUACACAAAGUGCAGCAUCUCUGGAAGGAAAAUGCCGAAUCCAACAAAGUGUUUGCAAACUUGAAAAGUCUAGAAAUAUUUGAAUGUAGUAAGUUGCAGAAAUUAGUACCAGCUUUGUGGCAUUUGGAAAAUCUUGCGACUCUGGAAGUAUCGAAGUGUCAUGGGUUGAUAAAUUUAUUGACACUCUCAACAUCUGAAAGUCUAGUGAAUCUUGAAAGAAUGAAGAUAACUGAUUGCAAAAUGAUGGAAGAAAUUAUACAGUCGCAGGUUGGAGAAGAAGCGGAAGAUUGCAUUGUUUUCAGGAAAUUGGAGUACUUGGGAAUUGAUUGUUUGCCAAGCCUAACAAGCUUUAGUUUGGGUAAUUACGCUCUUGAGUUCCCGUCCUUGGCACACGUAGUUGUGAGACAAUGCCCAACGAUGAAGAUUUUCUCUCCAGGAGUCGUAGACGCACCAAAGCUAAACAAAGUGAAACCCACCGAAGAUGAAGAUGGUGAUGAUGAAGGAUGUUGGGAAGGCAACCUCAAUGACACUAUAAAAAAAUUGUUCAAUGAAAUGGUGAGUAUCAAUGAAGUGUUGGCACUAUCUAGUAAAUUAUUUCUAUUUAAUGUGGCAUAAUAUGAUUGCUUGACUGAAAAUAUAAAAUAAUAAUAAAUAAAUUAUGAGGGUCAUGUUAUGUUUUUGUUUAAUCAAUCAUAUUAUGUCAUAUUAGUUUGUACAAUAUUAUUUGUGCACAAGAGGCUGUGGUCGUAUCAUUACUCUUGCCUUAUUAUUAUUAUGGUUGUAAUGUAUGCUUGCUUACACGAGUAAUUACAAAAUGUGCAGAAUUCUAAAGAAAAGAUUGAGCCAACCCUUCAGGUACUGUGAAGAAGCUAUCUCGAACCAGGCCAACCUCUUGUACAUGAUUCAACUUGCUUGUUCUCCUGUACUUGAAUAAUCUAAACGCAUUUACAAUUAUUUACAGACAUGCAAGACACUUUGGAUUUGUUUGAUGCAUUCUCUGUUUAAGGAAGGACUUGAAUUGAUGUUUCAUGCUUCAUGCAAUUUUCAAUUAGAUACUGUUUAAACUUCUGCAUUAUUCAUUCAAUUGGUGUUUUAAGCAUUUGAUUUCUAACUAGUCCUAAUAGAAGAUUAUUGGCUGAAGAAAACAUCAUAACAUUUGUGGCAUUAUCAGAAUAAUAAUAGUUUUACGAGUAUAGUAAAAUUAACUCGACCAUUAUUAAAAGGAAUUAAUCCGUCAAAUUAACUUUCUCAGACCAGAACCCUUUAAGUUAAAAGAAUUUCGUGAAGUCAAGACCAUGUUAUAGAUCUUGUGGAAAUAAGUGAACCCAUAAAUGUUUUCACAGCAUCAUAAGAAAAUCAUUUUUUUAGUUGUUGAGUUUUAAAAGUAGUAGGCUAUUAAACAAUGACAAUUAGUGCGGUCGCAGUUGGGGAUCGAGUAGUUCACUUGAUUGCGAGUAGAAACCAACUUCAAUACUAUUACACUCAUUCCAAAAAUAGUAACUAAAGAAUUAUUAAGUUUCCUAUUAAGUAUUCUUUAUUUUUUAAUGCAAAAUUCCUAUUCGAAAACACCAGUGACUUUCUUUCAAAGUAAAUGAGAAAUUACAAUGAAAACGGGAUCAAAAUACAUGUAUGCAUACCUAAAACAAAUGAUUUUUUUUUUCAAUUAAAAAAAAAACAGUUGAGGUGAAAUGAAACCAGAGUCAUGAUGUCUCUGGUUCCAACUUUGGGACAAUAGCAGACUUGAGUUCUAUAUAAGAAACACGUACAGCUCCAAUCAGCCGCUCCGGUAAUUCAUCUGUAGUAUUUGCCUGCAUACACGAAGCAUUAUACCAUUCUGAAAAUGAUUCUUGAGUUACUAUUCAAGUAUGCAAAUAUGCAAAUUGCAGUACAAUAUCUCAAAAUCAUGUCUCUUCCCUCGUGUCAUUUAGAAGUGGGGGAAAAAAACAAUCAUACAUACCUGCACAAGGAAAGCCAUGUCAACCACCAAUGCCGUAAUUACACCAAUUACAAGGCCCAAAACUCCAUUAGCAACUCUAGAAGAACACGUCAACAUCAAUCUACAGAAAGAUGAACAAUGUUAAACCAUGUUAAUGGUAUUGAACAAGCUAUUUGAAAGGGAACACAUCCCAUGUACUAUAGGAAUUCGAAGAGCAUUUAUUUCUAACUACUUAGGACCGCGGAUAUAGUUACAAUCAACUGCUUUUCCUAAUAAACAAGGGGUGCUUCCAUCACUCUGGUGCAUGAUCCAUGACUAAGCCCUAUAUUUAAGUCAUAUUGAGGAAACAUAAGAAAAAAAUUCCAGAAAAAGUAUCAGCUAAGAAUUAAAAUUAAAUUCAUCAAAAUGAUCUCAAUCACUAGAUUUUUUACUGUCACAGUAUGUUUAAAAACUUGCAGAAGGCCCAAAGAGAACUUAGGACUGAACCGAGGGAAAAACAAGACGGUGUAUUUAUUUUAUUUCUGAAUGCCAACAAUUACAUUGGGAUACAGAAAUUUUAGGUAAUUUCCUCACAUAUUACAUCAGAAGAGAGGAAAGGGGAAAGAAGAACAAUAAAUGUUCUAUUCUGACCAAAGCAUAAAUGAGAUGAUUGAAUCAAGAGACUAUUACAUUGGAAGCCAGUCCAGCUGAAGCCUAUGAUAGAGAAUAGCCGUAUGACCAUCUACCUCUUCAACUAAGCUGCGAUACAGAAGACUACAAUCCCACCUGCACAAAACAUGAAAAACGGUGUACGUGCGGCAAGAACUUUGAGAAAGGUACAUAAAAAAGAUCUGAUGGCCAAGAAAUACAACAAUUGUACAACCAAAAGAGGUAGAAAUCCAUGUCUAGUACACUGCCCUCUUCAAGACCUCUAAAUACUGAGUCAAAUUGAUAGGAAUUUCAUGGAAAUAACUAUUCGACAAAUGAUCAGCCUUGCUGGCCUUUAUAAGCCAACGCACAGAGAUUAUGGAACAAUGCAAUGGUGCAAACCAAGAAUUAUUAGGGUACAGACAGUAAAAUUAAAUAGAAUAAUUUGAACACAUUACUAGCAAACCUUGCCAAGAGACUUGUUAAAAUCUAAUUCGCAAACCAGCUAGAUUUGCUAGGAAACAGGUAAUUUCAGGCAGCACGCCUUCUCCUGUUUUAGAACACUCUUUUAUGUAAUAGUGACUUCAAAAGUGUAACAUGUUUCGAAAAAAAAAAAAAAAGAGGAAAGAACGUAUUUGACACUUCAUGAAAUGGCUAAGAUACAAGCUUUAAUCUAGUACAACAAAUUAAUAUAACUAACUUCAACCAUCAAUUGAUCUAUAGUUCAGCAACAAAAAAUAUAGAUAGCUACAUCUAUUUUGUCUUCAUCAAAUACCAUUAGCUAAGUGGAGAAAAGUUAUAAAAAUGAGUCCUAGUCUUUCUUUAUUAAUGAAGCAAUCCAUCAAACUUCAAAAGCUAUUUUCAUUUCCACAUUCUUCAUAUACUUAAGCAACAAAAGUUUGUAAUAAUCUUUAGAAAGCACCAUGCAGAUUAAUUAAAUAUAUUCAAAAAGGCACAUACAGAAUCGGGACUGGAGACAAUGUGAAUUUCACAGCAUACAAGAGGAAAUAUAAUACUCAGCUUACACAGACAGCCAAUAUAGUCUUGAUUAUGUUAAAGUAACUAAAAAUAAAAAAUAGAAAAGAAGCAUACUCGUAUCGUGUCCCAUCCAUGCUCAUUACAAGUUCAAAUAUUUCUUCACAGCUGGCCUUCAUAACACCAACAGCCUUCAUUGCUCUACUACAGCUUCUCGGCAGCAUUAAGUAAACUUUAGAUGAUGGUUCUGACCUAAACAAAAUCACAUCCUGAGCAUAGAGUAAAGAAAGUGGCAUACAUGGUAAUCAACUUCAAGAAGCUCUUCAGAAAUACAUAAUUCUGUUGGGGAGAAAAGAAAAAAGAAAGAAUACAAAUAAAAAGAAGUCACAAACAAUUCAUUUCCUGCACUACACAUCAGCAGCAGUUUUUCGGGAACACAAAAAUGUUAUAAUAACUUUUCUUGAUUGCCACCCACAUGCUAAACUGAUCAAAUACAAAACAGGAUACAGAAAAUCUCUAACCUUUUUGGCACUGAAGAAGACGCCAGUGCUUUCAAAAGAAAAUGCUUGAUUGUUGGCAUUCUGGUUUGAAAAAUAUGAGUCCAAUUCCUGUGUCCAGUCAUGUACCAAAUCAGGACGACCUGCCAGUCAUACAAAGAUGACAAAAAUACACUAUAAAUUGCGUCAAACCAAUUCAAGUCAAUUGGAGAAGUAAAUCAAGGACCAUUUGCAAUAGUUGUUCUCCACAUCAAAUUUGGGUGUCCAUCGUCUUCAUCCUCUUGUGCACUGAACCUGAGAGUCCACGAGAAAUACAUAUAAAAAUUAGCCAUGAUUGAAAUUGAUAGUAGUACAAAAUGGAUAUAAACAUCACGAUGAACAAAUUAAAUUGUUCCAUGUCAGACAAAUCCAGCCUGCAAGCUUAAGCUCUUAAGCUAGACCAAAUCACACUGCAAAUAACAAUACAUAAGGCCAAAAAAAGAUAAUAUGUAUCAUUCAUAUGCUUCGCCCUAUAGAAAUGAUUUGAGUCUACAUAAGAAAAUUUUUUGAGCUUCCCGAUCCACGAAUAAUAAUAAAUCUCCUUAAAAUAAUCUUUUGUAAAUAAUUUUAUUUUUCUUGACACAUGACAAGCACCUUCAUAUAGAGAAGAAAGGAGAAUCUCAAAUUCCACCCGCUCUCAGAACACCACAUCAAAGCUUCGUAUCAGUGAACAUGGAAGAAGAAUAAAAGAAGUAGCUCAAAUCCUGUAAAAAAGAACCUUGGACUUCGACUCUUGUCAAACAGUUGACUCCGACUGAAUAUAGGAAGAGUAAUUGAGCAAGCAUAGAUCGGCCAAGCUUAAGCAAGCGCAUAGAUCGGCCAAAUUUGAGCAAAGCCGAGAGAGAGAGAUGAUUGUGGUCAAUUUACAGCCGCAGUUGAUCGUUGCCGACUCGUGCCGCCGUUGAUGGCCGUGGAACAAGAAGAGAGGUGAGGUGAGGCGAGGGAGUGGUAAGGCGCGUGACGCGAGGGCGUGGGAGUGGGAGUGGGAGUGGGAGUGGGAGUGGUGGUUUUUGUGCAUGUAUCAGAUGCACGCAUGUAUUAUAGCAGAGUUGAGUUCAAUACGAAAAACACGUACAGCACCAAUCAGCCACUUCGAUAAUUCAUCUGUAGUUGUGAGAUGAUGAAUCAAGUUUGGUUCCCAGAAACGGCUGCGUUUUGAAGCCGUAAAAGCUUCAUUAGCUCACGUGCUGUUCAGCUGAUUCUUAACAAAAAAACGAUUUAGUGGAAACGACAUGGAUGGAGCACGUUUUACAUAUCAAUUUAAGUAACCACGUGAGGAAGCAUGUGAUGAAGGUUGUUCCGAGUUCGUUGAAGGUUGUUAAGCACGUGUCAAAACAAAGUGUUCAUGCUGGAAAGAAACAAAAUAUUAAUAAAUAAACCCUUAAAAAGAUUCUCUGAAAAUUAUGUUUAACUAGAACAAUUAUCUAGCAGUUUGAUAUAUUAAAUGAGCCUGUUAAUUAUUUCACUUACUAUCUUAUAAAUCCUCUCAAAAUUACACCGCUGCUCUGACCCCAAGUUCCAUUAUCAAUUAUAUCAUUCCCUAUCUUAUAGUAAAGGUAAAAGAAAAGAAAAGGUAUAUUGCAUUAGAGUUCGUGUACUUCUACCUUUUAGUUUAUUCUUCAUUUUAUUAAAAUGACAGAUUCCUCAUUAAAAAAGGUCACUCUACAUAGUAUGUGGGUGUAUGUUCUUUUAAAAAGGACUGAGAGAAAAUACAGUAGCACGUAAAAAUGUGCACCCAGCAGCAGAACCAUAUUAAUCCACAACAGCGCAAAAUAAAUGUGAAAAACAAGUAACAUCUGAAGAAGACAGUGAUGCCGAAACAUUGACGACCAAUAUAGUGUCUUGAUUUGGUUAAUUAAAUAUAUUUUUGUUAUCAUCCACCUGUUUGCUUUAAAUAAUUUUCAAUAUUUUUUCGUAUGCCUGAAAUUCCAAGGAAAAAUAUUUGUAUAAGGACAAGAGUUAAGGGGGACAAAAAUGGAAAAAAUAGGGCUCCUUUGUUUUCAUUCCCCUGUUUCUCCGUUUGGUAAUUGCAAAAAUUUAAAUCUAAACUUAUGAUGCAGGCUACAAGGUAGCUGGUGGACGAUUAAUAGGGUCUAUCUUUUGUUGUUAAUUAGGAAUUUAAUUUGGAAUUUGUAGUGUGCGCCUUAUCUAAGCAGACUUCCUAACAGUAAUUAAAUAAUCUAAAUUUAUGAUGCAUUAGGAUAUGAUUGUGAUAAAUUAGCUUUUUUCUCUGUAUUCUAUGAGGCUGAUUAUUAUUUUAAUUUAAGCCACACCUUUAAAUUCAGUUUUCGCAAAACUGACAGGUAGCUUGGGUGUAAAUGAAUAUACAUUAAUGAAGAACGGACAUGUGGAGUACCGAUAUACUAGCAUAAGUAAUGUUUAAUUUUAAUGUAUAAAACAAUGGUGCAUUUAGAAGGUACUACUGUAGAAAUAAAAUUUGUGCUUGCAACUCAUUUUUUAAUUCCCCUUUUUAAUAAUAAUCAAAAGAAAGCAGAGGAGAAACAGGGGAUUUUCCAGUUUUUUAUUCGGUGAUUUUUAACUUUAUCAUGGAAUUGUCAAUUUUUAGUUGAAACUUAUCUAAAUCGUCCUCUCUAUAUAAGCGAAUACAAUAAUUUUGUGAAAGAUAUAUGCAAAAACAAUACUAAUAAGUAUAUUUAUUUAUCUAAGACGUAGAGCUCUAAUGCUCAGAUAUGGAUAGUCCCAUUUUUUGUUAGAGGCAUCUCUUUCCAUGCAUUGAAUUAUUGCAAGCAAAUCGCUUCUCGCAAUUACAAACCUACCCUCAUCAUUGUCUCUCACGUAUCCAGCACCACAGUUACCCAUUCCUCUCCUCACCAAGGCACACAGAUUACAGGACAAUGCAGCGAUGCCAACCAAGAAUGCUUAGGGUAAAGACGGAAACAUAAAACAGAAUAAUAAAAAAAAAUCUAUUCCGUAAACAUAAUAAUUAAACAGAAAGUGGUACGUUCAGACAAAACACCUGCUCCUGUUUUAGAAAAGAGCUCCUCCGUUUUUAUUUCUCUGUUUUACUGUUUGGUGAUUGCAAAAAUUUUUGUCUAAAUAAUGCAUAGUAGAGUCAAGAAUAAAUUUAUGUUAAAACAAAGAAACAUCAAAGAUCCCCUGAUAUUAUUAUCCAGAACAAUAUGUUUAUUGGGCCGAAAUGGGCUAACAUACAUGGGUUCAAGCUUGCAAAAUCCACAUUUAUGUAUAAUUAUAUAGUAAUUAAAUACUGAACUUGAACUCAUACAACUCUUCAAUCAUUUGGAUUUCGAAUCUGUGUUAAUUGAACUAAAUACUGUCAGGCAUUCGAGUAAACACAUAAAGAAUUCAUGAUUUAAUGUCGUUCUGAAUUUUGACUUCAUAAUAUUCCAGCUACCGUUGCAGUUUCUAUUAUUGUGUGAUAAAUAUGAAUGAUGUCUUAGUAUAAAGACAUGUCUCAUUAAUUAUACCUUAUAGAAGAGAUAUCUUUUUAUACUAAAACUAUAUAGUGAAAAGGGGUCCGCCUAAGUUACGUUAAACGUAACUUACGGCCUGGCUGUAAAACUUCAUCCAGCCCCCUAUAUUCGAUAUUAUUUAUAUUAUAUUUGUGAAUAUUAUAAAAAUUUUUGAUUUGAAAAAUUUCGUUUAACCCCUUACACUCAAUUUUAUUUUAUUAAAAUCCUAGAGUACGAAUUUGCCUCCUAUAAUUUUAAAUUCUCAAAAUAACCUCAUUUAAUUAAAAAAUAUAAUUAUUAUUAAUUGAAUUAUAAUUAUAACUAUUAUUUUAUUAUAAUUAUAAAUAUAUUUAUAUUUUUUAAAUAGAUUAUUGUUAUUAUUAAUAACAAGAAUAAAAAGUAUUACAAUUAAUUAAUCUAUUAACAAUAAUUAAUAAUUUUUUAUUAAAUUGUUAAUAAUAAUUAAUGAUAAUUAUUAUUAAUAAUUAAGUUUUGAAUAAUAAUAAUAAUUAACAAUUAUCAUUAAUAGAUUGUGACUGACUCUGAACAAGUUGUCCGAUAUUUUAUAUCAUAUUGUAUGCAUUCACUUCUGGCUACAAAAAAAAUUAAAGAAAUAGCUUUCUCUUUAACCAAACAAGAGAUUUAACAAAAUCAUAAACACACGUUUCUCAAAACUAACAAGGACUUGGACAAUUAUGGCACUAAGUAGUACUGCAAUUAAUAUCAGUGAUGAGAGUAUGUUGCUACUUUGCUAGCUAAGCCUAGGUGGGCAUUGGCAUUCCUAGGACUCUGAACAAUUAUCGUUAAUUUUUAAAAAUCAAUUAUUAAUAAUAAUUAUCGUUAAUUACUACUAUUAUUAAUUUAAUAAAAACUAUUAUUAAUUAUUGUUAAUAGAUUAAUUAAUUGUAAUACUUUUUAUUCUUGUUAUUAAUAAUAAUAAUCUAUUUAAAAAAUAUAAAUAUAUUUAUUAUUAUAAUAAAAUAAUAAUUAUAAUUAUAAUUCAAUUAAUAAUAAUUAAAAUUUUAAUUAAAUGAGAUUAUUUUGAGAAUUUAAAAUUAUAGGGGGCGAAUUCGUACUCUAGGGUUUUAAUAAAAUAAAACUAAGUGUAAGGGGUUAAAUGAAAUUUUCUAAAUAAAAAAGUUUUAUAAUAUUCAUGAAUAUAAUAUAAAUAACAUUGAAUAUAGGGGGCUGGAUGAAAUUUUAAAGCCAGGCCGUAAGUUACGUUUAACGUAACUUAGGCGGACCCAGUGAAAAGAUAUCUCUUCUAUCAGGUACAAUUAAGUAUGGUUGCUUGCAAAGAAAUGUAAAUAUAAGUCAUAAAACAAAGUCUCUAUUAUUUGAAGUACAAUUUCAUUCACAUGUUGCACAUGAGACUUGAGCAACCACGAUGUGCAGAAGACACUUUACAAUGAUUUUGCUUGUUUUUUUCCUAAUCAUUUCUGUAAUUGAUUUUGUUAGAAAAUGUUAGUAAUGAUUAAAUUACUUUAAAAAACACACUCACACAUCUUAACUGUAAAGGUUCAGAAAAUAUAUCGAUAAAGGUCAGAAGUAUCUAAUAAAAGUUGGCCAUAAACUUCAAUAUCCAAAAUUGCUUUAAUAAAGUAGCUGCAGUAAACAAAAGUCAGUAACCAUAGGCGACAAUAAAUCACAAUCAGCAACUAGGUCUCCAAAUCAAAAUAUAAUGGAUUUGGUUAAGUCUUCUUUCGAAAAGCUCUCUCUCCUUUAGAGAGGCUUGAAUGGAAGUAUUGAGGGGUCGUAAGGACUCAUGUGUUCACUCCCUGUGAGUGGAAGGUAAUCCAAAAAAAGUCAGCUUUUGGGGUUGGUGAGCUGGUUGAGAAAGCUUCGAAAGCAAAGUUCGUGUAGAGCGUUGGGGCACGAUUUAAAGCUAGUGAGCCUAAAUAACUUACUACCUAUCCAAGCAUUAACUACCAUGGAUACUGAAGAGCUAAUUCGUAAGUGUCAAGCAAUAACUAUCACAGAGGAAGACAAAGCCAAAAUAACGCUGGAGGUGAAUUUGGAAAAAAAGAAAGAACAAAUGAUGGCAGGAUGCUUAGUGGGCAAAGUACUUCUCACAAAGGGAGUAAAAAAAGAUGGACUUAAGGUUGCGUUACAGCAGGUGUGGAGGACUUUCAAAGAAGUCAAGAUCGAAAGCGUGGGAAACAACAUCUUCAUGUUCAAAUUUGCUGAAGAAGCAGACAAAAAACGAGUUCUCAAAGGGGGACUAUGGCACUUCGACAGGGCCUUGAUUGUUCUCGCUGAGCCAAGGGGGAUUGGGGAAGUCGCAAAACAAUCUUUUAUUCACACAUCCUUUUGGGUGCAUAUUCGUAAUAUCCCACUGGCGUGUAUGGAUAAAGAUUUUCUCCGAGACUUGGGCGGGAAGAUUGGAUCAGUAUAGGAGGUUCAAACGGAUGAUAAUGGAGACUGUAUUGGGGAAUUUUCCAGAAUAAGAGUCUCAAUUAACAUAACACAGCUGCUAGAGAAGAUUUUAUUUCUAAAGCAAGAAGGUGAAACUGAUAUCCCAAUGCCGGUGGUAUAUGAACGCUUGCCAGAUUUCUUUUAUUGCUGCGGAAUUAUUAGACAUCAAUACAAAGAGUGUGGCAAGUACCAAGACCAACCAAGAGAAGAUCUACCAUUUAGGAGUUGGAUGAAAGUGAUUACGGUAGGGGGUUUUACAAAGAGGAAUUGGAACAAGGAAAGGUGGAACUAUGGGGCUGGUAAAUCGGAUGAAAAAUCAACAAGCUCAGGAACUCACAACUUCCCGCAACAGCAAGGGCAAAACCAAGAAAACUCGAUAGGGGCAAACGGGUCAGUACCCAUUGAGAAAGAAAUGGGGCAAACCAUGAAGCAUGCCAAGAAGGAUGUUAUAGGAGGAGUAGCUGAGCAACAAUUAAUGCGAAGAGUGAUACAAUCAGCGGAAAAAAAGUAAAAUGAUGGCAACAAGCAAGCUGGGGAAACUGGCAAUGCAACAACCCCAAGGAAAAUGGGCACACAAGCGGGAAAUGGCAUUCCAAAAGAGAGGGAAAAAAUGCAGAUAAGUCAUGAAGAGGAAGCUGAAAUAAACAAUGGGCCGGAAGUAUCUCAACUACAGCCCAAUAAAAGGAAAUUGAAGUAAUUAACUAGAGAUCUAAGCGAGGGGGGGGGGGGAAAUUAAGUUACGAGUUCAAAAAAGGCCUAGGGGGAAAAAAUUUGGGCAAAGCCCAAGGAAAAAAACAAAGCUCUCUAGCCCCAAUAAGCUUGAGACUAAAAACCUGGAGCAUGUCUCUCCAACAGCAACGCUUCAGCUGGGUUAGGAACUGUUGGUACUGGAAGAAGUGGUAGUCAUGGAAGCAAACAAUAUGGAGAUAUCGGCGGAGGCUGGUGGUCAGCCCCCCCGGAAGCUAUGAAUAUUCUCAGUUGGAAUGUUCGGGGUCUGGGGAAUCCCCGAGCAUUUCAAGCCUUAAGAAAAAUCCUCCAAUUGCAUGGUGCUCAGCUAGUGUUUUUGUGUGAAACAAAGGUAUCAACCAUGCAAAUGAAUGUGAUUGCAAAUAAGCUGAGUUUUGAGAAUUGCCUCGCGGUGAACUGUAAAGGAAGAUGAGGCGGAAUAGCAAUGCUCUGGAAGUCAGAUAUUGGUGCAAAUCAAUUCAUACAGUCAGCACCACAUUGAUGCCGAAACUCAAAUGCCAAAUGGAAAUCGAAUGCGAGUUACAGGAGUGUACGGACAUCCGGAAACAAGACAGAAAAAACACACUUGGAUGCUCCUCAGGCGGCUGGCAGUUUUAUCUUCUAGCCCUUGGUUGUGUUGUAGAGACUUUAAUGAAAUUUUACAUCCAGAUGAGAAGAGUGGCGGCAAUGACAGGAAUGUGAAUUUAAUUAAUGAUUUCAGAGAAGUUUUGAGAGAUUGUGGCUUAAAGGAUGUUGGGUAUCGGGGGUACGCUUUUACUUGGAAUAAUGGAAGAUAUGGGUAGGGAUUCGUGGAAGAAAGGUUGGAUAGAUUUGUUUGCAAUAAAGCUUGGAGUGAUAGAUUUGUGGAUUAUGCAGCAAGCAACCUUGACACAUGGACUUCGGAUCAUUGUCCCAUGCUGAUGGCUGUUUAGGAGAGAAGUGGGGGCAUGAACCAAAGGGGUAGACAUUCCUCACGAAUCCAUUAUGAGGAUAUGUGGAGCUCGUAUGACUUGUACAAAGAGAUAAUCAAGGAGGAAUAUAAUUUGUAUAGAAAUUAGAAUAGUGAAAAUCCAGCCCAAUCCUUUCGAAAAGCAACAAAAGAUUCGAUGGGUAGGCUGUUGGGGAGGAGCAAGUUGGUGAGGAAAUUCGGAAGGUGGAGAAGCAAAUCCAAAAUAUCCUCAUGGAUGAAGAAAUCUACUGGAAGCAGCGCUCAAGAGCAGAUUGGCUCAAGGAGGGGGACAAAAACACAAAAUUCUUUCACGGCAAGGCAUCGACUAGAAGGAAAAAAAAAAACAAAAUUUUGGGGAUUGAAGAUAAUUUCGGGAGAUGGAUUGAAAAGCCAAAAGAAGUGGAGCAUGAGUUUUGCAAUUAUUUCACCAACCUUUUUACAUCAACCCAGCCGAGACAGGAUCAAAUUGCAGCAGCCUUGAAAGGAAUAACUCCGAGAGUUUCAGCCAGCAUGAAUGAGAGUUUGGAGGAACCGUUUACAGCCGAGGAAGUCUUGGAAGCUUUGAGUCAAAUAAAGGCUUCGGGGCCGGAUGGUUUUCCAGCAGUGUUUUACCAAAAGCAUUGGCAUACGGUUAAGGAGGGAGUGCUCACCACUUGUCUGCAUAUCGUCAAUUCACAAGGUACCAUAGGCCCUCUAAAUCACACUUACAUUGCUUUGAUACCAAAAAUCGGGAAGCCUAGGAAAGUGACAAACUUUAGGCCUAUUAGUUUGUGCAAUGUUAUCUAUAGAAUUGUAGGUAAGUCAGUUGCUAAUAUAUUUAAGCAAAUUCUGCACAAAAUCAUCUCUCUAUCGCAAAGUGCCUUCAUCCCCAAUAGGUUGAUCACUGACAACAUCAUAGUUGGCUACGAAUGUUUGCACAAGAUAAGGCAUUGUAAAGGAAAGCGAAAUGGAUUAAUUGCAUUAAAGCUUUAUAUUAGUAAAGCUUAUGAUAGAUUGUAAUGGAACUUCCUAGAGCAAACUUUAAAACAACUAGGCUUCUCGCAUCAAUGGAUUAGCUUGAUCAUGGGGUGCAUUAGUUCAGUUUCCUUCUAUGUGUUAAUAAAUGGCUCAGUGAAAGGCUUAAUUAAACACCAAAGGGGCAUAAGACAAGGUUGCCCCCUCUCUUCGUAUUUGUUUAUUACAUGUGCAGAGGCUUUUUCUUCCUUGCUGUAGCAGGCUGAGCAACAACGGCUUAUUCAUAGGCUAUCAUUUGGAAACGAUUUGAAGAUUUCGCACCUUCUAUUUGCUGAUGACAGCCUUAUCUUCAGCAGAGCUUCCAUGGCUGACUGUCGAAAUCUGAAGAUGAUCCUUGAGUGCUACUCCACAACUUUCGGUCAAAUAUUUAAUUUCGAGAAAUCUUCUCUUUUUCUUAGUGGCAAUGUACAACAAGAUCAAGCUGAGGCAAUUGGGAAUCUCUUUUAGCUCAAUAUUGUGUAAAGACAUAAAAAAUAUUUAGGCUUGCCGUCUAUGAUCGGGAGAAAGAGAAGCAGCUUCUUCAAUGACAUCAAGCUGAAGGUUUUCAACAAGAUCUCAAGCUGGCAGCAUAAAUUUUUUUCUUGUGGAGGGAAAGAAGUCUUAAUCAAAGCUGUUGUGCAAGUCAUCUCAGCCUACGCAAUGAGCGUUUUUAAAAUUCCGAUGGGAGUUUGUGAUGAUAUUUAAAAAAUGGUGGCAAAGUUCUAGUGGGGCUCCAAGAGGGAAGGGAGGAAUAUUCAUUGGGCGAAGUGUGAAAAGAUGAGUCAAGCUAAGUGUAAUGGAGGGAUGGGAUUUCGUGAUUUUUCAAGCUUCAACAGAUCCCUUCUAGCAAAGCAAGGCUGGAGGAUUCAGCAAUGUCCAAACUCGUUGGUGGCUAGGGUCUUGAAAGCCAAGUAUUUCUAGUCAAAAAAUUUCUUGGAUGCAAAGCUCAACUCAAACCCUUCAUAUAUUUGGAGAAGCAUUCUUUGGCGAAGGAAAAUUAUUUGCUCGGGCUCUAGGUGGAGAGUUGGCAAUGGUCAGAAAAUUCAUAUUCAUAAGGCUAACUAGAUUCCACAACCUUCAACAUUCCAGCCAAUGGUUAAGCCAACUUUUCCUUCGAAUGCUAUGGUCUCUGAAUUAAUCAAUGAGGCAAACUACUGGGAUGAGAAGAGGAUUUAUGAGCACUUCGAAAAAAUGGAUGCUGAUUUAAUUACUAAGAUUCCUCUGCCUAGAAGACCAAGGAAGGAUGAGCUAAUUUGGCAUUAUGGAAAAAAUGGCCAGUUCUAGGUUAAAAGUGGGUACCAGACAACUCUCCAAAUAAAGUUUCUAGCCAUGCCUUCAAGCUCAGUGGCUUCAAAAAAUGAAUGGAAUAUUAUUUAGUCUCUUGCUUUGCCUCAAAAGAUCAGAAUUUUUGCAUGGAGGGCAGCCAAAAACCUACUCCCCUCAGCUGAGAAUUUGUGGAAGAAAAAGAUAAUCCAGGAACCUACUUGCCAAGUGUGUAAAAUGGGAAUGGAAAAUGUAUUUCAUGCUCUAGUGGCCUGCAAAUCGGCUAAGAAAGUAUGGAGGCUAAUCUAUUUUGAAGAUGAUAUUAAUGCUGCUCACAGUCAAGAUAUCUUCAGUUUGCCGCAUGCUAUGAAAAGAAUGAGAAGCAAAGUUGACCUGGAGCUGUUGGUAACGAUUUUUUGGGUUAAAUGGAAUGCUCGGAAUCAGUUGCUAUUCAAAGGAAAAAUGGAGACCCCCCAUGUAACACCCUAGGCGAAUCCCAUAUCGGCAAAGCACAGGAGAGAUGCUGGGUUUAUAAGAAGUGAUCCACACCUUAAUUGGCAAGACGCGUUUUGGGGUCUAUGGGCGCCCCAAGAACAAAUCCGUGCAGGCCUUGUUAAGGCCCAAAGCGGACAAUAUCUUGCCAGGUCAUGACCCAACCCAGACCUGGCAAGAUAUUGUCCGCUUUGGGCCUUAACAAGGCCCGCACGGAUUUGUUCUUGGCGUGCCCAUACACCCCAAAACGCGUCUCAUGCUCCUUCUUACUCUUAGAGUAAAUUAAUAUGUCAUCAAUAAAGACAAUGACAAACUGGUCAAGAUAAGGUUGGAAGAUCCUAUUCAUCAAAUCCAUGAACGCUGCAGGAGCAUUAGUUAAUCCAAAAGGCAUAACUAAGAACUCAUAGUGUCCAUAACGAGUUCAAAAAGCUGUCUUCGAUACAUCCUCACUUCUUAUUUUCAAUUGAUGGUAGCCAGAUCGUAAAUCAAUUUUAGAGAAUACCGCUGCACCUCGUAAUUGGUCAAAGAGGUCAUCAAUUCGAGGAAGAGGGUAUUUAUUCUUGACAGUAACCAUAUUCAACUGCCGGUAGUCAAUACACAACCUCAUUGAACCAUCUUUCUUCUUUACGAACAAAACGGGAGCACCCCAAGGCGACACACUAGGACGGAUGAAACCCUUAUCUAGUAACUCUUGUAGCUGGACCUUUAGUUCUUUUAAUUCAAUGGGUGCCAUCCGAUAUGGCGCCUUGGAUGUAAGUGUAGUACUAGGAACUAACUCUAUAGUAAACUCAACCUCUCUAUCUGGGGGUAGACCAGGAAGAUCCUCAGGAAAUACAUCAAUAAACUCCCUUACAAUAGGUAUGUCUUCAAGGCACGCCCCAUCAGGAUGGUCAGCAAUUAUAUACGCUAAAAAUCCUUCACACCCCUUCUUUAGCAUUUUCACUGCCGUCACCAUAGAAAUCAAAGCUUUAUAACUCUUAUGAUUCCCUUGAAAAUGAAAUUCUUCCUCGCCAGGUAGGCGAAAAAUAAUUUCCUUAGCAAAACAAUCUAUUGAAACAUGGUAAGGUCCUAACCAAUCCAUCCUCAAAAUCAAAUCAAAAUCAUGCAUCUCUAAUGGUAGGAGAUCCACAAGGAAUUCUCUAUCACACAAUCUGAUCACACAUGACUUAUAGACAUGAUCUAUUAACUGGCAAUCCCCCAUAGGGGUACUAAUUGUCACGUGAACACCGAGUGGCGUGAUAGGCACAUCAGCAUAACGGGCAAACACACAAGAUACAAAUGAAUGUGUAGCACCAGGAUAAAAAGGAACUUUGGCUUCUCUAGAGAAUAAGGACAAUGUACCUGAUACUACAUCAUUGGACACCUCAGCAUCUUUCUCCGUUAGCGCAAAAACACGCCCUUGCACCUUCGGUUUCUUCCUCUGCCCUUCGUUAGUCGGAGUAUUUGUAGUCUCGCCACGUCUCUUUGGGCAAUCCAUAAUCCUAUGCCCAGAUUCUCCACAAGCAAAACAAGCUCCAGUUUUCCAAUGGCAUUCACCAGGGUGCCUCCUUUCACAAUGUCGACAAAUGGGGUAAUUUCUCCGAGCAGUGUCACUAGUAACACCCUUGUUAUCCCAUUUGUUACCUCCACCAUUAUACUUCUGGGAGUGAGUGCCUUGCCUAUAGGAACUUCCAUUUCGCGGUCCACCUUGUUGAUUCUUCUUAUUUCUCUGAUACCAUAAUGUCAUGACCCAACCCAGACCUGGCAAGAUAUUGUCCGCUUUGGGCCUUAACAAGGCCCGCACGGAUUUGUUCUUGGGGUGCCCAUACACCCCAAAACGCGUCUUGCCAAUUAAGGUGUGGAUCACUUCUUAUAAACCCAGCAUCUCUCCCGUGCUUUGCCGAUGUGGGAUUCGCCCAAGAACAAAUUCGUGCGGGCCUUGUUAAGGCCCAAAGCGAACAAUAUCUUGCCAGGUCUGGGUUGGGUCAUGACAUUAUGGUAUCAGAGCGGCUCCGCGUGUCCUCUUGAGCGAUGGUGGGGCAAACCUCAGCGAGGACGCUGAGUCCCCAAGGGGGGGUGUAUGUAACACCCUAGGCGAAUCCCACAUCGGCAAAGCACGAGAGAGAUGCUGGGUUUAUAAGAAGUGAUCCACACCUUAAUUGGCAAGACGCAUUUUGGGGUGUAUGGGCACCCCAAGAACAAAUCCGUGCGGGCCUUGUUAAGGCCCAAAGCGGACAAUAUCUUGCCAGGUCUGGGUUGGGUCAUGACACCCCAUAUUAUGGUAGCUAAAGUUGAAGCUAUGAUUGCAGCUUAUAAGAGGGUGCAUUCUUCAGUUGAGGCUUCCAGUGAAACAGAGCAGAGGGUACCUCUUCAGACAUGGAAUCCCCCUCAAGAUGGUUUUGUAAAAGUCAACAUUGAUGCAGCUAUCAACUUCAAAAAGAACCUUGUAGGGCUGGGGGCAGUGAUUAGAGAUGAUUCGGGGCAUGUUACAGCAGCUGCAAUCAAGAUUUCCAAGUUUCAUGGAGAUGUUUCUUAUGCUGAGGCAGCAGCUAUGGAAUGGGGUAUGUUGGUGGAGAGAGAAGCUAAAGUGAAAGUUGUAAUCGUGGAAUCAGAUUCUCAAGGUGUGGUCAGUUUAGUUAACAACAAGCAGGGCUGCAGAUCUGAGAUCUAUUGGGUUGUUUCGGAAAUUCAGAAGUUAGCGGAAAACUUCGAGUGUGUUAGUAUUAAGUAUACAGCCUAGAUCUUGUAAUGUUAUUGCCCAGUCUUUAGCUAAGUUAGCUCUAGAAAAACGCGAGACUGUUGUGUGGAGGGUUCAUACCCUUCACAAGUGAUGUAUUUCCUUUCAUCGUUGUUUUAAUUGAAAUCUAUUUUCAAAAAAAAAAAAUCACAAUCAGCAACUACAAUGAUCCAAAACCAACAUAGAAAGACCUAGAAAUAGUAAAAAAUAUUGCAAUAUAUUAAAGAAGAUUAAUUCAUCAGAGUGCCCACAACAUAUAAAUGGAUCUAAAGAAUAGAUUAUAUAAUAGCUUGUUUCUUAUGAAUGAUACAUGGGAUUCCACAGAUAAAAAGAAAAUAAGAAUCAAGUACGUGAAUUAAAAAAAUACCUAACCAAUAGGGGUUAGUGAGAUAUUUUAGCUAAAUAUCAGUUGACAGAAUCUGACCCACAAUAAAAAUUGCUAUCUUAUCACAAUGGGAAUCUGAAUUAUAAAAUUACUGAACAAAACUUUUAACACCUACAAGUCCAAAUAAUAUCAAAUAAAAUGCCUAACCAGCUAUUAAAUAUAAAAUGUCCUUGUAGGACUAAAACCUUGUGGCCAAUCCUUCAAAGUUCCAAGCAACAAUAUGAUAAAAACAUAAUGCAUAAUAUAUAAGGAGCUUAUCUGUAAAACUUCCAUACAGUACUUAUCAUAUUAAACAAUGUACCUAAUGAAAUAUUGGCUUAUUUCUACAGAAUAUUACAAUAUAAGUACACCAAUUUCUCAAGCAAUGCCAUAUAGAAAGAUACCGAAGAAAAAAGGAAAAUAAAAAAUCGAAGCAUGUUAGUUAUGAUUUCAACUUUUGAACUCAAAGUCUGUGACAAAUUUUGCUUCGGGAAAUACUAACAAACACUUGAGAAAAACUAAAGUGUAUCACACUUGAACCGUAUAUAAAGCACAAGAAUAAAAACAACAAUGGGCAAAAAGAGGCUAGAUGUAUCAUCUUCAUUAGUUAAACAACAUAAAUAGAAUCAAAAUAUUAAUGCAUACACCAAAACCUUCAAAAUUCUCUAAACAUUCAAUUUUUUUCAGAUUAAGAAAAUAAAUUUAUAAGAAAAUCGAGAACGCGUAUUUGUUGCGGUAUUUUAUCAAGCAAUUGGCAUGCAGCAAUGUAAAUGACAAUUAAAACAUGUAAAUCUCUGUACAUUGAAAGCUCACCUUCGUUAUUCAUCCAAAGAGAGAUAUAUAGGGCAUGUAAGCUCCUUCUUUGAUAUUUAUAUAUUUUGUCAUAAAAGAUUAUAUAUUGUCCGAAAAGAGCUAACUUUGGACAGGCUUUUUAUGCCAAAAAAAAAAAAAAAAUUCUUUUGUGACUAUUAUAAAGUUCGUCAAAAAGAAAUUGAAACAGGGACCAAGUAAUGUCUCAAAAAGAAAAAAAAAUGGUUAUCAAAUAUAAAAUUAUUCAAGACAAAACAUUCAAUGACUAUUGUUUAAUUUUGUCACUGUAGGUAAUUAUAUAUGAUAAAAAAAAAUGGUCUUAAAAUUAGCCAAAAGAACAAUAAUUUUGGCUACUAAUAUUUUGUGUCAUAGAUUGUGUAGUCAAUUUUACACCCCUCUUUUAGUUACCAAAUAAUUUGGUCGCCUAUAAUUAUAUUUCGUGACUAUUUAUUUUGUCAUAAAUAGUGAAAUAUUGUCUCAAAAUAAUCACUUUUGGAGGGAAGAUUUUGCGCCAAAAAAAUAUCUUUUGGUGACUAAAAUAAUUUUUGUCAUAAAAAAAAUUAAUUAAUGACCAAUGAACAAGUCUCAAAAUAAAAAUAAUUGGUUACAAAAAACAAUAUAAGUUAGGACAAGACUAUUAGCUACGAUUUUAAAAAUUUGUCACAAUAAAUACCAUUUUGUGACCAAAUUUAAAGUUGUAAAAAAUAUCAUCUUAAAAAAUCAAAUUUCUUAUAGUGGCCGAGGCCUAUGAUAGAGCAUAGCUCUAUGCCCAUUUACCUCUUCAACUGCCAUAGAGAACUAGAAUCCCACUUGCACCCAAAACAUAAAAACAAUGUACACUUGGCAUGAACUCUGAGAAAGCUACGUAAAAAUGAUUUGAUGGCCAAGGAUUACAACAAUUGUACAACCAAAAGAGGUAGAAAUCCAUGUCUAGUAUAGUGCCCUCGUUAACACCUCUAAAUACUGAGUCAAAUCAAUAGGAAUUUCAUUGUGGGAAAAAAAAAACUAUGCUACGAAUGGUCAGCCUUGCUAGCCUUUAUAAGCAACGCACACAGAUUAUAGAACGAUGCAGUGAUGCAAACCAAGAACUAUUAGGGUAUAGACAGUAAGAUUAAAUAGAAUAAUUUGAUUCCAUUUCUAGCAAACUUUGCCUAGAGACUUGUUAAAAUCUAAUCAGUAAACCUGCUAGAUUUGACAGGAAACAGGUAAUGUCAGGCAAAUCGCCUUCUCCUAUUUUAGGGCACUCAUGUAUAAUAGUGACUUUAAAAGUGUAAACAUAUUUUGAACAAUUUUAAGGAAAUUAAAACUAUAUUUGACACAUCACGAAAUGGCUAAGAUACAAGCUUCAAUUCCAGUACAACAAAUAUAACUUCAACUGUCAAUUGAAGGAGCGAGAUAAAGAGGAGAGACACGAAGCAAUAUACCAUUAUGAGAACAUUGCAGCAUACAAAAGUGUAAACGGCAGAGCAAUAUCUCAAAAUCAUGUCGUUUCCGAUGUGUGCUCAUUUGAAAGUGCAGAAAAACCACUCAAACAUGCCUGUACAAGGAAAGCCAUGUCAGCCACCAAUGUCGUAAUUACACCAAUUACGAGGCCCAAAACUCCAUCAGCAACAGUAGAAGAACCGAUGUCAACAUCAAUCUACAGAAAGUUUCUAGCAGUCACGAGCAUUAUCACGAUCAUCGUGCCGCAGAUUGCCCUAAAAACAAGACAAAUCAAUUUGAUCAGCUUGUUCUUCCUCUAGAGCUGCGAAUAAUUGAAAAAAAAAAGAUUAAUUCCAUAGAAAUCCAUUAAUGAGGACAUUAAUCCAAUAUAUAAAAAUGAAUAUUUAAGUUUGAAGCUCCUAGCUUGAAGCUUUCCAAAUAUAAAGUUACAUAGUGAAGGACAACAUUUGUCCAUGAGGUUUCUAAAAUGGCAACUUUUGCACAGUAAAAUUAAAACGGACGGCGGAAGCUCUAGAAACCUCGGAUCGGCUUCAUUCAAAAACGAAAAUCACGAGGAAAGAUUUAAGUUUAAUUAAAUCACUUUUAGUUUCAAAAACGGCUUCGUGAAGUAGAAGAAAAAGACUGAAAACAGCACGCUACGAACACUGUCCAGAAAAUAGAGCUCUGCACGAACAGCUUCUGUUUUGCCACGAUUUGAGAUCCUUAAAGCACCCCAAUUGUGAUGCCUCUAAUUAUUCCACACUUAGAAAUGUUCUAGGAGUUCAUAGGAUUUGGAAUCUCGAAAUUUCGUUUAGAAAUGAAAGAGAUAAUGAAAAAACAUGAAUGCUAGUUCAUGAUGAUUCAUUCCAUCAAAUAAAGCUACCAUUAUCUCUAAUAAUGGCACCAAACAUUAUCAUGUGCUAGACCCACCCACUUAGUUAUUAUUUAUUGAAAGUGAUCUUAUCACUUAAAUAAAUUAUUUAAUCAAAUAAAUAAAUAGCUAAAUUAAUUAAUUUCGUAAUUAAUUAAUUAACCCCAUUUUGAUCAAAUCAAAUGGUUAAAUGUGGGCUCAUUUUGUGACAUGUUCUAAUGCUUUCUCUUAAUCCAUAUUAGAUCUAAUAAAAGCCCAAAAUUCUAAACCCAAAAUUGGUCUAGAAGUCCAUAAUCAUAUAUGAACCGGAACAUGUCCAAAAUGGUCAUUUUACGUGCUUGAUAUUGCAUAAUGUUUAAUGGGGAUUUAUGAAAUUUAUUUUGUUCCUUAAACUAUUUAUGGAACAUCUAAAUUUCUAUCUUAAAUCAUAUUUAAGAUAUAUUUAUAUAUAUAUUCAUUCUUAAUGAAUUAUAAUAUAAAUAUUGAUUUUCCUAAAAUUAGGAAAUUUAACUUCUCAUUUUCUAGUAACUCCUUUUUCAUUUCUAUUUAGUGUGUGACCUUUCAGGUUCUUAGUUAUAAGGUAGUAGAACUAUUUUAAUGAUAACUCUUUAUUCAUUAAAUGAUGCUAAACUCUUUAGUAAUCAAUUAGAACUUUUCUAAUGACCUUAAGAUGCAUAGCUAAUAGGCUUUACCAAUAUUGAUCUUAAGGUUUCUAUAAGUCAUGAGUGACACCUAGCAGUAUAUCACAACUAUCCAAAUAACAAGAAUUGUUGGAUCUAUAAAACCUAUUUUAUUGUAUCUCUAUGUCUUGGUCUCUUCAUCAUCCAUGUCUAGAGAAAAGCACGGCUUAUGGUUUAUUAUGUUAAGCAGUUAUGAUUUAUCUCAAAAUAAAUCUAAAUGAACUUAACAUGAAAAUAUAAUUUGAACUCCUUCAAAUAUAUUUCACCUUGGCCAAGGAUUUCUCAUGCCAAUUCAUAUUAUCUCAUAGGGACAUCCUUUUUGUAUAUUACAAAGUGAUUAAUUCCAUAUUAGCCAUACACUUGUCUUCAUACAUAACCAACCAUGACAGCUAUUGCUAGAUCUCUUCCGUGAUUAGGAAUCCAUGAUUAUGCUUUCACAUAUCAGAGAUGUCUAUGUAUAAGACAUCUGUUAUGCCUCAAGUCUAAAGACCAUUAUUAAACAUAGUGUCUAUUACAAUGUAUAAUAAGCCAUUAACACUCAAAACCAUAUGACUUACUAUAUUUGGUCAUGUUCAGUAAACUCGUUCUCUCAACAAGUACCUAUGUGUUUGACUUGACAUGUCAUGUCAAUGAUAUGAAACUCACCAUCCAUUUUAGUAUCACAUACCAUAAGGAGUCAUAACACAUACUAGUGUUUAUAGGAAUUUAUAAUGUCCAAUCAUAAAUCCACCACUAGGAACUAUUUUAGAAGUAUAGUACAAAGGAUGCACGUUUCAUACUCUCGACAAACUCGAGAAUGUGUUCCUUAACUAUUUUACUUCUUGGACUAUAUUCAUUAAAUUAAUUUAUGAAUGUUGAUAACUUUGCCAUUUUAUAAAUAUCAAAAUGCUAUUCAAAUACAAUAAUUCCCUAAACAAACAAACACCAUUUGAUUGGCCUUUAGGGCAUAUUACUAACACAUAGCCCUUAGAAGGCCGAUUGCAAACAUCACCUUUCCCGGGGAUGGAGAGGAGGACGUCCUCAAGGAUAUUAUAAAGGGUUCUUAGUUUGAGUAGGUCAGUAUGGGUAGUGGCACACUUGAGGUAGUCAAUGGGAUAAGAAUCGGCCUCCAUCCUAUAGCCGAGGUUUCUUUUCUUAGAGGGUCGGCUCGGCUCAGAACUAUUCUCCUUGUUAUCACUUUCUUUUUCAGGGAUCCCAGCCCCCUCAGAACUGUGAUUCUCACCAGAAGCCGAUGCUUGUCCACCGCGAUUUCCCAUAGGUUCACAAUCAGAAGGAGGCAAAAUGGCCUUUGGACGGGGGUACUCAAGGGUAUCUCUAUUAUAAGAGGGACCUAUGUUACUGGAAGGAUUUUGGGGAUCAGUGGGUCUUAAUAAAUUGGGGUAUGAAUCUAUCUCUUCAUCACUCUCAUUUACAAUUAUUUUUCCCCUUCGUCUUGACAUAGUGAAGUCUUAAGAGAAAAAUAUAACAAAUUUAAGUAUAUGGGUACAAAAGUGUUGAGUGCGGAAUGCAGAAUCAAGCACACCAAAUAAUUAUAGAAAAAUAAUUGACACAAAAUUUAUGUGGUUCAGUAAUUAAACCUACAUCCACCGGAGCAAGAGAAAAAUAAUUGUAUUAUUAACAAUUAUUUGAGUACAAAUUUGAGUAAAGAAAUCUUACUUUCCCAUAACCCAAAUACACCCAGUACUCUCACACACACACUCUCCAAUUGCUCACACUUUCAGAACUCUCAAAAGCUUAAAAACUAAUAAGCUUAACAAAUUUUUUGGGAUACUUUAGAAUGAAGAAAUGACUUUAAUUUAUAGGCUUCAAGCUUGCACUAUUCCACUUAAUCCCUCUGCAAUUUGUCAAUCUUCAUCUCCAUCAAUUUGACAAAUUUUGCUAAAUUUUCCAUUUUUCUUCAUUUAGUGCAGGAUUGUCAAAUGCCAAAUAUUUUACAGCUUGCAGUUUUGGUGCCGACUUUGAAAAAACAAAAGCAAUGCAUGUGGCUCACUUUUCUUUUUCAACCAAUUUGAAAACACUCAUUGACUUUUCAACAAUUUUCCACCUCGGCGAAGAUUUGUUCAAAUAUGAGCCGACUCCCAACCAAUCAUCAUCCCCAAAGUGGCUGCAUCUCUGUGACUGCUACGUACACAAAAUUUGGGAUCAAGCCAACCGUAGUUCAAAAUUCCUGAAGGACAUAACUUAACAUAAUCGAAGGAUUUGAAUUAGUCUCAAGCAUUGUUGAAACUUAACUCCAGAAAUCACCUUUGUCAACAUAUCUGCUGGGUUAUCCUUGGUAUUGAUCUUUUUCAACAACACAUCACCACCCUCGAUAAUCUCUCUCACAUAAUGAUAUUUCACAUCUAUGUGCUUCGACCGAGCGUGAUAUGUUUGAUUUUUCGCGAGGAAUAUCGCACUUUGGUUAUCACAAAAGACCGCAAUGUUCUCUUGGAUUACUCCCAAAUCACAAAAUAAGCCUUUCAACCAGAUAGCUUCCUUUACAGCUUCAGUUACUACCAUAUACUCUGCUUCCAUAGUGGAUAGAGCAAUUGUCGAUUGUAGAAUCGACCUCCAGCUAACUGAUCCUCUACCCAAUGUGAAUACGUAGCCAGUUGUUGAUCUUUGCUUUUUAAGGUCUCCGGCGAAAUCAGAAUCACAAUACCCAACACAUUGUUGACCACAAUCCUUUUUUAACAAUAACCCAACAUCAACUGUCCCAUAUAGAUAUCGGAGAAUCCACUUUACCGCAAGCCAUUAAUUUUUACUCGGAUUGUGCAUGUACCUACUAACCAUUCUCACUGCUUGAGAUAUAUUGGGCCUUGUGCAUACCAUAACAUACAUAAGACUACCCACAACACUAGCAUAUGGAACACGAGCCAUGUAAUCGCGCUCCUCUUGAGAUUUAGGACAUGAAGAAGAGCUUAAUUUGAAAUGAGGAGUUAGAAGUGUACAUACCAGUUUAGUUUUGUCAUCCAUACCGAAUCUUUUUAGCACUUUCUUCAAAUAAGACUUUUGAGUCAACCAUAUGCUCCCAUUCUUCUUGUCUCUAUGAAUUUCCAUCUCAAGUAUUAUAUGUGCAUCACCCAAGUCUUUCAUCUCGAACUCAGAAGCCAGCUGCUUCUUUAAUCUUUCGAUCUCAUCUCUAUUCUUCAAAACUAUAAGCAUAUCGUUGACAUAGAGUAACAAAUAGAUGAAAGCUCCAUCUAUUAGUCUUCUAAAGUAAACACAAUGAUCGUGUUCACUUUUGGUGAAUUUCUGCCCUUGUAUAAAUUAAUCAAAUCUUUUAUACUACUGCCUUGGCGAUUGCUUCAGUCCGUAUAAAGAUUUAAUCAACCUACACACAUGAUUCUCCUUUCCAGUAACUUUGAAACCACAAGGCUGAAUCAUAUAGAUUUCCUCCUUCAAAUCUUCAUGUAAGAACGCCGUCUUAACAUCCAACUGAGCCAACUCUAACUCAUAUUCUGCAACUAAGGCAAGUAGGAUACGAAUGGAAGUAUGUUUUACAACUGGAGAGAAAACUUCAUUAUAGUCAAUACUUUCCUUUUGAGCAAAACCUUUUGCCACGAGUCUUGCCUUGUAUCGAGGAGUUGAUUGAUUUGGAGAUCCUUGCUUUUUGGUGUAGACUCAUUUAUUGCCAAUAGUCCUUUUCCCUUUUGGUAACUUUACAAGUUCCCAAGUCUGGUUUUGAUGGAGAGAUUUCAUCUCUUCCUCCAUGACUAACUUCCACUGAUCACUUUCACUGCUGCGUAAUGCUUCACCGAAAGUGUUGGGGAUGUCAUCAUCAAUAACUGAAAGUGCAUAGACUACCACCAUAUCUUUAGUAAGCCAUCCGGGUUUCUUUAUCUCUCUUCUUGGUCUCCUUGUUACUAUAAAAUCAUCAUUAUCUACAGCAUCAAUUGUUUCUUCAUUUUGUGGGACAUCAGAAGAAAUAACAUAUUCUUCAACUCUAGGUAUCACCUCCAUAGUUGAACCCUUAUUUGAUGUAGAACUAACUGGUACAUAUGGAGUUGUAUCAAACUUCACCAGCUGCAAUACCUCUUUGGUUUUGUUUUCCAUUUGCUGAGAACUUGAAGUUUUCAUCAUUGAAACUUCAUCAAAUGUGACAUCUCUGCUACACACAAACUUUUUGUCUUUGAGAUCCCAAAACUUAAAGCCAUUUACUCUACCUUUGUAUCCCACAAAAAUAGCUUUUCUAGCACGAGGAUCCAGUUUACCAUCUUUGACAUAAUAAUAAGCUAGACACCCGAAUAUACGAAGGGAAUUAUAGUCUUGUGCAUGCUUUCCAGACCACAUUUCUAUAGGAGUUUUACCUCCAAUUAUAGCAUAAGGCAACUAGUUUACCAAGUGACUUACGUAGUUCACAGUUUCAGCCCAAAACUUUUUAUCUAAACCAGUAUUAGAUAACAUACACCGUACUUUCUCCAGUAAAGUACGAUUCAUACGCUCAGCUACACCGUUCUAUUGCGGAGUAUGUCUCACUGUGAAAUGUCUUUUAAUACCGUCGUUCUGGCAUACUUACAAGAAUGGAUCAGAAGUAUAUUCACCCCCAUUAUCAGGUCGUAAUACUUUGAUUUUUCUGUCAGUUUAAGUCUCCACCAAUUUCUUCCAUUUCACGAAAAUCUCUAGAACCUCAACCUUUGCUCGCAUGGUGUACACCCACACACGUCUAGAGAAAUCAUCAACAAAUGUAACAAAAUAAUGGCUUCCACCAAUUGAUGUAGUCUUGGUUGGUCCCCAUACAUCACUAUGAACAUAUUCAAGGAUUUCACGAGUAUCGUGAUUAGCUGUACCAAACUUGACCCUUGUUUUCUUGCCUACUACACAAUGCUCACAGAAAUUUAAUUUAUAGGUUUUGGUACCUUUUAAGAGUUCGUGCCUCAUCAGAGUUUGCAAAGACUUUUUGCUAGCAUGUCCUAGUCGUACAUGCCAUAGCUUGGUGGUGUCACUAUGCGCCUCAAUAAUAUUUGCUUCAUCAGUUGUACCUCCCUUCAAAUAGUACAGAUUGUGACGCCGAACCCCUUGUAGAAUCACCAUAGCCCCAUGUGUAAACUUCAUUAUACUAUUUUCAAUGGUAGCCUUGUAGCCUUUAGCUUCUAGAGCACCCACAGAAAUUAGAUUUUUCUUUAAAACUAGAACAAAUCUAACCUCUUUGAGUUCUCUGACCAUUCCAUUAAACAUUUUGAGCCGAAUUGUUCUUAUCCCCAUUGUGCGACAAUGUUGAUCAUUCCCUAUCACAACUGCACCGGAUUUUAGAUUACGAGUAUUCGUAAACUAUUCCUUAAUAGGACACAAAUGAUAGGUUGCUCCAGUAUCAAGUAUCCACUUACUCGAACUAGCCACGUAUGCUGCAAGAGUAAUACUUAGUGAAUAAUCAGAAUCUUCAUCUUUCGUGCCAUGUUUGCUGCUGUUGGUUUUUUCCCAUCUCUGUUUUGAGCUUUUAGACAAUCUUUCCUCCUAUGAACCUUUUCAUGACAAAAGGCACACUCGUCUCGAGCUAUAUCUCUGCUUCUCGAUUUGGAUCGAGAAUUCUUUCCACCACCCUUUUUCUUUUUCUCCAUCGCCCAAUCUUUACUCACCAAAACUUCAGACGAUACUCGUUCAGAAUUUUUAUUAUUAUUCUGAAUCUCCAAGUUAGUCAAUGCUGUGCAAACAUCUUUGAAGAUGAUCACGCUUUUCCCAUAUAUCAAGGUAGUCACAAAAUGGCUAUCUUCCUCUGGUAGUGAGUGUAACAGAAUCAUAGCCUUGACUUCAUCCUUAAUAUCUUCAUCAAGAUUCUUCAAAUCAGCAAGUAACUUUUCAAAUCUCGAGACAUGAUCGUGCAUUGAUACCCCAGGCUUCAUUCGAAAGCCAUAUACUUGGCUCAUUGCAUGAAGACGAUUUUCAGGACUUUUCAGCCUAUACUUCUUCUCUAAUGUAUGCCACAAAGUCACCGCACACUCCUCAACUUUCACCAAGUAUUUUACCUCCUUGGUCAAAUAAGAUCUGACCUGACCACAAACUUUCUCGUUCAUACGAUCUCAAAUUUCUUCAUCAUACAAGUGUAUUUUAUUUUUCAAAACAAUAUCGAGAUCGAUUUGAAUAAGGGCAUCCAUAACUUCGCGCAUCCACAUGCCGAAAUUGAUUUUCCCAUCAAACUUUUCAACAUCGAUCUUCUGGCCUCCUAUAACAGGUGCUGAAUAGCGAUUUUACAAGUCUCGUCUCCCACUUGAAGUGUCUUCUAAAAUAGUCUCGAUAGAUCUCUCCUUAAUUCUGGAAGUUUCACCUUAUACCAUUUUCUCAACGAACUAUUUCCACUUGAAAAACAGCCUCUAUGAUGUUAAUUUCGCGUGAAUAAAUGUCCCAGGAAAGUUCCCUAAAGACUAGACGGGAACUCGGUCCUAAUUAAAAAUCGGAAUCCUUAGACUCUUAUCGCCUUUGUUGACAGAACUUUCAUAGACAUGUAAAAAUACACACUACUUACAAUAGACUGUCUCCCAAGUACAAAUGGCCGCCUCCACCGUAUUCGUGAAUAGUACUGUAUAUGUGAACAAUACAGUAUACUGGAAUAGUACUGUAUAUGUGAAUAGUACUGUAUCCCCCCAAGUACGAACCGUCGGCUCUGAUACCAGUUGUUGAGUGCGGAAUGCGGAAUCAAGCGCACCAAAUAAUUAUAGAAAAAUAAUGGGCACAAAAUUUACAUGGUUCGGUAAUUAAACCUAUAUUCACCGGAGCAAGAGAAAAAUAAUUGUAUUAUUAAUAAUUAUUUGAGUACCAAUUUGAGUAAAAAAAUCUUAUUUUUCCAGAACCCAAAUACACCAAGUACUCUCACACACACUCUUGGUAGUGUGUCUUUUAUGGGCACGAUCUGACUAGAAAAGAUACCGACCAGAAGUUCAUACUGACCAGGUACUUGUCACUCAAAGAGAGGACGUGAUCUCACAAACACGCGACAAUUUCACCACGCCCCAAACCGCUGGGAAAACACGACGCCCCACGAUUACCCACGUUCGGUUGUUGAAGACCCAUUAAGGCCCUUAACCACCCAAAUAUGACGAGCAUGGAAAAUACCCUGAAAAAGUGGGAUGAUUGCCUAUAAAAAGCGGAGAAAUCAAUGAAGAGGGGGAGAGACAAAAAGAGAGAGAGGGGAAACUCUGUCAAAUUGACUCCAGGCAUUGUUACAUAGCCACCUUAAAUACAUUUUAUCUUAAGAACAUCGCAAUGAAUGUGUGUGAGCAUAAAUCAUAUAGUUUUCCCGUAAAUUCCAUUUCCUGACUUAAGUAUCGGAGGGUUUAUGCCGGAAAAACCAUCAGCGUCUCUGAUUUGUUUUUGUGAAUGCAGGUUUAGAAAGAAAAGGGAGAGUGAUUCGGUUCCCAGGAGCUCGGGCAAUUACUAUAGCUGGUGGAGCGCAACCUCUUCUUCAUUGUCAACACACUUGUUGAUGAUCCCAUCUGGUCGGGCAAAAGGCGACUAGAUUUCAGCAUCAACAGUACGUUCAGACAAAACACCUACUCCUGUUUUAGAAACGGCCUCCUCUAUUUUACUGUUUGGUGAUUGCAAAAAUUUGUCUAAAUAAUGCAUAGUUGUAGAGUUAAGAAAAAAAGUUAUGUUAAAAUAAAGAAGCAUCAGAGAUCCCCCGAUAUUAUUAUCAUCCAGAACAAUAUGUUUAUUGGGCCAAAGUGGGCUAACAUACAUGGGUUCAAGCUUGCAAAAUCCACAUUUAUGUAUAAUUAUAUAGUAAUUAAAUACUGAAUUUGAACUCAUACAACUAUUCAAUCAUUUGGAUUUCAAAUCUGUGUUCAUUGAACUAAAUACUGUCAUGUAUUCGAGUGAACAGAUAAAGAAUUCACAAUCUGUUCUCAAUUUUGACUUCAUAAUAUUCCAGCUAUGGUCGCAUUUCUAUUACUGUAUGGUAAAUAUGACUUUUAAAUAAUUUUUUUGACAAAAUUAGUCAAGGUGCCAUAUGUGUAUCAAAUAAUAGUUGAUAAAAUCAUCUUAUAUUUUGAACUACAGAAGUAAGUAUUCAUCAAACACUUUAUAAUUGUCAGUCAAUGUUUAUGUGAACGUGACCGAAAAUGGUUACUAAGUGCAUGUUUGGGAGUUAGGAUUAAGUAUGGGAUUAGAAUAACUUUGGUAUUAAAUAUUUUAUCCCAUGUUUGGCUACUUUGCUUGGAUUGGAUUAAGGAGGACUAAAUUUAAAUUUAGGGCUUAAAUCAUGGGAUUAACAAUCGCAAUUUAUAAGUGGAUUUAGAUGGGAUUAGAAUAAGAGAAAAAAAUUUUGUUCAUGUUUCUUUCAUAAAUAACACUAUUUUUUAUUUGAAACCUAAAAUUUAAUUACUUAAUUUAUUAUUUUAUUCAUGAUUUACAUGAAUUUAUUUUUUAUUUUAUUUUUAUAGUCUAAUUACAUUGGUACUUUACUCCAACAAAAUUAACUAUUUAAUAAUUUGUUACAAUAAUUGAUUGUAUUAAAUUCAAUAAUCAACUAUGUAAUAUUAAAAAUAAUCAUAGAAAUUAAUAAUACAAAUAAAUAAUUGAUUUUGUAUAUACAUUAUUUGCUAACUUUUUGAUAAAAUAAAAUAUAUCUAAAAUAUCCGAUAAAAAUUAAUUAAAUAAUUAAAUAGUUUUAUUAAUUUAUAUUUGUUUAUUAUGAAUAUGACUACCCAAUAACUAAUUUACUACAUAUUUAAUGCUAUUGUUAAUUAUCUUUAAAUUAAUUUUAAUUAUUACUUUUAAAUAUUCUUAACUUUUUUUUUGUAUUUAAAUAUGAUUUAACAUUGUCUAAUUCGAUAUUGUACCAAACAUAGUACAAUAUAUAAUAUAAUCUAGCUUAAUCUAAUCUAACUUAAUCCAGUCCAAUCUUAAAAAUUAGCCCAAUUCAAUUCUACGUGUCAAGCACAACCUAAGAGUUCCUAGUGUUAAAAAUUUAACAUACCCACGAUCCAUUAAUGGGAUAAUUUAUUUUAUAAUAAUCAAAUUGAAGAUCAAUUUGUACGAUGAUGAGCUUUCAUGUUUCUGUCAAACAUGAAAUAAUUUUGUAAACAAUGGCCACGUGGAACUUAUAACCAAUCAUCAUUUGUUGAUAGACAAGUGAAAUAACAAAAAAGCAGCGGGUUUGGGCUUUCUCCAGGAAUCGGCUUAACACAAACAAUGUGGGGUUUCUUGAUCUUCUUAAAGAUCAAGCAUAUACGUAUACAUGUUCUAUACCUAUCAAUCAUUCCCCUAUUCUUCGGUUUGGUGAUUGCAAAUAACAUUCUUUGCAUCUACUCUUUAUUUAUUUAUUUAUUUUUAACUCAUUAAUUCUUGUUCUUCUUAAAGCGUUUAGUAAAUAUAUCAUCACCGGGUCAAAUCCCUAACAUUAACGUACACAUAAUCUAUUAAUGAAAUUUAUUAUUUUAUCAUAAUCAAAUUGAAGAUUAGUUCAUGCAGUUUUCUAUGAUGAGGAGUAUUCACUUUUCUGUUAAAUACAAGAACGAUUCGUAAAUAAUGUCCAUUUGGAACUAGUAAUAACGAAGCAUCAUUUGUGGACCGAAUAAAUGAAAUAACAUUUUAGUUUCUCUCUAAAAUGUCAUUCUUCAUUCAAGCUUUUGCUGCAUCUUUUAUCAGGCAUCUUAUAAAGCUUUUCCCUACUAAUACUAAUAAACUUUGUAAAUCAAUAUUCUUUUCAAUUUCACAGGACACAAGUAAUGCAUAUUCAAGCACAACAGGUAUUUAUUCGUUAGAAACUCCAACUUAAUUAUUUCAUUGGAAAAUAUGAAACGCAGAGCCAUAAACUAGUGCUUUCUUCAAUUUAAUUGGGUUGAACAAACUUUUUAAUGUAUUUUCCCCAAUCCAUUUCUUUUAUCUCACUGCAUGCUUUAUUAAAGCUUUGUCUUUGUUCUUGAUUGAUGACCUUCAAAAUUAAAUCUUAAAAAUCGGGUAUAAAAGGGGUGCUUGAUUUAAGUCUUCUUCUUUUGCAAUUCAUUGUUAUUGCUCUUUUCAGCUUUUUACUCGCAAAACUUCUUACUCACAAAUUCCUCUGCAGUUAACCGUGAUCUUUUACUCAUUAAAAUUGUUCUUAUUAAUUCUUUUUUAUAGAGAGAGAGAGAGAGACUCAAAGAGAAUUAAAAAAAAAGUAAUUCUAAAUUUUUGCUUGUGCAUUGUGUGAUUUUUACCAUUUUUAAAGUUGGUGAUUUGUAUUGAAUAAAUAAAAUAAUAAAUAGAUUUAUGGACUACUCUUUUUUGUUAUAAUAAACAUCAGAGGUCCUUUCCUGAUGUUUCAUUCCAUAAGAAUAAAUUAUAAUUUUAUUGAUAUAGUAACGUCAAUAAUAGAAAUCCUAACAAACAUACAAACUUUAGAUUAUGGAUUAAAGCACUACAAGGUGAAUGGAUCACAACAAAUUAUUUAUACUACAAGGUGAAUGGAUCACAACAAAUUAUUCUGACGAAAGCAUAAACAAGAUGAUUGAAUCAAGAGACUAUUACAUGGGAAACCAAUCCAGAUGAAGCCUGUGAUAAAGAAUAGCCGUACGCCCAUUUACCUCUUUAGCUAAGCUGCCAUACUGAAGGAGGCAAUCCCACCCGCACAAAACAUGAAAAACGAUGUACACGUGGCAUGAACUUUGAGAAAGCUACAUAAAAAUGAUCUGAUGGCCAAGGGAUACAACAGUUGUACGACCAAAAAGGGUAGAAAUCCAUGUCUAGUACACUGCCCUCUUCAAUACCUCUAAAUACUGAGUCAAAUUGAUAUGAAUUUCAUGGAUGAAACUAUGCAACAAUCGAUAAACCUUGCUGGCCAUUAUAAGCCUAUGCACACAGAUUAUAGAACGAUGCAGCGAUGCAAACCAAGAAUUACUAGGGUAUAGACAGUAAGAUUAAAUAGAAUAAUUUGACUACAUUACAAGCAAACUGUCACGGACCGCAAUCGUGGCACCCAAGAUAUGCGCUUGUACGCUAGUGUCGAUGAUGGUUGUUGAUGCUGAAAUCUGCUCGCCUUUUGACCGACCAGAUUCUUUCACCAACGUUUGUGUUAUCUACUGUUGCUCGUUCACUGGGAUUGGAUUCGUCCUCCUUUCUCUCAAUAGACCUGCGCUCACUAAAAACGGAUCAGAGACGCCGGUGGUUUUGCCGGCGUAAACCCUCCGAUGUCUAAGUUAGCUCAAGGUGUUUACGGGAAAACAGUGCAAUUUAGAUCUCAAAACGGUUUCUAAAUUAUUCGGAGUUUAUAAGAAAAUGGCCUGAUUGUAAUUUGGCAGCGUUUUCCCUCUCUCAAUUUUUUCUAUCCCCAUCUUCAUCGAUUUCUUCCUCUUUUAUAGCCGUUGUCCCCACGUUCCCAUUUGCCUUUCACCCUACCUUUUUCGGGUAGUGGCAGCCUCUCAUGGAACUCUAACCGCUGCAUUACGGGCAAACGUGGGAUCUCGCAUCCUCCGCAACGGUUCUGGGAACAGCGCAACUACCGCGAUUCUGUGGGAUCUGUUCCCGCUUUUUGGGGGACGGGUACCGGCUCGGUAUAUACCUCUGGUCGGUAUAUUUCCCUGGUUGGUAAUCGCCUCUGGUCGGUUCAUGCUUGUCCCCGUGUUCUGCUCGCACCAUUUGGCUAAGAUGAUCCAUGCCGGGGUGGAGAUUAGUAGCAUGGCCGACCUGGUGCUUUUAUUUACUUAACAAUGGUUGUGCUGAUUGUUGGAGACGUGCUUCAGGGGCGUGCGUGUUGGGAAUACAAUGCCCUAGACUCUUUGGAGUUCAGGCAGGCCGACCCGGUUGAGUUUGGGGAGCUUGUCGCUAGUCAAGGACUUAACGCUGAAGAGGGGUCUAGGAAAAUCCUGACGCACACUGGUUGGGAAUUGAAGCCGUUCUCCUGAUGAGCCCAAGGCAGGGCGAAACCAGUUGACAUUGUGUCACUUCCUCUAGGCUUACUCUCGUAGUAUGGGAUGCGGGAGUGCCGCACGGGCUCGAAACCUCUCGUCCCGUGACAAAUGGUAUCAGAGCCGCGCUUGUCAUCUCUCGAAGCCCUCGUCGCGAGCUCGCCAAGCGCUCCAAUGCCGCACCACGCGGGUCCCCACCCUUUCAGAUACAAGAGUUGACAAGCGGGACGAACAGGCGGGUUCUCACACCCCCAAGCGUUCGCACCAAGUGGAUGGUGUCUCCAUGCGGGUCCUCUCCAUGGAUUGAGGACGUGCAUGUAGGCAGGGAGUUCAUGGGUUGAGUUUGGCAAGUCGAUCUUCACAUUUUUGCGUGGAAGUGCACACUUGCGAGGCGUACUCCUCAUGCACGAGGACGUGCAUGGUUAUGGCGGUGGGAGAAUGUCACGGACCGCAAUCGUGGCACCUAAGAUAUGCGCUUGUACGCUAGUGUCGAUGAUGGUUGUGCUGAUUGUUGGAGACGUGCUUCAGGGGCAUGCGUGUUGGGAAUACAAUGCCCUAAACUCUUUGGAGUUCAGGCAGGCCGACCCGAUUGAGUUUGGGGAGCUUGUCGCUAGUCAAGGACUUAACGCUGAAGAGGGGUCUAGGAAAAUCCUGACGCACACUGGUUGGGAACUGAAGCCGUUCUCCUGAUGAGCCCAAGGCAGAGCGAAACCAGUCGACAUUGUGCCACUUCCUCUAGGCUUACUCUCGUAGUAUGGGAUGCGGGAGUGCCGCACGGGCUCGAAACCUCUCGUCCCGUGACAAAACGCUGCCUACAGACUUGUUAUAAUCUAAUCAGUAAACCUAUUCGACUUGCUAGGAAAAAAAUAGGGCUUUUUUGUUUUCAUUCCCCUUUGGUGAUUGCAAAAAUUUAAAUCUAAAUUUAUGGUGCAGGCUACAUGGCACCUAGUGGAUGAUUGUUAGGGUUUGUCUUUUGCUCUUAGUUAGGAAUUUAAUUAAGAAUUUAUAGUGUGCGCCUUAUCGAAGUAGGUUUCCUAAUAGUAAUUAAAUAAUCCAAAUUUAUGAUGCAUUAGCAUAUGAUUGUGAUAAAUAAGCUUUUUAUGUAUCCUGUAAGGCUAAUUACUGUUUUAUUAGAUUCUCUUGUUAGUCUUGUGAAUCAACGAGAUUUAAUUAGUAGUAGAUAAUACUUUAGGCUUCACAGGCGCACUAUUUUAUCCGCUAAAUCAAUUUUUUUUUUAAAUUAAAAACAAUUCAUCAAACACUUUAUAGUUCUAACUUUUAAGCUGGUAAACACUUUAAGCCACAACUUUAAAUUCAGUUUACGAGAAUUCCUAAUAGUCACAGUGGCUUGGGUGGAAAUGAAUAUAAAUAAUGAAAUACUAUCUAAGCAACUCAAGGGCGGUGAAUUGAGUUUCUAAAAAUUUUGUAAAACUUAAUUCAAAUAUGAAACGAAUUAAAACAACAGUAAGUAAAUCAACCAAAAUAUAAAAAGAUAGGGGAAGAGAGAUUCAAACACAGAGAUUUUUAUGUGGUUCGGCCAACCUCGCCUACAUCCACGCCUCCAAGCACACCGAGCUUGAGGAUUCCACUAGUCAUGCCUUUAAGGCUUCAAGAACACCUACAAUUGACUUCAAAGAUGUCAAUCAACCUUUACACCAAGAAAUUAUCCUCAAUCUCUUAACCCAAGUGUAUCCUAACACUUACAAUUUCUCAAUUUGAUUUAAAAAUAAAUACAAAAUAAAUCUCUCUCACACAAUGUGUUUGAUUACAAAUGAAAUUCUAAAGUGUGAAUAAAUGAGAUGUAUACAAGAAUUUAAAACUCAAUGAAAGUUGUAUGCUCAAUAAUUUGCUCAAUGAUAAUGGUUGGAAUCGUUGUUAUUUGAAUUUGAUUGAACUUAUUUAUAGUUGGAGCUGAAAUAUAGUCGUUAUUGACUUUUUGCUCAAUGUUGGAUUGCCGUUUUGACUAUGAGCAAGUUACCGUCGGACAAAAUUUUAAAUUCUCGGACCGUCGAUUUCAAGAUGUCGAAUCGCCGUUAAUGUCCAGAGGCUGCUCUUCAAUUCUGUUCAAUGUCGGCUAGCCGUUAUCAAGAGAUCGGUUAGCCAUUUGCUACAAUGACUGCUACAGUGAACUAUUUCUAAAAUUAUAAUUUGGCCCCAAAACUUUAUAAAAUUUACUAUGACCGAUAACUUUAUAAAAUUUUGUCAAAUAAGUCCAUUUCCAAAAUUUUAAGCAAUAUUUGCUAAUUUCAAAGUUCUCAAAACUUUUUCAAUUUAAAUCAUUAACAUGAAAAUAACUAAUAUCAUAAAAUUACUUUUCAUUGAAUAUAAAGCCUUAAUAUGAAAAAAAAAUAAUUUGAGCUUUUAAAUCAAGCUUAACCAAGUUUGUUAUCAUCAAAAUCAAUAUUAAAGAAAUAUUUAUGUUGACAAAUAAUGUUUAAUUUUAAUGUACAAAGCACUGGUGCAUUUAGAAGGUACUACUGUGUAAACAAAAUUUGUGCUUGCAACUCAUCUUUUCAUUCAACUUUCUAAUAAUAAUAAAAUAAUACAGAGGAGAAAUAGGGGCUCUCUUUCCGUUUCCCAGUGUUUGUGUUUGGUGAUUUUAACUUUAUCAUGGAAUUGUCAAUUUUUAGUUGAAAGUUAUCUAAAUCUUCUUCUCUAUAUAAGCGUUUACAAUGAUUUUGUGAAACACAGCAAAAACAAUAAUAAUAAGUAUAUUUAUUCAUCUAAGAGGUCAAACUCUCAUGCUCAGAUAUGGAUAGUCCCAUUUUUUGAUCAGGGACAUCUCUUUACAAGCGUUGAAUUAUGCAAGCAAAUCGCUCCUCAAAAUUACCAAUCUACCCUCAUCGUUACCUCUCAAGUACCCAUAACUAUAGUUACCCAUUACUCUCUUCGCCAAGGCACACAGAUUAAAGAAUGCUUAGGGUGAAGGCAGUAACUGUCCUGAAAUAUGACUUUUAAAUUUUUAUUUUUUUUUUACGAAAUUAGUUAAAAUGCCAUAUGUGUGAUCAAAGUUGUUAAAUAUCUUAUCUUUCAAAUUAUAGGAGUAAAUAUUCACCAAACACUUUAUAAUUUUUAGUCAAUGUUUAUGAAAACACGGCCGCAAAAUGGUUACUAAUGCUAGGGAUCAAUAAUCAAACUGAAGUUUGUACGAUGAUGGGCUUUCGUGUUUCAGUCAAAGAUGAAAUAAUUUGUCAAUAGUGGCCAUGUGGAACUUAAAACCAAGCAUCAAUUGUUGACAUAACAAAUGAAAUAACAAAAUGGCAGCGGGGUUGGCGAUACAAAAUCAAAUCUUUUUUAUUCUUUUGAUUUUUGAUUUUUUCUAUUGCAUUCUGCUUUCUUAAAAGUUUGGUCCAAUUAAAGAGAAUACGGAGCAAUGACUUGUAUCAUCUGUGGAAUAAUCCAUAGAAAUAUAUAUGUGAAGCACGCCAAAGAAAAUGGCGCUGAUGACAUACUCCUAAGAAUUGUUCAUACUGAGUCAUCCAUCAAUCAACGGGUGGAUUAUUAUCUCACUGUAGAUGAAAUUCAACUGCAGAAGUAAUCGGAUGUGGGAUCCCAAUUUUGGCGUGACCAAUUAGAGGUUAUCAAUAUUAUAAUGCGAAAUUGAUGAUCAAUCAUCUUAAUGUGGGGUACAUGAUUUCUGAUGAUCCAUCAAAAAUACAAAGUUGAUUCAAAAGGAUGAUACGGUGAGUGGAACAGACAGGCUGAUGGGAAAUCAAGCUAUUAAAAAACGAGCUCACAUGCUUCAUAUUGCAUUUGAUCAUGGCUGUCCUAGAAGUUCAGUGGCUGCUUCGGAUGCUUUCAAAGUUCUUAUUAACCAGAAAGCAGUUUAACAAAAACAAGUAUUGUGCAUAUUAUUAACCAUAUGCUUUCAAAGAUCAUGUAUAAGCAUAUCAGAGAUCUUGUUGGCUUGAAGAUCUUCUUUGGAUGCUUUCAAUACCUACACUUAUACUACCAUAUGUAAAGCCUUUGUUACUGAUUGCAUUCAAUUAUUCAAUUAAAAGUCUUACAAAGCAUCUAAAAUGGAAGAUGGAACAUCCUCCAUCCAAAAAACAAAACGGAAGUCAAAACGUUGAUAUUGUUUUAUGUUUAAUAUCAUGAUACUAGAACUUUUUAGGCUAAAGCACCUACCUGCUGUGAGCUUUACUACAAAAAAAUGAGACUAUUUAGUUGUGAGACAAAUAGAGAGGGAAAGUUUUUACCAUUUAGCUAAAUUUCGAUCUUAUGCAAAAUAAUAUAAUUCAUUUGUUAUUAUGACCUAACCAACUCAAAACAAAAAGGAUUAUUAUGGCCUAACACAGUUCAAAAUGCAUGCAACAAUGGUGUAUUUAAAAUGGAACUAAUGUACAAAUAAAAUUUAUGCAUCUCUUGGAGGAAGGCCUUUAGGCCAACAAAUGAAAAUAGUGAGCUCGCAUUUUCUAUUAUCAUUUUCACCACUUGAAAAAGAGAGGGAAAAAAAUUGAGAGGAAAAACAGGGCUCCCCUGUUUUCAUUUCCCAUUUUUUCAGUUUGGUAAUUGUAAAUAACAUUCUUUACUUCCCUCUUUAUUUUAUUUUUUUUUUAUUUUUAACUCAUUAAUUCUUUUUCUUAUUCUUGCUAAAGCGUUUAGUAAAUCUUAUGAUCAUCUGAUCAAAUCCCUAACAUUAACAUACCCAUAAUCUAUUAAUGAAAUUUAUUUAUUUUAUAAUCAUCAAAUUGAAGAUUUGUUCAAUUUUGUAUGGCGACCAAUUUUCAUUUUUCUAUUAAACAUAAGAAGAAUUUGUACAUAAUGUUCAGGUCGAAACUCGUAAUAACGACGCAUCAUUUUUCGACAGAACAAAUGAAAUAACAAAAAAGUAUAAAUCAAGUCAUUAUUGAUCCUACUUUGAUGAUCGAACUUUGGUUUCUUUCUAAGAUGCCAUUCCUCAUUCAAGCUCUUGCUUUUCUCUUUUAUCCGACAUCUUACAAAGCCUUGUCCCUACUAAUAAGCUCUGCAUAUCAAUAUUCUUUUCAAUUUCGCAGGAUACAAGUAAUGUAUAUGCCAAAAUUAUUCAAGCACAACAGGUAUUUAUUCGUUGAAAACUUUUAACUUGAUUAUUUCGUUAGAACAUAUGAAACGUAGAGCUAUAACUUAGUGCUCUCUUCAAAUUAACUGGGUUGAACAAAAAAUUUUAAAGUAUUUUACCCGAUCCAUUUCUUGUAUCUCACUGCAUGCUUUGUUAAAAGCUUCGUCUUUUGGUCUUGAUUCUGAACUUCAAAAAUUAAAUCUUAAGACUCGGGUAUAAAAUGGGUGCAUGAUUAAGUCUUCUUCUUUUCCAAUUCAUUGCUAUAACUCACACCAACAUUUUACUCAGACAUUCCUCUGCAGUUAACAGUGGUCUUUUACUCAUUAAAAUUUUUCUUAAUAAUUUCUUUGGAUACCCGUUCUCACUUAAUAUUCAAGGCGAAUAGAGAAGCUCAUCAACUCUUUGAUCCCAGACAAUUAAAGAAGUACACAUGUUCUAAAUCAUCUAAUAAUUUCUUUUAAUAGCUGUUCUUAAUUUCCAUCUACUUUGCAAGAAAAAAUUUAUCUUGUUUGUUUUCAUCUUGUCAUCUAUUUUGCUUGAGUUUUAAGUUAUUGUUCAUUUGUAAUGUCUGUGUUCUUAUUAUUAGCUUUGGAUAAUUUGCAUCCAUGUCUUUUCUUUGUUUGUGGGCUUUUAUUCAGACCCCCUGAAACCUUUCUGUUAAUAUAAAAACUCUAAUCCUUGAGCAAAAGGUUAAAAAAAGAAAAAGAAAGAAUUCUCUGUUUAGAUAUCAGUUGGGUUAAGAACAAUGUUGUUUGUCUCCUGUCUUUUCUUUGUUUGUUUGUUUGUUUAUUUUGUCAUUUUAUUAGAUUUGCUUUGUAUCUAAUUUUACUUGAAGAUUAAAGCUGAGCGAGAAAUGCCUUUUUUUUUUUUCUGAAGCAACCUACAAAUUUUAGAAUAGGGCCAAGAGUAUUAAAGAUUCAAUUAACCGCAAAAAGUUAUUUACAUGCAUCGCUUGCAAACUUAAGCUUAUCAUCCCAAAUUGAGUUGCUUGCAUUAGAAAUUUUCAUGCAUUCACGAGCAUUAUCAUCAUAUCACAAGAUAGCCUGAAAAACAAGAUAAAUCAAUUUGAGCAACAAGUUUCCUCUGUUUUCGUUCCUCUGUUUUCAUUCCCUGUUUAUUGAUAUUUUUUUUUUUUUUUGGCCUGAAAUUAAGAAGAAAAAAGUGGUAAAACAAGUCACCACUGUUUUUAUUCCCCUGUUUUUCGUGGAAAGAAUAAAUGAAAUUGAAAAAAAAAAAAGCAGCGUUGGCAAUACAACAUGAAACUUUAAAUUUUUAUUUUAUUUUUAUUUUUGAUUUUGAAUGUGCAUAAGUCAAAUCAUAUAUUAUUGAUCUUACUUCGAUUAUUUGCUGUUUAGUUUCUCUCUUAAAUGCUUUUUGUUUGUUUCCGGUAUUUGCUUUUAUAAAAGUUUUAGUCCUCAAUCAUUCGUUCAAGGAUUUGCUUUCUCUUUUAUUAGGCAUUUACAUUGCUCUGUCGAUCAAUAUUCAUUUGAAUUUCACAGUACACAAGCAAUGUAUAUACCAAAACUUAAUUAUUUCUUUAGAAUAUAUGAAAACGUAAGAGUUGUGAACUACUGCUUUCUUCUUCAACAUGCGUCAACAGGGCAACAAUAACCAAAUACAUGAUAUACAAAAGCGGUGCAUGACUAAUUCUUUUUCUUUUGCAGGUCAUUGUUAUUGCUCUCGUCAACUUCUUUUCUCACACAUUUCCCAGCAGUUACCAGUGAUCUUUUUUCUCCUUCAACUUGUUCUUACAUAUUAAAGGCGAAAUAGAAAAGCUCACCAACUCUCUAAUCCCAGAUAAUUAAAGAGGUGCACGUUUUCUAAAUCCUUUAACUUUUUUUUUUUUUUUUUUUAUAGUAGAACCCCUGAUCCUUGAUCUUGACAUUUGUUCCUUCAUAAUUUCCAUCUACUUUCCAAGAAAAAUUUCUCUGGUUUGUUUUAAUAUUAUAACUUAUUUUGCAUGAGUUUUAAGUUACUAUUCAUUGUUAAAGCUUGUGCUCUUAUUAUUUCCUUUGGUUAACUUGCAUGCUUUUCCCCAAAAAAAAGAAAAAAGUUUAUAAAAAGAUUAUAGGUUUUUACUCAGACCCUUGAAACCUUUCUGAUAAUACCAAAAACACUAAUCCUUUAACAAAAGAAAGCAAGAAAAAAAAAGGUCCUAUAUUUUAAUAUCUGUUGGCUUUGUAUUGAUAUUGCUUGUUUGUUGUCUUUUAUUUCAUUGUUUGUAUCUAAGUUUACUUGAAGAUUAAAGAUCAGUAGGAAAAGCCCUUUUUAUAAAGCUAACAUACACAUUUUAGAAUAGGGCUCAACCGCAUGAAAAUAUUUACAUUGUAGUAUCUCAUAUUAAUAAUCUAAAAAAAACCAAUCCAACAAGUUCAAAUUCACUGAAAUCUAAAAAAGAUUGCUUUUAAGGAGUACAUGAUAGCUAUUGAAUUUUGGUUAAAGAUCUUUUAGGCAGAAUUGAAAUUCACUCAGUCAUAAAUCAACCAAUCCAACGAGUUCAAGUGCAGAGUCAAUUGAACAAAUUCAUCACUUGCAGAAUUAAGCUUAUCUUCCGCAAUUGAGUUGUUUCCAUUAGAAAUUUUCCCGCAGUCACGAGACUAUCAUCAGAACAUGAUUAUUUAUAUAAGAACAAGAGUUAAGAGGAGAAAAAUAAGGCAAAACAAGAUUCUUCUGUUUUCAUUCCCUUUUUUUUUUUUUUGUUUGGUGGUUGAAAAAUUUUAUCUCUAAAUUUUUAUAAUUUUUCGUUAAAGUUUAUAUUUAAAUAAAGGGUUAAAAAAAUCUAGUUCUAAAUUUAUGCAUUGAAUGAUUAUUAUUAUUGGUUACGAUAUCAAUUAAAUAACAAAUAGAGCUACUAAUCACUUUGUUAAAAAUGAACAUGCGUUCUGUUUAUAUGACAGAGCAAAACACGGGGUGCACGCUUAAGUCUUGUUCUUUUACAGUUCAAUUGUAUUACUUACUCUCAUAAACUCUUUACUCACAUUCCUCUGCAGUUAACCGUGAUCUUUUGCUCAUUAAAAUUUUUCUUAUAUAUUCAAUGCCAAUAGUGAAGCUCAUAAACUCUGUGAUCCUGAAUAAUAAAAGAGGUGAACUUGUUCUAAAUGAUAGCUAUUCAACUUGGUUAAAGAUCUUUUAGAAAGAGUUCAAAUUCAGUCAAUCAUAACUCAACCUAUCCAACAACUCCAAGUCUAGAGUCGAUUGAGCAAGAUUCAUCACAUGCAAAAUUAAGCUUAUCAUACCCAAAUUGAGUUGUUUCGGUUAGAAAUUUUCCAGCAGCCAUAAGCAUCAUCAUUGUGUUUCCGUUAGGAAAUUGAGUUGCUUAUCAUACCCAAAAUAUUUAUAUAAGGACAAGAGUUAAGGAAAAGAUCCCUCAAGGAAAAGGUCCCUCUGUUUUCAUUCCCCUGUUCUUUCGUUUAGUGAUUGAAAAAUUUUAUAUCUAAAUUUUAUUAUUUUCCAUUGAGGUUCAUUUAAAACAGAAAAGAAUUAAAAAUGUAAUUCUAAAUUUACCCUAAUUCACGGAGUGAUUAUUAUUAUGUUAUCUCAAAAUUGGCCAUACGAAUUAAAUGACUAAUAGAGUUAUUGACAAUUUUGUUAAAAAUGAACAACCGAUAAGUCAUUAUCUUUUGCACUUCAUUCUUAUUACUCUCAUAAACAUUUUAAUCACAUUUCUCUGUAGUUAACAAUGAUCUUUACCCAUUAAAAUUGUUCUUACAUAUUCAUGGCAAAUGAAGAAGCUCAUCAACUCUGUGAUCCCAGAUUAUUAAAGAGGUGCACAUGUUCUAAACCCUUUAAUAGUUUCUUUUGAUACCAUAAUCUAAUCCUUGAUCUUGAUAAUAGUGCUUUCGCAACAUCCAAGUAAAAAUUUCUCUUGUUUGUCUUAAUCUUGUCAUUUAGGUUUCUCGACUUUUAAUUUAUUAUUCAUUGUUGACUUCUGUGUUCUUAAUAUUAGCAUUCGUUAACUUACUUAAAUCCAUCCUUUUCAACAGCCAGAAAAAUAUAUAUUGUUAAGCAACAGGAGAUGGCAGAAGUAUGUCUUGCUAUUUUUUCCUGCGUAUCAGAAGGUACAAAGACAUUGUCUGAACCGAUUAUAGGGCAGAUGUCUUAUGUGCUCAAGUGCCAGAGCUACAUAGAUGGGCUAAAAGACCGAGUAGAGGAGCUGGGACAAAGAAGAAAAAGGGUGGAAAUACUGGUUGAUCAGGCUCCUGGACAAGGAUAUAAGAUUUUUGGGGAUGUCACAGAGUGGCUAGGGAAAGUUGAGCAAUUCACUCAAGGGUAUGCAAAACACAUCAUUAAUGAUGAAGAUGAAGUUAGGAAGCCCUGCUUUAAAGGAUUGUCCCCAAAUUUGAUGUCUCGUUAUAAACUCAGUAAACGAGCAGUGAAGGCUGCAAAAUAUGCUGAAACUCUCUUGGCAACAGGCAACUUAUGGAUCAUGAGUAAUGUUUCCCACCCUCCUUCCCCAAAGAUGAGAGAAUUUGGCAACAUGAAAGAUUACGAUAUCUUUAAUUCGAGAAAGAAAAUAUUUCAAGAUGUUAUAGAGGCGUUGAAAGAUGAUAAGCUCAACAUAAUUGGGGUCUGCGGAAUGGGCGGCGUGGGUAAAACCACGCUAGUCAAGCAAAUUGCAAAGCAAGUUAUGGAAGAUAACGUGUUCGAUAAGGUCGUUAUGGCUGAGAUAACAAAGAACCCAGAUGCUCAAAAAAUUCAAGGAGAACUCGCUUCCGAUCUAGGCAUGAACUUUGACUCGAAUGAUCACAUAUACCACAGAGCAAAACAACUAUGUCAAAGAUUGAAGAAAGAGAAGCGAGUCCUCAUUAUAUUAGAUAAUAUUUGGACAAAACUUGAGUUGGACAAAAUUGGAAUUCCUUAUGGGGAUGUUGAUGAGAAAGAUAAAAAUGAUGAUCCGAGAAGAUGACGAUAAUAUUGACGUCUAGAAGUCGAGAUUUAUUGUGCAUUGAUAUGAAUUCUCAGAAAAUGUUCUGGAUCGAUGCUUUAUCAAAAGAAGAAGCAUUGCAGUUAUUUGAGAAGAUAGUGGGUGAUUCCACAAAAGCAUCUGAUUUUCGACCUUUAGCAGAAGAGAUUGUUGGAAAAUGCGGAGGAUUGCCUGUUGCACUGAGUACAGUUGCAAAUGCUCUGAAAAAUAAGAGUCUUGCCAUUUGGAAGGAUGCGUUGAAUAAGCUGACAAGUUCCAAUCUAAGAGAAAUUCAUGGUAUGGAUGCAGAUGUGUAUUCUUCUAUAAAAUUGAGUUACGACUUCUUGGAUGAUGAAGCAAAAUCUUUGUUCCUUCUUUGUGGUCUGCACCGUGAAGGUCGUCCUAUACACGUACAUUACUUACUGAGAUAUGUUAUGGGAUUGAGAUACGAUAAGGGUUUGGGUCUAUUUAGAAAUGUUUACACAUUGGAAGCAGCAAGGAAUAGAGUGGAUGCAUUGAUCGACAAUCUAAAAGCUUCAUGCUUAUUGUUGGACGGUGAUGCUGAAGAUGAAGCUAAACUGCAUGACGUCAUUCAUGUUGUUGCUGCAUCAAUUGCAGAAGAAAAGCUUAUGUUUAAUAUUCCAAAUGUUGCUGACUUUGAGAGAGAGAUGGAAGAGACAAUACAGAAAGGUCCAAUUGCUAUUUCUUUACCUUAUAGAGAUAUUCAAGAGCUCCCUGAAAGGUUGGAAUGUCCCCAACUCAAGUUAUUUUUGUUGUUUGCAAAGUACGAUAGCACUUUGCAAAUUUCAGACCACUUUUUUGAAGGGACGGAAGAACUCAAAGUCUUAGAUUUUACUGGAAUUCGUUUCUCUCCAUUACCUUCAUCACUCGGUCGCCUCAUUAACCUUCAAACAUUGUGUUUAGAUGGUUGGCGACUAGAAGAUAUAGCAAUAGUUGGACAGCUAAAGAAAUUAGAGAUUCUCAGCCUUCGAGGUGCCGAAAUUAAGCAGUUGCCACUUCAGAUUGGACAAUUGACAAGGUUACAGUUGCUAGAUUUGAGCAAUUGUAGCAGCCUUGUGGUGAUAGCACCAAAUGUCAUAUCGAAAUUAUCUCGAUUGGAAGAACUAUAUAUGGGUGACAGCUUUUCACAGUGGGACAAGGUUGAAGGAGGAAGUAACGCCAGUCUUGCUGAAUUGAAGGGGCUGUCAAAGCUAACUACUUUGGAGAUAGAUGUUCGGGAUGCUGAAAUGCUGCCGCAGGAUUUGGUCCUUGGGGAAUCGCUAAGAUAUAGGAUAUGAAUAGGAGAAGUGUGGGGCCGCUGGUCUGUUAAAUCUGAAACAUCAAGAUUGAUGAAGCUUCAGGGGCUAGAAAAUAUUAGCAUUCUUUUGAGGAAUCAUGGAAUGAAAAUGUUGCUGAAGAAAACUGAAGAUCUCUAUCUACAGGAACUGAAGGGUGUAAAGAAUGUUGUUCCUGAAUUAGAUGAUGGGGAAGGUUUUCCACGAUUAAAGCAUCUUCAUGUAGGAAAUUUUGCGGAGCUUUUACAUAUUGUCGGUUCAAUUCAUUGCAAAGUCUUUCCCCAGCUAGAGUCAUUGUCUCUUUUUGGUUUGCUUAAUUUGGAGAAGAUAUGUUACAGCCAAAUCACAGAUCAAUCUUUUAUCAACUUAAGAAUCUUUAGCGUACGUAAUUGUAACAAAUUGAAGCAUCUCUUCUCAUUCUCUAUGGCCAAAAGCCUAUUGCGGCUUCAACAAAUAAAAGUGGGUCUUUGCAACAACCUGGAAAUGAUUAUUGGUAAGUGUUGGAAGUAUUUUGAGGAAUUAUAAAAAGCUACUAUUACUUAAUGACAGAAGUUAAUUAUUAAUUUUGUUUCUAGGACUCAACAAGGAGACAAGUAAUUUCGGUUUUAAAGAAAUCAUUGCAGAGGAUGAUCCUGUUCAGAAGGUGAUAAUUUAUGAUCCUGUUCAGAAGGUGAUAAUUUUCUCUUUAAUAAUUAAUUAAUAUAUUAUCAUGAUUUAUUUCAAUCAUCAAAAGAAUAUUAGAGAGAUAGGGAGGGGGAAAAAAAAAAAAGCUUACGGUUUUGCUUUGCAGGUCAUUCUUCCAGGCUUAGAGGAGUUGGAACUUGAUAGAUUAGCAACCAUUGAAAAAGUAUGGCCGGAUCAGUUUGAGGGAAUGUCUUGUUGUCAAAAUUUAACAAAAGUGACCGUGGAGAGGUGUCAUCGCCUGAAGUAUCUAAUAAAUUUGUUGACAUUCUCAAUGCCUGAAAGUUUUGUGAAUCUUGAAAUAAUGAAGAUAGUUGAUUGCAAAAUGAUAGAAGAAAUCAUAAAAUCACAGGUUGGAAUAGAAGCGAAACAUUGUAUUGUUUUUAGGAAAUUGAAGUACUUGAGGCUUGAUUGUUUGCCAAGCCUGACAAGCUUUUCUUCGAGUAAUUACACUCUUGAAUUCCCCUUCUUGAAACAAGUAGUUGUGAGACAGUGCCCAAAGAUGAAGAUUUUCUCUCAAGGAGGACUCUUACACACACCAAUGUUGAACAAAGUGCAACUCACUGAAGAAGACGAUGAUGAAGGGUACUGGGAAGGCGACCUCAAUAAUACCAUACAAAAGUUGUACUACAAAGAAGUGGUGAGUAUUAAUUAAGCAUUGGUGCUAGGCCACUAGCUUUAUUUUAUGAAUAACACAGGAGCCCUAACCACAUAAAAAUUAUCUUAUAUAAAGUGGUGAAAUAAUAUGGUAGGUUGACAUAUAUAUACAUGUAUGUAUGUAUGUAUGUAUCCACGUAUAUGGCCCAUGUUUUGUUUUACAUUUAACCAGUCAUAUUAUGUUACAUCAAUUUUUAUAACAUUAUUUAGAUAAUAGUGUCUGAAACUGUAUCAUUAUUCUUGAUUUAAUUUUGUUAUUAGUUUUUUUUUCUAUUAUUAGUAUUAUCAUUAAAAGGUAAACGUUUUCUUACCCACCUCAUAAAUUAGCAUGCUUUAUUUUGUCUUUAACUUAUUGAAAACAUUAACCCACGCCCAUUUAGCGUUAAAAGUACAAAAUGUUUGCCGAAGAAUAUCAUCAACACAGGCCCCUAUUCACGCUAUUCUUUUGGAUAGUAAAUGGGGGUGCGUUGAUGUUAUCAUUAAUUUGGUAGACAUCGGGAAACUGUAAUAAUAUAAAAAACAAUUGUGUGUGUCUAGUGAAUUUUUUUUUGGUUUGUGCAGGAUAGAGUUCGUGAAAUGACGAAGUUGGAACUCUCAAACUUUCCACGUUUCAGAGAAAUGUGGCAUGCCCAAGCACUGCCUGUUAGCUUCUUCAGCAAUUUAGUAAAGCUAGUGAUGGAUGACUUCAAGAAUAUGACUACUGCUAUUCCAGCCAAUCUUCUACGGUGCUUGAACAAAUUAAAAAUUCUGGAAGUGAGGAAUUGUGAUUCAUUAGAAGAGGUGCUCCAUUUAGAAGAGCUAAAUGUUGAUGAACAUUUUGGCCCUCUGUUUCCUGUUCUUGUCCAGCUAGAGCUCAUUAAUCUUCCAAAACUCAAAAGAUUCUGCAGCUUCAUUGGGAAUGUUAUUGAACUGCCUGAGUUGUUGAAUCUGAACAUUGAGAAUUGCCCUAAUAUGGAAAUAUUCACUUGCAAUUCUAUAUCUAUAUUGCACAGGACAACAAAUAAAGAACCUCUGGAAAUAACACCAAAGGAGAACUUCCCGCUAGCUGACAUACAGCCUCUCUUUGAUGAAAAGGUGAUUGUUAUUAAGUUUUUUUUUUUUUUUUCCUUCGCUUUCAUUCACAUAGAUGUAAUUCUCAUUAGAAUUAAAAUUAAUUUUAUUUAAUGAUCUUUCUGUUGUCUUUACUCUUUAUAUCUAAUCUAACGGUUCUAAUGCAGUUAUUAACUAAAAUUUCAGUAUACACUCAUAAAAAUGUCAUCAAAUUAGUUAAAUGAUUGGUAACAAGGGGUGAACUCUAUCCAUAUUAUCUCUAUUCAGAUUUGAUUUAUGUGCUUCAAGGGUAACUAUUUGAAUUUUAUUUUUUGGUUCCUCCGCAACUAAAUACAAUUUGGAUAUAAAAUGCUGUCGUCAAUCUUUUCCAUGAAACUGCUUACGAAGACUGCCGACGUUAGAUAUAUGUUCUCAUUUACAACUUUUUUUUUUCCAGGUUGCAUUCCCCAAGUUACAUAUGUUGAACCUGUCUAGAAUACCCAAGGUGUCGCAUCUAUGGAAGAAAAUUUCCGAAUCCAACGAAGUUUCCAAGUUUUUGAAUACUCUAGUAAUAUCAGAAUGUAGUAAGUUACGAAAAUUAGUACCAUCUUUGUUGCAUUUGGAAUAUCUGGCGACUCUAGAAGUGUCGAAGUGUCACGGGUUGACAAAUUUGUUGACGAUCUCAACAACUAAAAGUUUAGAACAUCUUUUAGUAAAUCUUGAAAUAAUGAAGAUAGCUGAUUGCAAAAUGAUAGAAGAAAUCCUACAAUCACAGGUUGAAAAAGAAGAAGAAAUCCUACAAUCACAGGUUAAAAAAGAGGAAGAUUGCAUUGUUUUUGGGAAAUUGAGGUACUUAGGACUUGAUUGUUUGCCAAGCCUAACAAGCUUUUAUUCGGGUAAUUACACUCUUGCAUUCCCAUCCUUAGAAGAAGUAGUUGUGAGACAGUGCCACAAGAUGAAGAUUUUCUCUCAAAAAGGGCGCUUACACACACCAAUGUUGAACAAAGUGCAAUUCACUGAAGAAGAUGAGGAUGAAGGAUGCUGGGAAGCCAACCUCAAUGAUACUAUAAAAAAAUGGUACUACAAAGAAGUGGUCAGUAUUAAUUAAGCAUUGGUGCUAGCUUUAUUUUAUCAAUAAUACUAGAGUCUCAACCUCUUAAAAAUUAUUUUAUACAAAAUGAUGUGAUAUAAUAUGGUAGGUUGUGUGUGUGUAGCCCGCGUUUUGUUUUUUGUUUAACCAAUCAUAUUAUUUUAUAUCAGCUUUAUAACAUUAUUUAGACAAUAGUGUUUGUAACUAUAUCUUUACUCAUUAUUUAAUUUUGUUAUUAGUUUUGUUACUGUUAUUAGUAUUAUUAGUAGUAUUAUUAUUAAAUGGUAAAUGUUUUUACCCAGUACCCACCUCAUAAAUUAACAUUCCUUAUUUUUGUCUUUAACUUAUUGAAAACAUUAACCCAUGCACAUUUAGCUUUAAAAGUACAAAAUGUUUGAUUAAGAAUAUCAUCAACACAGGCUCCUAUUCACUAUAUUCUUUGAAUAGUAAACGGGGUGCGUUGAUGUUAUCAUAAAUUUGAUGGACAUCUGGAAACUGUAGUAAUCUAGAAAACAAUUGUGUCCAUAUAUAUAUCCACUACAGUUUUCCUCUUUUUUUGUGGCUUUUGCAGGAUAGAGUUCGUGAAAUGAUGAAGUUGGAACUCUCAAGCUUUCCACGUUUGAGAGAAAUGUGGCAUGCCCAAGCACUGCCUGUUCGCUUCUUCAACAAUUUAGUAAAGCUAGUGAUGGAUGACUUCACGAAUAUGACUACUGCUAUUCCAGCCAAUCUUCUACGGUGCUUGAACAAAUUAAAAAUUCUGGAAGUGAGGAAUUGUGCUUCAUUAGAAGAGGUGCUCCAUUUAGAAGAGCUAAAUGUUGAUGAACAUUUUGGCCCUCUGUUUCCUGUUCUUGACCAGCUAGAGCUCAUUAAACUUCCAAAACUCAAAAGAUUCUGCAGCUUCAUUGGGAACGUUAUUGAGCUGCCUGAGUUGUUGAAUCUGAACAUUGAGGAUUGCCCUAAUAUGGAAAUAUUCACUUGCAAUUCUAUAUCUAUGUUGCACAGGACAACAAAUAAAGAACCUCUGGAAAUAACACCAAAGGAGAACUUCCCGCUAGCUGACAUACAGCCUCUCUUUGAUGAAAAGGUGAUUGUUAUUAAGUUUUUUUUUUUUCCCUUUGCUUUCAUUCACGUAGAUGUAAUUCUCAUUAGAAUCAAAAUCAAUUUUGUUUAAUCAUCUUUCUGUUGUCUUUACUCUUUAUAUCUAAUUUAACGGUUCUAAUGCUCUUAUUAACUAAAUUUUCACUAUACACUUAUGAAAAUGUCAUCAAAUUAGUUAGAUGAUUGGUAACAAGGGGGAGAACUCCAUCCAUAUUGUCUCUAUUUAGAUCGGAUUUAUGUGUUUCGAGGGUAACUAUUUGAUUUUUAUUUUUUGCUUCCUCUGCAAAUAAAUAGAAUUUGGAUAUAAAAAGUUGUGAUCAAUCUUUUCCAUGAAACAUGCUUGUGAAGACUGCCGAUGUUAGAUAUAUAUUCUUAUCUACAACUUUUUUUUUUAUUUAAUUUUCAGGUUGCAUUCCCCAAGUUAUAUAAGUUAAAACUGACUAGAAUACCCAAGGUGUCGCAUCUAUGGAAGGAAAUUUCCGAAUCCAACAAAGUUUCCAUGGUUUUGAAUACUCUAGUAAUAUCAGAAUGUAGUGAGUUACGAAAAUUAGUACCAUCUUUGUUGCAUUUGGAAUAUCUGAUGACUCUAGAAGUGUCGAAGUGUCACCGGUUGACAAAUUUGUUGACGACCUCAACAACUAAAAGUUUGGUGAAUCUUGAAAUAAUGAAGAUAGCUGAUUGCAAAAUGAUAGAAGAAAUCCUACAAUCACAUGUUCAAGAAGAAGGGAAAGAUUGCAUUGUUUUUCGGAAAUUGAGGUACGUGGGACUUGAUUGUUUGCCAAGCCUAACAAAAGCUCAUGCCUUGUUGAUGGAUGCUGUAGAAGAAGGACUAUAUUGUUGUAGCAACAAGCCUGCAGAAAAUCACAGAAUACUUAUCUGUAUAUGAACAAAAACAAGUCUGAACCAGAGAGAAUGUUGUAGUAACUAUUGCAAAAAUCUAGAUCAAAUACAAACAAAACUGUCUAGAUUGUUCAUGUGCUAACUAAUAAAGUCUACUGCAGUCGAUACUGAACUACCACUAUCAUGUGCAGACAACAGAGUGGCAGGCAGCACAAAAGGGAAUGUGCUCCUAGGAUGCCAAAAAACACAAGUGUCCUAAUGCUUUUUAGUUGCCCAAAUCCCAAGAUAUAAAAGACCAUAUUUUAAGGAAAUACAUCAUCCACGACCGACACAUGCAAAGAGAACAGAAAGAGAGAUUUCAGAGUUGCAAUAGAGGCAUUUUUCGUGUUGAAAAAUGAGAGAUAAUAGAAGAUCAAAGCAUGACGUUUUGGGUCUUUUGUAUCUCAACGUUUUUUCUUGUAUUUGUUUAUUUUGUUCUCUCUCUGAUAAUGUAUUUAAUGGCAGACACUUGUGUUGUUACUGUUUCAAAGCUCAUCAUGAGCUAAACCUUAAUUUAGUUGGGUUUUGAAUAUGCUUAAUGGUUAUUUAAUUUACAUGUGUAUGUUGCUCAGAACCUGUUAUAGCAUUUUGUUUUAACUUUACUUAUUGUAAUUGCCUACCUCGGUUGACUACCUAUUUAGUGGAUAUUAGAUAAGAAGGAGCCUAAAAGGUUUGACUUAGUGGAAUAAAUUAAGAAAUACAUGGUUCUAGAUUAGGAUUCCCAAGUUGAGUUAAUCUCGAUUUGAAUAGGGCCAUGCUUAAUCUAAGAUUAGUGAAGAACUAGAUUUAGGGAUUCACCUUGUAGGGCAAAUAGAGUCUAAAACAUAAAAUGCUAUGUCUAAUGUUAGUUUAAUAACUAAUCACUAUUAGAUUACAUAUAGAUAUAAGAUAUCCAAAAAACGACAGUUGAAGACGCUAUAACAACUGUGUCUCAAUUGAAAGAUAUUCAAUAACCAAUAAGUGAGUUUAGAACCCGACUACCCUUUUGCCAUUUAGUAUAUUUUUUUGUUUGACUUUAGAUUCUCUUUAUUGCAUUCUAUUUGUUGCAUUGUUAAUUUCAUUAGAUCAUUAAUAUCAUCAUUUAUUUUCUUUUAUUUAGUUUAUUAAAAUUGCACUGUUAAGAUUGCUAUAGUAAGUCCUAUAACAUCAAUCCAUGUGGAGACGGUUUUGAUACUCAUCAUUAUAUUAUUUCUUGUGUACACUUGUAUAUUGACACUUUACCAAGUUUUUGGCGCCGUUGCUGGGGAUUGAGUGUAACACCCCAGUCUGAAAUCCAAGGGCAAAUAUGUCCAUAACUCACAUAUGAAUUUAAAUAACCCUUUACAAUCGAAAAAAAUUCAAACCUCCAAUAUAAUAGGCAGCGGAAUAAUUUGAAAAUUUUGUCAAACCAUCUAUCAUCCUCAAUUCAAGUCUACCUUCUCACUCAUUACGAAUCAUUCCUGACUUUUGGAAACUGAAUCACAAUAAACUAUAAUGAGUACAAAACUCAGUAAGCAAAUUAGUUUUCUUAUACUAAAAUACAUCCAUACUUAUACAUAAUGCAAAUGGAUGAUAUGUCAUGAUCUUUUGGAAAUACUAUAAAACAAAUUCAUAAAAGUCUCUUUCUGUCGCUUUCAAACUUUCUCAUUUUCUUUCAAUAAAAUACGUAUCCUACAAUGUGGCACUUUGUGCUGUGCGUGGCACUUUGCACCAUGCGUGGUACUUUGCGGCGCUCUGGCCCUCAAGAGGUGGCCCCCGCAUAGUCUCAAGAGGUGGCCCCCAAUGUAAAAUCUCAUAAAACAAAAAUUCUGUUUGCUAAAAUUCACUUGUUCAUUCAUAGAAAACUCAAUGCAUUUUCGUGCUCAUGCUAAUGAACCAUCACACAUACAUAUGCCCAUGUACAUAAUCAUGCCCAUUACAUAACAACACAUCACAUAAACACAUGAGCAGAGACAUAUAAAUCCAUAUUCGUACAUAUCAAAAUAGGUUUUUCAUACAAGUCAAACAUAUAUAUUAUUUAUUGUGAUUCGUUUUAAAGUCUAGUUUACUUACCUCUUGGUAUCCUCAUGCAACAAAUGCAUAUUGAUAUCAUCAACCUUAAAUCAUCAAUAAAUUUCUCAUAAGAUAUAAUCAAGUCUCAAUCAUAAACUCUAAUGUCCUGAAGUAUCUCAAUUUAAAUGUCCUCAAUAAUCGGCCCUCAAAACAUAACAGUCCAUAUUUCUCCGAUUUUUAAUAAACUAUUCUCUUAUUGGAAGAAUCUAAAAUUUUACCGACCAUAUGCUGACACAUUGAAAGUUCAUUGAUAAAUAUUUCGUAACAUAAUUCCUUCAAAAACUAUUGAAAAUAACUGACGUUUCAGACAUCAUCAAUACUGUCAAACAGUUUUCUAUUUUGAACACACUUGCUUUAAAAAUACAAAACAAUUUAUUGCUUUAUCAUAAAAUCAUGAACAUUUUUAGAAUCAUACUAUACAUAUAUAUAAAUCAUUGGUCCAAAUUUCGUAAUUGUUGAAGAAGUCUAGCUAUGGUAAAAAUAAUUUCGUAAUUUACGUUAUUCACUGAAAUCAUAAAUUUCCAGGUUUUCAGGCUUGAAUUUGAAAAAUCGUAAUUAAUUGAAAUCUUAUCUGAUUAACUUGAAACAAGUUUCAAAACAUUCUAAACGAUAUCUAGUUUAACAUACCCAAAAAUCAGAAUCAAAAUCAACUUGUACAAAUUACUAUGAUUUCCGUAAUAAUUCACUGUCAGCAUAUUUCUGCAAAAUCUUAGAUUUCUACUUCUAUUGCAAUAAUGCUUCUCCACAACAAUUUAAUAGAGACCAAUAAUUAAAACUUACCUCCAAAACUUCUCCCAACAAUAAAAACUUAAUUCCAUGUGUUGCCUAUGGCAGAACUAAGAAGAAGAAGAAGACUUCUUCUUUUUUUCUUUUCUUGAUUUUCUCUCUUGUCUCUCCAUCUCUCUCUCUCUCUCUCUCUCUCUCUUUUCUGUCGUUUUUUUUUUGCAACCGAUCCCUCUUUUCCUCUCUCUCUUAUAAUAAAAAAGACAUCUUGUUCUAUUUAUACUAGGGCAAAAAAGGAUCACUAAAAAUUAAAAAGAGUUAAAUACCCUUAGGAGAUUUGGAAUAUUACAUUGAGUGCAUAUUGUGAGUUUUUAAGUUAAUUUUUUUUCUUUUAAUUUGUUUGUUGUGUUAACAUAAUGCUUUAGCAACCCUUGCAUGCUCAAGUAUAAACCUGUUGAAUUUUAGUUUGAUCCAAAAAUUGAAAGAACUGCAAGGAGGCUAAGAAAAGAGCAUAGAGGUUUAGGAUCUGUUGCAGACAUGGAUGGUUUGUAAAAUGUGGGAGAUUUGAAUCCCCAAGGAGGAAUGAAUCCAAUUAAUGUUCAAAGAGAUAAUCCUCUUCCCAUUUUAGAUCUAGUUAAUGCACAAAGAGUUCAAGAAUGUCAGUACGGGUAGAUUGGUCAAGGGCAACUAGAGAAUAACAACAUUUUCUGCAUGACAGUUGAUAAAGAAAAUGUUGUUAGGGACUAUAUAGUGUUAACCCCUCAAACUAUAAAUCCUGGAAUAGUCAAACCCAAAGUUCAGGCUGCUCAUUUUGAGCUCAAACCAGUAAUGUUUCAGAUGUUACAGAAAGUAGGAUAGUUCAAUAGACUACCAUCAGAAGAUCUUCAUCUUCACCUUAAACUAUUUUUGAGGUGAGUGAUGCUUUCAAGAUUGCUGGAGCAUCACAUGAGGCAUUGAGGCUAAUACUCUUAAUUUUCUUUGAAGGAUCGAGUAAGAGAAUAGUUGAACUCUUUACUACAUGAUUCAAUCUCUACAUGGAAUACCUUAGCUGACAAAUUUUUGAUAAAGUAACCUACCAAGAAUGCAAAGUUGAGGAUGAGAUCACAUUUUUCCAUUAACUUAACGAUGAAAGCUUCUAUGAUGCUUGAGAAAGAUUCAAGGAGUUGUUUAGGAAAUAUUCUCAUGAUGGUAUCCCUUGUUGUAUACAGUUGAAAACUUUCUAUAAUUGUCUAAAUUCAAGCACUAGAUUGAUGGUAAACACUUCAGGAAGUGGGGCCUUGUUAUCUAAGUCUUACAAUGAGGCUUAUGAUAUUUUGAAAAGGAUAGCCAAUAACAACUAUUAGUGGCCAUCUACCAAACAAACUACAAUAAGAAGAAUAAUAGGAGUUUACAGUGCAGAUGCCUUGAUAGCAUUAUCAGCCUAAGUAACCUUAUUGAUAAAUAUGGUAAAGGAUAUAUCCACUGUUCCAGCAACUAUCAACAAAGUUGUUAAGGCAUCAUGUAUUUAUUGUGGAGAAGGAAAUUUAUUUGAUAGUUUUCUUAGAAAUCAUGCCUCAGUCAACUAUAUGGGCAAUUAUAACAGACAGAACCACAUCAACCCUUAUUCAAACACUUACAACCCUGGAUGGAGGCAGCACCCAAACUUUUCAUGGAGCAAUCAGAAUCAGAAUCAAUAUGUUGUAGAAUCUAGUGGACAAAAUAGACUUGCUCAACCAUUUAGAUUUCAUCAGCAAAAUCAAGGGCGAAGAGACACCAACAAUGAUCAACCCAACUCCCUUGAAGCCUUAAUUAAGGAGUACAUUGUGAAGAAUGAAACAUUUAUCUAAAGUCAAGCUAUUUCCUUAAGAGACCUAGAAAAUCAGAUGGGACAAGUUACUAUAGUAUUAGGUAACAGACCUCAAGAUAAUUUACCAGGCAAUACAGAGGACCCAAGAAGAGAAUGGAAAGAGCAUUGCAAAGUAAUUAACUUAAGAUCUAGAAAGGAUGUUCACAUUCUAGUUGGUGUACUAAAAAAAAGAGUUGAGCCCACUUCAAUCUAAGAAAAAACUCAAGUUGAAGAAGAUCCAUAACCCUCUACUUCACAGUACACAGGUGAAAACAGCAAAGCACACCAAUCCAAUACUUUACAAAAAAUGAUUAUCGAAUACCUAUUGAUGAAGAUCUUGCACACUAACCACACCAAUCCAGAACAUGGCAAAAGUGAAGCAGUUUGCACAACCUUCUACAACUCAGCCGUUUAGGCACCCACCACCCUUUUCUUAAAGGUUCAAGUGACAGAAACAUGACAAGCAGUUCAGUAAAUUCUUUGAAGUGUUGAAGCAAUUGUAUAUCAACAUCCUUUUUAUGGAAGGUCUAGAGCAAAUGCCAAAUUAUGUGAAGUUCUUGAAGGAUAUUUUGACAAAGAAAAAAAGGCUAGAAGAACUUGAAAUAGUUUCUCUAACACAAAAGUACAACCACAUGCAUCAGAAUAAGAUACCUCAGAAAUUGAAGGAUUCAGAAAGCUUCACAAUUUCAUGCUCUAUAGGCAAUAAAUACAGUGACAAGACACUUUGUGAUUUAGGAGCCAGCAUUAAUCUCGUGUCCUUAUCUAUAUUUAAGCAAUUGGGUGUUGGAAAGGUCAGACCAAUAAUAGUUACCUUACUACUUGCUGAUAGAUCUCAUGCCUAUCUAGAUUGAAGAUGUACUGGUGAAAGUAGAUGAGUUUAUUUUUGCAGUUGACUUCAUAGUAUUGGAUUUUGAAGCAGAUAAAGAAGUGUUUAUCAUUUUAGGUAGACCUUUCUUGUCUGCUGGUAAGACUCUAAUUAAUGUGUAAAAAGGAGAACCAACCGUGAGGGUUAAUGAUCAGUAAGUUACAUUCAAUGUGCUAAAUGCCAUGAAGAGUCCUGAUGAUGUUGAAGAUUGUAAUUUUGUUAAUGUUGUGGAUUUUACUAUAGUAGAAAGAUUAAACAGUUGCUGCAGCAGAAAGAUUAAACAGUUGCUGCAGCAAAGAAGAAAUCAAGGUUGCAAGAUUUAAAGAACUUGAUGAUAAACCUCAAGGCCUUGAAACAACUGACAUAACAUGGCUAGAAGAAAAACAACCCUUCAAAACUGAGAAGCAAAUUAAAUAUCUUGACCUUCAAAUAGGGAUAUAAAAUAUUCUAUUUCUUUUAUUAAGUCCUCAUAUUUUAGAAUUAAAACUUUUACCUUUACACUUGAAAUAUGCUUAUCUUAGUGACCGUGAUCAACGUCAUGUAAUCAUUUCAUCAUCUUUGAAUGCAGAACAAGAAAAUAGCUUAGUUUUUGUAUUAGGGAAACAGAAGAAGGCCAUUUGAUGGACCAUGACAGAUAUCAAAGGAAUCAGCCUCUCAAUAUGCAUGCACAAGAUUCUACUGGAGGAUAGUUAUGGCAAUUCUCUAAGCAAUUGAAAAGAUUAAAUCCUAUCAUGAAGGAAGUUGUAAAGAAAGAGAUCAUCAAAUGGCUUGAUGUUGGAAUCAUCCACCUAAUAUCAAACACCUCAUGAGUGAGCCCAAUACAAUAUGUUCCAAAGAAAAUUGGAGUGACAGUUGCAGAAAAUAAAAAGAACGAGUUUAUUCUUAUAAGAACUGUAAAUGGAUGAAGAGUCUGUAUAGACUACAUAAAGCUAAAUAAGACCACAAGGAAGGAUCGCUUUCCACUGCCUUUCAUAGAUCAGAUACUGGAUAGACUCGCUAGAAAGGAGUAUUAUUAUUUCUUAGAUGGAUACUCAGGAUACAACCAUAUUGACGUAGCACUAGAAGACCAGGAGAAGACAAAAUUCAUUUUUCCUUAUGGAACCUUUGCCUUUAGAAAGAUGCCAUUUGGCAUGUGCAAUGCUUCACCAACUUUCCAAAUGUGUAUAAUGUCCAUCGUUUCAGAUAUGAUUGAGCAAAUACUUGAGGUAUUUAUGAAUGAUUUGUUUCAGUUUUUGGGGAAUCAUAUGAUGACUAUUUGUAUAAUUUAAAAAAUAGACUUAGAAGAUGUAAAGAGACAAACUUAGUAUUGAAUUCGGAAAAAUGUCAUUUCAUUGUACAAGACGAGGAUAGUCCUAGGCUAUAAACUCUCUAAAAAAAUGAUAGAAGUGGAUAAGGUAAAAAUAGAGGUGAUUAAUAAACGUCUAUUAUCCACUUCAGUUAAAGGCAUAAGGAGUUUCUUGAGGCAUGCUGGAUUUUAUAGAAGGUUUAUUAAGGAUUUCUCCAAAAUAUCAAAACCUUUAUACAUGUUGUUGGAGUGUAACAAACCUUUUAAUUUUGAUGAUGAUUGCUUGAAGGCCUUCGUUGAGUUAAAGAGAGCUUUUGUUACAACACAAGUUGUUGUAACACCUAAUUAGAGUAUGCCUUUUGAGUUGAUGUGUGAUGCUAAUGAUCAUUCGGUUGGAGCAGUGUUAGGGCAAAGAAAAGGCAAGACUUUCCAUUCCAUUUAUUAUGCCAGUAUGACUCUAGCUAAUGCAAAUUCAACUAUACCACAACUGAAAAUGAGAUGCUGACAAUUGUAUUUGUAUUUGAUAAAUUUAGAGCCUAUUUGGUUGGCAGCAAAGUGACUGUUUACAUAGAUCACUCAGCCAUAAAAUAUUUGACUCCAAAGAAAGAUGUCAAACUAAGGCUAAUCAAGUGGAUUCUCUUCCUACAAGAGUUUGACUUAUAGAUCAAGGAUAGAAAAUGAACGGAGAAUUAAGUAGCAAAAUAUCUUUCAAGGCUUGAAGUAGAUGCAAGCACUUUGACCAAGCAGGAUAUCAUAGAAAUAUUUCCUUAUGAGCAAUUGUUCAUAUUGCAGCAUGCACAGAUGCUGCAGUAAUCUGAAUUUCCAUGGUUCACGGAUUUUGUUAAUUUUCUAGAAAGUGGAUUGCCACCACCUAACUUGAGCUACCAGCAAAAGAAGAUAUUAAUUUAUCCAUGAUGUCAGAAGCUAUUAGUGGGAUGAGCCCUACUUGUACAAGAUGUGUUUGUUAACAUAUAUGUUUCCAUAAUAUUGAUUUUGAUGAUAACAAACAAGAUUAAGAAUGAUUAAUCUUUUAAGCUCAAAUUAUUUUUAUACUUUUUAAAUAAAUCAUUAUUUUUACAUUAUAAAAGUUUUAUAUUUAAUGGAAAAAUGAUUUUAUGAAAUUGAUUGUUUUUAUUCUUUUUAAAUAAAUCAUUAUUUUCACAUUAUAAAUGUUUCAUAUUUAAUGGAAAAAAGAUUUUAUGAAAUUGGUUGUUUUUCAAAGUUUAUGGUUUAAUUGAAAGAAUUUUGAAAACUUUGAAAUAAACAAGUAUUGCUUGAAAUUUUGGAGAAGGACUUAUUUGAAAAGUGUCAUAGCUUUUUGGGCUAUAUCAUAAUUUCAAAAAGUUUUGGGAUUAACAAAGCAUUACUUAGAAAUUCUGAAAUUGGACCUAUUUGCAAAGUUUCAUGACGUUUUGGGCCAUAGUAUAGUUUUAUAAAGUUUUGGGGUCAAACCAUAAUUUCAGAAAAUAGUGCACUGUGAAGGUUACUGUAGCAUCCGGCUUAUCGGAUAUAAAAACCAAAAAACUGGAUACGGGGCAGAAUGUAUCCAGAACGUAAACGGCUUACCGGAUUUCGUAACCGGCAAGCCGGAUAGGCAAAAUUCAAAUUUUUGCCUUAAUGGUAACAUAAAUCCGGCUUACCGGAUUCCAAAAACGGCAAACCCGAUACGUCCAGAAUGUGCAUAACGGCUAGUUUUUGAGUUCAAACUAUAUAAACUCAAAACCAAUUCAUUUUUCGUAAUCCAAGCAAGCAAGAACAAGUGCACACAACAUAUAUUAAGCUUCAAUUUCGUAACUCAUCAUUUAUUAAAUCAUCUUUGUUCUUCAAUUUGUAUAUCCACUCUUAAAGAGAGAUUCAUUGUUGUAUUUUUCAUUUCUCAUUAAAUUGUGAGUGUACAAGUGUGAGAAACACUUGGAGUGAAGAGAUUGGAGAGAUAAUCUCUUGUUGUAAAGGUUCAUUGACACCUUAAAGUCAAUUGUAAACGUUUGAAGCCUUGGAAAGGCUUGGAUAGUGAAAUCCUCAAGCCCGGUGUGCUUGGAGGCGUGGACGUAGGCGGGGAUUGCCGAACUACGUAAAAAUCCUUGAGUUUGCUUUCUCUUCCCUUGCUCAUUUAUUAUUGUGCUUUCAUUGAAUUUAUUGUUUUCGAAUUUAUUAAGGAAUUAGAUUGGAUUUGUGUGUGGUUUGCUUAGCUUAAUUUUUAAAAAUCCAAUUCACCCCCCCUCUUGGAUUGCCUAGUUAGUAUUUCAUUUGGUAUUAGAGCGAGGUGCUCUUGUGUAAACUUAACCGUCUAGAGUUAAAGAUCCAUGGAAACCCAUAAUGACUCAAUCUUUAGGGAAGGACAAUCCACAAUUAGACCACCGUUCUUUGACGGUAAUGACUACCCAUAUUGGAAAACUAGGAUGAGAAUUUAUUUACAAGCUUUAGAUUAUGAAAUUUGGGAAAUUGUUUGUGAUGGUCCAUUUAUGCCUUUGACUAAAAAUGAAGUCGGGGACGAUAUUCCAAAACCUUCACAGGAAUGGAAUGAAUUGGAAAAGAAAAAAUCUACUCUAAAUUCCAAAGGUAUGAAUGCCUUGUUUUGUGCACUAGAUAAGAAAGAAUUUCAUAGAGUUUCUAGUUGUGAGAGUGCUAAUGAAAUUUGGCACAAACUUGAAGUUGUUUAUAAAGGCACAAAUCAAGUGAAAAGAGUCUAAAAUUAGUAGGUACACUCGGCAAUAUGAAUUAUUCCAAAUGGAACAAAAUGAGAGUGUGUAUUCUAUGUAUACUAGAUUUACGGACAUAGUGAACACUCUAGGAGCCCUAGGAAAGACUUUUUCAAAUAGCGAUAAGGUUACGAAAACUAUUAGGUCGCUACCUAAGGAAUGGAGACCAAAAAGGACUGCUAUUGAGGAAGCUAAGGAUUUAAAUAUCUUACCUAUUGAUGAUUUAAUUAGUUCUCUUAUUUCUUAUGAGGAAGACUUGGCAGCCGAAAGAGGCAAUAAGGAGAAGAAGAAAAACAUUGCUCUCAAAGCCUCGAAACAAGAGAGUGAUGAGGAAAGCGAGCUGGAUGAGGAGGAGAUGAAUAUGUUGGCUAGGAGGUUCAGAAAACUCUUUAAGAAAUCCGGUGAGCGAAGAAAAUUUAAAGACCUCAAGAACUGAAAGGAGAAGAAGGAAUUAAUCAAAUGUUAUGAGUGCAAGAAGCUUGGCCAUAUAAGAACGGAAUGUCCUCUUCUCAACAAGCUCAAGAAGAAAGCAAUGGUUGCCACAUGGGAUGAUAGCGAUGAGGAAACAAGUGAUGAUGAAGAGAAUCAAGAAAUGACAAAUCUAGCUCUCAUGGCAAUUGGAGAUGAAUCGGAUGAUGAACUUGAUGAGGUAAAUGAUCUUUUUACUUAUGAUGAAUUAUAUGAUGCUUUUAAAGAAUUGCAUGAUAAUUGGAUAAAAAUUGGUAAAAAGAAUGCAUGUCUUAAAAAGAAAAUGGUAGAGCUCAAAAAUGAAAAUGAAUCUCUAUGUGCAAAGAUUACAUGCCUAGAAUUAGAGAAUAAAACAUUGCAUGAUAGAGUUGCAUUAUUUGAGAAUUCUAGCACUUUACAUGAGCACUUAGAGUCACACAUGAAUGACUUGAAAAAUGAGAAUGAAAUGCUUAGAAAGAAGAGCAAUGAGUUAAAUGAGAUUGUUUUAAAAUUUACAGAUGGACAAAAGAUGUUGGAUAACUUGAUUAAUUCUCAAAAAUGUGUGUUUGAUAAAGGAGGUAUUGGUUAUAAGCCAAAUUUGAAACAAAAAUAUUAUAAAAGUUAUUUUGUUAAAACUACCUCCAUUAAUAAUCAAAUUGUAUGUCAUUAUUGCAAUCAAAAUGGUCAUAUGAAGAAUAGAUGUCCAAUUAAAAGAAAUGUGUAUUAUGGAGUAAAAUGUGUUUGGGUUCCAAAAGGAACCAUUGCUAACACUCAAGGACCCAAGAGCAUUUGGGUACCAAAGGGCACAACUUGAAUAUUCUUUUGUAUGUACCACAAACAAGGAAUGGUGGAGAGUUCCUUGAUGAAGCUUGUGAGGAUAAUCAUUUGAGCAUGAUCUAGGAGAAAAAGAUGAGGCAAGAUGAUUUAAUUGUUUUGGUAAUAAUUCUUGCCAUAUUAAUUUUGUUGAAUGGAUCAUGAUAAAUGGAUAAUAGCUUGAAUUUGUGAAAGUAUACUUGUAUGUUUACAUGAUAGAAUUAUCAUUGUGUUUAACAUUGAGUGCUUUAUCAUAAUGCAUGGUUAUAUAUAUAAGAUGAUAGCUUGUCAACUCAUCAUGAUAGCUUUGUUUGAUUUUGAUGAUUAUGUAAUGCCUAAGCUUGAUAAAUGAAUGAUAUGCUUGAAUUAUUAAUCUUUGAAUGCUUAUAUGUUUCAUGAUUGUGUAAAAUAUAUACAUGAUGAAUGAAUUAUAUGUGUAAAUUCUUGUGUCGUUAAUUGUGUUAUAUCAUCAUUCACUUAUAAAAUUGACAUCAUUGGUUGAUAUGAUUUCAUAUGUUUGGUCUUGUAUGCAUUUAUGUCUCAUGUAUUAAAUGACUUAUUGAAAAGUUUUAAAUCUCGAAAUGAUUUAAAAUUAAUCAAUUUUUAAAGCCAAAAAUAAAAUGGUGAGUGUAAUACAAGUAUAAGAGCUAGCCAAUAUUCAAUUAGAGCCAAAUAGAUUUCCAAGUCCAAACCGGUAAGCCAAAUCAUCUUUUGUUGCUCUCGGGUUAUCAUUCGGAUAACCGGAUUUUCAAUCCGGAAAACCGGAUUUGCUAAGCCUUCUCUCUGCCUCAAAACCGGAUAACCGGUUCUUAAAAUCCGGAAAACCGAAUUCAAGAGGAAACUUUUUGCCUCAAACCGGACUACCGGUUAGCAAAACCGGAAAGCCGGAUUCGCUUGAAAAGCUUACUGGAACAAAACCGGAUUUCCGGUUAUGCAUAUCCGGCACGUCGGUUUCGGGUUUCAUCUUUCUGCUCACAACCGGCUAGCCGGUUAGUGAAAUCCGGCAAGCCGGAUUCGUGAGCUUUUAGCUUUGUUCUUCCUCUUCCUCUCAUUCGGCUUUCCGUUUCUCUCUCUCUCACUAAAAGCUGAUUACUCCUCACUUGAUUUCAUUCCAAAAUCCAUCAAUCUCAUCCUUUUUCACUUCAAAUCCUUUAUGCUUGUAUUUGAACACACCAACAUUUACUAUUUUUUUUGGAUUAUAUGGAUGUUUGCUAUGAUUUUGGAUUAUAUGUCUAUUUUGAAUUAUAUGGAUUUGAUAUAGUUAUAUGUUAUGUUCUUUACUUAUGUUUUGGAUAAUAUGCAUUUUGAAUUUUUUUGUUGUCCAAAGGGGGAGACAAAAUAGUAUAUCAUUUCGAUGUUAUCAAAAGGAGGAGAAUAAUAUGCUUUUUGAGUAAUUGUUUUGAUAAUUGGUAUUUGAUUAUGAUGAUGAUUUUGAUGAAUUUGAGAUAAUGAUGAUUUGAUUACAUGGGUGUUUUAUAUGAUAAUUUCAUGUUAUGAGUUGUUGAUUUGGUAAUUAAUGGAAUAAUGGUUCAUGAUAUUUUAGUGUGAUUAUUUGUGUAUGGAGUUGGCUUUUAUCAUGAUUUAUAAUAAUUUGGAUGUGAUAUUACUAAUCUUGUAUUUGAGGUGAUGCUUGUUGUUAGGGAGAGAUUUUGUUGAAAUUUCUAUUCGGACAACAUUGGUAACAAAUUUGCUACUCUUAUUCUUUUCCUUUAAGUUUUAUUUUUGAUGAUGAAGGGGGAGAAGAAUACAUGUUUUUAAAUUUAUAAAAAUUUACUACUCUUUUUUCUUUGCCAAUUAAGUUUUCUUUUUGAUGAUGAAGGGGGAGAAAAAUCCAUGUAUUUAAAUCGUUAAUUUAGCUAAUUGGCAAAUUGUAAAAGAGGAUUAUAUUUAGGGGGAGCAAUUGUGGAAUCAUUCUUUAAAUACAUGAAAUGUUUGUCAUCAUCAAAAAGGGGGAGAUUGUUAACAUAUAUGUUAACAUAAUAUUGAUUUUGAUGAUAACAAACAAGAUUAAGAAUGAUUAAUCUUUUAAACUCAAAUUAUUUUUUAUACAUUUUAAAUAAAUCAUUAUUUUUACAUUAUAAAUGUUUUAUAUUUAAUGAAAAAAUGAUUUUGUAAAAAAUGAUUGUUUAAAUACAUGAAAUGUUUGUCAUCAUCAAAAAGGGGGAGAUUGUUAACAUAUAUGUUUCCAUAAUAUUGAUUUUGAUGAUAACAAACAAGAUUAAUAAUGAUUAAUCUUUUAAGCUCAAAUUAUUUUUAUACUUUUUAAAUAAAUCAUUAUUUUUACAUUAUAAAGGUUUUAUAUUUAAUGGAAAAAUGAUUUUAUGAAAUUGAUUGUUUUUAUUCUUUUUAAAUAAAUCAUUAUUUUCACAUUAUAAAUGUUUCAUAUUUAAUGGAAAAAUGAUUUUAUGAAAUUCGUUGUUUUUCAAAGUUUAUGGUUUAAUUGAAAGAAUUUUGAAAACUUUGAAAUAAACAAGUAUUGCUUGAAAUUUUAGAGGACUUAUUUGAAAAGUGUCAUAGCUAUUUGGGCUAUAUCAUAAUUUCAGAAAGUUUUGGGAUUAACAAAGCAUUACUUAGAAAUUCUAAAAUUGGACCUAUUUGUAAAGUUUCAUGACGUUUUGGGCCAUAGUAUAGUUUUAUAAAGUUUUAGGGUCAAACUAUAAUUUCAGAAAAUAGUGCACUGUGCAGGUGACUGUAGCAUCCGGCUUACCGGAUAUAAAAACCAGAAAACUGAAUAUGGGGCAGAAUGUAUCUAGAACGUAAACGGCUUACCAGAUUUCGUAACCGGCAAGCCGGAUAGGCAAAAUUCAAAUUUUUUCCUAACGGUAACAUAAAUCCGGCUUACCGGAUUCCAAAAACGGCAAACCCGAUACGCCCAGAAUGUGCAUAACGGCUAGUUUUUGAGUUGCAUAACGGCUAAUUUUUGAGUUCAAACUAUAUAAACUCAAAACCAAAUCAUUUUUAGUAAUCAAAGCAAGCAAGAACAAGUGCACACAACAUAUAUUGAGCUUCAAUUUCGUAACUCAUCAUUUAUUAAAUCAUCUUUGUUCUUCAAUUUGUAUAUCCACUCUUAAAGAGAGAUUCAUUGUUGUAUUUUUCAUUUCUCAUCAAAUUGUGAGUGUACAAGUGUGAGAAACACUUGGAGUGAAGAGAUUGGAGAGAUAAUCUCUUGUUGUAAAGGUUCAUUGACACCUUGAAGUCAAUUGUAAACGUUUGAAGCCUUGGAAAGGCUUGGAUAGUGAAAUCCUCAAGCCUGGUGUGCUUGGAGGCGUGGAUGUAGGCGGGGAUUGCCGAACCACGUAAAAAUCCUUGAGUUUGCUUUCUCUUCCCUUGCUAAUUUAUUAUUGUGCUUUCAUUGAAUUUAUUGUUUUCGAAUUUAUUAAGGAAUUAGAUUGGAUUUGUGUAUGGUUUGCUUAGCUUAAUUUUUAAAAAUCCAAUUCACCCCCCCCCCUCUUGGAUUGCCUAGUUAGUAUUUCAGUGUUCAGACUAGAUAAUUAGAAGAUAUGUCCCUGACGAAGAGAUUUCAAGCAUUUUAUAGUCUUAUCUUGCUGCAGUAUAUGGUAGACACUUUGGAGGACACUAAAUAGCAGUAAAAGUUUUUCAAUCAGGUUAUUACUAGCCCUCCAGCUUUAGAGAUGCUUACAAGUUUGUUAGUGCUGUGAUAGUUGUCAAAGAGCAUGAACCAUUUCUAAAAAACAUGAAAUGCCACUGACCAAUAUUUUAAAAGUUGAGCUUUUUGAUAUAUAAGGGAUAGACUUUAUGAAGUCGUUCUCACAAUCUUUUAGAAACUUAUAUAUCUUAGUUGUUGUGGACUAUAUGUUGAAAUGGGUAGAAGCUACAGCAUUGCCAACAAAUGAUGCCAAGGCAAUGGCAAAUCCUUUAUAGGAAUAUUUUCACAAGAUUUGACACCCCAGAGUUGUCAUCAGUGAUGAAAGAAGCCAUUUUUGCAACAGGAUAUUUGCUGUAGCAUUGGCUAAGUAUAAGAUCAAGCUUAAAGUUGCUACAUCAUAUCAUCCACAAACGAGUAGUCAGGUAACAUUGUCCAAUAGGGAGAUCAAAAAGAUUUUAGAAAAAGAAGCGAAUCUUAGUAGAAGGGAUUGGUUUACUAGACUAAAUGAUUCUCUAUGGGGUUACAGAACUACUUACAAGACAUCACUUGGCAUGUCUCCAUACAAACUUGUUUAUGGCAAAGCUUGCUAUUUGUUGUUAGAACUGGAGCAUAAAGUAUAUUAGGCAGUUAAACAACUGAACAUGGGUAUGCAUGCUGUAACAGAGCAAAGGAGGCUACAACUUUUUGAGCUAGAUGAGUUGAGGUUAUUCUUCUAUGAAAAGGCAAGAAUCUAUAAGGAGAGAACCAAGCAAUGGUAUGACAAGAAAAUCCAGUAAAGAGAACUCAUUACAGGCCAACAAUUAUUGCUUUACAACUCUAGACUGAAGCUUUUCCAUGAAAAUUUAAAGUCUAGAUGGUUAGGAUGCUUCAAACUCGUCAAGGUUUAUCUUUAUGGAGUUGUUAAUCUUAAAGAUGAAAGAACUGGUUAAGAAUUCAAGGUUAAUGGGCAUAGAGUGAAGCAUUAUAUGGGAGCUAAGGUGAACAACCUAAACGAGGAUCCGGUUUGAGUAAACAAGGAAGGUGAGAAUGAAGAACCUAAAACCAAGUGCUAAUUAGAAGGGAACUAAAUGAGGGGAAGUUUAUUUUGAAUUUUUAAUCACUUUAAUUUCACUUUUGUUGUUAUUAAGUUUAUUUCUCUAUUUUGUUUUAAUUUAUGCGACUAAUUUCUAUGUUUUUUUUGUCCUUCUCCCUCUCUUUUUGAAUGUUUAAAAUUUUUAAAAUCUUUAAAUUAAUUUUAUCUCUUUCUCUCUCUAUUAUCUUUCUUUAUAAAUUUAAGCUUUUCACUGUUUCACUUUUCACUACCAAUCUCUCUUCCUCUACUGUAAUUUUUAAAAUUAUGCUCUCUAUUUCUCUCUCUCUCUCUCUCUCUCUCUCUCUCUCUCUCUCUCUCUCUCUCUUACACACACUCAAAGUCCCAAUCUCUCAUUCUAACGAAACUCCUUUAAGUGUUGCAGCAAUACUGAGAGUCAAGGCACCUACUAAAAGGUUGAAGGACUAAAAAAGAUUCCAAAAUCACAAAGUUGAAGAGAAGUAUAAUAAGUCCAUAAGAUCUCGUAUAAUUUUAGAAGAGAAUGGUUUUGAAAUUUGUUGAACAACCCACUGGCCUUAUCAGCAUCAUUCUCAUAACUGCUAUAAAAAGGGGGUGGAUCAAAUGAUCCAAGUUGUAAAGGAAUUUUAUUCUAACUUGCUGGAGCAAAUCCAAAUUCCUUAAGACUCUAGGGUGAUAAAUGUCUUUUAUGGUUUGCCCCUACUAUUAAUUGUGAAUACGCUGAAUUUAUUAAGAGCAUAACUAUUAAGAAAUAGAGGGAGAUGUUUAAAGCAUUAAUUGUGGAAGGAAGUGAGUAGGUUAAUGAAGAAGCUGGGAUUGUUAAUAGGAUUGGCCUUAAAUUGAUUAUAAAGGUUUGGGUGAACUUUAUAAAGUCUAGGCUUAUGCCCACCACGGCACACCACAACAAUGUCAAUGCUAGAGUGAAAGGAUGGACAAUUGAUGUUGGGAAAGUGAUUGAGCAAGAAAUUAGAGACUGUGCUACAAAAAAAAAAAAAAAAUCAGCUGUCUUUUUAUUCCCCUCACUCAUCAUUGGGAUUUAUGAGGCCUUUGGUGUCAAAAUUUGUUGACAAUGAUGAGAGGGUUAAAAAUGAAAUGGCCCUCACAGUAAGAAGAAUAGAGAAGAUUGUAGGAGAAUCAACUGGUACAACAACCCAAAGCAUCCAGUUGUAAGAAAAUUAAUAAAAGCCACUACAUUUGGGAAGAUUCUGAAAGAUUUGAGUGACAACUUAAAUGCAUGGAGAGAAGAUCCAAAAGAGUUAAAUCAGAGGCUUUAGGCUUACUUGCUGCAUCAAGAAGCUCAAAAACACCAGUUUGUAGUUUAUAUACAGAGCAAGAAUGUAAACUUCCCAGAGUCUCUAUUGUAGCAGUACAAUUUCCACAAAGCAACAGAGACUGUUCCAGCAAAUGAUGAAAAGGAUGAAAGUGAAAAAGAGGAAAAAGAUGAAAAAGGAGAAAAAAGUGAAAAAGAUGAAGAUGAAGAAGAGACUGAUGAGAAGUAGGAAGAGGAGCUACCAGCAAUAACUCCUAAAAGCUAUGGCAAACAGAAGAUCUUGCUUGAUGAAAAUCAAAAUGAUAAUGAUGCGGCCAUUUAAGAGACCAUUAACAAGUCUGCAAUGACAGAAGGAGAAAAGAAAAGGUUAAAGGAGCUCAAUGUCUACAUAACUGCUAAGGAACUUGCAACAACACCUCGUUCAGCAUUAGCAACAAAGAAGUCUCCCAAGAAAUCUCUAGUCAAAAUUCCCACAAUCUCCAAUAAAAGAAAAAGAGCACAAAUCACUAAAGUAGAGAUAGUUUAUGGAUAAGGGUUGAAAUUCUAUCAUAACACUUAGAUUUGGAUUAAGUUUAAUGAAUAUGUUGUAGCAAACCAAGCUGGGUAGUUUAGAAAAAUUUUCAAGAAUCUAAGGAUAAAAAUAGCUCUAGUUUGGGGGAAAUUAGGAAAAUUUUCAAAGUUAUUGCAAAUUGUACUGGAAGUAGAAUAAUUUUUUCUUCAAUGACUUAGUUGCUGAGUAACCAGGGCUGUGUUUGUAACCCAUAUCCAAACUUGAGUAAAAAGACAGUAAGAGUUAUGAGCAUUGCUGUAGCAACCCAAAAAGAAGAAAAAUCCUCUAUUUAGGAAUCUGAAUAGCUAGGUCUGUUCAUGAACCUCAUAUUCAGCCUUGAGUUAAAGAUAUAUAAAGAUAAGACCAUGGUUGUAGCAUCUUAGAUGCUUUUGUUGUAGCAGCUCUGAUUUGUGUAUUGAUUAAGUAAUUGGGUUCCAUCAUUACAAGUGAUAGGCAUUCGCAUAAAAAGAUUGAUUUUACUCUGAUGGGCCUCAUAAUAAAAAAAAAUUGAUGAAUGUUGUAGCACAAUUUGUAGUUCUUUAUGACCCUUGUCCCUUAUAAAUAAAAAUGUUUUUAUUGUUGUUAUGUUUGAGAUGCAUUUGAUGCUUGAGUGAUUCUGAAGCAACUCUGAAACUUGAUCAAAGUGACACAGACACACACACUGGAUAGAAUGAAGCCUAAGUCUAGAACUAGAACUGUUGAUGGUAAUGUUUAAGAAUGAAGUCUGAGGGUUAAUGAAUUAGAGUAAUCUAAAUAGCAGAGCUAAGUAUCCUCAUGCUUUUUGGUCCUUAAUCCCAAGAUAUAAAAGAGCACAUUUUAAAUAAAUGCAUCAUCCAUGACCGUCACAUGCAAAGAGAAUAAAAAGAGAGAUUUCGGAGUUGUAAUAGAGGUAUUUUUCGUGUAGAAGAAAAAGAGAUGACUAAAGAUUAAAGCGUGACAUUUUCAGUCCUUAGUAUUUUAACUUUUCUUUUAUUUGCUUGCUUUGUUCUUUCUUUGAUAAUUUAUUUAAUGGUAAACACUUGUGUUGUUACUAUUUCAAAGCUCAUCAUGAGCUAAACCUUAAUUUAGUAGUUAUUUAAUUUACAUGUUUAUGUUGCUUAGAAUCUGCUGUAGUAAUUUGUUUUAACUUUACUUAUUGUAAUUCCAUAUUUCACGUUGACUAUGCAUUUAUUAGAUACUAGCUAAGAAGGAGCCCCAAAAUAACUUGACUUAGUGGAACAAAUUACGACAAUACAUGGUUUUCGAUUGAGUUUUCCAAGUUGAGUUAAUCUCGAUUUGAAUAGAGUCAUGCUUGAUUUAAAAUUAUGAAGAACUAGAUAUAAGGAUUCAUCGUAUACAACAAUAGAGUCUAAAAUGUAUAAUGCAAUGUCUAAUGUUAAUUUACCAAAUAGUCACUGUUAGAUUGCAUAUAGAUAUAAGAUAUCCAAAAUGCGACCGCUGAGGAUACAUUAUAGAUUCUGUCCAAUUGUGUAGUAGAUGUUGUAGCAACUGUGCCUCAAUUAAAAGAUAAUCAAUAACCAAUAAGUGAGUUUAGAUCCCAACUACCCCUUUGCCAUUGAGUAUAUCUUUGUGUUUGACUUUAGAUUCUCUUUAUUGCAUUUUGUUUAUUGCUUUAUUAGUUUCGUUAGAUCAUUAAUUUCAUCAUUAAUUUUUUUAUUUAAUGUAGUAAAAUUACACUGUUAAAUUUACUAUAGCAAGUAAUAUAACAUUAAUCUCUAUGGAGACGAUCUUGAUACUCAUUAAUGUGCUCCAAAGUUUUAUUUGUGCGUUUGAAAUGCAAGAAACCAAAGUCUCAACAGUUUAAGCCUGCCAACUUUUGAAAUAUGCAUUUUUAUCAAUAGUACGUCAAGAAACUAAAGCAUGCCAACAUUUGAAAGAUGCAUUUCCACAGUUAAGGUUGCCAGUAGUUCGACAAAUUGUCCGCUGGGCAAAUUAUUAACCAUUGUGUUAACUCCACAAAAUUCUUGUUGGACUAGAUAUGACGCCAGUCCUUUUGUUGACUCUUUCAAUGCAAUGUUGGGUCCUUUAGAAAAAAGCUAUUUCUACUUGUUAACGCAACUGUAGAAAGAAGUUUUUUGUUCCUGGUCUUGAGGUCCCAACAGCAGACAUUAAAUUAUUGCCUUUUCAAUUCUGAGUUGUCUUCAAUUAGAUGCAUUAUGCUAGACUAGUAAUUGUUUUAAAAAAGAAAGCUUCAUAGUGAGAAGCUGAUUUUUUAAGGAAGGAUAAGUUUAUUCUUACCUGAAAGUGAAUGUUCCACUGAAGAAAACACGGCUGGUGCCUGGAAGGAGAGCUAGUUCAGGAUGAAAGACAGGCAAUGAUUAUAUAUUUGAAAAGAGAGAUGAUAAAAUCAAGUUUGCAUGGGGCAGGUAAAGCAUGGCAUUAAUCAGGCUCUCUGCACUUUAGGAGUGUAGAUAAUCAAUCAAAGGCCAUCAAUCAACUCUAUUUUGUUUUUUUUAAUAUUAUAAUCAAACAAAUGUUAGCCUUUAAUUGGCAUCCAAUUGUUCAUUGUCUUAUAUUAGGAUAUAAGCUAAAUUCAUAAGAGGAUCCCUCUACAUAUAUAUUUCAUGUGCAUAAGGUGUAUGAAUAAUGUUUUCUGUAUGCUUUUGCUACUCUGUUAGUAGUCUGUUUAAGGCCCAUUUCUGAUUAUCUAAUAUCUAUGUUCAUGAUUUGUUUCGUGAUGUUGGUCUGUCAUUUGGUUUUUAGUUUUUCCCAGAGGCAAAUGAAGUCAAAUUUGCAAGAACAUCGGUCUUUGAAGGAGCAUCAUUUAAGUUGGACUCUCUAACAAAACCUUCAUUCUUUGAGAAUUUUGGAUUCACUGAGAAGGUCAAAAUGGCAGGCCGUGUGAAGCCGGAAGAUGAAUUGUUUCUAGUGGCCUAUCCAUAUUUUAAUGUCAAUGGUAGUCUUACACCUUGUCUUCUCAUUGAUAUUCAUUCCUUAAGGUCAUUAAUUUUGCUUUUCUUUUGUCUUGUAGAAAUGCUUGUGGUUGAAGAGCUUUACAAAGAAGCUAUAUUCAAUACUGCCCGGAAACUGAUUAUAUUCAAUGGAGAACUUGACCAGAUAAUGUCUGGGUGUAUUAUUCACCAUUCUUUCAUUCUUAUUGUACUUUCUGUAAAUUUAGUAUGAUUUUGAUGCUAUAUAAUAGUUUCUAGAUGCCCGCCCAUUGAAUUGCUUAUUUACAACUUUUUGGUAUAUUAUAGCAGAUUUGUUUUAUAGCUUAUAGCAGAUUUUUUUUAUAGCUUAUAAAAGAUCAACUUAUGUGCUGAGUUCAAUCAUUAUUCCAUAAACUUUUUCUGUACCUAUUUUCACAUGGUAUCAAAGCUAGACUCCCUUUCUUUUUGAUCUCUUUCCCACCAUGUCUGACUAAUCUUCUAAAACCACAGUCACCUAAAAAAGACUAGAACAAAAAAUUUUUGAUUCUGAAUCUCAUUCUGUCCAUAUUACAACUAUCCGGCUGAAUGAAGGAAAUUUUCAAAGAUGGUCUCAGUCAGUUAGAAUGCAUAUUAGGGGAAGAAGGAAGAUUGGUUAUCUUACUAGAGAUGUUAAGGCUCCUGAAAUAUCUGAUCCCUCUUAUGGUGUAUGGGAUGACGAAAAAUCCAUGAUUAUGGCAUGGUUAGUCAACUCCAUGGAUGAAGACAUUUGUGCAAAUUAUAUGUGCUACUCUACUGCAAAGAACUCUGGGAUAAUGUGAGUCAGAUGUACUCUGACAAUGGAAAUUAGUCUUAAAUCUAUUAGUUGCAGCUUGCUCUUGGAGAUAACCAUCAAAGAGAUUAUAGGAUAACAAAAUACUUCAAUACUCUAAAGAGAUUGUGGCAAGAUCUGGACUUAUUCAACAACUACGAGUGGAAGAGCACGGAAGAUUUUAAACACCAAAAACAAACUAUCAAUAAUGAGCGAAUCUUGAAGUUCCUAGCUAGGCUCAAUGUUGAAUUGGUAAGAGGAAGAAUUAUUGGGAGAAAGCCACUUCCUACUCUUGAGGAUGUUUUCUCUGAAGUAAGGAGAAAAAAAAUUCGUCGAGGUGUUAUAUUGGGAAAAAGGAACUCCAUUGUCUUUGUGGAAAAAUCUGCCCUUGUUACAGCAGAUGCUAAUGCUACCUGCUCCUUCACUCAACAGCAACAAAAACCUCGAGUAUGGUGUGAUUACUGUAAUAAACCAUGUCAUACUCGGGAGGCUUGCUGGAAACUCCACGGAAAGCCUACAUAAUGGAAAAACAGCAAGCAUAGCCGUGCGUCUACCAAUAAAGUGGAGGAUAUAGAAAAAAAUCUUAACGAGGAGCAAAUUGAUCAUCUCAUAAAGCUGCUGACUUCUAAUCCUCCACCUGGUACUCCUAGUGGUUCACUAGCCUAAACAUGUAGUAUUAUUAAUGCUCUAUUUAGCCACUCAUCUACUGCACCAUGGAUUAUUGAUUCGGGUGCUUCUGAUCAUAUGACCAUCAUUUCUAGUUUAUUUGAUUCCUAUUAUCCUUGUCCUAGUAACAAAAAGGUAAGAGUUGCUUAUGGAAACUUAUCUUCCAUAACUGGAAAAGGAUCAAUAAAAAUCUUUGAAACCAUUGAGCUUAAUAAAUGUGCUACAUGUCCCUAAACUUUCUUGCAAUCUGUUACUUGUCAAUCAAUUAGCCAAAGAUUCUAAUUGUUGUGCUGUCGUUUUUUACUCCCAUUGUGAAUUUCAAGACAGGGAUUUGGGGACGAUGAUUGGCAGUGCUAGUUUGCGAGAAGUUCUUUACUAUUUUGAUGACUACUUAUCAAGGAAUAAACAAGCUCAAGGUUUGAGCAAUAGGAUUAGUUCAAACUCUGCUAGGGAUCAAAUAAUGCUUUGGCACCUUAGACUAGGACACCCUACCUUUCCUUAUUUGAAAUAUUUGUCUCCAGAUUUAUUUAAAAAUGUUGAUUGUACUACUUUUCAGUGUGAAAGUUGUUUUUAAUCUAAAAGUCAUCGAGUUUCAUAUAAAGCACUUACUUAUUGUGCCUCAAAACCAUUUUAUUUAAUUCAUAGUGAUGUUUGGGGACCCUAAAAAAUCAUUACUUUAACUGGCAAAAAAUGGUUUGUAACAUUCAUAGAUGAUCAUACGCGGCUUCAUUGGGUUUAUUUAAUGAGAGAAAAAUCUGAAGUUGAGGGUUAUUCAAAGAUUUUUAUAACAUGGUUGAAAAUUAAUUUCAAACAAAAAUAAGCCUACUCGAUACAGAUAAUGGUCUGAAUAUUUUAAUAAUUAUCUAGAGGUGUUUUGUAAGGAAAAGGGUAUAAUUCACACAUCCACUAGUCGUGAUACUCCACAACAAAAUGGAAUUGCGGAAUGAAAAAACCGCCAUUUACUUGAAGUUAGUCUGGCUAUCAUACUCUCUAUGCAUGUUCCUAAAUAUUUGUGGGGUGAUGUUGUUUUAACAGCAUGUUAUUUGAUUAAUAGGAUGCCUACCCGUGUUUUAAAGUAUCAAUCACCUUUAGAAUACUUUACACUUAUAUAUCCUUCUAGUAGGAUUACCUCGAAUAUUCAGUUAAGAGUCUUUGGGUGCACUGUAUUUGUUCACCUUCCUAACCAUCUUAGAUCUAAAUUGGAUCCUAGAUUUGAAAAUUGUGUUUUCUUGGGCUAUGCUCCUAAUAAAGAGGCUACAAAUAUUUCAAUCCUCAAACAAAGAAAUUCCAUGUCAGUAUGGAUGUUAUAUUUCUCGAAAAUCAACCUUUUUUUGGCCAAAAUUCUCUUCAGGGGGAGAAAGAAAAUAGUGAAGAUCAUUUUUGGCAUACUUAUACACCUAUGCCUAAUUUGUUUUUACCUGAUCUGAGCACUUCAAUUCAAACUCAAAAAACUAAUAUUUCUAAUAAUGAAAACUUAGGAAACUUUGAACUACAAGAACCAAGUGUUAAUGUACCAGAGACAGGGGGAGAAAUAUUACAAGAUAAAAUUCCACCACCAAAGCUUCGUGUUUAUACUCGACUAAGGUAUCAUCACAGCAAUAAAGACCCUCCCAUAAACUUGGUACAACCUCAAUUGUCGCCUCCAAGCACUGAUUCCUCAUAAAAUUUAGGUAACAUUUCUUCUCCUAAAAAUUCCAGCACUUUUUUUUUCCUGAUCUUGACUUACCCAUAGCACAUAGGAACGAAACCCGAACCUGUACUAAGCACCCCAUUGCUGGAUAUGUUUCCUAUGAAAAGUUUUCCAAUAAACGAAGAGCCUUUACCACAAAAAUCUCUCAGAUACCAAUUCCUAAAGCCAUAAAAGAAAAAUUGGACAAUGGUUUGGUCUGCAUGCUGAACAUUCCUACAGAUGAGCAAAUUGCUAAUAUACUCACCAAGGGACUACCUAAGAAACAUUUCGAGAAAUUGGUUUGCAAGCUAGCCUUGAAAGACAUUUUUAUACCAGCUUGAGGGGGAGUGUUGAAAGGUUGACCAAAUCAAAUUGAUUUGGUUUCCUUAUAUAUUUAGGUGUAUAUUAGGCGUAAAUAUAGAGUUAUUGCUUCCUAGAAAUCAGUGUGUAAUAUUCUGCUUUAAUUUUUUCUUUCCUUUCUUAGUCUCUUGUAUCCCUAUAUUAAGACUGUAUACAGUCUCAUGAAGAUAUGAAAAAGAGAAUUAUUCCAUAAACUUUUUCUCUACCUAUUUUCACACUUCCACAUCAUACGGUGAUUAAUAUGUCAUCUCUACUCAAUUUAUUUAGCAUCAAAUUAUCAGAAGAUUUUGUUACUUAAAUAGAUGGUUUUCAUUUCAACUUCAAUGUUUUUUCAGGCCUAAAGCUUCAUAGUGCUUGUUUAUAUUGUUAAUCAAUAUAUAUAAGUUUACUUGCAGGCAAUAUCAGGCAUUUUCGAAAUAUGCGUAAGUAUGACAAGGAAAUCUCAAAAAGAAACAAAAACUUAUUGCUUGGAAAAAUUUAUUUAUUUGGGGGAAGCCAUUAUGAGUUUUGGGCUCCUUAAUAGCUUUAGUAAAUUUUGGACCAUUAUUUUGAACUAUGACCCAGUUUCCCUUGUUUACACCACAGAAAAUUAGCAACACUCUCUUAUGUCUCAACUCUCUCUGUCUCAACCAACAAAAUCAACUCUGUUAGUAGUCUGUUUAAAGCCCAUUUCUGAUUAUCUGAUAUCUGUGUUCAUGAUAUGUUUCGUGAUCUUGGACUGUAAUUUGGUUUUUAGUUUUUCCAGAGGCAAAUGAAGUCAAAUUUGCAAGAACAUCGGUCUUUGAAGGAGCAUCAUUUAAGUUGGACUAUCUAACAAAACCUUCAUUCUUUGAGAAUUUUGGAUUCACUGAGAAGGUCAAAAUGGCAGACCGUGUGAAGCCGGAAGAUGAAUUGUUUCUAGUGGCCUAUCCAUAUUUUAAUGUCAAUGGUAGUCUUACACCUUGUCUUCUCAUUGAUAUUCAUUCCUUAAGGUCAUUAAUUUUGCUUUUCUUUUGUCUUGUAGAAAUGCUUGUGGUUGAAGAGCUUUACAAAGAAGCUGUCUUCAAUACUGCCCGGAAACUGAUUAUAUUCAAUGGAGAACUUGACCGGAUAAGGUCUGGGUGUAUCCUUCACCAUUCUUUCAUUAUUAUUGUACUUUCUGUAAAUUUAGUGUGAUUUUGAUGCUAUAUAACAGUUUCUAGAUGCCCACCCAUUGAAUUGCUUGUUUACAACUUUUUGGUCCUUCAAUUGGUAUCAUUUUGCAAAAAUUGAAAGUAAAGUGGGUUUUUUGCUUUUAUUUUUUAAUACAAUAAUUUGAAAUUCACUCCCAGAAAUCUAAAGGGGAAUUAAUAAGGAUGAUCGUGUUAUAUCUUUCACUAAAAUGUCGCAAGGAAGACUUUUUUUAAAAAAAUAAAUAACAAUGACUUAACCAAACUAAUUAGUGACUUGGUUGUAGUAUAGUUGUUUUGGAAUGUGCAAUAAAAGGAUCAGAGAGGAUUUCCUUAAAUGAGCAGAAGAUUAUCCAUCGUUCUUCUACCCUAAGCUGGCUGCACUAUCCAGAACACUUUUUCCUGUGAUGGAGACCAUAUAUUACAUUCACAACUUUAAGGGUGGCAAUGGAGGAACCCUUUUCAGGUUUGCCAGCUAGUUACCGACGCGUUUCCUGUGGCAACAUAUUAAUGCUUGCCUAGUAUCACUCACUGUUUUCCUGCUGUUUAACUUAUAUUUUACAUGUUUUUCUUUUCCACUUCCUGUUAGGUGCUACCCAGGUUCCUGGAAGGUCCUGAAGAAAGUGAGUAAUAAAUAUAUAUGUUUGCAUCAGCAGGAAGUGAUGCCUUCCCUUAAGGAGGUUGCUUUGGAUAUCCUUCCCUCAGCUUGAGUUUCACCAAAAUAUUUGUCUGGUGAUAAAUCCCACUUUCUUAUGUUAUAGCAGAUUUGUUUUAUAGCUUAUAAAAGAUCAACUUAUGUGCUGAGUUCAAUAAUUGGUUCAUGAUUUCUAGUUUGUAGGUCUUAUGCUGAGUAUUUUGAUACUAAUCUGCCAGUGUUUGAAAGAUCUUAUUCUUAAGAUGAAUAUAAUCAUAACUUCCACAUCAUAGCGUGAUUAAUAUGUCAUCUCUGCUCUAUUUAUUAAGCAUCAAAUUAUCAGAAGAUUUUGUUACUUAAAUAGAUGGUUUUCAUUUCAACCUCAAUGUUUUUUCAGGCCUAAAGCUUCAUAGUGCUUGUUUAUAUUGUUAAUCAAUAUAUAUAAGUUUACUUGCAGGCAAUAUCAGGCAUUUUCGAAAUAUGCGUAAGUAUGACAAGGAAAUCUCAAAAAGAAACAAAAACUUAUUGCUUGGAAAAAUUUAUUUAUUUGGGGGAAGCCAUUAUGAGUUUUGGGCUCCUUAAUAGCUUUAGUAAAUUUUGGACCAUUAUUUUGAACUAUGACCCAGUUUCCCUUGUUUACACCACAGAAAAUUAGCAACACUCUCUUAAGUCUCAACUCUCUCUCUCUCAACCAACAAAAAUCAACUCCCUUUCCAAUCUAUAUCACAAUGCACGCUAUUUCAUCAAACCCAAGACUUACUUCAACUUAGAUUCAUAUAUGUUAUUUGAUUCAUGAUUAAGAAACUGUGUUUUUUUUCUUUUUUCAAAGUACGCUUGGAGAAUAAUAAAUAAAUUUACCAACCAACACAAAAAAAGUUUAUGUGAGGCUUGGUUGACAAUUUUAUUGUGGUAAUAUGUCGUUUAAAGAUAAAUGUUGUUGAUUUAUUGAUUCUUGUGUUGACUUGGAUGGAAGAUAUGUUGAAGAAAAAGAAACCCAAAAAUUACAUAUGCAGUUUUUUUCGUCAUUUCUGACUUUCAUGAUUUUGUACAAGAUAUAAGUUUUGUUUUCUAGACUUUGUUCUAAGUAGUAUUGGAAAACUUUGCAUUGCACAUUGUAGGUGUCCUCAAAUCUAUUAAAUUGGAUUAGGCAGUCUGAACACAUUAUUAGGGUUGUAAAGGGUCCAUGCAGUAUAAUUUUCUCUUGAUGCUUUCAUAUUUUUUGGCUGUACAGAUUUGAUGCAUCAUUGAUUCUUUGAUUCUGAUGUCUAAUGAAAAUGUAUGUUUAUAUUGCAUCGAUGAAUUUUUUAAUCCGGGAAUUGUAGUAAUUGUCUGUUGUAUUUCCAUGCAGUUGAAACCUUCUUGAUUUUUUGAAAAAGGAAAAUUACUUAAUUUGAUAAAGAAGAAUAUAUGAAUUUCUGAACAAUAAAAACUGUAGGAAGCAAAAAGAUAUCCUUGUGGCAUUAAUGAGUUGCUGGAAACAAGGUUUAAGAAUUUUGUAUGCUUUUGUUAAAGCUAUAAAAUGCUAUUUAUUAUCUGUGUUGUUACAAACUAAAGUACUUUUGUGCUUUAUGCAAAUUUAAAAAUGCUAUGCUAUGCGUUAGAGCAAUAAAGUUGUUAAGAAACAGUGAAGGCUUUUGUUGCUUUACUUAAGAUGAGGUUCAAGAAUAUUAUAUAACUUUAGUGAAUGUUUGCAUGGUGGCUUUGAUCUUGUUGCUGCCCCAAACUGACUGAUUGAAGGAGAGAAUUUUACAGCUAGAUCAAGCUUCUUUCCCCAGAUUAACUUCUGACAUGGACCAAUCAAAUGGCUGUCGCAUUCUUAAAAAAAUGGUUCAAGUUUUCCAUAGUUAUGGUCCACUUAUACAGAAUCUGGAGAAAUGAAUAUAUGAAUUGUGACUUAUAUCAUCUGUGAAGGCAAGGAAUAAUCCAUGGAAUUAUAUAAGAAGCAUUGAAACUGCUUUGUUGAUGGCCUGAGGCCAGAGAAAAUGCCGAAAACAUAUUCCUAAGAAAGUUGUUCCUUCUAGUUCAGUCCGGUCCAUUAAUUAAUCCUGGCUACAGCCCUCCAAGUAGUCGGGAUUGAGGGGCUUCUGUACGUGUAAGAAUGCUCUUGUAUUUUUUUUUAAUUCUUUUUAAAUUACUAAUUGUUGAAUUGAUCAAAUUUCGCGCCAUGUUUUCAGUUUAUAACAUGGAAGAGUGCUUGCAAGUUAAGUUGGAAAAAUUAUCACCAUUGCCCUCAAACUGCUGCAUCUACAGAGUUCCGGAGCGAUUACGUCAGAUAAAUGAAAAGGCAUAUACACCUCAGGUAGUCUCAAUUGGCCCUCUUCACCAUGGCAAAGCAAACUUACAGUUCAUGGAAGCUCAUAAACAGCGGUACCUGCGUUACUUACUUCAACGGACCAUAAUAAGCUUUGACGAGUUUGUUCAAUUUAUAAAGCUCAGAGAAGCAGAAUUAAGAGGUUCUUAUGCAGAAAAAGUCGAACUAAGUAGUGAUAAAUUUGUUGAAAUGAUUCUGCUGGAUGCUGCCUUCAUCAUUGAACUCUUAUUGAGGUAUCAUUUUCGUCAACUUCAAAAAAAAGAUGAUCAUAUAUUUCAUAAACCAUAUUUAAUAGAGGAUAUAUGGUAUGAUAUGUAGUUGCUUGAGAAUCAGCUUCCUUUCUUCAUUCUUGAGGAUCUUUUUGCUCUAGCUGCAAUUGAAAUCCCUGAACAACAUGAAAAUCCAACCAUCAUCACAGUCACAUAUGAGUAUUUCAAGGGUUUAGAGGCAGUACAAGGUAAUCGGCAAAAAUUCCCUCCUUACACUGAGGUUAGGGUACAGCAUUUCCUUGAUUUUCUAAGGAUUUGUCAUCUACCAUCAUCGAGGAAUCAGGAAAAACAAGAAGGUCAGCAAUACCACAAAGGUAAAACCGCACCAAGUGUGACUGAGCUCCACCAAGCUGGAGUCCACUUCAGUUUGAGCAAGAGCAAUGAUUUGUUCGCCAUAGAAUUCAAAAACAGGACAUUGCAUAUUCCGAAACUGAAGCUACAGCUGGAAACAGAAUCCUUAUUUCGUAAUCUCAUUGCCUUUGAACAACGGCAUUACUCAGAGAAUUACAUAAAUGAUUAUGUGUUCCUUAUUCAUCAUCUCGUGAACACAGCGAAGGACGUCGAGUUGCUUGUUCAGAACGGAAUCAUUGAGAACUGGUUGCGGGAUAAAGAGACUGCGUCAAUGCUUAUAAAUAACCUUUCUAGAGGUACUACUCUGCUGUCUGAUAGCUUCUAUUUUUCUGGGCUAUGCAAAGGAUUGAAUGAUCACUGCAAAAGAACGUGCUACAAAUGGAGGGCAAACUUGAAACAAAAUUACUUCAAUACUCCAUGGGCUGGCAUUUCGGUGUGUGGCGCCGUUUUCCUUCUUAUUCUCACCGUCAUUCAGUCUGUAUGCUCUGUUAUACAAGUGUUGUCUCAACCCAAAAAUAUCUCGUGACGAAAAACCUCUGUGCGGUAUUUGUAUGUCGUUUUUGAGUUGCUGUUUUCUUUUUUUUAUUUUAAUUCUUAUUCUCAACCAAUUUUAUCAUGGAAUUGUUAAUUUUACUUGAAUGUUGAACCAAGCCUUUAUUUUUUAAUAAUGAAAUGAAAUAAAAGGUGGGGGUAUACCCUUCACAAUACCCUCUUCACUCCUUAUUUAGUGUUGCAUUUACCGCAAUAAAAAAUAAUUUUUAAACGAUAAACAUAUUUACUUGAAAACAAAAAUUAGUUUAUGCUAUUUAUUUAUCUUAUAAUGUUGGAACUUGAAAGUUAAUUUAAAUUAAUGUAAUCCUACCAACUUGAUUUGGUUUUCAUAUUGGUUGGUUUCAUGUAUCAUGCGAAUUGUUAGGCACCGACUAACUCAAGCGUAUGUUACUCAAACAUCACGCUUGAAUAAUAGUUUAAGGAAUGUUGAUUUGGAUGGUAGAUAUUUAAUCAACUAAAACUAACGUUCUCAACUCAAAGCUCAUCUACUAGUAAAAGUAAAACCCUUCUCCGUCAACUUAUCUUCUUCAUUAUAUAACAAAAGAUGUUCAAUGAAAGAAUGAAAUAUAUAUAUAUAUAUAUAUAUAUAUAUAUAUAUAUAUAAUUAAGUCAAAGUAGUCAAGAUCCAGCCACUCGGCUUGAGGGCUUGAGUUCGAACCCACAAGAACUUAUUUCAAUCCUUAUUUUAUAAAUAUGAGAUUAGGGAUAGAUUUAUCUCUAAUUAUUUAUUUAUCGAGUAAUUAAUUUUAACAAUAUUAUUAAUUGUAGUUGAAACUGGAAUGAAUUUUCUGAAAGAUGCUCUCUCAUAACUAACCAACUAAAACUAACAAUCAAAUUAUCAAACUCAGAGCUCACCUACUAGUAAAACUGUAAAACUAAAACACUUGCUUCUCCAUUAAGUCAUCUCUUUAUAUAUAAAAAAGAGUGUUUUUAUGAAAUAAUCAGUAACAAUUAGGUAUCAAAUAAUUCAUAAAAGAUGUCAAGCUCCGUUGCUACUGCUGCUGAGGCCGAGAUUUGGAUUGUCCCAUUCUUCGGUCAGGGACAUCUAUUUCCAUGCAUUGAAUUAUGCAACCAAAUCGCUUCCCGUAAUUACAAAUCUACCCUCAUCAUUCCCUCUCACAUUUCCGCCACCAGCAUUAUCCCAUCCUCGUUUCACCAAUAUCCUCUCUUUGAAGUUACUGAAAUACCCUCCUUCGCCUCCUCACCCCCAUGUUGUCGUGCACAGCCAAAUGCUUCAAGGCCUUCGAAACCUCCUUUCAACCCGGGAACCCAAAAGCCGACCCGUUUGUGCAGUCAUCGACGUUAUGAUGGGCUGGACGGCUGAUGUUUUCAAGAUUUUUGAAGUUCCCAUUGUUGGGUUCUUCACUUCUGGUGCUUGCUCAGCGGCUGUGGAGUGUGCCAUGUGGCAGGCUCACAUCCAAGAUGUCAAACCAGGAGAGGCCCGUUUACUUCCUGGGUUACCCGAGGAUAUGGCUUUAUUUGAAUCGAAUCUUAAACACAGGCCUCAUGAGCCCCCUCCUGGUGGUCCACCACCUCUGAGAGGUGCACCCGGUUCCGAGAAAAUAGGUCCACCAGAAGCCGGUGAUCAACCACACUGGAUGAAGGAAGUGGAGGGAUCAAUGGCGUUGAUGUUCAACACGUGUGAUGGUCUUGAGGGACCAUUUAUUAAUUAUUUAGCCAAUGAAUUGGGAAAGCCGAUGUGGGGAGUGGGCCCACUGUUACCUGAACAAUUUUACAAAUCGGCCGGUUCAGUGCUUCAUGAUCAUGAGAUGAGAAUCAACCGGUGGAGUUCUAACAUGACGGAAGAUGAGAUCAUUCAAUGGUUGAAUUUGAAAUCAUGCGGAUCUGUGUUAUAUGUGUCAUUUGGUACUGAAGUGGAUCCGACCUUAGAUGAGUAUUUAGUACUAGCCAAUGCUUUAGAAGCAUCAAAUCGACCGUUUAUUUGGGUAAUUUAAGGUGAUGCAAGUAGAUUGGAUCCUCUAUGUCAUUUGGACAAAACAGUAGAAGGCAGUUAUUUUCGUUAGAUGAGUUUAGUGUUGUUGACGAGGCACCAUAUGCACAACAUAGUGAUAUUGUUUAGUGUUUAAUAUUAGAGUAAUGAUAUAGCCACAAACUCUUGUACAAAUUUAUUUUGUACAAACUUAUGUGGCAUGAUAAGAUUGGUUGAAUUAAAUAUCACUUGGCCCACAUGAUUUGUUUUCAUUAUUUUAUAUUUUCAUUCAACCAAUGAAUUAGUGCCACGUCAGUUUGUAUAAAAUAAGUUUGUACAAUAGUUUGUGGCUGUAUCAUUACUCUUAAUAUUAUAGGGAAGUUUUUAAUAGAUCUUCAUUUCCGUGCAUAUUGUGAGCUUAUUGCCAAAAAUGAGACUAUAUAGUUGUGGGACAAACAAAAAGGGAAAUUCUUUACCAUUCGGCUAAAUUUUGAUGUCAUGCAAAAUAAUAUAGGAUCUUGAAUUCACUUUAAUUGGAUGUCAGCCGGGUUACCAUUCAGAGAAACGGGUCUGAAUCCGACCCGUUUCAACUCCUCCCCCCAUCUCUCCACUUUCACCUCACCCGUCCUCUUGGGUCCACCAACCGCCACUAUGUUCCUAAUUUCACACCCAAACAACUGCUGCUCCACCGUAUGCCUCUCUAUACUGUCAGCACCCAGUCCGUCCCCCAGCACAGUGACGGAAAAAAAAAAAAAAGAACACUCAGAAUAAUAACAAUAUAUAAAACAAAAAAAUACAUAAAAAUAUUAAGAAAUGGAAAAAGAAGCCAACUUCUCUUGUUCGACGAGAUGGACCCUUUCGAUCAAUAAAUUGCAGUAGCCUUCCAUCAUACCAAAAGCAUCCAACAUAUUUUGCUCCUUCAUCACAUGCUCAACCUGCAAAAACCAAACCAGGUCAUUAGACAAAUGCAAUUGAACUAGUCAAUAAUUAUAACGAAUCAAACAGAAAAAGAGACCAUGCAUGAGCGACUUUGAUUCUUCAUGCAUGUGCAUAUGUCUUACGCGAGGAGAGCACGCUCUUGAAAGCCUUGUUGGAGGAACUGAACGACGUCGGAGCGUGCUUGGGAGCACUUGACUUGGCGUUGGUUUUUGAGAACGGCCAGGCGAGAGAUUGCAAGGUUGACCUGCGGCUUGAAUUUGUAGGUCUUGAAGUUGUUUUCUCUAAGAAGAAAAUCGAGUUUCUUUCCCAUGCCGCCGCCUGCUCUUCUGAUGAGUAACUGAGCUGAUCACGCUUCCAACUCAAUCACCCAACGCACAGUGACGGAGAGAAGGAGAAGAAACAAGCAAACGAAGGCUUGUUUACUCCUUUUAGAGAUGACGAGUGAUUGCGUUGUUAUUUUAUAGUUUCAUUAGCCUGAAACUUGGACUGAAGUUGUUAUUGCUGGACAAAAGGAAAAAGAGUUCAAUCACUUCAGUACCGUUAUUAUUGCUGGAUUCAUCUCCUCUCUCGGCAGCAAAAAUCACUUCCAUAUUUUGGCAACUACUCACUUCAAUGGACUGAAGUUGUUGAAGGCCUCCGCCAAUGACCAAUGGAAAUACAUUUUUCAAUUUAUCACACCCUUCCACCCUUAUGGUCUUUAGUUUGCAAAAAGACUCUGCUGUGAGUGGACCACGACAUAUUUCCUGUAGAUUCCUUAAAUCUCUCAGAAAUAAUGACUCCAAAAGGGGGAAUGCAGGCGUCGGAGCUGGCGUACAAUCCAUUGUGUCAACAACACAAGAAAGGUUGCCAUUAUGUUUGAUUUUGUUAAGGAAGUUAAGGAAGCUCAUAUUUGUAGUCAAGCAGAGGAUCACAGCAGCUUCUAUAAUCAGUUGCAAGUUGAUGACAUGUACUGCCAGCUGGCACCAGGUGGUUAUGUAGCUGCUUGUACUCAUACAUGUGAUAAGUUUGUUAAUCAUUUUUUAAUUAGUUAGUUAGUAUUGUAACCUUCAGCUGAGAAGCAACACUUGUAUAUAUAUGCUUGUAAUCAUUCAGUAGCAUUUUAAGCUUGAGAAAAUAAAAGAAGAAAGUUUUCUAGAUCUCAGUUUAUUUUCUUAUUAGCCAAACACUCAUUUUCUGUUUUCUAACUUGGUAUCAGAGCUAGUCAUGGCGUCUCUGAAUAUUGCCUCAUCAAAUCACACUUCGAAUAUUCAUACAAACUCAACAAACUUCUCAUUCACAUUCAAUACCCCUGUGAAACUGGAUCAGGCAAACUAUCUGAUCUGGAGGUCCCAAGUUCUAGCUUCCAUACACGGCAAUAGGCUAGAAAAGUUCAUUGAUGAAAAUGUCACUCCUCCUCCAUCUCAUAUUGCUCAAAGGAUUGACGAUGAACUUAGAUCUGUUGAGAAUCCAGAUUCAUCAAGCUGGAAAGCACAAGAUCAAGUACUUCUUGGCUGGUUGCUGUCAUCGAUGAGUGAAGGUAUUAUAAGCCUGGUGUUUAAUCUGGAAACUUCUCUUGAGGUAUGGAAAGCUAUUGAAACUCAAUUUGGAUCACAGUCAAAAUCCAGACUCUUACAUUUGAGAUAUUUGAUGAAUUCAACUAGGAAAGAUGAUCUGAAAAUCAAUGAGUAUUUCAUUAAAAUGAAGAAUAUUGCUGAUAACAUGGCUGCGGCAGGAAGUGCCUUAAGCAGUGAUGAUUUAAUUUUGCAUGUACUGUCAGGACUAGGACCAGAUUAUAAUGUUGUUGCUACUUAUAUUACUGGUCAAAUAAGUGGUGAUAAAAUGAAUUUGAAUGAGGCUUAUGCUAUGUUGUUGACUCAAGAAGCUAGAAUUGAGCAACAAGCACAUAUGCUUUCUGGAAUGGAUGUUAAGCAUAAUUUUGAAGCUAAUUUUGCUCAGAACAGAGGUUUCAAGAAAGGAAAUUUCUCAGGUGGUAGAGGAUCUGGUAAUCAUAACUAUUUUACUGGAUUAGAUAAUGCUGGAAAUUUUGGAAAUAAUUACAGAAGUGGCUAUAGAAGAUCUGGUUUCUUUGGCAAUGGUUUUGGAAAUAAUCAUAGUAACCAGUUCAGAGGAUUUCAAAGUGAUAAUCAAAGGGGAUCAGGCUCAGGAAAUUGGAACAAUGAUGGGGGUGGUAACAAUAAUUCUAUCAGGCCUCAAAUGAAUCCAAAACCUCAGUGGAAUGCUUCUAAACCUACUUGUCAAAUCUGCUUCAAAACUGGUCAUACUGCAAAUGUGUGCUGGAAGCUUGAAGAAUUCUUUACCUCUGGUGCUUACAAACCUCCUCCAAACAAAAAUCCCAAAGCUACAUAUCUAGCUGAUAUGGAUGGUGCAGCUGAUCCCAACUGGUAUCUGGAUAGUGGAGCUACACACCAUCUUACCAAUGACAUGAGGAAUAUGACUAUGGCAGAAUCCUUUGCAGGUAACUCUAAACUCAUCAUUGGAAAUGGUACUGGUUUACACAUAACACAUGUUGGAAAUGCUGUGUUAAGAAUGCAUAACUCUUCUGCUCAUCAUACACUCAAAUUAAACAACAUGCUUCUUGUUCCACAAAUAUCCAAGAAUCUUAUUAGCAUAUCUCAGCUUACCAAAGAUAACAACAUUGUUAUUGAAUUUACUGAUAAAUCCUGUUUUGUGAAGGACAAGGUGAGGAAUUUGAUCAUACUGUAGGGCAAAGCUGAAAAAGGUUUAUACAGAUUGCUAUUGUUUCCCUCUAAUAAAGUCUCUUCUCAAUCAUGUCAAAGGUCUCUUGAAGCCACUCAAUCCAAAAUUUCAGAUGUUCCUCUGUUUAUGUUUUCAGUUGUUCAGUCAGUUGUCAAUAAUCAAACAAGUCCCUGCUUGCAUACUGCAGCAGAAUCUUGUAUCGGUCUAAAUUGUAUGCUGAGUGUUUCUGUUUUGCAUCAGAAACUUGGUCAUCCUAAUUCCAAAGUUUUAAGUCAUGUAAUAAACUCUUGUUCAGCUUUCAAGAAUUUAAAUGGAAGUAACUUUCUUGAUUCAUGUGAUGCAUGUAAAAUGGGAAAAAUGCAUAGAUUACACUUUCCAGUUUCUACUACCAAAACAAAGCAUGUAUUAGAAGUUUUGCACACUGAUUUAUGGGGACCUGCCCCUGUGCUUUCAGUUCAAGGUUAUAGAUAUUAUGAGUUUUGUGGAUGAUUUUUCGAGGUUCACAUGGAUAUUCCCAUUAAAAACCAAGGAUGAAACACUAGUUGUGUUUAAAAUCUUUAAGAAACAAAUUGAGAAAUAGCUAGAUAGAUCCAUUAAGUGCAUUCAAUCAGAUUGGGGUGGAGAGUAUAGAUCAUUUGUUAAUUUUCUUCAUGAGGAAGAUAUUCAAUUCAGGCACUCAUGUCCCUAUACUCACAAUCAGAAUGGCUUAGUUGAGAGAAAACAUAGACACAUAACCGACCUAGGUCUCACCUUACUUGCUCAAGCUACUUUGCCUCUCAAAUUUUGGUGGGAUUCCUUCCAUACAGCCACCUAUAUUAUCAAUAGACUUCCCACACCCAUACUAUCUAUGCAGUCACCUUAUGAAUGUGUCUUCAAAACCAAACCUGAUUACAAAUUUCUCAAGGUCUUUGGUUGUUCAUGCUUCCCUUUCUUAAGGGAUUAUAAUACUCACAAAUUUCAUUUUCAUACCUCAAAAUGUGUAUUUCUUGGUUACAGCCCUUUACAUAAGGGUUACAAGUGUAUGCAUUCUUCUGGAAAGAUUUUUAUAGCCAGUCAUGUGUUAUUUGAUGAAACUUCUUUUCCUUACACAUCAAAUUCACAAUUUUUAACUUCAUCAUCCAAACCCUCUGAUUUCCAUUACAGUCUUAUUCAAUCUUAUACUGUUUCACUUCCCAAUAGCAAUCAAGAAACCUGUGAAGCUAGCUCUGCAGAAGAUGAAGCUCCAUAUCAUCAUUUCAGUGAUCAUUCCUCACCUGACAGUCAUAAUACAACCUUUGAUGUUUCACCUUCUCAAAUACAUCUUCAACCCUCUACCAUAGCUACUUCACAAACACAACAGCCAUCAUCAUCUACUAUUCAAUCCACACAACCAUCCCAACAUUCUCUGCCAAAUCAUCCCAUGAUUACUAGAGCAAAAGCUGGUAUAUUCAAGCCUAAAGCAUUCUUAACAUCACAUAACAGCCUGGAACCAUCCACUGUUGAUGAAGCUUUGUCUGAUUCUAAGUGGAAAGCUGCAAUGCAAUUAGAGUUUGAUGCUUUAACCAGAAAUAAUACCUGGACUCUAGUACCUAUGACAUCUCAGCACAAGUUGGUUGGUUGUAAAUGGGUCUUUAGAACCAAGUACAAUACAGAUGGUACAGUUUCUAAACACAAAGCAAGAUUGGUGGCCAAGGGCUUUCACCAGACAGCAGGAGUGGAUUAUAAGGAAACUUUUAGUCCUGUGGUAAAGUCUUCUACAGUCAAAACUAUACUAAGUUUGGCAGUGAUGAAAUGUUGGAAAGUCAGGCAAAUCGAUAUAAAUAAUACUUUUCUUAAUGGAGAUAUUUCAGAGGAUAUAUACAUGACACAACCAGAGGGCUUCAUCACCAAAGAGGGCUAUGUCUGCAAACUUAGCAAGGCUCUUUAUGGCUUGAAGCAAGCUCCUAGAGCUUGGUAUGACAAACUCAAAUGGUGUCUUACAAGCUGGAAUUUCUUCAACUCCAAGGCUGAUACAUCCCUGUUCAUCAGACAUGACACAAGAGGUAUCAUUCUUGUUCUUAUCUAUGUGGAUGAUAUUCUCAUUACAGGACCAAUUCUUCCAUGUUGGAAACAUUCAUCACUAAAUUCAGUAAGGCUUUUGCCUUAAAAGAUUUGGGAUUGGUAUCCUAUUUUCUGGGUGUUGAGGUGUGUUAUACUGAUAGUGGGAUGCAUUUAUCACAAACAAAAUAUAUUAAAGAGCUCUUAAGUAGAGCUUCAAUGCAGAACUGUAAAGGUUUUGAUACACCUCUCAGCACAGGUCAAAAGUUAGAAAAGGUAGCAAAGGGCUGUUUGGGGAAAGAAUUUGAAGAUCCAACUCUCUAUAGAAGUAUUGUUGGAGGGCUCCAAUACUUGAUACUCACCAGACCUGAUAUUGCAUACUCAGUUCAUAAGCUCAUUCAAUAUCAGAGUGCUCCUACACUUCAGCAUUGGCUUGCUUGUAAGAAGGUACUUAGAUAUCUUCAAGCAACUGUCACUCAUGGAAUAUAUAUUCAAAAGGAAGGAGAGCUUGAAGUUACAGGUUUGAAUGGAUACUCAGAUGCAGAUUGGGUUUGUGAUACAGAUGAUAGAAAGCCCAUUGGAGCAUAUUGCAUCUAUCUUGGCAACAAUUUAAUUUCAUGGUCCUCUAAGAAACAAGCUAUAGUGGCCAAAUCCAGCACUGAAAGUGAGUAUAGAGCACUAUCAUCAGCAAGUUCAGAAAUCUCUUGGCUUGAAUCUCUAUUUUCUGAGCUCAACAUUGUAAAGCUGCCAACACCAGUGCUUUGGUGUGAUAAUCAGAGUGCUGGGGAAUUAGCCAAAAAUCCUGUGUUUCACUCCAGGUCUAAGCAUAUCGAGUUGGACAUUCAUUACAUUCGAGAUAAGGUACUUCAAAACCAAUUAGAAGUGAGAUACAUUCCUACAGAUGAACAAGUUGCUGAUGUCCUCACCAAAGCUUUAUCACUUCCAAAAUUCAGCUACUUCAGGUCCAAGCUCAAUGUCAUUAGCAGACCCUUGAGCUUGAGGGGGGAUGUUAAGGAAGUUAAGGAAGCUCAUAUUUGUAGUCAAGCAGAGGAUCACAGCAGCUUCUAUAAUCAGUUGCAAGUUGAUGACAUGUACUGCCAGCUGGCACCAGGUGGUUAUGUAGCUGCUUGUACUCAUACACGUGAUAAGUUUGUUAAUCAUUUUGUAAUUAGUUAGUUAGUUUUGUAACCUUCAGUUGAGAAGAAACACUUGUAUAUAUAUGCUUGUAAUCGUUCAGUAGCAUUUUAAGCUUGAGAAAAUAAAAGAAGAAAGUUUUCUAGAUCUCAGUUUAUUUUCUUAUUAGCCAAACACUCAUUUUCUGUUUUCUAACUGAUUUGGAGACGCUUCAGUUUUGGAAAGCCUUCUCUGUCUGAUCCAAAAAGAACAUUCUUCAUGUCCGGCAAUCCAUCUAAAGUUAGGUCUUCAAUACCCUUCAAUUUCAUGAUAUGCGCCCCGUUCAAGCAAAUGUUGGCACCACUGGCGAGCUUCAGUGUGAACGUUCUAGAAAUCCCAUCCGAUGGGCCAUACCGCCGCCGCCGAUCUCCUAUCAAUAUUCUGUACCUUUGCAGCAUUUUGAAGAACGACAAGUCACUUGGUAGAUUCAUUGCAUCCGGGAUGAGUAUUUCUAAAGAAGUCAAUUUAGAUAAAUGAUUCAACUCAUGAAGGCUGGCAUUUCUUCUUCUACUGUUGUUAGGUCCCAGUCAGAGACAGCCAAUGAUCACGCAUAACACAAGUGAUAUUUUUCUGCUUAUGGCGAGAAAGGACUAAAUAAUUGUUGUUUAGAAUUCUCAAUACUUUUAUUCAUAUUCUGGAGCUUAUUUAUAAUAACAAGACUUUGGUUUCCAUCCUACAAUUACGGCUAAAUAAACGAGUAUAACAACUUAGCUAAAAAUUCGAAACCGAAAGAUAAUCGAAAACAACUUCCGUGUCUUAGCUUCCCUCCUUACUCGCUGCACAAUUGUUGACAAGCGUAUUCCUAGAUCACGGCUCCAGCUCCAGCACGUAUCUUCACGAUCUCAGCACAUGCAUGUUUCAUGCAUGGCUUGCAUGGGACUCAUGCCCUUACGUAGCAAACUUAGGAUUUGGCUUUGGCAUUUCCAGAUCUUCGUGGCUCAUGCAUUUGCUGUCUAUCAUUACCCCAUCCUCGAAGAAUACCCUUGUCCUCAAGGGUCAGAUUGGGAAACUGUUGGUGCAGCAUUAUGGUGUCCUCCCAUGUUGCUUCUUCAGCCAACAUUUUUUUUCCAACGGACUAGAUUCUGCUCGAUCACUUUACCUCCUCUCUUCACCCAACGUGUGUCAAGGAUAGCUUCAGGGUCCAUGAUCACCAAGCCUUCAUCAUCCACAGGUGGUAAAUCGACGCCGUUGCUAAGGAAAUCACCCACAGCUUUCUUAAGCAAAGAGACGUGAAACACUGGGUGAAUUCGAGCAUUCUCUGGUAAUUGUAGUUCGUAGGCAACGGCUCCAACUUUGCGAAGAACUAAAUACGGCCCAAAGUACCUGCAAGUUAAUUUCUGAUGUGCCCUUCUGAACACUGAAGUCUGCCGAUAGGACUGCAACUUUAAUAACACCAUAUCUCCCUGUUUGAACUCAACGUCGCGGCGACCCUUGUCAGCUGUUUGCUUCAUCCUGUUAGCUGUUGUGGCUAAGUUUUUCUUUAAUUGUAAGAGCAGUUCAUCACGCGAAUGUAAGGCUUGAUCAACCUCAUGCACCGGCGAGGAACCAAGUUGAUACAUGGGCAUGGCUGGAGGUGGUCUUCCAUACAAAGCUUGGAAUGCAGUCAUUCCGGUGGAGACGUGGAAUGUGGUGUUGUACCAAAAUUCUGCCCACGGCAAAAAAGAAUGUCACUUUCGCAGCCACUGGUGAACAAAACAUCUCAAGUAUUGUUCCAAGCAUCGAUUAAUUACCUCCGUUUGGCCGUUGGUUUGCGGGUGGUAUGUGUUGAGUGUUAGAAAAUGCAUAUUUAUAAAGGAGAAAACCGUCAUUUUACAUUUCAAGUCUUACUAACAACCCUUACUUUUAUGUAUUUAACCUUCUUGUGAUUUAAUUACAUGUGUUUUAUUUUAAUUAAGUAUUUUAUGUAUUUUAGGGGCAUUAUAGUCAUUUCACAAUAAAGGAGAGAUUAGACGGCAAAACGGACAUCACUUUUGAACUCAGGACGGUCGAAAACCUUAGGAGGAGCAUAAAAGGAAAAAUGGAACUAUUCACAUGUACGGUACUAUUCACGUGUACGGGACUGUCUAUGUUACUGUUCACGACACUGUUCACAUAGACGGAUCGAUGACGUGGCAUUGACCGAUGAUGUGGCAUUGACUGAUGAGGUGUCACGAUCCUGUUGGGCUAAAAUUCUUAUGUACUGUUGAUGCUGACGUGGCAGCAUAUCAGUGGACGAAAAAUCUCGCGUACGGUACAUGCAUCACACAGGAUUAUUUUCAACCAAACUGCGUUACUGUUCAUCCGGGUCAAACCGUAUUACUGUUCAUCCACGUUGUCAAACCGCGUACUGUUGACUGAUGACGUGGUGCAAUCCUGAGCGUCCAAACUGUUUUUAAUCUGAUGGCCAUGAUUUACUCCAUGUAUCUAUAAAAAGGGGGCCUCUCCCCCUUAAUUUGAUAGCUCUGAAUCCAUUUUUGGGAUCCAUUUUCUAUAAUUCCCUCUCCAUCUUGUAUUUUCUACGUAUUUUAAUAAAUUCCCAUUUUGCCCCUAGUUCAAUUAUGAAUAGCUAAUUUUCUUUCAAGCUUGGGUUGAAGGUGAAGUCUCAACAUGUGUCAUGGGCUUAAUUUGGUAAAUUUAUUUUCUCUUCCCCUUUAGUUUUUGUGGAUGUUUUGACUUCUCGUCGACAAAUAAUAAUAAUCUUGUCUAGAUAUCGUCUUGGUUACACCGGCUCUCUAGUAUAAGGUUAUUAUUAUUUGGCACGAUAAGCCCUUAGCACCAUAUUGAUUAGAGUGUGGUUCAUAAGGUGUGGAUUCCCCCCUCAUGAUUUAAUUGGUAUUAAUAAGGAAUAUUUAGCCCAUGGUGCAUGUUGAUACGGAUCCAAAUACCCAAGUACGUCAUUUCAAUAGAUUUCUCUUCAAUUUAUUCUCGCCAUUUAAAUUCCAAUUUUAGAAUUUAUUCUCGCCAUUUUAAUUUAAGUUUUAGCAUAUUCCAAAUCAUUUCCAUCACAAAUCCAAUCACCCAUUUACAAAAUUAAUUCUACACACAAUUAAAAUCCACCUCCUCGUGGGAUCGACACUCGUCACCAUUGAUCUAUACUACAAUAGAUUCGUGCGCUUGCGAGUACAUUAAAAUUUGCACAACAGUAUGGUGAGCUCAUUUUGAGUUUGGUGCCUGAUAAAUUAAAGAACUCUUGCCAAAAUUUGCUGAUGAAUAUGGGGUCACGAUCGCUGAUGAUUGACUUGGGCAUACCGUGCAGCCUCACUACUCCUUCACUUUCUUCUCGAACUGGCCGCGGUGAACCAAUGGUUUCGUUGGUGCCGUGGCUAGUGGUGUCUUUGGAUGCAUUGAAAGUUUCUGCUAAUUUGCUAAUGGUGUCUUCUAAUCGCUGAAGCUUGUCAUUGAUCCCAAUCUCCAUGCGUUCCAUUCGGCUCUCCAUGCUUUUCAGAUCAGCUUCAAUUCGCUCAAUACGUUCUUUGUUGGUCAUCAUUGUUAACCCGCUCUGAUACCAAUGUUAGGUCCCAGUCAGAGACAGCCAAUGAUCAUGCGUAACACAAGUGAUAUUUUUCUGCUUAUGACGAAAAAGGACCAAAUAAUUGUUGUUUAGAAUUCUCAAUACUUUUAUUCAUAUUCUGGAGCUUAUUUAUAAUAACAAGACUUUGGUUUCCAUCCUACAAUUACGGCUAAAUAAACGAGUAUAACAACUUAGCUAAAAAUUCGAAACCGAAAGAUAAUCGAAAACAACUUCCGUGUCUUAGCUUCCCUCCUUACUCGCUGCACAAUUGUUGAUAAGCGUAUUCCUAGAUCACGGCUCCAGCUCCAGCACGUAUCUUCACGAUCUCAGCACAUGCAUGUUUCAUGCAUGGCUUGCAUGGGACUCAUGCCCUCACGUAGCAAACUUAGGAUUUGGCUUUGGCAUUUCCAGAUCUCCGUGGCUCAUGCAUUUGCUGUCUAUCAGUUGGUCCUUUCACGCUUCCCCCACUCAAUGGGACUCUCACCAAUGUACAAUUCUUCUAAUCGUGAUAAGCUUGAUAUGACAUUUGGUGGAAUAACUUUUAGAUUGAAACAGUUGCUCAGAUCCAACAACCUCAACUGAGUCAGCCGGCCUAUUUCUUCAACCAGUUUCUGCAUAUUAGAACCUCGAAGUGUAAGGAUUUCUAAUUUCUUUAGAUCUCUAAUAAUAGCGAUGUCUCCGAGUUGGCAAUCAUCGAGAGACAAUGUUUGAAGGUUUUGUAAGAGACCAAGCGAUGGAGGCAAAGGCAACAAAUGCAUCGUAGUGAAAUCUAAAACUCUAAGCCCUGUCAUCCCAGUAAAAAGGUUAUCUGGGAUUCUCAAAGAUGGAACAUUAUCAAUGGUGAGGUAUUUAAGUUGCGGACAUUCAAAAUCUUGAGGAAACUCACUAAUAUUACACCUACAUAAGGAAAUAACUUUGCAAACCUUCAGUCUCUCCUUAUCUGGCCAGCUGGUCAGCGGAAUAACCUCGUUUUCCACCGCAAACACAUGUUGGUCUCUAGAUGCAAUUGAUAUGGCUACAUCACGAACAACAUCAUGCAUAGAAAACCAUUCACUUGUAUUGCCAUCAAGCAACAAACAAGAUUUUUUGAGUUUUUCAACCAAUUCAUGUGCUCUAUCCCGCGCCUCUUCCAACGUGUUGAUGUUUUGAAACAGACCCAAACCCAUUCCAUAAAAGAGCACGUCUUCAACGCAAGAGAUGAAGGCGUACCUUAUUAGCAAAAAUGUACUCUUGAGCUCCUCCCCGUUUAAAUGACUGUAACUUAGCUCUAUACUUUUAUAUGCCACCUCCAGUGUUCCACUGAAGUUCCUCAAGGAAGGCCUUCUUAAUUCUAGCAAAGCAUCAUUCCAUUCACACAAUCUCUUAUUUCUCAAUGCCCUUGCUACGGGUACAAUGGCAAUGGGCAAACCAGCACAUUCCUUGACUAUAUCUUUUGCUACCGAUCUCAAUUCAUCAUUUUCUAUGCAAUCACCUGUCGUCUUCGUAAAAAGACUACAAGCUUCUCCUCCAUUCAAAACAUCAACACGAAAAUUCUGUUGACAAUCAAUCUUACAGGACAACACAUCUACACUUCUUGAUGUCAGCAGAACUUUACGUCCGCUGUUAUCAUCUGCCAAUGGAAUUCCAAUCGCCUCCAAAUCAAGACUCCCCCAAAUAUCAUCCAAGAUUAUAAGGAUCUUCUUCUCUACUUUCAAUCGUUCAUAUAGCCUCCCUGCUCUUACAGUUUCAGUCUCUUUAACUAAUCGCAAGCCCAUCUUCUCUGCAAUUUCUUCACCAGCGUCGUCUUUCCAACCCCACCCAUCCCGUAGACCCCAAUCAUGUUGAAUUUACGGUUGCUGAGUGCGUCUAGUAUCUCCUUCAAAGUGCACUUCCUCGAUUGAAAGUGCACGAAACCCUGGGUAGACUUAAGCCAUGGCUCUUCUGGAAUGGUUCGAAAAGAAACACUGUCCAAUCUCCCUUUUUCAAGGAGUUCAACAAUAGCAUUCACCUCCCUCACUGCUUUCUUGCUAAGCUGGUACCGAGUCUUCAAAUCAGGGCAUAACCCCUUCAAACACCGGUUGUUUGAAUUCUCUUUGUAUCCAAUAAGUUCUCCGACUUCAUUGAUGAGCCUGUGCGCACUAAUCAGCCACUCCGCAACUUUCGGUAGAAUUCCAUCCCCAUUAUUUCUGGAAUCAUCAACUUUAUGCUGCACACUGUCUCUAGCAUUCUUUAGGUUACCAACUUCAUUCUUCAGCUUCUCGAAGUUGGUCUUGUAGCUGCGGCAGUAAGUAAAUGGGUGAAAAAUGGGACCAACCAAGUUCUUUGAAGCUUUUGUAACAAUGGAGAUAACAAUUUCCAUUAUCCUUUUUUUUCCCCCCGCUUUCAGAAAACAGGGAAAAGCAAAACUAAUCAAACUAAGCAGAGCUAAUCAAUCGGCUGGGAAUUUGGAUAAAUUGCUGAAAUAAGAAGUUGUCCGAAUGAAAUUGAUGAAACAAAUAUUUAAGGGAGAAGGAGGGGAAAGGAGUGAAAAAUCUAGAGAUGAAGCGAAGAGGAGACAAAUUAAAAAGUGAGUGCAAUGAAAGAUUUGCAAAGAAGGUAUGGGAGGACAAGGAUGAUUCAGACAAGGGAAACAGAAUAUGAAGAAAGGGAUUUCAGAGAACUCUAAAGAUUAGGGAAGAAUGAUGAUUAGGAAAAUGAAGAGGCAGACAGUUGUGAUCUCGAGACUCAAGGGGUAAACUGAAUCAUGCAAAAAUGCCAAACUAAAUUCAUACAAGGAGAAGACUCGUGCUUCCAAGUCAACUAGAUUCUCCAUAAGUAAAUAGCGUUAAAGUCGCAGGUUAAAUGCUAAAUGGCAUUUUGGCAUUUCGUUGAAUUUUCUUGUUACCAGUAAGUGCUGUGCUGCCGACAUUUUUCAACUUGUAAUUGUAAGACUUUCCAAGCAAUUUUUGUGGUAGUUUUAAUUAAUUUUAAUUGUAUAUCAAAUAUUUUAUUACUGUAAUUUAAAAAUCACAAUUGAUAAACAACAAUAGUAGAGAGAACGUUAAAUAGUUUGAGAAUGAUUUUUUAUUUAGGGCAUGUUUGUGAUUGCUUUACGAACAAUCAAAAUGCUAAUUCUAUUAGCCAAUAAACACAAGCGCUUUGUCAAGAACAUUACGCGAAGAACCCUUUAUAUAAAUAGCAAUCAUGUAAUUACGGAAGGCUUAUCCUAAUUACAUUUUAGUUACAUUCAAUAACAAAUUAACAACAAUAUUACUUAAAAAUUUUCGUUUGGCAAUGAGUAUAUUGGAGGUAGCAUAAAAAAAUCUGAAAACUUUGCAAACUUUUUAUGAAAAUGCAUUAGAGUUGUUAUGUUCUUUCACUGUUGAUAAUGGAAAUAUAAUGCAGGCCAAGAGACCCAAAGUGAAAGUGACCCAUGUGCUUUUCUAAUUACUCUGCUAUAAAGCCAAAGUUUGCGGACUUUAUGAUUUUUUUUUUCAGAAAUAGAUAUGCAAAUAAAUUGAAAAGAAAAAAAAAAACCCUGUUGCGUGGUCAUGUGGGUCCUCGAAAUCAUUUCGGCAUUUAAUCGAACAGUUGGAUGUACUCGGCAAGACGGCAACUAUACUUCCUCGAAGGUUCCUGGAUGUUGCAAGUGCUGCCGGCAUUUUCAAACUCGGAAGGUUUCAAUAAUUUUUUUUCUUUGAAAUAAAGGUUUCAAUAAUUAGCUUUGAUUAUUGUGUAAUAUACGAUAAUCUAGUGAUGAUGGUCACUUAUAUAUGUGAUUAAAAGCUAAGCUGGUUGAUUUGUAAGUAAGAACACACGGCAAAGUAUUUGAGCAAGCAUUUUUAUCUUCUUAUUACCACAUUCUUCUAACCAAUUUGCUUUCACCAACAAAAUAAUUAAUAAUUUGUAAAUAGUUGGAUCUUAAGCUCAGAUUUUGACAAUACAUGAAUGAUAAUAUAUACUUAUUUUCCAAGAGUAUACUCUAUUCAAGAGAGGAUCUCAAAUUUUUAUUAGAGAAGAUCAUAUUUAAAGCUCAAGUGCAAGAAUAAUAAUGGUUGCGUUGACUGGAGAACAUCAAAUACAAACAAAGACCAUGCUAAAGGAAAAGCAAAAGCUGGCGAGAUUGAUAAAGAAAGACUAAUAAAGCUUUCCUUUCAGCAUUAAUCAUGAUUAUUGGAUGAACUAGAGGUGAUCACUGUUUUAUAUUUUUAGUGCAAAAUAGAAUACACUGCAAGAGCUGAUGGCUUUCUUUGUUGUCCUCUUAUUGUCACGUAUUUUGUAGCUUUCUCAUUUUGAUUAGUUGUUCGCUCAAUAACCUAAAUGGGUCAGGGUUUUGAUGAAUUGAAAUUGACAUCAUUUCUGUUAAGAGUAGUUUGUUAUAGUUAGUUAUAGCUGCUGACUUAUGCUGACGUGUUAGAUGAGCUAAUAAUUGUUAGUUAUAUUGGUUGUAGUUUGUUAGUAAUCUUUUAGCACAUGUAUAAGCUAAGCUCAGCUCGCGUGAAUUGAUUCCAGAAUAUUCAAGAGCUUAGUAUAAAUACUCUUGUAACAAAUACAACAAUUAAUUCUAAGCUCUCCAUUCUUCUUUCAAACUUUCUUUCGUUUUCUCUGUUUUUCUCAGAUGCUAAACACUUUUCUUAUAUUUUAACUUGGUAUCAGAGCUUCAAUCUUCAAUUCUCAUGGCAUCAUCAAGCUCAAACUCAAACACAAACUCAAUUAUUUCAUCAUUUACUUUCAUCUCACCGAUCAAACUUGAUCGUUCAAAUUAAACAAUCUGGAAGUCUCAAAUUCUUUCAUUUGUUCAAGCCAAUGGUCUAGAAGAUUUGCUUGAUGGAUAAAAAACCUAUCCAGAUCAAUUUCUUCAAGGUGAAACUGAAAACGCCUCUGCUAAUACUCAGCUAAAUCCAGCAUAUACUACAUGAGAGGGAAAGGGUCAGUUGCUACUGAACUGGUUGAUGUCAUCUAUCAGUAUUGAGAUUCUGAGUCUUGUAGUAAACUCUGAAACUUCUCUAGAACUUUGGACUAGUUUGGAACAACAGUUUGGAUUUGAAACUUUUGCUAAGAAAAUUCAUCUAAAAAAUGAUGCUUAAUAACCUUAAAAAAAGUUCGAUGACAGUCACUGAAUUUUUUGGCAAGUUAAAAACAAUUACUGAUGAGUUAGUCAUUACUGGUAAUCCAAUAAGUUCUCUGGACUUUCUUACACACCUGAUUUCUGGAUUAGGUCAGCCUUAUUAUCCUGUUGUAGUUUAUCUUGAAGCAAAUCUUGUUAAGAUCUCUAUCAAUGAGGCAUAUUCUAUGUUAUUAACUCAUGAAGUUAGUCUAUAGGCAAAUCAGUUAAGUGCAAGCAAGGAAGUUAAGUUGAACUAUACUGCAAAUAUUGCUCAAACUGGAUCUAGAUCUAAUAAUAACAAGAAACAAGGUGGUCAAUUCAAUAACAAUUGGACUGGUGGUCAAUUUAACAAUAAUUGGAACAAGAAUGCUAGCUUUAGAGGUGGAUAUGCUGGAGGCAAAGGUGGUUAUGGUAGAAAUUUUUCACAAGGAUAACGAAGAGGAAACUGGAAUGGUGUGCCAUUUGGAAAUUUUUCACAAGGAGGCAAAGGAAGUAAUUACAAUGGCAAUCCUAGUCAAAAUGAGGGAUUUACUAGUGGAUUUACUAAUGGCACAGGUGUUAUGGAUCAGGCUACUGCCACUGUAAUUUGCCAGAUUUGCUUUAAACCUAAGCGCACUGCAGCUGAGUGCAGAAACUGAUUCAACAAGGAUUAUGUUCCUUUCAACAAUCCAUUUCAGAACUCAUCAAGAAUUGCCCAUCUUACAACUUCAGAAGGGGCAAUAGCUGAUCAAGGAUGGUAUAUCGAUAGUGGUGCCACAUAUCACAUCACUAACAACUUACAAAAUCUACAAAUUGGAAGUGAGUAUUCAGGUAAUCAGCUGCUCCUUGUAGGUAAUAGUCAGGGUUUACAUAUUUCACAUAUUGGCUAUGCAUAUCUUCAAACAUCAUGCAAUACAACUUUAUACUUAAGAGAUACUUUGUGUGCUCCUAAACUUACUAAAAAUCUCAUAAGUGUUUCGAAAUUGCUUGAAGAUAACAUUGAUGUAACCAUUGAGUUUGUUGCCAAUAUGUGUUUUAUAAAAGAUAAGAGGAAGGAACGACAUCUGGCUCAAGGGAUUGCUAGAGGAGGAUUGUAUCUGUUGUUGUCAAAGAAUGACUUUGUUUCGAAUUCUAGUUGUCUCACUUAUGCACCUAGCUCUAUGCUUUCUGUUUUGAAUAAUUCAGCUUGUAAAAUUUUUGAUACUGCUACAAAUAAAGUUUGUAAUCCACAAUGUCAAAUGAACACAACCAAGAUAACAAACUUGUUUCAUCAGAAAUUUGGUCAUCCUAAUAAACAUGUGUUGAAAUCCAUUUUAUCUUCUCUUUCUAUUGAGUACUCAUCUAUAUCAGCACCUGAUUUUUGUGAUGCCUGUCAAUAUGGUAAAGUCCCUCAAAUGCCCUUUUACACAACUAGAAUCAUAACUAAAGCUCCUUUAGAGCUUAUCCACACUAAUCUUUGGGGUCCAACACCCUUACCAUCUCUACAUGGCUAUAGUUAUUACAUUAGCUUUGUAGAUGACCAUAGUAGAUAUUGCUGGAUUUUUCCAUUGACCCUCAAAUUAGAAGCAUUAGGCACUUUCAAAUUCUUCAAAACCUUAGUCAAAAAAUAGUUUGGCUACACUCUAAAAUCACUGCAGUCUAAUUGAGGGGGUGAGUAUAGAAGCUCUCAAAGUUUCCUUGAAGAAGAAGGGAUAAGGUUUAGACAUAGUUGUCCUCACACACACCAUCAAAAUGGUGUGGUUGAAAGAAAACAUAGACACUUGGUUCAAACAGGACUUACCCUUCUGACACAAGCCAAAAUGCCUCUGUCUUUCUGGUGAGAAUCAUUCCAUACAGCUUCCUUGUUAACAUAUAUGUUUCCAUAAUGUUGAUUUUGAUGAUAACAAAUAAGAUUAAGAGUGAUAAAUCUUUUAAGCUCAAAUUAUUUUUUAUACAUUUUAAAUAAAUCAUUAUUUUUACAUUAUAAAGGUUUUAUAUUUAAUGGAAAAAUGAUUUUAUGAAAUUGAUUGUUUUUAUUCUUUUUAAAUAAAUCAUUAUUUUUGCAUUAUAAAUGUUUCAUAUUUAAUGGAAAAAUGAUUUUAUGAAAUUGGUUGUUUUUCAAAGUUUAUGGUUUAAUUGAAAGAAUUUUGAAAACUUUGAAAUAAACAAGUAUUGCUUGAAAUUUUAGAGAAGGACUUAUUUGAAAAGUAUCAUAGCAUUUUGGGCUAUACCAUAAUUUCAAAAAAUUUUGGGAUUAACAAAGCAUUAUUUAGAAAUUCUGGAAUCGGACCUAUUUACAAAGUUUUAUAAUAUUUUGGGUCGUAAUACAGUUUUAUAAAGUUUUGGGGUCAAACUAUAAAUUUGGGAAAUAUUUCACUGUAGCAGUUACUGUAGUAGCUACUGUAGAAAACGGCGAUCCGACAUCUUGAUAACGGCUCGCCGAUAUCUAACAGAGUUGAAGAUUAGCCUCUGGACCUAAACGGCGAUCCGACAAUUGUGAUAAACGGCUCGCCGAUAUUUAACAGAACUGAAGAUCAGCCUCUGGACCUAAACGGCGAUCCGACAUCUAGAAUAAACGGCGAUCCGACAAUUUGAAAAAUCAGCCCAACGGUCAUAUUGACCAGUCAAACGGCGAUCCGACAGUGUGCAGACAGUCUAUAACGGCUAGUUUUCAGCUGCAGCUAUAAAUAAGCUCAUUCAAAUUCAAACAAAGGUUAAUCACAACACGACUAUUGAGCUUAUAUCCGAGAAUACAAUCUUCAUAGAGCUUUAAACACAUUCUCUCUUCAUCUAUUCACAUAUUGGGCAUUGAUUUGUAAUCUUAAAUAUUGUGUGAGAGAAAAACAAUUUGUAAUCUUUUACUUUGAGUGAUUGUAAGUGUUGGGAUACACUUGGGUUAAGAGAUUGGGGAUAAUCUCUUGUUGUAAAGGUCCAUUGACACCUUGGAAGUCAAUUGUAAGCGUUUGAAGCCUUGGGAGGCUAGCUUAGUGAAAUCCUCAAGCCCGGUGAGCUUGGAGGCGUGGACGUAGGCGGGGAUUGCCGAACCACGUAAAAAUCCUUGAGUUUGCUUUCUCUUCCCUUGCUCAUUUAUUAUUGUGCUUUCAUUGAAUUUAUUGUUUUCAAAUUUAUUAAGGCAUUAGAUUGGAUUGUUGUGUGGUUUGCUUAGCUUAAUUUUUAAAUCCCAAUUCACCCUCCCUCUUGGGUUGCCUAGUUAGUAUUUCAUUUGGUAUCAGAGCGAGGUGCUCUUGUGUAGACUUAACGUCUAGAGUCAAAGAUCCAUAGCAACCCAAAUUAGCUCAACCAUCAUGGAAGGCCAAUCUAUCACUAGACCUCCAUUUUUCGACGGAAAUGAUUAUCCUUAUUGGAAAACUAGGAUGAGAAUUUAUUUACAAGCUUUAGAUUAUGAAAUUUGGGAAGUUGUUUGUGAUGAUUUACUCAUUCCUAGAAAGAAUGCUUUAAGUGAGUUGGAUAAGAAAAAGAUGUCUUUAAAUUCCAAGGCUAUGAAUGCUUUAUUUUGUGCCUUAGAUAAAAAGGAAUUUCAUAGAGUUUCAAAUUGUUCUAAUGCUUAUGAAAUUUGGAGAAAACUUGAAAUUGUGUAUGAGGAGACUACAAACGAGGAGAAUUUUCAUGAAGUGUCAAAUUUGGCACUUAUGGCAAUUGGAGAUGAAUCGGAUGAUGACCCAUGUGCUUUUCUAAUUACCCUGCUGAAAACUAUAAAGCCAAAGUUUGCAGAUUUUAUUAUCAAUUUUUUUUUUCAAAAUAGAUAUGCAAAUAAAAAGACAAAAGAUGAGACUUAUUAUAGUACCAGUGGCGGGCCCCCUGGGUCCUCAACUUCUUCAAAUGGGCAUUUUAAUAUAUUUACAUAUAAAUAAAUGAAUAUCUUAUGUAAUAUUCACUCCAUCAAGCAUGAAGUAUAUAAUUAAUUGAAUGUACAAGCAUCGGCAUUAGUUGACAGGAAAAGAGCUCGUUAAUAAAUUAUAUGAGUGAUAAUACUACUUGAAUCAAACUCACGUCCAAAGUUGGGACUCGCCUAUUGUGCAACAGUGGCACCAUGCCACCGUUUUUGUCUUUUUCUGUGUAAAAUUUCAUGAAGCCCUUUCACUUAUUCUUAUUUGAACUUUGCUUCACAAAUAUUAAGUUCAUUUCUCCCAAACUCGUGAAUCCUUCAACGGCCGAUCAACGGCAAAUCGGCUCCUCCAAUGGCUGUGGUUGGUCAGAAAAGACAAAGGGAACUGUGGAGAACAAAACCCAAGUGGUGGUGUCACCGGAAACCGGAGAAACCGCAGUGAAUUGAAGCGGGGAUUCUGUGACUUUUUGCGGCUUUGAUCAACAGCUUUCCGAAUGCUUUACGGCAACAAGGAUGGCAUGAAGAUGACCAGCGUCGCACGAGCUUCCGAUCGGUACCAACCUUGGCUGGUGGAGUAGGCAGAAACGUAAAAAAAAUUUGGGUCGGGUUCACGAGUCAGGUUGACUCAGUUAUUUUUGCGACAAGGAUGGUGUGGAGAUGACCGGCAUCGCAUGAUCUUCCGAUCGGUACCAACCUUGGCCGGUGGCAUGGACGAAAAUGGAAACGAAAUUCGGGUCGGGUUCGUGGGUAUUUGUGAUAAAGAGAGGGGUAUUGUGAUAAAAGGUGCAAUAUAGAAGGAAAAUGUAUAAAUAGGAAAUAGUAUAAGGUGCUAAUUAUAAUGUUUAUAUGGAUGCAAUAGAAAUUAAUUUAAUAUUUAUGAGGUAAAGUUUAAAUAAAAAUGAAUGAAAGUGGUUCAAUGAAAUUUUACAACAAUGCUGGCACAAAAGACAAAACCAGUGGUACGGUACCACGGUGGUACCGUAGCUGGAUCCCCAAAGUUGAUAAGAGUUAAAUUAAAUAAAGCUUUGAUGAUUUAAUGUGCAUAAAAUUAUAAAUUUAUAAUCAUCAAAUGGAUCCACCUAUGUCACAAUAGUUGCACCAUACCACACUUUUUGUCUCUAUUUCGCAGAGCCGUAAGAUGUUUUAUUGUUCAAUCUAACUAUUGAUGCCAAAAUCGGCUCGUCCUUGGACCGACCAGAUUCGUUCACCAACGUUUAAGUUAUCCACUGCUGCACGAACCGCUAAGGCUGGAAUUACCCUCCUUUCUCUCACUAGACCUGCGUUCACCAAAAACAGAUCAGAGACGCCGGUGGUUUUGCCGGCGUAAACCCUCCGAUGCCUAAGUUAGCACAAGGUGUUUACGGGAAAACAGUUAAAUUUUGAUUCAACAGUGGUUCUAAUUUGUUCGAAGUUUGUAAUAAAAUUGUCUGGUUUCAAUUUGGCAGCGUUUUCCCUCUCCCAGUUUUGUUAUCUCCAUCUUCAUCGAUUUCUUCUUCUUUUAUAGCUGCUGUUUGUCCCACGUCUUCCGCUUACCCUCUAUCCCCCCUUUUCUCGGGUUGUGGCAGCCCCUCAUGGGGCUCUGACUGUUGCAUUGUGGCAAACGUGGGAUCUUAUGUGUCCUUCAACGGUUCCGGGAAAGGCGCAGCAGCCGCGAUUCUGUGGGAUCGUGUUCCCGCUUUUCUGGGGAGUGUGUAUCGGUUCGGUAUUAACAUCUGGUCGGCAUACGCUCCCGUGCUCUGCUCGUACCCACGGCUGAGGUGAUCCAUGCCGGGGUGGAGGUAGUAGCAUGGUCGACCUGGUGCUUUUAUUAACUUAACACCAGUCCCCCAGUUUCUGGUCUUGCGAGUGAAAUGAGUUAGGAGUAGAAACUGAUAGUCAAAUCUUACCAACCUGGGGAGCGUCUCGCCUGGUCUUCCGCUUACCAGGACAGAUCUCAGGUACCAUUUUCCUUCUAGGGAGAUUCCGACCUGAGCAUGGGCCUAAAUGAGCCUGUCCGUUGCAUAUCUGGGCUUUCAUCUAACCCGGUCUCUUGUAACGGUUGGUGACGUGGUGCUUCCCGACUCUUCGUAUUUGAAAUUUGAAACGACGGGCUAUCCGUCCUCGAUAUAUGGGGGGGUGAGCUGGCAUAUCCCAUCACUUAAAUGCUUCCAUUUCCCCCUUUUCGUUUUAAAUCCCUAGACUGGAGUCUUCACCAUCUUGUUACUCGUUUCUCCGCCGUUAACCAAAUUUUCUCUGAACUUUGCUCACACUUCCAGCGUCCGGAGUAUCCAUUUGCUGGGUGUUUUCUCUGUUACGGCAGCGCUAUCAGUGUCAGUCUAUUCCAGGUAUAGCCUUUAACCUUUUCUUCGGCUGUUGUUGAUUGGGUUCUGUGUUGCCCCUUUGUGUCCAUAUACUCGAGUUUUCUCUGUUUUCUUUUGGGAUUCCGGUAUGUCAAAUCGGAAGAGGAAGUUAAUUGUUGAUGAGGGUGAUGACGAAUCAGGGGAUUCAGGCCUCAACGUGCCAAUACCCACCGAUUUUUUAGGUCCCUCCAGUAGUGUAGGUCCUCCCCAUGGUAGGGAUACCCUUGAUUACCUACGCCCCCUGGUUGUCUCUCCCUCUCCCGAAUUAGAGCUUGUAGGAAAUAGGGGUGGACCUGCGUCGGGCUCUGGUGAGAACCACAGCUUUGGUGGGGUUGGGAUCCCUGAAGGAGUUGGUGAUGGUGAGGGGGAGCAGUUCCGGACCGAGCAGACCUGCUCAGAAAAGGAACCUAGGCCAUAGGGUGGAGGUUGAUUCCUACCCUAUUGAUUUCAUGGCUUGUGCCACCACCCCCACCGAUCUAUUUAAACUUAGGAAUCUCUACAACAUCCCCAACGAGGUUCUUCUUGUAGUUCCUGGAAAAGGUGAUGUCCCUAGUCGGCCUCCGAAAGGGUAUGUGACGAUGCACUUGGAGAGUUUCAGACUAGGAGCUCGGCUGCCCCUUCAACCUUACUUUGCCAAGAUACUGGGCGGUAUGCACCUGGCCCCAGGUCAGCUACACCCAAAUGGGUGGAGGGUUCUCUCGGCAAUGUUUGUGUUGUGGGAGAGGUGCGGGUCGGAGGAGCCUUCUCUUGUUGAAGUGAAACAUCUGUACCAGUUGCGGAGUAGCCCGAAAGAGGCAGGCUGGUACUAUUUCAUGUCCAGUUCCGCAAAGAGGAAACCGAUCACUGGGUUUCCAUCUUCAUGUAAAAAUUGGAAGAAUAAAUUCUUCUUUGCUGGAGGGAACUGGUGUCCAGCGGUUCGGUCGCUUGGUGGGGAGAUUUAUCUUCCCACCCAUUUUGUCACCCCAGGUCGUUCAUUUUUUGCCUAUAUUCUUUCUCAAAUUGACACUCAUUGGGUUCUUUAACCUUGUUUGUUUUUUCAGAAUCGUGGGGUUUGGUGAAGGACCUUGAAGACCGACCUUUGCUUCAGGUGGAAACUGCUCUGUUGAACGCGUCUACUUGCCAAGACCUCCUGUCGCCAACAAACUUGGUCGGUUCCCGCUUAGUCGAUAUUGCCGCUGGAAUGGAUAACAAGAUCCUCAGCGCGUUGAGCAGAAAGCGUGGUCGGGCUCCGAGUAGCUCCAGCAACCCUCCUCCUCCUCCAAAGAAACCCAGCGUCGGUCCUUCCAAGGUGCCAGUUCCUGCUCUGCCCCCUCCUCCACCUCGUAAGAGUGGUGGGGAUAAAACCUCCGACAAGAGUCCUGAGGUCAGCUUGCAGUCUGGGGACCGCUCUUCUCCUCUUCCAUCUCGGGAUCAGGGUGACUACCUAAGCCCAUAUCAGAAGGAUUAUAGAAAAUCGGUUGGGCCCAAGAUGGUGAAGGACAUCGAGAGCAUGAGCCUCUCCGAGUUAACUGCUUCUGUUCAAAGAGUCUCCUUCAGGCUGGCCACAAUGGUCUCGUGCUACAAGACCGGGUCCGCGCGUCAUGAGAGGAAGCUUCAAGCUGAUAACCAGGAGUUGAAAAAGAAAGUUGAAUCUGCUGACCGCUCCAAGGAGAAACUGGCCGAGCUGAACAAGCAGCUUACGGAGCUUGAGGAGAAAGUUGCUGUUGCUGAGUCCACUUCCUCCAAGCUUGAGGGUGAGUUGGGUGAUCUGAAGUCCGAUCUUCAGGCUACCCAAAGUGAAAAGGAUACUCUGAGGAUCGCCCUUGAAGGAGAGAUCAACUUCCUGAAGGACAGCUGGCUGAGGAGAAAAGCAAAUCCGCUGACGUGGAUGAUCGGCUGGAUGCCGAGUAUGACUCCGGGGUUGCUUUCAGCUAUAAGUGCAUCAUGUCUGUGCUUAAGGAAGAAUACCACGAGCUCGACAUGAGCAAGCUGGAAUCUGGGGUGGAGAGGUAUAUGGCUGGGGCCGGCCAGGGAGAUAAGGAGCAGGUGGAGGUUCCUUUUGAUGAGGUGCGGGAGGGAGGAGCUGGUCAGUGUGUUUUUUAAGUGGGACAAGGGUCUGUGCCUCCUCCUCCCGUUAUUGCUGAUCUUCCACCUCCCGAGAUAGCCGACCCUUCUCCUACUGAGGCCGUUGACCUUCCUAAUCCUUAGGUCUAUUUUUGUAAAAACUCUAGAUUGUUAUUCGCUUUGUAAACAUUUGAACAUUUAUAAAUUUUUAAAUGCUCUCUAUUGGCUUUCUUGUCUGGUUUUGCUCACGGGUUGCUUCUGCAAAACAACUUGGCAAUUUAUCUGAUUUUGCCUGUUGGUUCUUUAGUGCAUUGAGCAGGAAUAGGCAUCCGUUUGCCUUAGCGAAAUUUUCGCAAAAUUGCCUGCUGGUCUUCGGUGACCGAGCAGGAUUGGACACUUAUUUGCCUUAGUAGAAUUGUCGUAAAUUUAACUGCUGCUUUUCGUUGACCGAGUAGAGGUAGGCACUUGCCUUAGUAGAGUUUUCGUAGCUUUAGCUGCUGAUCUUUUACUUCACCGAGCAGAAGUAGGCACCGAUUUGCCUUAGUAGAAUUUUCGUAGCUUUAGCUGCUGGUCUUACGUUGACCGAGCAGAAGUAGGCACUGAUUUGCCUUAGUAGAAUUUUCGUAGCUUUAGCUGCUGGUCUUACGUUGACCGAGCAGAAGUAGGCACUGAUUUGCCUUAAUAGAAUUUUCGUAGCUUUAGCUGCUGGUCUUACGUUGACCGAGCAGAAGUAGGCACUUAUUUGCCUUAGUAGAAUUUCCGUAGCUUAAGCUGCUGGUCUUUCGUUGACCGAGCAGAAGUAGGCACUGAUUUGCCUUAGUAGAAUUUCCGUAGCUUAAGCUGCUGGUCUUUCGUUGACCGAGCAGAAGUAGGCACUGAUUUGCCUUAGUAGAAUUUUCGUAGCUUUAGCUGCUGGUCUUUCGUUGACCGAGCAGAAGUAGGCACUGAUUUGCCUUAGUAGAAUUUUGGUAGCUUUAGCUGCUGGUCUUUCGUUGACCGAGCAGAAGUAGGCACUGAUUUGCCUUAGUGAACUUUCAAGAAUUUAGCUGCUGGUCUUUCGUUGACCGAGCAGAAGCAGGCACUGAUUUGCCUUAGUGAACUUUCAAGAAUUUAGCUGCUGGUCUUUCGUUGACCGAGCAGAAGCAGGCACUUGCCUUAGUGAAAUUUUUAUUGAUCUUGCUAGCAGGGGGAUUUCAUGUUGAAUUCAUCUUUAUUGAAAUUUGAAUGUAUUACAAAAAACAUAGAAUAUAUGCAUGUGCGACAGGCCAUCGGGCAUUGUAACAGAAAUAACUUGCCAGAGUGAGGAUUUAAUAGAGCAUUUUGCUUACUGGAAAUACUUCUUCAGGUGUUCGGCGUUCCAUGACCUCUUCACGUCUCGUCCGUCUUGGCACGCUAAUUUAUAUGCUCCUGGUCCAGUGGCUCGUAUCACUCGGUAUGGGCCUUCCCACUUUGGGCCAAGAGCGCCAUGGUUAGGAUUCCUGGUGUUCUGGUUCACCUUCCUAAGUACCCAAUCUCAUGCUCGGAACUGCCUCACGCGUAAAUUCUUGUUGUAAUAACGCAUGACCCUUUGCUGACAUUGGGCCACUUUCUGCGAGGCCUCUUCCCUUUUCUCCUCCAGCAGGUCUAGGCUUAAGCAGAUCUGCUCGUCAUUUUGCUCCUCAACGAAAUGUUCUGUUCGAUGUGUCCCCACUCCAAUUUCCGCUGGGGCUACCGCCUCAUGACCAAAAGCUAAAGCAAACAGGUUUCCCCUGUGGCGGUUUUGUGGGUUGUCCGAUAGGCCCAUAAUACCCCUGGUAGUUCGUCAACCCAAGCUCCCUUCUUCUCUCCCAAUCUAGUUUUCAAGAGCUUCUUUAUUACUUUGUUAGCUGCCUCCACUUGUCCGUUUGCCUGGGGGUGCGAGGGGGUGCAAAACUUCAGGUCCACCCCCAGAUUCCGACAAAAUUCUCUGAAGUUGUUGUUGUCAAAUUGCCUCCCAUUGUCGGUAAUAAUGGCAUAAGGGAUUCCGUAUCUGCAGAUGAUAUUCUUCCAAAUAAAAUCUGUUGUCUUUCUUUCCGUGAUUUGGCUGAGGGUCCCCACUUCUAUCCACUUGGUGAAGUAGUCUAUUGCUACAAUCGCAUGGGUUGCCGCUCAUCGGCCUUUCGGUAACGGACCAAUCAGUUCUAUUCCCCAUUGAGCAAAUGGCCAUGGGGAUGUCAUAGUAGUCAGCUUUUCUGGGGUUGUGUGGGAACCUCUGAAAAGCUUUGGCAGAUAUUGCACCUCUUUGUCAUCCAUUUUGCAUCCUGGUGCAUGGUCGGCCAGAAGUAUCCUUGCCGGAGUGCCUUGAAGGCUAAAGCUCUGGCUCCUGAAUGAUUUCCACAUAUCCCUUCAUGAAUCUCCCUUAGUACAUAGUUUACCUCCUCGUCAUCCAAACAUCUCAAAAGGGGUAAGGUGAACCCUCGGCGGUAUAACACUCCAUCUAGUAGCGUGUACCUCGCUGCUCGGCAUUUUAACUUUCUUGCUUGCCUUUUGUCUUUCGGUAAAACUCCGUCGCGGACAUACGCGCAAAUCGGGUCCAUCCAGGAUUCUCCAGCGCUUACUCUCAUCACCUCUACUUCCUCCCCUAUACUCGGCGAGGUCCUCACCUCUAGUGGAACCGACUUAGGUAAUUUUGGAUCUGCAAUUGCAGCCAUCCUAGCCAACAUAUCCGCUCGGUAAUUCUCAUUCCGAGAUAUCUGCUUUACUUCCACCUCUUGGAAAAGCCCGACCAUCUGCUUCGCUUUUUUUAAAUAAAGACCCAUCUUCUCUCCCCUUGCUUGGAACUGAUCAUUGAGCUGAUUACAUACCAAUUGGGAAUCUGCUCGGAUUUCUACCCUUUCUGCUCUCAAAGCGUGUGCAAGCCCGAGCCCGGUGAUAAAGGCUUCAUACUCAGCUUGGUUGUUUGUGAGCUGAAAUUCGAACUUCACCGCAUAUGUUAUCUCGGUUCCCUCUGGGCUUCGUAUUACAACUCCUGCUCCGGAUCCUUGCUCACUACAUGAUCCGUCAACCAUUACCAGCCAUAUCCCCUUUGAAUCAUGUUGCUCUGCCGGUUGUUCCUCUUGGACCUCUUCCCCCGGUUCAACACGGUCCACCAUAAAAUCUACCAGGGCUUGGGCCUUGAUUGCUCCUCGGGGCCUGUAGGACAGGUCAAAUUCGCUCAGCUCCAUGGACCAUUUUACUAACCGACCAGACACAUCUGGUUUUUGAAACACUUGCCGAAGUGGCUGGUCAGUCAUCACAACGAUCUGGUGGGCUUGGAAGUAUGGUCGGAGUUUGCGUGCUGCCGUUAUCAAAGCCAGCGCCCACUUCUCCAUUAGCGGAUAUCUGGUUUCUGCAUCCACCAGGGCCUUGCUUGUGUAGUAUACCGGGUGUUGCUUCCCUUCUUCUUCCCUGACUAAGACCGAGCUGGUAGCCUGCUUAGAGAUUGCCAAGUACAAGAGCAGCUGAUCACCCUCUCUCGAAGUUGAUAGUAACGGGGCGCGGGCUAGGUAUUCCUUCAGCUGUCCAAAUGCCCCCUCGCAUUCCGGUGUCCAUUCUAGCUUCUUCCCUUUCUUUAUGACUUGGAAGAAAGGGUGGCACUUAUCAGUGGCUCGCGAAAUGAAUCGGUUCAAUGCUGUCAAUUUCCCCGUAAGGCUCUGCACCUCCUUAACUGUUCGUGGGGACCUCAUUUCUAUUACCGCCCGUAUUUUUUCUGGGUUGGCUUCAAUACCCCGAUGGCUCACCAGGUAUCCCAAAAAUUUGCCCGAGCCGACCCCAAAUGCACAUUUCUCCGGGUUCAGCUUCAUUUCGUACCUCCUCAGCAAUUCGAAAGUCUCCUCCAAGUGCUUCACAUGAUCUCUCGGGUCUCUUGACUUGGUGAUCAUAUCGUCCACAUAUACUUCCAUAGUGUGACCGAUCAAUGGUUUGAAGACCUUGUUCACUAACCUUUGAUAGGUAGCUCCUGCAUUUUUCAGGCCAAAGGGCAUCACCCUGUAACAAAACAGACCCAUGUUAGUUAUAAAGGUGGUGCUUUCCUCAUCCUGCUCGUUCAUGGGUAUCUGGUUGUAUCCGGAGAAGGCAUCUAUGAAACUGAGCAGACUAUGACCCGCGGUUGAGUCCACCAACUGAUCUAUUUUUGGUAGGGGAAAUCUAUCCUUCGGGCAUGCCUUAUUAAGGUCCGUGAAGUCUACACACAUUCUCCACUUCCCAUUGGCCUUCUUUACCAGUACCACAUUGGAAAUCCACUCCGGGUACUUGGCUUCCCUUAUAAAUCCUGCUUUUAGCAGCUUUUCCACUUCGGCAUUUAUGGCCUCGUACCUUUCAUGAUUGAAGCACCUCCUUUUCUGCCUCACCGGCCUUGCCCCUCUCUUGACCGCCAGCUUGUGACAAGCUAUCCCGCGGUCAAUACCUGGCAUAUCCUCAUGAGACCAGGCAAAUAUGUCUGCAUGGGACUGUAGACACUUCACCAGCUCGGCCUUUAUUGCUUCGCCCAAUUCUGAUCCGAUCUUAACAACUCUGCUAGGGUCACUCCUGCUUACAACAACUUCCUCCAGCUUCUCAACAGGUUCCUGACGACCAUUUUUUGAAUCCCCUCGGUUAUCUAGAGAGGUAACCUGCAGCGUUUCCUUGGCCGCUGUAGCAUAGCAGCUCCUGGCCAUUCUCUGGUCGCCCUUUACCACACCCACAACUCCAUUUAUUCUGUACUUCAUCGCCAGAUAAUGCGUGGACAUUACACAUUGGCUUAUCCUCAUGAACGGUGUCCCCAAUAUCAUCUGGUAAGGACUUCUUUCCUCUACCACUACAAAGUCCAACAUCAUCGUUCUUUCAAAUGGCUUUGUCCCCACAGUAAUCGGGAGUUCAAUGACCCCCAUGGGAGUUAACCGUCCCCCUCCAAAUCCCUUCAAGGAUGUAUUCGUUCGCUCCAGCUUGAAGUCUAAAAUCCCCAUAUCAUCUAGGGCCGACUUAAACAGAAUGUCUACUGAGCUGCCCGUAUCUACCAGUAUUCGUCGCAAUUCUGUACUGGCCACCAAUGCUUUAAUCACCAGUGCAUCCUCGUGAGGGUACAAAAUGCCCUCUUCGUCGUCCUCUGUCCACAUAAUAGGAACUUGCCGCACUUUUGCCCUAUUGGCUACUGGCAAAUUGAGAAGCACUUCCUUGCCAGUCAUGGCAUAUCUCCUAUAGUUUUUUCGUGCUCUGUUUGAAUCCCCGGCCAAUGUUGGCCCUCCUGCUAUCACCUGGAUAGUCGGCUGUUCUCGUUCCAAACCCCUUUCAACUCCUUCAUCCUGUGCAUAUUGCGACUCACUGACGGGCGACACUCUAUCUACGUACUCACCCAAGUACUGGUUCCUCACCAAAUCCUCCACCUGAAUCCUUAGGUCACGGCAUUGGCUGAUGGUAUGACCGUGAGUAUUGUGAAAUUUGCAGAACCUGCUCUUAUCACGCCGGUGAGCGGGUUUCGUUAUAGGGGCCGGAGUAUACAGCAGUCCUCGUCCCUCGAUCCUUUCAUAUAGUUCCUCCAUGGAGAUUUUUAAUGGAGUAUAUUGUCUAUAUGCCGCGCUCUGGUCAACCAACUGAACUGCUCGGCUAUGAUGGAUGUCACCUCGGUCUGGUAUAGCCGGUAGCUGCUCUGGUCGGCCAGACCUGUAAUUAGUUGCAUUUACCGCUCUGGGGGUGCUGUGAUAAGGGUGAGCAGUCAUCUGCCUGAAUUCUCGCUGCCGCUCUGGGAUCGGGGGGCGCGGAGGUUGAGCCCGGCUGUGUUGGAACUGUUGUGCUCUCUGAGCUAUGGGGUAAGGGCGAGACCGAACUGAUAUUCCGCCCAUCCCUGAAGAUUCUCCAGUUCGCUUUCCCGACCCGCUCCCUUUCGGGGCUCUCCGUUCCCUUCGCCUCAGCUCUUCUAGCUGUUCACUUUUAAUUCUUGCUGAUUUCUCCUCUUCUAUUUCUAUAUCUCAUCUCGCCUGCUCAUACCCCGACGAGUAAUUCUGUACGAGGGGGCUUCUUAAGUUAUACCACAAUCGGCCGAUUCUUACACCUUCUUUUAAUCCCCUCAAUGCCUGCGGGUGAUUAAAAGCUCCCAAAUCCAGCACGGCUCGGUGAUAUCGUUUUACGAAAUCUCGAAGGGAUUCAUUCUCCUCCUGCUUCAUCCCCAUCAAUUCCAUCAUGUCAUCCUCUGGGGCCACUGCCCCUCGGAACUGCUCGGCCAACUCCUGGCACAUCUGCUCAUACCCCUUUAUUCCUCCUCGGGGCUGCUUGCGGUACCAUUCUCGGGCUCGUCCCUCUAGUGUCAACGGGAACACCCUGCACCUCUGAGCUGGUGUCAGCCCCUGCACACCCGUCAUGUCGUUGAAACGCUCAAUGUGCACCAACGGGUCACUUCGCCCGGAGUAUUUGAGGUCGGGGAAGCGGAAAUCUCUUGGGAUUAUGGUACUCAUGAUCUUAGUUGAUAACGGGGAUUCUUCAUCUAGCAUUAUCCUCCAGCUCGGGGGCUUUCUCUUGCCCUGCAUCUCCUCUAUCACCUGCGCCAAUCUGCGCACCUCCCCCUCCAAUUCUAUAGCACGAUCAGGAUCAUGUGCAGCUAUCUGGUCUCGCUCCUGCUCGACGUUCUGCAACCGCUGUCUGAGCUCUCCUUCAUCAACACUGGCCCCUCGGCCAUUUAUUUCCAGUACCCGUCUGGGGCGAGGUUGGUCUCUCCCUUCAUCCACGUGUUCCCCUGGGACCCGACCAGUACUUCGGUGAGGAUGCACUCCGUUAGGUUGGUCUGCGGGCGGGGGGAUUUCCCCGACCCUACGCCCCCGGAGGCUGGGUUCUGCUCCAACUCCAUCUCUUCCCACGGGGGUUUCACAAUCCCUUCUCUGCUCGUCCCUCAGCUCAAACAAUACAGCCGCGAGAGUCUCCAUUUGUUUCUCCAUCUGCUCCAGUCUAUCUUGCAUCAUCCUCUCUCGGGCUUCAUUUGCAAUCUCCCGGAGAGUGAUUGUCUCCACCGUUUCAUUGCCCUCCCUUAAAGUAUCCUUUCUUGACGCAUCCAUAUCCAAUCGUUCGCUGCUUCUCCGGUACUUACUAAUUUGGUGGUAGCUUUUUAUUCAGCUCCCCACAGACGGCGCCAAAAUGUUGAUGCCAAAAUCGGCUCGUCCUUGGACCGACCAGAUUCGUUCACCAACGUUUAAGUUAUCCACUGCUGCACGAACCGCUAAGGCUGGAAUUACCCUCCUUUCUCUCACUAGACCUGCGUUCACCAAAAACAGAUCAGAGAUGCCGGUGGUUUUGCCGGCGUAAACCCUCCGAUGCCUAAGUUAGCACAAGGUGUUUACGGGAAAACAGUUAAAUUUUGAUUCAAGAGUGGUUCUAAUUUGCUCGAAGUUUGUAAUAAAAUUGCCUGGUUUCAAUUUGGCAGCGUUUUCCCUCUCCCAGUUUUGUUAUCUCCGUCUUCAUCGAUUUCUUCUUCUUUUAUAGCUGCUGUUUGUCCCACGUCUUCCGCUUACCCUCUAUCCCCCCUUUUCUCGGGUUGUGGCAGCCCCUCAUGGGGCUCUGACUGUUGCAUUGUGGCAAACGUGGGAUCUUAUGUGUCCUUCAACGGUUCCGGGAAAGGCGCAGCAGCCGCGAUUCUGUGGGAUCGUGUUCCCGCUUUUCUGGGGAGUGUGUAUCGGUUCGGUAUUAACAUCUGGUCGGCAUACGCUCCCGUGCUCUGCUCGUACCCACGGCUGAGGUGAUCCAUGCCGGGGUGGAGGUAGUAGCAUGGUCGACCUGGUGCUUUUAUUAACUUAACACUAACGACUACAAAUUUUUUUUAAAAAUCAAAUAGCUACUGAUCAACUGUGCAAUUGCUUUAUACAAUUAGGGUUCUUGCCUUAAUGAUGUCAUGGAGAUGGGUGAAUCAAUGGCCACCAGGCACCAAAUUCAUGACCAAUCAAUGACCAACAAGCACCAAAGUAAUGCCAAGCACACCAACAACCACCGAUUAAUGGCAAGCUUAGUGUUUAGAAUUUGGAGAAGCACUUGGUACUGUAUCGAGGUAUUAAAUCAUCAAAAACCAAUUUGGUUUGGACUCUUCAAUUUCAACUUGACUCCUACACCAAAGCCGCCCAACAACAACUCAACAACCGAAUCACUCGUCCUAAUAGCAUAACAAUCCAGUCGUCAGUUGCCUGCACAUGAGAGACCAUUUUCUAAUUUAUGAUCGAAAUUGUUGAAUUAAUUUUACAAUUCUCUUGUACCAAUUUUCAUCAUAUAUGUUGCCUCAAGAAGUGAAGAUUGAUGUCGGAAUCACUUUCAGUUUCAAUUACAUGAUGUUUGCGAUCUUCUUAUACCAAUUCGGUUUACAGUUGCCUUAAGUAUCCAUGUCCGUCAAAUCUUAUCUAUAUUAAAGUAACCGCCUAAACUGUUAACCAGUGGCUGUUUGAUUUUAAAAAAAUAUUUGCAGCCGUUAGAUUGAACAAUAAAGCAUCCGACGGCUCUGCCAAAUAGAGACAAAAAGUGUGGUAUAGUGCAACUGUUGUAACAUAGGUGGAUCCUCAUCAAUAUAUCUCGAGACUUUGUAAAGUUACUAUGAAAAUCCAUCACAGCUGUAGUUAUUAUGAUUUAUUUGGUCCAAAUAGUCUAAUGCCAGUGGCGUGACCUCGUGGGUCCUCAAAUUAUUCAAAUGGGCAUUUCAUCGAAUAGUUGAUAUACUCGGCAUCUGCAAUUGGAAGACACGUUCAAAAACUCUAAAUCAUGUUAAAGUCAACCAGAAAGACGAAACAUAGAAAGCAACAAUCCAACAACUUGUUUAAAAUAUUCGCUUCAACAAAUGGUUGCGUUGACGUGUAUUUUGGGGGAUCAUCAAAUAUAAACAAAGACCAUGUUAAAGACAAGCAAAAGCUGGCGAGAUUGGUACUGAUAUACUAAAAGAAAGACUAAUAAAGCUUUCCUAGCGGCAUCACUCGUGAUUAUUUGAUAAACUAGCGGUAAUAAAUGAUUAUAUUUUUAGUGGAUAACAGAGUACGUUACAAGAGCUGAUAACUGAUCGCUUUCUUUAUUUUUUGUCAAUAUUCAAGCAAAAAUACAAGUCAAUCAAAAUAACGUACCAUAUUAACAUUAAAUAAACAGAGAGGGAUAAGCUGGGCCAAGUCUUUAAAUCAGCUACGUCAUGGAAGAUUAAAAAAAUAGAUCAACUAGAAUAUAAUAUAAUGCUCUCACAUUUAAUUAAUUAGGAGGCUAAUGCACUAUAACUCAGCAUUAAUCAAAAUUAUUUCAUAAACUAGUAUAUACUGGAUAUCUCGAUCGGUGCAAAACCGAGUACUGAGAGAUAAAAAUUAACCUGGUGUCUUUGGCAGGUCUUUAAUAUAAUUGCUAAGCUUGCCCCAUGCCAUUGCCAACUUUGGCCAUCGGCUAGCUGCUACUUAUGAAGCAACUCAAGGAAACAUAAAGCAGCCGUCGUAAGAUCAAGCACAACAAGUGUGAUCACUGAUCAUGCAUCCAGGACAAUUUUAUAUUUAUUCAAUUUCAAUAAUCAUAAUAUACUAUUGAAUUAUAGACCAGGAUUUCUAUUUUUAAGAAUAUAAGACACAAGCACGAGCAUAUUCGCGCAUCUUUAAUAAAUUUAUUGGGACACACUAUUUCUGCUUAUUGAAGAAAAUCAAGAAAUGCUGAUUCCACCGUGCAUGGUUUAAUGUUAAUUAAAGUUUAAAGGGAUCAGAUUCAUAUUCAUUAAUAUGCUUUUAUACGAAUCGUUCUGUUUGAAUAUAAUAAUGGUUUCAGAAAUGCAUACCUGUUAAUUCUCCAUUUCUUGUCUCCGAGGAAAGUUUGACUUCAAGCAAUGUUAUAAGAGGUUUAAUUGUGGGUCAAUUUCUUGCGAGCAUUUCAACAAACAGGUGAUAUGCAUGCACAUCUCCUACGCUAUCACUGCCAUACUUGCCCUGUAGUUGCUUCCAGUUGUAACAGGAUGCUGACAUGUCAUCAUACUUGGACAGAUCUUUAGAGGCCAUUCUUCGAAGCGCUUGAUGAUGCAAACACGUGAGGACAAAUCAUGCACGUAUGAUAUGUGUUUAUUAAUUAAAUAUAACUAUUAAUUACAAGAUUAUUUUUUUAAAUAAAUACAUACAUGUCAUGUAUCUAUUAAUUAUAUAGAAAUAGAAUACAACAAAAUAUUUUUAGAAUCUGUGGGUGAACACAAUGUAAUUAUUAUAAUAAAAGAAAAACUUUAGAGCCUUUGGUGUACUCAUUAGUGAAAUUUGAGCAAAAGAAAAAUUCAUGUUUGUAAACCUCGAAACCACAAUAACCUUAAAUUUGAGAUCAUUAAUCAUUGAAUGUUUUGUUUGUAAUAUCAGUGGCAACACGUUUAAUGAUUUGAUUAAAUUUGUGUUUUGUUCUAUGAAUGAUUUCAUUCAUUUUUAUGAUUUUUUUGGGUUGACUCAACGGAACAACUAAUAAUUACCCAGUUCCAUAACCGUAAUUAUAACAGCGGCAAUUAGAUUUUUUUAUUGUUAUUAUUUUAAUGUGUAUUUUAUAGAAUAUAGAUAUUUUAGGCUAAUGAUAUUUAAGGGUGUUUUAAUUUAUUUUUUUUUUUAAGUUUCAAAUCACUUAACUUUUUUACCAAUCUAUUAAGGGUCCGCCUAAGUUACGUUUAAUGUAACUUACGGCUUGGCCCUAAAAUUUUGGCAACUACUCACUUCAAUGGACUGAAGUUGUUAUUGCUGGACAAAAGGAAAAAGAGCGGGUUCAAUAGAUGAGUUGUUCCCAUUGAAGCUAUCAAAGAAAGAAAAGGAAAAAGAGCGGCUGCAAAAGGGAGGAAAGUGGGAGGAGUUGAAAGGCUGUCACAGUAAAUUGAUCGCCUUGUUGAUACUGUGGAAAUGGAGGUCGAAUUCAAGAAGAAGAUCAUGGUAUUAAUGUUCCUAAAGGUAAAGGUCGAGAGAUGGGGAGAUUGAGAAAUAAUAGUGCUGCAAGUUUAAUGAGUGGACAAUAUUGUAGUUAUAUAUAUAUAUUUUUUUACACACAUGUAUAAAAUAUUUUAUUUUUAUGAGCUACUUCGAUUGCAAUAGUUUUAUGUACAUAAAAGUUUACAUAAAGAUUAAAUUUUUGCAUUUUCUUUUUGCACUUAUUUAUCAAUCAAUUUAAUAAUAUGUUAGCAUUUGUGCACAUUACAAACUGCAUAACAAUUUUUUUAGUUAAAAAAAAAUUAAAGUUAGUUUUAUUGCAAAUUAAAAUAGUUAAUAAAAAUUAUAUAAGUAUGUAAUAAAGAAAAUAGAAUAUACUCUUUAAAAAUCCAGUAAAUAAAAAAAUGAUGUUAAUAAUAAUAUUCUAAAUAAACUACAAAUAAACAAACAAGUACAUUUUUAUUAUUGCACAUGAAUAUUACACUUUGAAUUUUCACUUAUCAAAUUUGUAUAGUAGAUUAUUUGAAAAAUGAUUGUCAAAUAAUCAUCAUUUACCAAACACCCUACUAAAUUAUUCGUGAAAUUAAUUAUUGGGAAGUAAAAGAAAUCCCCAAUGUACCCUCAAUCAAUCACAAGAAGUUAUUUAAGUUAUGAUAUCUAAUGAAUUCUAUUAAUAGUGAGCGUGUUUAUCAAAAAUAUAAAAAUAAAUAUUUUAGUUAUUAUCCACCUGUUUUCCUGAAAUCAUUCCCAAUUUUUUUUCGUUUGCCGAAAAUUCCAAGGAAAAUAUAAAAAGAAGAAGAGUUGGGGGAAAAAAGAAAAGGAAGGAAAAACAGGUUCCUCUGUUUUCAUUCCCCUGUUUUGAAAUUAUCUAUCAUCGAUAUAAUUUAAUCCCCCUGUUACUAAAGGAGAAUGGUUCAGAUUAGUUGCCUGGACUCGCUUAUCUUGAUCUGGGUGGUCAAACCCGCCCAUCAGGAGGAUUCAGAUUUUGAAUUACCUGUCAUAAUUUGUUUUCCCACCUAAGCAUCUUGAGCAUGCUUAUUAAAAGAAUUGUUGUUCCACUCGUAUAGUCAAUGGAUUCCCACCUACGCGUUUGCUUAUUAAAAGAAUUAAUCUUGCUUUUCUAGGAAAAUAAUGCAAUACGCAUGACGGUACGUGUCCAUGUGAGAAAGUUGAUGAAAUCUUCACUUUCAGUGUUGGAACUCCACAAUCGAAACAAUCAAUACGACAAUUUUUCUCCAUCGUUUCAAUCUUAAUUAAAUAGAAAACAAGUACGGUCAAAUAAAUUCUGGUCUACCAAUUUAAUUAGUAUAAACAUAUGGAUCCCAUCAUUAAUAUUAUAAAUAUGUGGGUAUUUUUAAUUAUUACAUUAUAUGACUAUUUACAGAUUGCUUUCAUUAUGUCAUAUUAGGUAAGGAGAUUCCCCUUAAAAAAACAAAAAGAGGGAGAGAUUCCCUCUUCGGCGAAUGAAAAUAAAAGAAAUUAAAAAUAAAAUAAGACUUGGUAAAUUUCGCUCUUUUUUUCUCUUUUUGCUGUUGGCAUUUUAUUCAUAAAAGAAAUGAUCACAAGUCAUUCAAUAAAUAUUAAGGGCUGCAUGAUUAAGUCUUCUUCUUUUCCAAAUCAUUGUCAUUACUCUCAUAAGCUCUCUAUAAUCACAUUCCUCUGCAGGUAACAGAAAUUUUUUGUUCAUUGAAAUUGCUCUUAAAUGUUCAAGGCGAUCACAGAGGCUCAUCAACUUUCUGACCCCACAUAAUUAAACAGGUGCACUUGUUCUAAAACCUUCAAUUAAUUUCUUUUAAUAGCAUAAUCUCUAAUGCUUGAUCUUUAUAGCAUUUCUUUCUUAAUUUCCAUCCACUUUCCAAGAUAAAAAUUAUGUGGCUUGUUUUGCUUGAGUUUUGUAGUUAUUGUUCAUUUAUGGUAAAUUUAUGGUUGUUUUUUUUUUAAGACGCUUGAAGUAGGUUUUGUUAAUAGCAAAAACUCUGAUCCUUAACAAAGAAGAAAAAAUGUUGCGAUACUGUUUACUGUCUUUUCCUUUUUUGUCUUUCCCUCUAGUUCAUUUUAAUUUAUUUGAAUUCCUUUCUUUGACAUUUUAUUAGAUUUGUUAAGCAGCAGGCAAUGGCAGAGGUGGGUCUUGCAGCUCUCUCCAGCAUCGUAUCAGAAGGUGCAAAUUCACUGUUCAAAGCGAUUAUACGGCAGAUAUCUUAUGUGUUCAGGUACCAGAGCUACAUAGAUGGGCUAAAAGAUCAAGUGAAGCAGCUGGGAUAUAAAAGAGAAAUGGUGCAGCAACCAGUUAAUCAUGCUAGGCUACAAGGGGAUGAGCUUUAUGAGGGUGUCACAGACUGGCUACAUAACGUUGAUGAAUUCAUCAGUGAAGGGGUUGCAAAAUCCAUCAUUGAUGAUGAAGAUAGAGCUAAGAAGUCCUGCUUCAAAGGGUUAUGCCCAAACUUGAUUUCUCGUUACAAGCUUAGUAAACAAGCAGCAAAGGCGGCAGAAGCUGCCGCUAGUCUCGUGGGAAAAGGCAACUUCUCCAAUGUUUCCUACCGUCCUGCUCCAAAGCUGGCAGAACAUAUGCAAGUGAAAGAUUUUGAGGCGUUUGAUUCAAGAAUGAAAGUAUUUCAAGAUGUUGUGGAGGCAGUGAAGGAUGACAAGGUCAACAUAAUUGGGGUCUAUGGGAUGGGCGGCGUGGGCAAAACCACGCUGGUCAAACAAGUUGCAAACCAAGUGAUGGAAGAUAAGUUGUUCGAUAAGUUCGUUAUGGCUGAGAUAACACAGACCCCAGAUUAUCAUAAAAUUCAAGACAAACUUGCUUUUGAUUUAGGCAUGGAAUUUGACUUGAAUGAGAAUGAAUUUCAAAGAGCUUCUCGACUGUGUCAAAGGUUGAAGCAAGAGAAGCGGCUCCUCAUUAUACUGGAUAAUAUUUGGACAAAACUUGAGUUCGAUACAGUUGGAAUUCCUUAUGGGGAUGUUGAUGAGAAAGAUAGAGAGGACGAUCGGAGAAGUCGCACAAUAAUAUUGACGUCUAGAAGUCGAGAUUUAUUGCGCAAUGAUAUGAAAUCUCAAAAGGAUUUCUCAAUUGAAGUUUUAUCCAAGGAAGAAGCAUUGCAAUUGUUUGGAAAGAUAGUGUGUAAUUCUGCAAAAGCAUCUGCUUUUCAACCUUUAGCAGAUGCGAUCGUUGAAAAAUGCGGAGGAUUGCCUGUUGCACUGAUUACACUUGCAAAAGCUUUGAAAAAUGAGAGCUUUGACACUUGGAAGGAUGUGCUGCGUCAGCUAAGAAGUUCCUGUGCAAAAGAAAUUGAUGGAAUGGAAAGAAAUGUGUACACCUCCAUAAAAUUGAGUUACGACUUGUUGGGAAAUAAGGAAGCAAAAUCUCUGUUCCUUCUUUGUGGUCUAUAUACUGAAGGUGAUGUCAUACACGUUUCUGACUUAUUGAGAUAUGGUAUGGGUAUGGGCUAUUUUAAAAACGUUUACACGCUGGAAGAAGCAAGGAGUAGAGUGCAUACGUUGAUCGGCAAACUCAAAUCUUCAUGCUUAUUGUUGGACGGUGAUGCUGAAGAUGAAGUUAAAAUGCAUGACAUCAUUCAUGCUGUUGCUAUAUCAAUUGCAGAAGAGGAGCUCAUGUUUAAUAUUCCAAAUGUUGCCUACGUGGAGAAAAAGAUGGAAGAGACAAUACGGGAUGGUCCAAUAGCUAUUUCUUUACCUUAUAGAGAUAUUCAAGAGCUUCCCAAAAGGUUGGAAUGCCCCCGUCUCGAGUUACUUUUGUUGUUUUCAAAGCGUUAUAGCUCUUUGCAAAUUUCAGACCUCUUUUUUCAAGGGACAGAAGAACUCAAAGUUUUAGAUUUUACUGGAAUAUUUUUCUCUUCAUUACCUUCAUCACUUGGUUGCCUCAUUAACGUUCAAACAUUAUGUUUAGAUGGUUGCCGACUGAACGAUAUAACUGUAAUUGGACAGCUAAGGAAAUUAGAGAUUCUCAGCUUCCGAGAUUCUGAUGUCAAGGAGUUGCCACUUGUAAUUGGACAAUUGACGAGAUUACAGUUGCUAGAUUUGAGCAAUUGUAGCAGCCUUGUGGUGAUAGCUCCAAAUGUCAUAUCAAAAUUAUCUCGAUUAGAAGAACUAUAUAUUGGUAACAGCUUUUCACAGUGGGAGAAGGUUGAAGUAGGAAGUAACGCCAGUCUUGCUGAAUUGAAUGGGCUGUCAAAGCUAACUACUUUGGAGAUACACGUUCGGCAUGCCGAAAUUCUACCGCGGGAUUUGGUCUCUGUGGAAUUGCAAAGCUAUAGGAUAUGUAUAGGAAAUGAGUGGUGGAGCAGCUGGUCCGUUAAAUCUGGAUUAUCAAGAUUGAUGAAGCUCCAGGGGCUAGUAAAGUUUGGCAUUCUUUUGCAGAAUUAUAGGAUGAAACUGUUGUUGAAGAGAACUGAAUAUCUCUAUCUAGAAGAACUGAAGGGUGUUCAGAAUGUUGUUCAUGAAUUAGAUGAUGGGGAAGGUUAUCCACGAUUGAAGCAUCUUUCUGUAGAAAGAUGUUAUGAGAUUUUGCAUAUUGUCGGUUCAGUUGGACGGGUUCGUCGUAAAGUCUUCCCCUUGCUGGAGUCAUUGUCUCUUAUUGAUUUGAACAAUUUGGAGACAAUAUGUGACAGCCAACUCACAGAAGAUCAAUCUUUCAGCAACUUAAGGAUUAUAGAAGUAAAAUCCUGUCACAAAUUGAAGCAUCUUUUCUCAUUCUCCAUAGCCAAAAACCUAUUGCGGCUUCAAAAUGUAGAAGUGGAUGAUUGCGAUGAUCUGGAAAUGAUUUUUGGUAAGUGUUGAAAUUAAGAAUUGGUGGGAUAAUGGACUUCGCCUCAAUUAUUUUGAAAAAAAAAAACAACAAAGAUUAAUUAUGUAUAUAUUGUUUUUGUUUGUUUAUAGGACCCGACAGGGAGAAACCAACAACUUCUUUGGGAUUCAACGAAAUCAUUGCUGAUGAUGAUACUGCUCCAAAGGUGAUAAUUUUCUGUUCAAUAAUUAAUUGAUUAAUUUAUUAUCACCAUUAAUCUUCGAUCAUCAAAAGAAUAUUAUACUGGACGGUUGUACUUGAAGGAACAAAAAUGUACGGGUUUUCUUUGCAGGUUAUUCUUCCGAGGUUAGAGGAAUUGAAUCUCGCGCAUUUAAGAAACAUCAAAAAAUUAUGGGCCGAUCAUAAUCAAGGAAUGUACUGUUGUCAAAAUUUAACAAAAGUGACUGUGAGAUGGUAUUAUCGUCUGAAGUAUCUGUUUUCGUAUUCUAUGGUUAAUAGUCUUUUGCAACUCCAACAUCUUGAGAUAAGUUAUUGUUCGUCAAUGGAAGGGGUAGUCGACACCACGGGAUGGUUAGGAAGGGAUGAAGGAAAGUUGAUUGAAUUGAAGGUUUUUCCUAAACUACACUCCCUCAAGCUCUCUCAUCUUCCAGAACUAACAAGCUUUGCCAAUACGGGACAUAUUCAUUCAGAUUUAGUUGUUGAAUUCCCUUCAUUGCUAAACCUGAAGAUCCAUUGUUGCACUAAUAUGUUAAGAUUUAUCUCUACAAGCUCACCAGAAGACACCAUUCAUUCUGAAAUGCAACCUCCUCCUCUCUUUGACGAAAAGGUUUUUUUUUUUAUAAAAAAAAUAAUUUUAGUCACAAUACUUAAUUUGUCUUUUCCUUGAGUCUUCGAAUUUAGUUAAUACCUGCCUCUAAUUUAGUUAUCAAUUGAUUAUGCCAUUAAUUGAUUAAUUAGUUAUUUAAUCUUUAACUGCCAGGUACGACUUCCUAGGUUGGAGGUAUUAGAUAUUAAGUGGACGGAUAAUUUGAGAAGAAUAUGGCACCACCAGCUUGCUUCGGAGUCUUUCAGCAAAUUGAAGAAUUUAGAGAUAUUUGAGUGUAAUAACCUAAAGAAUAUUUUUCCUCCAUUGGUAAGGUUGCUGUAUUCAUUUCGAAUCUUUUUUUUUUUCAAAUUACAUCCAACAAUAUUUUAACCAUUUUUGGGUUUACAAAUGAUAUUCAGCCACUAAUUCUUUAUUUCAAGUAUUGUACUUCGAACCACCACUCUCAAAUCUACAUUUUAAGUCCAGUUUUUAGGUUCGCCAGCAUUACAAUCAACAAUAUAAUUUUUUUAAUCACGAUUCAACAGCAUAAUAUAAUUCAAUUUAAUUGUUUCUGCUCAUAUCUUAAUAAGUACAAUUUUCAACAAUUAAAGGAUAGUCACUCAUCUUAUAGGUUCACAAAUUCAUCUAUAUAUUUCUCUUUUCCUUAAUUCAUCUAUAACAGUCCCAUGUUGAUGGCGUUGGGAAGUGUUUUCCAGAAAUGUUUUCCAUUUUUAAAAGCAUGAAUAUCGGGAAAAAAUGUGAAAUACAGCGUUUUAGUUUAGUUAUUUUAAAAAUAGGCAUGUUUGAAAAUUAAAUUUUUUUAAAAAACUAGAAUCAAGAUGAAAAAUGAAUUUAGAAUAUUUAAAAAUUACCUGAAAUUCUUUCUCCGUUCCUAAUACUAAAUAGUGUAAAUACAUUUUCAUUAUCUUUGUUUUUCUGGACUUCUAUUUAUUUGUUUUUGUUUUAAUUUUUUCCUUUUUUCUUUAACAAAAAAUAUCUAGUAGACAUUCAUGGUUUGUUAUUUUUCAUAAAACAAUUGUAUGAUUUUGACAUACUUUGAAUCUAGUUGAAUGCUACUCUUUAUUUUCAGGUUGGAAUUCCCAAUAGUCUGGUGAAUCUUAAUGUAUCGGACUGCAAAAAAUUAGAAGAAAUCGUAGGACAUGUUGGAGAAGAAGCGAAGGAGAAUCGUAUUGCUUUCAACGAAUUAAAACUUUUGGAACUUGAUGAUUUACCAAGGCUUACCAGCUUUUGUUUGGAGAAUUACACUCUUGAAUUCCCAUCAUUGGAGCGAAUUUCUAUGACAGGUUGCCUGAACAUGAAGACUUUUUCUCAGGGAAUCGUAUCCACACCAAAGCUGCACGAAGUGCAGGUGAGUAAAAAGGAAGUAUUAAGUUUUAUAUGAAACUGUGAUGUUGUUUGGUUACUAAGAAAAUAGGAAGAAAGAAAACUUCUGUAAGCUGAGAAUUCUGUUAUUAUUGAUCUAAUGAAUCUGGAAAUUACAAGCCUUUUUAUAUGUGCAUAGAAGAUUCUACACACAUUGCACACACGCACAGUUUACUACUAACAACCUUUAGCUGACUCAGCUGCCAUGUCAGCAUACUCAUUAACUAACUAAUUCUAUUCUUAACAGGAAGAGGGUGAAUUGCGCCGUUGGGAAGGCAACCUUAAUUCCACUAUACAAAAGUGUUACAAAGAAAUGGUAUGUGUUAAAUCGAUUCGUCGAAAUUACUUAUGCAUCUCCCUUGCACUUGCACAUUUGAACAUAUACACCUGCCUUGUAUAUAUAGUUUUAGAAGUUAAAACACAAAACAUGUAAGUUUAAUGUAUAUAUAUAUCUAAUGCCUUUCAAAAAAAAAAUUUAUAUAUAUCCAGUGCAAUUGUUUUGGUUUGUGCAGAUUGGAUUCCAUGACAUACAGUAUUUGCAACUCUCACAUUUUCCACGUUUGAAAGAAAUAUGGCAUGGCCAAGCACUGCCUGUCAGCUUCUUCAACAAUUUAUUUAAGCUGGUGGUGGAUGACUGCACGAAUAUGUCGAGUGCUAUUCCUGCCAAUCUGCUACGUUGCUUGAACAAUUUGGAAUGGCUGGAAGUGAGGAAUUGUGAUUCACUAGAAGAGGUGCUUCAUUUGGAAGAGCUAAGUGCUGACAAAGAACAUAUAGGACCCCUGUUUCCUAAGCUUUCCGACCUAAGGCUCAUUGAUCUUCCAAAACUCAAAAGAUUCUGCAACUUCACUGGGAAUAUAAUUGAAAUGCCUGAGUUGGGAUAUCUAACUAUUGAGAAUUGCCGAGAUAUGGAAACAUUCAUAUCCAACUCUGUAGUGCACAUGACAACAGAUAACAAGGAACCUCAAAAAUUAACAUCAGAAGAGAACUUCUUGCUGGCUCAUCAAGUACAACCUCUCUUCGAUGAAAAGGUGAUUAUUGUUAUUAUUAUUAUUAUUUUUCCCUUCACUUUCGUUCGCAUAGAUGUAAUUUCAUUAGAAUCAAAUCAAAUUUAAUGACUCAUCUUUUUGCACGUCGUCUUAAUUUAUAUCUGAUUUAACAAUAUAACCUCCGUUAUUAACUAACUUUAUAGUAUGAAUUAUAAAAAUGUCUUAAAUUAAUUGGAUGCCUGAUAACACGAGGUGAUGAACUAUAUUAAUUAUGUGUAUUGCAUCUCUGUUUUCCUAGCUAAUUCAUAUUGGAUUUAGCAUCAGAUUUCAUUUAUGUGUUUCAAAGGGUAAUCGAUUUGAUACUUAUAUUUGGGAUCCUACUGCAAAGCAUACUAAUUUGGAAAUAAAAUAUAAAAUGCCGUGAUUAAUCUUGUCCAUAAAAUAUGCAGGGGAAGACUGCAGAGAUUGGAUACAUAUUUUCAUUUACAACUUAAUUUUGUUGAUUUUCAGGUUGCUUUCCCUCAAUUGGGGAAUUUAAGACUGUCUGGAUUACACAAAGUGCAGCAUCUCUGGAAGGAAAAUGACGAAUCCAACAAAGCGUUUGCAAACUUGGAAAGGCUAGAAAUAUCGGAAUGUAGUAAGUUGCAAAAAUUAGUACCACCUUCGUGGCAUUUGGAAAAUCUUGAGGCUUUGAAAGUAUCGAAGUGUCACGGGUUGAUAAAUAUGUGGACGCUCUCAGCAUCUAAAAAUCUAGUGAAUCUCGGAAGAAUGAUGAUAGCUGAUUGCAAAAUGAUAGAAGAAAUCAUACAAUUGCAGGUUGGAGAAGAAGUGAAAGGCUGCAUUGUCUUCGAGAAAAUGAACUACUUGACACUUGAUUGUUUGCCAAGCCUAACAAGCUUUUGUUCGAGUAAUUACACUCUUCAAUUCCCAUUCUUGCAAAAAGUUGUUGUGAGACAGUGCCCAAAGAUGAAGAUUUUCUCUCAAGGAGUCAUAGACACACCAAAUCUAAACAAAGUGAAACUCACCGAAGAAAAAGAUGAUGAUGAUGAAGGAUGUUGGGAAGGCAACCUCAAUGCACCAUAAAAAAAUUGUUCAAUGAAAUGGUGAGUAUCAAUUAAGUUUUGGUGCUAUUUAGCAAAUUAUUUUAUAGAAACUAAUGUGAUAUAAUAUGAUUGGUUGACUGAAAAUAUAUAAUAAUAAUAAUAAAUAAAUAAAUAAAUUAUGAGGGCCAUGUAAUGUUUUUGUUUAACCAAUCAUAUUAUGUCGCAUUAGUUUAUAUAAUAUUGUUUGUGCACAAGAGGUGGUGGUCAUAUCAUUACUCUAGCUUUAUUAUUCUUAUGGUGGCAAUGUAUGCUUGCUUACACGAGUAAUUUACAAAAUCUGCAGAAUUCUAAAGAAGAGAUUGAGCCAGCCCUUGAGGUACAGUGAAGAAGCUAUCUCGAACCAGGCCAAUCUCUUAUACAUGAUUCAGCUUGCUCGUUCUUCUGUACUUGAAUAAUCUGGUUCUAAACGUAUUUACAAUUUUUUGGUCAUGCUACAGACUUGCAAGACACUUUGGAUUUUGUUUGAUGCAUUCUCCGUUUAAGGAAGCACUUGAAUUGAUGUUUCAUGUUUCAUGCAAUAUCCAAUUAGAUUCUGACUAAAUUUCUGUGUUAUUUAUUCAAUUGGUCUUUUAAGCAUUUGAUUUCUAACCUGUCCUAAUAGAAGAUCAUUAUCUGAAGAAAACAGCAUAACAUUUGUGGCAUUAUGAGAAUAAGAAUUUUUUUGAGUAUAGUAAAAUUAUCUCGACCAUUGUUAAAAAGAAUUAAUCCGUCAAACUGACCUUCUCAGACCAGCACGCUUUAAAUUAAAAGAAUUUUGUGAAAGUCUAGACCAUGUUAUAGAUCUCGUGGAAAUAAGAAAACCCGUAAUUUUUUUCACAGCAUCAUAAGAAAAAAUCAUUUUUUUUUUAGUAUUUUUGUUAGCUGUUGAGUUUUAAUAGUAGUAGCUAUUAAACAAGAACAAUAUGUGUAUAUUAAAAAGUUGGAAACUGGUUGAUAGCACUUGGGAGUCGAGCAGUUCACUUGUUUGCGAGUAGAAACCAACUUUACUACUAAUUACACUCAUACAAAAAAUAGUAACUAAAGAAUCAGGAAAUUUCCUAUUCACUAUUCUUCAUUUUUUAAUGCAAAAUUCCCAUUCGAAAACACCAAUGACUUUCAUUCAAAGUAAAUGAGAAAUUACAAUGAAAAUAGAAUCAAAAUACAUGUAUGUAUACCUAAAACAAAUGAUUUUUUAAUUUAAAAAAAAAAAAACCCGGUUGAGGUGAAAUGAAACCAGAGUCAUGAUAUCUCUGGUUCCAACUUUGGGACAACAGCAGACUUGAGUUCUAUAUGAGAAACACGUACAGCACCAAUCAGCCGCUCCAGUAAUUCAUCUGUAGUAUUUGCCUGCAUACAAAAGAGCAAGAUAAAGAAGACACACACGAAGCAUUAUACCAUUCUGAGAACAUUCAAGUAUGCAAAAAUGCAAUUUAAAAUGCAAAUUGCAGUGCAAUAUCUCAAAAUCAUGUCUUUUCCCUUGUGUCCAUUUAGAAGUGGGGGAAAAAAACAAUCAUACAUACCUGUACAAGGAAAGCCAUGUCAACCACCAAUGUCGUAAUUACACCAAUUACAAGGCCCAAAACUCCAUUAGCAACAGUAGAAGAACCGAUGUCAACAUUAAUCUACAGAAAGAUGAACAAUGUUAAACCAUGUUAAUGGUAUCGGACGCUAUUUGAAAGGGGAACAAUUCAUCUGUAGUUACAAUCAACCGCUUUCACUAAUGAACAAGGGGUGCUUCCAACACUCUUGGCGCACGAUCCAUGACCCCUGCAUGAUUCAGUGCUUAAAAUCAAGAACAAGUGCAAAACAAAUUCAAGAGGGUAAAAUGGACAUGAAGUUUGAAGGUACAACCCAUCAAUACAUUUACACCUAAAUGCAUGCCUUCUUUGGACAAAUUGAAGUGUACCAUGCAGUAAAGGGUUAGUAUACGUUAAUAUAGUCCUAAUACAUGAAGGCCAAGAUGGAUACCUUAGGAACAGAUGGAAUCAGUUUCAACCUACUAUUGCGAAACUCAUCAUCGCCAUCAACAAACCGUUGCAAAAGUGAUCCCAUAACCAAUUGCCUUGCGACUAAAUAAAAUACCAUACUAUAAUGUGUUGAUCCAGGAACCUGCAGAUGCUUAGGUUACAACUAUACAACCUCCCAAUACAAUAAGUUUGAAACUUAAUACCUUCUGAAAUGAAACAAACUUACUUGAAGAUUAAAGAUCAGCGAGAAAAGCCCUUUUUCAGAAGCAACCUACAUUUUUUAGAAGAGGGUCAGUGUGUUAUAGAUUCAAUGAACCAUGAGAAGUUAUUUACAUUGUAGUAUCUCACAGGCAGUAUUUUCUCCUAAUGCAUCAAUGGAAAAGGAAAAAUAAAAAGAAAAGAAUAGUUACUUGUGCAGCACAGCCUUGACGCCUAGCUACAUGGUCCAUUCUCUUUGUGUCUUUGAACCAAUCAACAGCAACAAGAUCCAUUAAAUGUUUUCCCGCAGGUAUCUGCAGUUACAAAUUGCACAAAGCACAAGAAGAGCCAACCAAACUACAUCAUAACCUGUCUACCUAGCCUAUGCAGGAUAUAUAAAUACCAUAACAAACAAACAAAAUAUGGGGGAACCUUUGUUUUGUCAUAACAAAAAUGCUUGCUACGAACUCUAAAGUUAUUUCCAUCAGAAAGUUUCCAGCAGUCACGAGCAUUAUCACAGUCAUCGUGUCGUAGAUUGCCCGAAAAACAAGACAAAUCAAUUUGAUCAGCCUGCUCUUCCUCUAGGGCUGCAACUAAUUGAAAUUUUUUUUUAAAAAAAAAAGAUCAAUACCAUAAAAAUCCACUAGCCAAAUAUACAAAAAUGAAUACUUAUCAUCCACCUGUCCUCUUGAAAUCAUUCUCAAUCUUUUUUUCAUUUGCCUGAAAUCCCAAGGAAAAAUAUGUAACUAAUACUUCCCAUUCAUGAAUAUUGUCUAUCGUAUAAACAUGACAUUUUUAAUUGGAAUAAUAAAAUUAUUUAAUUAUUUUAAUUAAAUGUUAAUCCUACAAAUUAUUUUUGUUAAAUCUAGCAAGAAUAACUAAAAUUUCUUUAAGAUAUAUUUUGGUGGUAAAUUAAAAAAAAAUUAAUUAUUUGGCGGGAAUUAUUGAAAUUGGAGCCAUUUUUUUUGUGGGAAUUGAAAUAUAUUCUUUAAAUUAUUACAUAAAUAGCAAAAUGUACAUACACACACAUACAUAUAAUUCAUAUAUAAAAAUUCUCUAAUUUGUUCACAAGUACCAUAGAUUAUAAUUCAGUUAUGAAAUAAAAUAACUACAAUAAUUAUAGUUAAAUGAAUACUUCAUUAAUUCUUAAUUUGCUUCCUAACAUUAAAUGAACAACUUGAGUCAGCCACCUGAAUUAACCAGUAACAAUGCCUGAGUCAACUAUCUGAAUAAACCAGCAACCCUAGCUGAUUCCAGCACCUGCAAUUAACAUCAGCACAACAGGAACAAUCUUAAAUCAACACCAAGAACAGACCAAACUGCCAUCAAAUGUCACAAAACCAAACAGUCUGCUACUGCCAUCAAAUGCAAGCAAACAUAUGCAACAAAACCAGAUGCAAGUGAAAUUCUGGAGAAUAUCGGAUAAACCAAACCAAAUAACACACUUCUAGUAAUUAGACUAGAUGCAGUGUUCAAUUAAACUAAAUGUAGUCUCAUAUUACAUUCAAAAUUUCUAAAAGAAGCAGUGUUCCAUCAGAGAAGCACCAAAACCAAACCAAUCUAAUCCAGCAUAAUUACCAGCUCAACCCAAAACAAUUACACAUUAUAUUGACAUAUCAAAAUUCGCUAUCAAAACAUAGCCAAAUAAAUGAAAAUAAACUCAAAACAGACCCAAACCAACUGAUGUUGCGGCCCUAGUAGUCGUUGUCCGUUCCACUGCCAUGGGAGCGAGGGUAGGCUCCGUUGUCGAUGAGUGAGUAAGAUAAGGCUCCAAAUCAAUAGUUCCACCUCCUUUCUGCAAUUCAAAAAACAGAAAUUCAUAUAUGUAAAACUAUUAAAAAGUGUGAAACAACCUGUAAGUAUUCAACUUCUGUCAACUCAAUAGCACUUACUAAAGUUUUUAUACAGAAGAAAAAGGCAUUUUAAGUCCAAAAAAUUAGAAUUAUUGGUUGAACUCCAACUCCAUCAAUCCAUGCAACCAUCCAAUCUUUAACGAAAAAUGAAGCAUAAUUAACCAGACAUCUGAAUCAGAAAGAUUGUGCUUUCAUUUGGCACGAGGUGUUGGAAACAACUUAACAAAUCUAGACACAAUCUAUAACCAUCAUGUCCAAACAAAAGUCAGGAUCUAAAAUACUUUGAAAAAUCAGAAAAACAGUUUCAAUUUCUUUUUCAUCCAUUGUAAGCUCAAACUAAAGGUAGCCACGAUACCUUUAAACAUCAUUUGGGCUUAUACAUGCGACAUUUGCUCAUGAACAACUAAAGUUGAAUAAGAUUUUUAUAUGAAACAGAAUACAAAAGUCAAAGUAGAAUAUGACAGGAGCUACAAUAUAUUAUUCAGCAUCAGCAUUAUGUAUAAAAUAAAUUUAGAGGCAUUAUAUUCAUUCACAAUCUUGCAGAGGUAACACCAGAUUAUGGCACGCAUCUCUUGAAUAGCAGAUAAAGGAGGAGAUGCAGUGGGAAGGUAGUAACUUGCUUGCAUGAGAACUAGAAAGUAAUAUCCCAAGAUCAAUUAUAGAUCUCAUAAAACAAAAACAGUGAGGCAAACACAAUUAUACAAUCCAUCUGUCAAAAGGCUAAGCAAAUGAAUAUACAAUCAACACCAUUCUUCCAAACGAAUAUACAGUCAACACCAUUCUUCUAAACACAAACAAAGUUUGAACGUAUGACAGAUUUUUAGCCCUUUAAUAUUCCAUCAAAGAUAAUUAGAUAACACCUACCAAGGAUUUUUGAAAAGAAUGCAUUCUCAUCUUAAGCAGCAACCUCACCAGUAACACAUUUUCAUACCCUGUUUCCACCUCUGGUCGCACCACCAAAAAAAUUCAGUACUAAUUAGCUUCAACAGAAUCUAUUUUUUAAUUUCCUUUUUUUUUUUUCAAAAUAAACCUCCAUUCUUAUACAUAAAAUUAAAAUAUCAAUUAAAUAAACAAAGUCUAUGCUUACUAGUAAAACACGUCCAUUUUUAGGUAGAGGCAGAUAAUAAAAGAAAAUUGAAACUGAGAUAAAAUAAGAAGAGCUUACUAGGUGCAUUUGAUCAACAAUCCAAUCCUCAACGAUGGAAUCGAUGCCAUCAAAUAAACAUGACUUAAUCUUGAAACCACAAACUGCACUAAGCAUAGCACCAAAGCCAGAGCGUGACUAUAAAGAAGAAGAAAAAAGAAGGCAAAGAAGAAUUAAAUUAACAUGAAAUUCAACUGGAACAAUACAAAAUAUGAAAUUUUUAGCAAAUCUUACUAGCGUUAGGGUUAAGGCUUACCAUAGGGAACUGGAUGGCGCUAACUAAAUGACAAGUUGAAACGGCAUCUGCAAUCGUAUUGAAUGACAUUGAACCGCGAGGUAGGGUUUAAAUGAAUACCGAGCAGAGAUAAAUUGGUGUGGUGAAUUAGGGUUUUGUGGCUACGUUUUAUUUCGAUUGAAAAAAGGAAUUUGAGCUUUUGCUUUAAUACAACGGUGUCGUUAAUUUAAACAUUCAUUUUAGGUUGCAGUGGCCAGUGGAGAGAGGGGGAUUCAUUCAACGCUUAGCCAAAAUUUGGCUGUAAGUGUUGAUGUGUUUUAAGUUAUACAGAACGGUGUCGUUAAUUUAAACAAUACUGUUUUACAAUCUUAUAAGAUCACAAAACCUAAGCAUGACUUAUAUGUAUCAUUUAUUUAGGACGGUUAAGUUAUAAGUCAUGAAUAUGUCAUAUAUUCUGGACAUAUGAAUAUAUAUUAUGAAUCUAUUAUAUUUUUAUGACACAUUCGUGACACAAUGAUAUAUGUCAUCAAAUUUAUGUCAUUAUUUAAUAUUUUUCUAGUGGUGUCAGAUUUUUGAAACAUUUUUGUUAAUAGCAAAAACUCUAAUCCUUUAGCAAAAGACUAAAAAUUAAAAAAAAAAUCUGUUUAAAUAUCAGUUGGCUCAUGAUCAACACUUCAAUACUGUUUGUUGUAUUUUCUUUCUUUCUUUCUUUGUCAUUUUAUUAGAUUUUUUUUGUAUCAUAGUUUGUUUUGCUUAAGUAAUUGUUCAUUGUUUAUGUCUGUGUUCUUACUAACAGAGUAAAAGAUUUUGAGAGAAUGAAUUGCACCCUUUUCCAUUGAUUGUAAGACUUUUAUAUGCAGCAAUAUAUAUAACAACUGUGCCUAUUUUAAAGAGAUAAGAUAACAGAAAGAUAUACUUUACAUUUGAAUUAGUUUGAAUGAGUAAACUAGAUAGGUCCCAUAUUCUAAGAGGAGAAUCUGCUGACACUUACUGGCUUUUGAUAAUUUAUGGUUGGUUUUUUAUUCAGACCCUCGAAGUACCUUUUUGUUAAUAUUAAAACCUCUGAUCCUUAAGAAAGAAAAAGAAAUUCUCUAUUUAGUUAUUAGUUAGUUCAAGAUCAAUAUAGCGAUAUUGUUUGUGGUCUUUUCAUUCUCUAUCUUUCCCUCUAGUUCAUUUUAAUUUAUUUGUAUUCCUUUCUUUGACACUUGUAUUUAUAUAUAUAUAUUGUUAAGCAACAGGCAAUGGCUGUUGAAGGGUGUCUCCCUGCUUUUUCCAGCAUUGUAUCACAAGGUUCAAAAGCAUUAUUCGAACCGAUUAUGCGGCACAUAUCUUAUGUGUUCGAUUACCAAAGCUACAUAGAUGGGCUAAAAGAUUGAGUGAAGGAGCUGGAAUAUAUAAGAGAAAGGGUGCAAACGCUGGUUAGAGAGGCUACUCUACAAGGAGAUGAGAUUUAUAAGGGUGUCUGAGACUGGCUAAAUAGAGUUGCUGAAUUCAGUGAAGGGGUUGCAAAAUCCAUCAUUGAUGAUAAAGAUAGAGCUAAGAUAGAGCUAAGACUGAGCAUGAUUGCAAAUGCACGAUUGCAAAUGCAUUGGAUCAAUUAAGAAGUUCCAAUCUAGGAGAAAUUCAAGGAAUGCGUGCAGAUGUAUAAACCUCCAUAAAAUUGUUACGACUUGAAGGAUUGUAUAUAAGCAUUAAAUUGAUCUAAUUUAAUUUGUAUGUAAACAUUAAAUUGUAUAUAAAUACACAGAACAGAACCAUAUCAGUGUUGGAAAAAAAAAAAAAGAAUCCAGAGUUAUAUAAAUUCAAUUAAAAAUUACUGAAUUUUUUAUUACUAACUUUGAACACUCUAAUUUCAAUAAAAAAAUUAUAUUACUAAAAUAGUCUUAAUUGAAUUUACUAUUAAAGACAUUAGAAUAACUCAACACUAAUAUUCUAAAAUAUAUUUCUCUCCAUAGUCUAAUCUAAUCCAUUCUAAGAAUCCUAUAGAAAAUAUAUUAUUUACUUUUUCCUUAUUAAACACAAAAACAUGUCAUUUUGUUGCUAACUAAAAUUUUGGAACUAACAACAUCAGAUUAACAAAAUUAUCAGAAAAAGAAAUCAAACAAGAUUUUAAUUGUCGUCAUCUUCACUCUUGUCUUUUUCUUUUUCUUCACACAUGUGGCUUGCACACGCAUUCCCCUCUCUCAUCCUUAGGGCCGCCCUUCAACAAUAUCCAAUCAUCGAUUAUAAUUAUUUAGAUUGACCAAAUCAAGCAUUGAUCAUAUAUUGGUUGAGGUUAGAAAUAGGCAGGCAGCAGCAAUAAUACUACUAAUUAAUAUCUCAUGAGAAUUUUAAAGAAAAAUCUAACGUUGUCAAAUUCGUUUGAUUUCAAUGAAGUCUUUCUCCUACUUAUACUUUCACAUAUUCUCUUUUAUUUCCAAAGUUAAGGUUAUGGAUGUUGUAGAGUAAAAAGAUGAACAUUGCUAGGAAAGCAAUAAAAGGAAAUAAAUAAAAAUUAAAAAUAUAAAAAGAGUUAAGUCAUUUUUUUUUCUAUUAGUGUUUUUGUAUUUAAUAACGAAAGAUAAAAAUAAAGUAGAUAUUAUCUAUUGGAUUAUUAAAAUAACACAGGUAUAACACAUGUCAAAAUCUCGUUAUUAUAAUAUUAGAAAAGAUUAAAUUAGGAGAAUAUUCAAAUCGGCGAAAUAAUUAAUAAAUCGUAUUUAUUAAUCAUCCACCCAAUUCAUGCAUACCCAAAUGGCCGUCAACGAGCUAACCAAAUCCCAGCUUGUUGUAAUCUGGGUUGGGCUUUUUGGGCGAUAAUUAACUGCCCGAGCUGCUCAUCUACCCCAAUAGAGCCUAACAAAAAUUUUCGCCUAAGCUUCACAAAAAUGUUCAUAAAUCUUUUUUUUUUUGGUAUCAUAAAAACAUAAAUUUAUUUCAAACACUUUUGGAGCUUAAUAAAAAUUUCCCAACAUUUCAUCUGACAAAGGUAGUUUAAAAGUGUAUUCGUUAAAUUCUAAAAUACAUACUUAAAAUCUUUUAGUGACAAUCUAAUUAUAAAUUAAGGAUCUAUUUGGGAUUGAGAUUGAACAGUUAAAAUGUUAUAGUUGUUGUAGUUUAGAAGUUAAGAUGAUUUGAUUUUACACUUAUAUGAUAAAAAAUUUAUUAUAUCUUUUCUAAUUUUAUCAAAAUUAUUAUUAAAAAAUUAUAUUUAUUAUAUACUAUUAACUUUUAUUUUAUACUUAAAACUUUUUUUUCUUACGGCAAAAGUUUUAGCACCUCAAUACCCAACCAAGUCUAAAACUGCACAAUAAUAAUUAUGAGUGCGAAUGUUAAAAUCUACACACAUUCGUACUUGAUAAUUUCAAUCAACAGUGUUACAAACUUAAUUAAAAUAUUAUAUCUGAAAUUAUUGAGGGGAAAAAAAAGAAAAAGAAUGUUGUUUUCAUGAUAGUGACAUGUGUCGUGCACAUUUUGCUGUUGGCUCUUUGGUCUCUAACCUAGCGAAUAGGUUGUUGUGUCCUCGUUGUUAGAUGCCCGAACAGCAGCGCAAGAACUUUGUACUAUACCAUAUAUUUUAUGAAGGUGGUGAUGUUACAAAUAAAGACGAGUAAUAAACCAAACGGCGUCGCUUUGCUAGCCUGUUAGAACUAUCAACGCGCUCUGCCGCCCUCUCGUUCCAUUUAUUCAUUUAACCCGGUCAGGGGAUUGGCGAAUUAAAUAAACAACAACAGUCGUCCGAUCCACACAGAUCGCCACUCAUAUUUAAUCCAACGGCUGGGAUAUGAACCCCUCUAUAACUUUUAUUUGUCGAAUCAGCCGCUCUCUCUAUUUAAAUUAAUUUUUUUUUCAACAGCCGACGAGUGCUGACGUAUCAGAGACGCCCCAUCAAUCAAUAAAAAAAUCAAUUGAAAAGGACGGUAUAGUGAGUGGAAGAGAAAUGCCAAUGGCAGAUCAAGGGAUGAAGAUACGAGCUCACUUGCAACGAGGUAUAGUUCAUCAUGGCUUUCCUAUAAGUUCAGGUCCUUAUGAAUACUUUCAAUGAUCUUAUUAGUCAGAAAUUCAACAAUAAUUUUUACUUUUUACAUCCAGGAACAGUUUUAAGCACAAGCAACUCAGGUGGUCAAUAGGCCUCAUAUGUUAGCAAGGUCUCCGUUUUGGUCACUUAAGUCCCAUAUGUUAGGAAGACUCCCUUUUUAUUUUUGGUAUUACUUAUAAUAGCAAAUCCUCUUUUUUAGGCCUCUUUUUAUUUAGUAAUUAUCUUAUAAUGAAGAAUUUUGUUACACAUUUUAUAUUUGAUAACCUUAAUAUUAAAGAUCUCUAAUUGAUAGUAUUAUCUAAUUGUUAAUUUAUUAUUAGUUUUUCCAAAAAAAAUAAAUUCUUUAUCUAUUUAAAAAGGUUAAUUAAUUAACAUUAUAAAAAAUUUUGUGAUAUUCUCUACACAGAAAAUUAUUACAUUUAUUACUUCACUUCUGAAUUAAAAAAAAAAGAUUUAUUGAAAUAAUAGUUCUAGAGGAGGUAAAAAAGAUAUCUUCUUGAUUAUUUUUCUUUUUUGAACAUUUUAACUAUCUUGUUGAUUGUUAAUAUUCACGAUAUAGUUAAAAAUUGAUUGAAUUCUAAGCUCUUUUAUGUUUCUUUAGGUGUUGAAGCUGCUGAAUGUAGGGAGCCCUCGUAAAACAAUUCCCAUAAUGCCCCUAAUACUCUAAGGUCGACCCUGUGUAUAUCAUAUUAUUGAAAAAAAAUUGCUUCAAUACAGUAUGUGGUAAGGUUUAAUUUUAUAUGAAUUUAAGCUGAAGUUGGUACCUUUUAUUGUUUAAUACCGUGACAUCAGGGAAAUUUUUAAUAGGUCUUCAUUUUAGGCUAAAGUACCCGAACAAUACUUCCCAUGCACUUUGUGAUCUUAUUACAAAAUCUUAAACUAAAUAGCUGUGGAAGUAACAAAGAGGGCAACUUUUUACUAUAAUGUGAUGAAAAUAAUUCAUUUGUCAUCACGAACUAACCAAAUCAAAACAAAAAACUAAUGAUCAUAUGGUUCAAAUCUGUGCAACAAUGGUGCAUUUAAAAGGAAAUAAUGUACAGAUAAAAUUUGUGCUUGUAACAAGAACUCUUCUCUUCAAGCCAACAAUUCCACCUAGCAGAGAGAAGUGUUUUAGGCGACACUUUCCAACUAAUGAAAGCAGUGAGCUCUCAAACUCUGUUAUCAUUUUCUACUACUUGAAAAAGAGAGAAAGAGAAACGAGAGGAAAAACAUGGCUCCUCUGUUUUCAUUUUGGUGAUUGCAAAUAACAUUUUUUUUUUACUUUUACUCUUUAUUUAUUUAAUUUUAAAAAAAAAACUUUUAGCUCAUUAGAUCUUGUUCUUGUUAAUGCUUCUAGUAACUUAUAUGAUGAUCUGAUCAUAUCCGUAAAAUUAACAUACCCAUAAUCCAUUAUUUUAUAAUUAUAAAACUUGAAAAUUCGGUCAUGCAAUUUUGUAUGAUGAACAGUGUGUUCAUUUUUUCUGUGAAACAUAAGAACAAUUUGUAAAUAAUGUCCAUGCGGACCUUGUAAUAGCGAAGCAUCAUUAUUGAUCUUACUUUGAUGAUCGCACUUUAGUUUCUUUUUAAAGUGCCUUUUGUUUAUUUUAUCGGCAUCCGCUUUUACAAAAGUUUUGGUCCUCGUUCAUUCAUCAAAGCUUCUACUUUUAUCUUUUAUUAGGCAUCUUAUAAAAAGCUUAAUUUAAUUGGAAUCAUGUUCGGUAUGAAGAUUGUUUUACUUACUUCAGCAAUCUUUCAAUCAACCGAAUUUAUUCUUUUCUGAUCUGGAAAUUAUUCAUGAAAAAAUAGGCGCGUCAGUAGGACAACAGGGACCAAGUACAUAAUAUGAAAAUUCAUUUGUAUUGCUUACUCUAAUAAGCUCUUAACUCACACAUUCCUCUGCAGUUACCAGUGAUCUUUUGCUCACUAAAAUUGUUAUUAUAUAUUCAAGGUGAAUAAAGAAACUCAUCAUCCCAGAUAAUUAAAGAGGUGAACUUGUUCUAAAUCCUUUAAUAAUUUCUAUUAAUAAUAGCAUAUAUAAUCUCUAAUCCUUGAUCUUGGUAGUAGUUCUUUCUUAAUGUCCAAGAAAAAUAUCUCUCAUUUGUCUUAAUCUUGUCAGUUAAUUUUCUUGAAUUCUGAGUUAGUGUUUAUUGUUAAAUUCGGUUUUCGGUUAGUAGCCAUUGGUUAAUAGCUUCGGUUAAUCCUUGAAUUAAACAUAUUAAAAUCUAAUCAUAAACCCGCCUUUCCCUAUUUUACAACACCCUUUAUGUAAUAGUGACUUCAAAAGUGUAACAUAUUUUGAACAAUUGCAAGGAAAGAACAUAUUUGACACUUCACGAAACGGCUAAGAUAUAAGCUUCAAUUCUUGUACAACAAAUUAAUAUAACCAACUUCAACCGUCAAUUGAUCAAUAAUUCAGUAACAAAAAGGGACAGAUAUCCUAGUCUUUCUUUACUAAUGAAGCAAGCCAUUAAACUUCGAAAGCUAUUUCUAUUUCCACAUUCUUCAUGUACCAAAGCAGGAAAAAUAAAAAAAAAAAGCAACAAAAAUUUGGAAGUAAUCGUCUUUAUUCAGCAGCAUGCAUAUUAAUUAAACAUAUUAAAAAAGAGAUAUACAAUAUCAGGUCUGGAGACGAAAUGAGCCCACAGAGACUACCAAUAAUGUAACGGCUUGAUUAAAAAUAUUAAUCAAGCCACUACAUUAGAAGAACAAGAGUUAAUCAUGCAUAGUAAUUAAAAAUAUUUUUGCUAUCAUCCACCUGUUCUCUCUAAAUAGUUGUCCCUUUUUUUUUUCUUUUGCCUGAAAUUCCAAGCAAAAAUAUAAUUAGAAGAUCAAGAGUUAAGGGUUAAAAAAAUGGAAAAAGAGGGCUCCUCUGUUUUCAUUCCCCUGUUUUUCUGUUCGGUGAUUACAAAGAUUUAAAUCAAAAUUUAUGAUGCAGGCUACACGGCACCUGGUGGAAGACUGCUAGGGUUUACCUUUUAUUCUUAGUUAGAAAUUUAAUUUAGAAUUUGUAGUGUGCGCCUUAUAUAAGUAGGUUUCCUAAUAGUAAAAUUAAAUAAUCAACUUUAUGAUGCACUAGGAUAUGGUUGUGAUAAAUGAGCUUUUUAUGUAUCCUGUGAGGCUGAUUAUUAUUUUAUUACAUUGAAGAUUCAGUUAUCUCUUGGUAGUCUUGUGACUCAAGCGGAUUUAGUUAGUAGUAGGUAAUACUCUGGACUUCACAUACUAAACGGAAUGGAGCAUUAUUUUAUCCCGCUAAAUCAGUUUUUUUUUUUUUUAAUUAAAAAAUAAUUCAUCAAACACUUUAUAGCUCUGGUUUUAACUUGGUAAACACUUUAAGCCGCAACUUUAAAUUCAGUUUACGAGAACUCCUAACAGUCACUGUGGCUUGGGUAGAAAUGAAUAUACUAGCAUAAGUAAUGCUACCCAGGAAAUGUAGUUGAACCUAACCAAACUAAAACCAGAUGAUGAAAGCUUAUAUACACCAAGAGAUUUAUUCGUUUCUGAGUUUGUUUCCAGAAACCCGGAACCUCCCCUGUUUCUACAAACACGGCACCUUUGUUUUCAUUCCCCUGUUUUUCCAUUUGGUGAUUGUAAAAAUCUAAAUCUAAAUCUAAAUUUUUGAUGCAGUCUACACGGCACCUGCUAGAUGAUUGUUUGGGUUUAUCUUUUAUUCUUAAUUAUGAAUUUAAUUUAGAUUCGUAGUGUGCGCCUUAUGAAAGAUUAAAUAGAAUAAUGUGAAAAAAGAAAGAAUGCCUUUCUUAAUUUUGACUUCAUAAUGUUGCAGUAACCGUCCUCUCUUAUCAUUCCCCUGUUCUUUGGUUUGGUGAUUGCAAAUAACAUUCUUUGCAUCUACUCUUUAUUUAUUUAUUUUUUUAAUUUUUAGCUCAUUAAUUCUUGUUCUUCUUAAAGUGUUUAGUAAAUUAUAUGAUCACCUGAUCAAAUCCCUCACAUUAACUCUAAUCCUUUUAGAAAAGACUAAAAAUUAAAAAAAAUAUGUUUAAAUAUCAGUUGGCUCAUGAUCAACACUUCAAUACUGUUUGUUGUAUUUUCUUUCUUUCUUUGUUUGUCAUUUUAUUAGAUUUGUUUUGUAUCAUGGUCUGUUUUGCUUAAGUAAUUGUUCAUUGUUUACGUCUGUGUUCUUACUAGCUUUUGAUAAUUUAUAGUUGGUUUUUUAUUCAGACCUCGAAGUACCUUUCUGUUAAUAGCAAAACCUCUGAUCCUUAAGAAAGAAAAAGAAAUUCUCUAUUUAGUUAUUAGUUGGUUCAAGAUCAAUAUAGCGAUAUUGUUUGCGGUCUUUUCAUUCUCUAUCUUUCCCUCUAGUUCAUUUUAAUUUAUUUGUAUUCCUUUCUUUGACACUUGUAUUUAUAUAUAUAUAUUGUUAAGCAAUAGGCAAUGGCUGCAGAAGGGUGUCUCCCUGCUUUUUCCAGCAUUGUAUCACAAGGUUCAAAAGCAUUAUUCGAACAGAUUAUGCGGCACAUAAAUUAUGUGUUCGAGUACCAGAGCUACAUAGAUGGGCUAAAAGAUCGAGUGAAGGGGCUGGAAUAUAUAAGAGAAAGGGUGCAAAUGCUGGUUAGAGAGGCUACUCUACAAGGAGAUGAGAUUUAUAAGGGUGUCUGAGACUGGCUAAAUAGAGUUGCUGAAUUCAGUGAAGGGGUUGAAAAAUCCAUCAUUGAUGAUAAAGAUAGAGCUAAGAUGUUCUGCUUCAAAGGGUUGUGCCCAAAUUUGAUUUCUCGUUACAAGCUUGGUAAACAAGCAGCAGAGGCCGCAAACGAAGCUGAUAAACUUGUGAAAAAAGGCGAAUUUAACAUCUGUAAUCAUGUUUCCUACCGUCCUGCUCCAGAGAGUACAGAAUAUGUGCAAGUGAAAGAUUACGUAGCCUUUUAUUAUAAUAUCUUUUCACUCUAUUAACUUAAAAAAGAUUGACUUCAAUGUUAAAAAUGUAACAGUAUAUACAUUUUAUAAUAAUUUCAAUAUUUAAAAAAUAUUUGAAUACUUUACAAUCUUAUAUUAUAUUAAACUAAAUUUUAUAAUAAUUAGAAACAUAAUAUUAAAAUAAAUAUAUAAAAUUUUAAGUUAGGCUUAAUAUUAUUUAAAAUAAUUUAAAUAUCAUUAAUAGAUGAGAUAUAUUAUAUUAAUUAUAAAUUCUAUUUAAUCGAAAUAUAUAUUUAAAUUUUUUAUACUAAAAAUAGAUAUAUUAUUAAAAUAAAUAUAACAACUAACAUUUUAAAAAUUAACACUGAAAUUAAAAUUAUAAAUUAUAUUAAUCUACUAGAAAGAUUAAUCUAUUUGACACUAGCAGCGGACAAUGAGGUCACGGCAUAGGACAAGCAGUUAUCGUGACCCAUGGACUUUUCUACUUCUUUUGAAAAAAAAAUCAAAAUCAAAAUCAAAGUCAUUGAAGUGCGUUUGAUGAUUUGCUGUUUAGCUUCUCUCUCAAAUGCUUUUUGAGUGCCUCCGGCAUCUGCUUUUAUAUAAGCUUUUGUCUUUAAUCAUUUAUUCAAGCUUUCGCUAAGAGUGAUGCAGCACAGCACAUAAAUAUAGAAGCAUUGACAGCCGGUCAGGAGCUCUUCGGUAUUUGAAGCAAGAAUGAUUGUUUGGCUUUGUGCAUUGAAAGAGAAAAGAAAAUGAAAGACUUAUUUCAUUAAUACAAUUUAAUUAAUUAAUUUAAAAUAAUAAGCAUAUAAUAAUGAUGAAAUUAAUUAAUAAAAAGAAGAAAAUGAAAAUUGCACGUGCUAUUAGCAUAAACCAAUUGCCGGAAUGAGGUCACUUUGUAGACAAAUGAUUCUGGAAUCAGAACUUGGGCCAGCUUUGGGUUAUGGAUCCAAAAUAAAAAAAGGUGGGCCCCAUGGUCUCUUAUGAUCAAUAAAAAUCGAUUGAAAAGGAUGGUAUGGUGAGUGCAAGAGAAAUUUCGAUGGCAGAUCAAGGGAUGAAGAUACGAGCUCACUUGCAACGUGGUAUAGUUCAUCAUGGCUGGCUUUCCUAUAAGUUCAGGUCCUUUGAAUACUUUCAAUGACCUUAUUAGUCAGGAAUUUAACAAUAAUUUUUAUUUUUUACAUCCAGGAACGGUUUUAAGCAUAGGCAAAUUAGGCCUAUAAUUAAUAGCAAAUCCUCUUUUUUAACAAUUAAACAAUUAGGAAGUCUCCCUUUUUAUUUUUGGUAUUACUUAUAAUAGCAAAUCUUUUUUUUUUUUUUUUUUUGGUUGUAAACCAUCCGGUGUGCCACGACCGCAUUGGGCCUCGAUUAAUCCGGAUUCGGAGUGUAGUCACAGUUAAGGCUCUUUACCCCUCCCAAAUGGUGUGUUUAGUGGGGAUCGAACCCGAGAGCUCUUCCCACAAACUCAGCCUGCACUGCCAACUGAGCCACAACCAUUUGGUAGCAAAUCUUCUUUUUUAGGCCUCUUUUUAGUUAGUAAUUAUCUUAUAAUUAAGAAUUUUUAUACACAUUCUAUAUUUGUUAACCUUAAUAUUAAAGAUCUCCAAUUGUUAAUUUAUUAUUAGUUUUUCCAAAAAAAAAUUAAAUUCUUUAUCUAUUUAAAAAAUUUUAUUAUUUAACAUUAUAAAAUUUUUUGCUCCAUUCUCUAUAAAGAAAAUUAUUACAUUUAUUGGUUCACUUUUGAAUUAAAAAAAAAAGUUUAUUGAAAUAAUAGUUCUAGAGGAAGUAAAAAAUAUAUCUUCUUGGAAAUGUUUCAAACCCAUGAGCUUGGAUUUGUUUGAUAAUUUGUCGAAUUUGCCCACAUAUGAAAUUAGUAUGAUUUUACAGGUUAUAUUAUUUUAUUGGCUACUUCAUUAAAAAAAAAAAACACACACACACAGACACAAGGAUUUUUAUUUGAUGGUAGAAGUUAAGUUGUUUUUCAGUGAUAAAUAAUGUUGUUAACCAAAUUUAAUUGACAUUCUACGCGGCAGUAAUUCAAUUUUAUAGAAGCACGUGGAUUAAAGGACAAAAACACAUCAAGUAUUUAAUAUUGGAUAUGGAUAUGAAUUUUAUCCGUAUAGAUAUGGAGAUCCAUGGAUAUCCACGGAUAUUUUAUUUUUAUUAGGGAUAUUAUCAUUUUCCUACCAAAGAUAUUCUGACACAUCAUGUCAGUACCACGAUUUGGUAAAACCAUCAAUUUACCACUAAAUGUUUAAACUGUUAGCAUUUUCCCACCAUUCCGUUAAAACUCAGUUAAUAUGUAACAGAAAAUUCAUAAAAGGUCAAUUUUACCCCUGAAGCGUAAAAUGCCAUGUAAUUAACCUUUUAUAAAUUUUGUAAUUAAAUCAUCAUUUACUGUUCUUCUUUCUUAAUGGGCAAAAAUUACCCUUUAUGAAUUUUGUAAAAUUGACCGUGUGGUGCUAGGUACUUCAUAAAUUGAUUUAAUUUAUUUAAUUUUUAAAGGGCAAAUUUAUUUAUUUAAUUUUUUGUGUAAAAUUAUUAUCAUCAUAUCAAAGAUUAAAUUGCUUCUUUUGCACAUUCUUUUUUUUCCCUUUCAUAAAUUGAUUUUUAGUAGUAGAAUAAAUUGUCUUUAGCUCGUCAAUUUAAUAAAUAAAUUUAAUUAAAUGAGUGCGGAUUAGGUCAGUGGCAGAUAAAAGAGUCGGUUUUUCCAUUACUAAGCUUUUCAUGGAUGAAAAUUUUAUUUAUUUUUUUUGGUUUUAUAGGGUCUCUGUGAAUGCCAUUAGAAAUGAAAUUGACUAAUUCAAGCUUCCUUUUUCCCCUUAACUGACUGUGAGAGGCCAUCAAUCAGCUCUGUUUUGUAUUUUUGUACCUUUUUUUUUUUCGUAUAAUGAUCAAUCAAAUGUUAGCCCUUAGAUUGCAUCCAAUAUUUACUGAUUGUCUUAUAUUAGGAUAUAAACUAAAUUCAUAAGACAUUCCCUUAUUGAUAUUCAUUCCGACACGUCCUAGUCCUUUGCCUUGUAGAAAUGCUUGUGGUUGAAGAGCUUUACAGAGAAGCUGUCGUCAGUACUGCUGGGAAAUUUAUUAUAUUGAAUCAGAAAACUUGACCAGAUAAAGGCUGUGUGCAUGGGAAUACUUGAGGAAAUAUGAUUUACAUAUACCACUUAAUAUUUUACAAUCUCGUAUUCUAUUAAAUGUAAAUAUGAUUUACAUAUAAAAUAAUUUUCAAUAUCAUAUAAAAUAAUUUUAAUAUUAUUAAAACAUGAGAAAUAUUAUAUUAAUUAUAAAAACUAUUUAACCCAAGGAUUUGUUUAAAAUUUUUAUAAUAAAUAUAUUAAAUUACAUUUUAAAAAUUAAUUAUUUAAAUUAUACAUACUAGUCUACUAGAAAAUUUAAACUAUUUAAAUCAUAUUUACAUUUAGUAAAAAAAUUUGAAGUCAUUUUUUUUUGUGGCUACCAUAAGAGUACUAUAGUCAAAAAGGGUAUUGGUGUUCUUUAUUAAAAUUUUGGGGUCUGCAUGACUAUUUUCUAAAAUUUUAAGGGUGUCAUUUUAUUUUUGGAAAAAAAAUAAAUUUCAUUUAAAUAGCUAAAAUGGUAAAUAGUAGAAUGCUACAGUGGGCGUAAAUAGAAGGUAAAAAGCAAUCAGAUUUUGAUUAAACAUGCAAUGUAUGAAAUAUAUAUUAUGAUUAAACAGAUUUUGAUUAUUUAAUAUUAAAUUAUAUUCACAUUAAUAUCUUAAGGAUAGGUAAUACUCAAAUAAUUUUAAAAAAAAUCAAACCCAAAUUAUAUGCAUUGCUAAUGUGCGUUAUUGUCUAAUAUUUGGAUUUUGCUAAGUCACAACUACUGUAACUUACGGACUCUUCAAACAUAUGUGGAUCCCACCACAUGUUAAAUUUUUUACAUUAUUUUUUAAGGGACUGUAAGUUACAACAGCUUAACCUAACAACACCCUAAUAGUUCACUUUACUUUUAUAUCUUUACAAAACAAUGCCAACAAGACAACAAUGUAUGAAAUAAAUAAAAUAAAUAAACAAAGAACUGACAGCGAAAUUAGGGCUAUCAUUGGUUUCUCGUGGUGUGAACUCUUGACAAUCCUCCCCGAUCCCAUCCAAAACUCCCGCGUAGUGUGAACAUUUGACGAUUCUCCCAUAUCCCUCCAAAAAUUUGUCAUAUUACAAAAAGCAAUGUCAAUUGCAAUGUCGUUUCCAUUAGUCAUAGUGGCAGAUAGGACUAGAAUUUGUUGAAACCCCUGGACUUAUUUUUCCUUUUGAAAAUAAUUUUGUAGAACCUCAUAUCGGGAAUAACAGACAAUAAGACUCUUUUUUUAAUUAUAAUAUAUUUUUUUAAUUUAUUAACUAAAAAAAUUAAUUUUAAUAUUUUAUAAUAAAUAUAAGCAGGAUAUUAAAAUAAAUAUAAUCAUAUGUACAUAUUAAAAUAUUUUAAUACCUAAAUAUAUUUUAAUAUUUUACAAUCUCGUAUUCUAUUAAACCAAAUUUUAAUAAAUAGAGACAUAAUAUUCAAAUAAAUAUAUAAAAGUUUUACUUAUUUUCAAUAUCAUAUCAAAUAAUUUUAAUAUUAUUAAAACAUGAGAAAUAUUAUAUUAAUUAUAAAAUCUAUUUAACCCAAGGAUUUGUUUAAAAUUUUUAUAAUAAAUAUAUUAUUAAAAUAAAUAUAUUAAAUUACAUUUUAAAAAUUAAUUAUUUAAAUUAUACAUACUAGUCUACUAGAAAAUUUAAACUAUUUAAAUCAUAUUUACAUUUAGUAAAAACUUUUGCAGUCAUUUUUUUUUUUUUUGUUACCAUCUACUAAGAGUACUAUAGUCAAAAAGGAUAUUAGUGUUCUUUAUUAAAAUUUUGGGGUCUACAUGGCUAUUUUCUAAAAUUUUAAGGGUGUCAUUUUGUUUUUGGAAAAAAAAUAACAAUUUCAUUUAAACAACUAAAAUGGUGAAUACUACAAUGCUACAAUGGCGUAAAUGGAAGGUAAAAAGCAAUCAAAAUGACCAACAGUCUAACGCCUCAGCAAGGACAUAAGGUCAAAGUUUGUUACAUGUGGUCAGAGCCAUUUAGUCUGUGAGUGGGUCUUUCGUGUCAUUUUUGGUCAUUUCAUCUUCUUUGGCAUUGAAGAUUAAAUGUUGACGACAUUUUCAAAAUUUUGGAAGACCCAUCAUACUUUUGGAUGGUUGUCAUUAUUUGAUAUUAUCAUUAUAUGACGAAAUAAAAUUGGAUGUAACACUUGUUUCGCAUUGUGUGAACUUUUGACAAUUCCCUCAUAUCCCCCAAAAAUCUUUCGCCAUUUUGGGAAGAUGCCAUUUAUUUUCAUUUUCAUCAUUGAUAGUGGCAGAUAAUGGGUUCCGGGGACAGACCAUAAAUUAUUGUGACCCAUGGACUUUUCUAAUUUUUUUCCCUUCGGAUAGUUGUCGUUAUUUGAUAGAAGGAGAUAGAGAUAAAGUUUUUUAAUCAAAUGCCCAUUUUAUUUAACAUGGAAGAAGAUCUUUAAACUCUAAGCGAGACUAUCACUUCAACAUAUGCAGCCUUCAAGAAAGCGGUAACAAGUGAUGAGAUAGACUCAUUAUUGUCUAAUCAAACAAGGACAUCGGUAGAUGUAUCAGGAUCUUAAGUUAGAUUGGAAUUUGAUACAUUAUUGUUGGUAACGUUGGUUCAAACCUUCAAAGUGAGGUUGGAUGCAAAAUGGUUUACACCAAAGAAGUGAUUUAGGAAGUUAAUUAACGUUAUUUUAGAUAAUUUAUAAUUCUAGAAUAUUUAUUAUUUUAUGAUUUUCUAUUUUAGUUUGAGUUAAUUAUGGUAUGUAUCUUAAUCUUUUAUUUCCAUUAUAAUUAUGAUUUAAAUUUUCUUUUUAGGUUAACUUAGGAAAGCGGGUUUCUUCUAUUAUAAAUAAAGAUGUCUGUAAUAAAAAAAAUAAAGAUGUCUUGUCAUUGUUUUCAUAACUUCAAGUUCAAUUAUUAAAUAAAACCCCUCUUUUAUAAUUUCCUCUAGGAUUAUUUAUCAAAAUCUCUCUUGUAGAGUCGUUUGGAUUAGAGUGUCAUCUAAUCUCGUAUUACGCGUUAUUAAAAAUCUCAUUGAGUCAUUUGGAUUAUAACGAUAUCUAAUCACGCUUCGAUUAGAGCGUAAACUAAUCGCGUUGGCUUGGUCUGGUACUAGAACGAUAUCUAAUGUUUCUUACCCUAUCAAUUCUGCUUCCGCUACGCCUCACUCCAUCAAUUGGUAUCAAAAUGAUUAUGUGCGAAUUGCACAUCUUUCCUAGAUACACCAUACCUAUCCAAACCAAAUCCAUCAAAAAAAAAAAAUUUACAAAUUUGAAACCCCCUACCCGUCACAUCAACCUCCACCGUCGCCCACCACCGCCGAUCAGCCAGCCAACACCACCACAAACCUCACUAGCCACCGUUGACCAAGCCUUAGUCAUCGCUGCCUCAACCGUCGCUUGAACAGCCGCAAAUCACCAACCCAAACCCGCGGCUCCACCAAGCAGCCCACCACCAUUCAGCCACUUUCUCCACCAACCACCUCCACCAACAAACUCGCCGGCCUCCGUUGACCAAAAACCGACCAACUUCAGCCCUUGAUCGCCGCCCGUUGUCACCACACGAAACGACACGAGUGCUUCCUAGACGCGCCGCCACCAAAACACCUUCUUUUUCCGUCAAUUUACACCACCACCAUAAUCCUUAGCAUUCGGCAACCGUAAAUCCAGUCUUCCGCCACUGUAAAGCCGGCGUAAACCAAAAGCCACAUCACCAAAAUCAACCGCCAAUUCAAGUCGGAUUUCCCCCAAUUCAAGUUGCUGAAUAUAAAAAGGACUCAUGAAAAUUACCUAAAGUUUCAAAUAUUGUUAUUCAGCAACCACUUUUAGGUUACAUUAGUUUCAACCCAAAUUUUAUAUAAAUAAUUUAUAACUCCCAUUAUUAUCAUAAAAAAAAAAUUGUAGCAAUUGAGGUUAUAUCACAUGAAAAAAAAAAUCUAAUUAAAGAAAUUGACAUUAUAACUUAAGGGAUAGUUGCUCUUUUAAUCAUUAGAAUUUAUGUCAAUUAUCCAGCUUAUCCUUGCAUUCUUAAAAACUAUAUACAAUACCAUUAUCUCUGCUUUUGUAGCUAUUGACUUUGACUUUGACAACAUAAAUAUUUAUUAGCAACAACUUAAAAUUCAAACAAAUCUAAUAUGUAAUGUAUGAAAUACAAAUAAUAAUUAAACAAAUUUUGAUUAUUUAAUAUUAAGAUAUAAUCACAUUAAUAUCAUAAGGAUAGGUGGUACUCAAAUAAUCUUUUAAAAAUCAAACCCAAAUUAUAUGCAUUAUUGUCUAAUAUUUAGAUUUUGUUAAGUUACAACUGAUGUCACUUAAGUCUCUUAAAAAAUAUGUGGGUCCCACCACCUAUUAAAUUUUUUACAUUAUUUUUUAAAAAAUUGCAGUUACAUCAGUUGUAACUUAAUAGCACCCCUAGUAUUUUACUUUACUUUUAUACCUUUACAAAAACAAUAAUGUAUGAAAUAAAUAAAUAAAGAACUGACAACGAAAUUAGGCCUAUCAUUAGUUUCUCGUGGUGUGAACUCUUGACAAUCCUCCCCUAUCCCACCUAAAGCUCUUGCGUGUGUGAACGUUUGACAAUUCUCCCAUAUCCCUCCAAUAAUCUGUCAUAUUGCGGAAAGCAAUGUCAAUUGCAAUGUCGUUUCCCAUUAGUCAUAGUGGUAGAUAGGACCAGAAUUUUUUGAAACCCCUGAGACCCUGAACUUGUUUUUCCUUUUGAAAAUAAGAAAAGAACACCCGUCUGGAGAAAUAAUUUUGUAGAACCUCAUAUCGUGAAUAACAGACAACAAGACUUUUUUUUUAAAUUAUAAUAUUUUUUAAACUUAUAAACUAAAAAAAUUAACUCUAAUAAUUUAUGAUAAAUAUAAAUAGGAUAUUAAAAUAAAUAUAAUAAUAUAUACAUAUUAAAAUAAUUUCAAUAUCUAAAAAUUUUAAUAUUUUACAAUCUCGUAUUCUAUUAAACCAAAUUAUAAUAAAUAGAGCAUAAUAUUCAAAUAAAUAUAUAAAAAUUUAGGUUAUUUUCAAUAGCAUAUAAAAUAAUUUUAAUAUUAUUAAUACAUGAGAAAUAUUAUAUUAAUUGUAAAAUCUAUUUAACCUAAGGAUUUAGUUAAAUUUUAAAAUAAUUACAAAUAUUUUAUAAAUACAAAUAAAUUAAUUUACAUUUUAAAAAUUAAUAUUUAAAUUAAUUAUUUAAAUUAUAUAUAUUAGUCUACUGGAAAAUUUAAAUUAUUUAAAUCAUAUUUACAUUUCGUAAAACUUUUAAGCCAAUUUUUUUUUAUUACCACCUACUAAGGGUAUUGUAGUCAAGGGGAAUAUUGGUAUUCUUUAUUAAAAAUUUGGGAUUUACAUGAUUAUUUUUCUAAAUUUUAAUGGUGUCAUUUUAUUUUUGACAAAAAUAAAAUUUCAUUUAAACAGCUAAAAUGGUGAAUAAUACAGUGCUACAGUGGCGUAAGUGGAAGGUAGGAAACAAUCAAAAUGAACAGUCUAACAUCACAGCAGGCAUAUAAGGCCAAAGUUUGUUACAUCCCAAUACAACAAGUUUGAAACUUUGCACCUUCUGAAAUGAAACAAACUUACUUGGAUAUUGGCGAUCAGUGAGAAAAACCCUUUUUCCAAAGCAACCUUAGGGUACCGAGUGUUACAGAUUCAAUGAACCACAAGUACUUAUUUACAUUGUGGUAUCUCAAAGGCACCAAUUUCUUCUGAUCCGUUAAGGAAAACAAGAAAAAUAAAAAGAAAAGAAAAAGGUUACUUGUGCAACACAACCUUGACGCCUAGCUACAUGGUACAUUCUCUUUGUGUGUUUGAACUAGUUAACAAUAAUUGUGCCUUUACUUCUUGGAUUGGGGAAUCGGAAUCCGAAAUCAAAAUCAUUAAUGAUGGAGGCAGGGAUCCAAAUCAGAAUUAUGGGGCCACCCAAAUUUAGGAAUGAGGAAUGGAAGAUUGAUUCCCAAGGAAGGUGGUGGGAAUCAAUCACCCGUUCCCAAGAUUGACCAUUUUGCUCCCUCUCACAAACUAUAAAAUGUCUAUUUUGUCCUCAAUUAAAAAAUUAUUAUGAUUAAUUAAUAUAUGUUUAUAAUUUAUUAAUAUAACUAUUCUAAUCAAUUUAUACAUUUUACAUUUAUUACUAUUAUUAAAUAAUUAAUAUAUUAUUAUAAUUAAUUAAUAUAUUUUGAAUUUUUAUUAUUAUCAUCAUCAUCAUUAUUAUUAUUGUUAUGAAUGAUAAAAAAUUUUACAAUUAAUUAAUAUAUUAAUAUAUUAUUGACAAUAAUUAUUAAUAAUAAUAAUUUUUGAAUAAAUAAAAAUGUAUAAUUAAUUACUGAAUUUGAACAUUUUACAAUUAUUCUAUUAUUUGGACUUAUCGUACAUGCAGAGUAGCUAGUUUGCUAGCAUAUAUGUAAGGUUUAAUUUGAAUGCAUGCAGCAUUGAGAAGAGACAACGCAGAAACAAAAUUUCCGCUUGCGAUCUUUUCAUUUCCCUGUUUAAUAACAAACAAAACAGAGGAGAAACAGGGGCUCUCUUUUAAUUCCCCUGUUUUUCUGUUUGGUGAUUUUAAAAUGGGUCAUUCUAUAAUGCCGUAACUAAAUUUACGGCAUUGAUGCCGUAAUGGACGUGGACCGUUAGAUUUGAAUAAAAAAUCUCUACCAUUAAUUCUAAAUAAAUAAGUAAUAUGUUACCUAAAUAGCAGGUAAUUACUCUUUUUUGUUCAAGUUUCAGGUUACAUUUACUAAUUUUAUGUGUGAUUUACAAGUUUUAUGAAACUUUUACAAGUUAAUGCUGAUUUACAAGUUAUAUGUAACAUUUACAAGUUUUUGUUUUGUUUACAAGUUCUUCUUACAAUUUACAACUCUAACAUUAAUUUACUAGUUGUAUGUGUGGUUUACAAAUUUUUUGUUUUAUUUAACACUUAAUGUCAAUUUACAAGUUCUAUGUAAUUUUUCUAAAUUUUGGUUUUGUUUACAAGUUCUUCUUACAAUUUACAACUCCAACAUUAAUUUAUUCAUUUUUCCAUCAAUUUACUAGUUUUAUGUGUGAUUUACACAUUUUUUGUUUCAUUUCACAAUUAAUGUCAAUUUACUAGUUAUAUGUCAUUUUUAUAAGUUUUUGUUUUGUUUACAAGUUCUUCUUACAAUUUACAACUCUAACAUUAAUUUACCAAUUUUUCCAUUAAUUUACUAGUUUUAUGUGUGAUUUACACAUUUUUUGUUUCAUUUCACACUUAAUGUCAAUUUACUAGUUGUAUGUCAUUUUUCUAAGUUUUUGUUUUAUUUACAAGUUCUUCUUACAAUUUACAACUCCAACACUAAUUUACCAAUUUUUUUCAUUAAUUUACUAGUUUUAUGUGUGAUUUACACAUUUUUUGUUUCAUUUCACACUUAAUGUCAAUUUACUAGUUGUAUGUCAUUUUUCUAAGUUUUUGUUUUGUUUACAAGUUCUUCUUGUAAUUUACAACUCCAACAUUAAUUUACCAAUUUUUUCAUUAAUUUACUAGUUUUAUGUGUGAUUUACAUAUUUUUUGUUUCAUUUCACACUUAAUGUCAAUUUACAAGUUCUAUGUCAUUUUUCUAAGUUUUUGUUUUGUUUACAAGUUCUUCUUACAAUUUACAACUCCAACAUUAAUUUACCAAUUGUUCUAUCAAUUUACUAGUUUUAUGUGUGAUUUACAUAUUUUUUGUUUCAUUUCACAAUUAAUGUCAAUUUACUAGUUGUAUGUCAUUUUUCUAAGUUUUUGUUUUGUUUACAAGUUCUUCUUACAAUUUUCAACUCUAACAUUAAUUUACCAAAUUUUUCAUUAAUUUACUAGUUUUAUGUGUGAUUUACAUAUUUUUUGUUUCAUUUUACACUUAAUGUCAAUUUAAAAGUUCUAUGUCAUUUUUCUAAGUUUUUGUUUUGUUUACAAGUUCUUCUUGCAAUUUACAACUCCAACAUUAAUUUACUCAUUUUUCCAUUAAUUUACUAGUUUUAUGUGUGAUUUACAAAUUUAUUGUUUUAUUUCACACUUAAUGUCAAUUUACUAGUUGUAUGUCAUUAUUCUAAGUUUUUGUUUUGUUUACAAGUUCUUCUUACAAUUUACAACUCUAACAUUAAUUUACCAAUUUUUCCAUUAAUUUACUAGUUUUAUGUGUGAUUUACAUAUUUUUUGUUUCAUUUCAUACUUAAUGUCAAUUUGCAAGUUCUAUGUCAUUUUUCUAAGUUUUUGUUUUGUUUACAAGUUCUUCUUGCAAUUUACAACUCCAACAUUAAUUUACUCAUUUUUCCAUUAAUUUACUAGUUUUAUGUGUGAUUUACAAAUUUAUUGUUUUAUUUCACACUUAAUGUCAAUUUGCAAGUUCUAUGUCAUUUUUCUAAUUUUUUUUUUGUUUACAAGUUCUUCUUGCAAUUUACAACUCUAACAUUAAUUUACUCAUUUUUCCAUUAAUUUACUAGUUUUAUGUGUGAUUUACAAAUUUAUUGUUUUAUUUCACACUUAAUGUCAAUUUGCAAGUUCUAUGUCAUUUUUCUAAUUUUUUUUUUUUGUUUACAAGUUCUUCUUGCAAUUUACAACUCCAACAUUAAUUUACUCAUUUUUCCAUUAAUUUACUAGUUUUUUGUGUGAUUUACAAAUUUAUUAUUUUAUUUCACACUUAAUGUCAAUUUACAAGUUCUAUGUCAUUUUUCUAAGUUUUUAUUUUGUUUACAAGUUCUUCUUGCAAUUUACAACUCCAACAUUAAUUUACUCAUUUUUCCAUCAAUUUACUAGUUUUAUGUGUGAUUUACACAUUUUUUGUUUCAUUUCACACUUAAUGUCAAUUUACAAGUUCUAUGUCAUUUUUCUAAGUUUUUGUUUUGUUUACAAGUUCUUCUUACAAUUUACAACUCCAACAUUAAUUUACCAAUUUUUCCAUCAAUUUACUAGUUUUAUGUGUGAUUUACAUAUUUUUUGUUUCAUUUCACACUUAAUGUCAAUUUACAAGUUCUAUGUCAUUUUUCUAAGUUUUUGUUUUGUUUACAAGUUCUUCUUACAAUUUACAACUCUAACAUUAAUUUACCAAAUUUUUCAUUAAUUUACUAAUUUUAUGUUGAUUUACAUAUUUUUUGUUUCAUUUCACAAUUAAUGUCAAUUUACUAGUUGUAUGUCAUUUUUCUAAGUUUUUGUUUUGUUUACAAGUUCUUCUUACAAUUUUCAACUCUAAUAUUAAUUUACCAAAUUUUUCAUUAAUUUACUAGUUUUAUGUGUGAUUUACAUAUUUUUUGUUUCAUUUCACACUUAAUGUCAAUUUACAGGUUCUAUGUCAUUUUUCUAAGUUUUUGUUUUGUUUACAAUUUCUUCUUAUAAUUUACAACUCCAACAUUAAUUUACUAGUUUUUUUCUAUUUUUUAUUUUUUUAAAUUUUGUAGACCAAUUUACCACUCUAACGUUGAUUAUUGGCAUUUUAUGAUUUAGAUAGAAUGAUAUAAGGGUGGGCAUGAGUUGGGUUUGAUAGGGUUAGUGAAAUUCUAACCUGAUCUACUUUUUAAUGAGCUGACAUAAAAUCCAUCCAACUUAACUAAAUAAACUUGUUUAACCCAAUUCUACCCAAGCCUUAUAUCGUCUGGUUAAGUUGAUUAGGUUGAAGGUCAAAUCAAAAUUUUAAUUUGAACAAUGAAAAUGAUAUGAAACUUGAAAUGAAACUUAUUAAAAUCAAAUAUAAAUCUUUUAUAAAAUGAAAUUUUCAUUCACUAUCUAGUGUACGUAAAGAAAGUUAAUAAAUUAACUAUCUUUAAAUUAAGAAAAUUUCCACAAAAAGCAUAUAGACUUUAUUUCUCCUACAUCUCCUUUUCCAAUUCCAAAUUCAGACUUUUUAGAUAAUUAGCUAGCAUCAUAUACAAAAAUAAAAUGAAAGUGAUAUAUAAUUAUAUGCCGUUAAGUAUUCACUAAAAAAAUAAAAAGAAAUUAAAACCAACUUACUUUUAUAUUAAUCUUAUAAAAUAAUAAAUUUACUUAUAAGAGAGUGUGAUUUUGGUUUUGGAAUUGUAGUCUAGAGCAACAUGUAGGUCCCGAACCCUGAUUUCAAUUUAAUUGGGCUCUAAUAUUUAGGCCCGAGCCUAACCAUUAAAUUCGAGUCAAAGGAUAGAAAAUUCAGGUCAAGUCAAUUAGACUAAAAGUCGAUCCGAGUCUUCCUUGCAUGUAUAUAUGUUUGCAUCUUGAUUUUUUAUUUUUAUAUAUCAUAUAAACUCUUCUAUAAAUUUAUAGGUAUAUAUAGAAUGCUGCGUUUACUUGUCAUUAAUUGGAAUAGGUAAUGAGAAUCAGAAUAAGUUGUUUACUUGAUCUACAAGAAUCGAAAUCGGAAUGGACUGGAACCCCAUUAAUGUGUUUAUUUUAUCUUGGAAUUGGCUUCGGAAUGAGUUAAAUUGUAACAAAUUACUAAAAAGUACUUAAUGGAUUAUUAUCAUAAUUAUUAUUUUAUAUUUUAAUUAUAGUGAUUAUUUAUUCAAAAAUUAUUAUUAUUAUUAUUAAUUGUAAUAUAUAUUAAUAUAUUAAUAAAAUCAUAAAUCUAUCAUUUUUCUUUAAAUUAGUUUAUAAAAAUCGACAUUGUCCCUUUCCCGAAUGAGAAAUUGGGUAUAAAAUCAUAAAUUUAAAAUUUAACUAAAAAUCAUAAAUCUAAACCCCAAAAAAGUCAUAACAUAAGUGGUUCUAUAUAUAUUUUAGGUAUAUAUAUAAAUGUUUGUGUGUGUGUGUGUGUGUGUCUCUCUCUCUCUCUCUAUAUAUAUAUAUAUAUAUAUAUAUCUUAUUUUUAAUGAAUUGUCAUAUUACUGGAAUUACUUAGUAUGAUGUCAUAAUUAUAGAAUUAAGUCACUUUUAUGGCAUAAACAAUAUAAUUUUCUAAAAAAAAAUUAGGUUCAACUAAAGAUUGAUAUGUUACUAAUUUUUUUUUUUUUUGGAUGGACCUCUUUACUAGUUUAAAAUCGAAUCAUUGGCAUGUUUAAUUUAAACCUUAUGGUCCUUUUUAGUUACAAUUUUUUUUUUAAAUAUCAAGGUAUUUUUUAAUCUGCUAUCAAAUUUCACUUAACACUUUUACACUCUUUUUAUUUCAAUUUUUUUAAAAUAAAUAUUACAGUACUUUUUUCUUACAUUCACGACAAAUUAUGUAAUCUCAAUAGCUCCAACUAAAGAUUGUAAUCUCACGACAAAUUAUGUCAUAUUUAUAGAAUUAAGUCACUUUUUUCCUUGUUCCCGUAAUAUUUUUGCUUCUUGCUUGCUGCAGUCAAUUAAAUAUUUUGAAAAAAAAAUAUAAUCAGUGCACUGUCACAUUAUUAUGCUUGACUUUACUAAAUAUUCAUAAAUUUACCAACAAUCAAAUACGUAAUAUUUAAUGUAAUUAGACUUACAAAUACUUAACGAAAGACCGAUUAUUUCUUAAAAUUUCAAUUUCUUGGUUCACGUUAUCCUUGAAAUCAUUCUCGUUACCCUUAUCUACAUUUUCAGCCAUUUUCGAGUUUAUAACAAGAACCUGUACAUGAAGAUAUUAGGCACAAAAAGAAAUGUCAAAGAUCACAAGUUUUGGAUCCUGUAAAAAUAUUUUACAGAUAAACAUUUCAAUUCAAAAUUCAAUCGCCCGAGCAAUAAUUAGGAACACCUGGAAAGUUAAACUGGUAUUUGCUUCCAUAACAGUGACAAACAAUAACCAUUCACAACAUUAGUUAUAAUCCUUAAAAAGAAAUAACAAACUUCAAAAAAAAAUAUAUAGACGUUUUACAAUGACUGUUGGCUUGGCACAUCAAUCUAAAGCUCACAAGCAGUUUGCAUUUCUCAUCAUCUCUUUCUUCUUCCCUCUAUUAUCAAUGGAUUGUAGAAGCUCAAAUGAAGCAAGUAGCAGCAGGAACAACACAAGCAACUUUUACUAUCAAUCCCCAUCCUUCUCCAUUCAAAAUGCAUCAUGACCAUUUUCCGGCCAGCUCCAUACACAAAAACAACAGUAAAUAUAUCCGGAAACAACAAAAAAAUUAACCCAAAAGUAGUAGUAAAUUUAUACAAAAACAGAAAAAAAUUUAACUGAAAUACGGCAGCAAAUUAACCCAAAACCAGCAGAAUUUUAACACAGAAAUAGCAGCAACUGAAGCCCAAAACACCCGAAAAUUUUACCCAAAAACAGCAGUAAAUUUAUCCAGAAACAGCAGAAAAAUUAAUUGAAAAACAGCAGCAAAUUUACCCAGAAGCAGCAGAAAAUUUAACCCAAAAAUAGCAGUAAAUUUAUCUAGAAACAGCAGAAAAUUUAAUUGAAAAACAGCAGCAAAUUUACCCAGAAGUAGCAGAAAAUUUAACACAAAAACAGCAGCAAAUGAAGCCCAAAACAGCAGAAAAUUUAACCACAAAACAGCAGAAAAUUUAACCCAAAAACAGCAGUAAAUUUAUCCAGAAACAGCAAAAAAUUUAACUGAAAAACAGCAGCAAAUUUACCGAGAAACAACAGAAAAUUUAACACAAAAACAGUAGCAAAUGAAGCCCAAAACACCAGAAAAAUUUACCUCCAAACAGCAGAAAAUAUAACCCAAAAACAGCAGUAAAUUGAUCCAAAAACAGCAGAAAAUUAGACUAAAAACAGCAGCCAAUUUACCCAGAAACAGCAAAAAAUUUAACUCAAAAUCAGCAGCAAAUGAAGCCCAAAACACCAGAAAAAUUUAACCCAAGAACAACAGCAAAUCAUUCCAAAUACAGCAUAAAAUUUACCCAGAAAAAAAAAGCAUAUCAAAUCAUCCCAAAUACAGCAGCAAAUCAUCCCUACGUUUCAAACAUGCUUCUCUAGGCUAACUCUAGACUUAAUUUUCCCUUCAUUACCACAGUGGAACUCAUUCUAACUGGUAAAUUUAUUUGUAUAAACAAUAAUUCACUUUCUAUUGAACUAAGAGUUGAUGAAAUUCAUUGAUAUUGAAAUUAUUUGCAGUUGAUGAACCUCGUAUUCUAUUAAACUUCCAACCAAAAUCAAUGCACAUGAGAAUACAAAAUCAAGGGCACAACAAUUAACGAAAUUUACUUUUAAUUUCGUCCAAACCUAUACAUCGCACCAAAUUAAGGUUCAGUUUCUAUUUCUUCAUUAACCCAAGUGACACAAAACAAUUCUAUUAAAUUUUAUGUUGAAAUUAUUUGUAGCAAACAAACAAAUAUACCAAAAAUAGGCUUACUUGGUGGAAUUAACAACAAUGCAAACGCGGUGGAGGGGAAUCAGUGGCUGGAACUUGCCUUGCCUUCUCUUCCAAUCAAUAAGAUUGAGGGCAGCAGCAACAACUUAUGAUCAACACCUGGUACUCCGCUUCAGGCACUGUCAAAUCUCAUCAAAAUUUCUUUAUCCCUUAAUUCUCUUGGAAACCAAACAAAAUACCACAACCAAUCCAGAUGCACAGUAUCCAAAAAUUAUAAAAAAAUCCACUUAAAAAACUUAAAAAAGGGUUAAAAAAAGUCUUAAGAAGAGUUUACCUCCUGAAUCACUGAUGCCCAGCCGGUAUCGUUGUUCCAAAACCCCUUGACGAAUACGAACACAGCCUGGUUCUCCUCAACCAAGUUGUUGUAGAGCUUCUUCUUGUCCGAUUAAAUAAUCUAUUGGUAUUUAGUGAUGGAUUUAAAGAGGAACGCCUUGGCGAUGGGCAAAUUUCAAAUCCGCUUCUGUUUUGCUGCAAGCAGAUUUCAAAUCGGUGAUGGGCAGGAACACAAACUCAGCCCCUUCACCAACAUGAACCGUUGUAGAGCUUCUUAUUUCUCGCUUCUUUUUGGCUUCAGGCAGUUUUCAAAGCGAUGAUUGGCAGGAAAAGAGGAACGAUUGAGGAAAACAAAAUUUGGGUUAGCCAGCAAGCACAAUCGCUUCGAAAAUACAAGAUCCGGCGUGCUGCAAUUUCUUAGACUCGAUGUUGUGCCCUUCGAAUUAUGAGAUUCUAUUUGGAUUUUUGUAGAUUCGGUUUUAAAAAAAUAUAUAUAUAUAUAUAUAUGUAUGUAUAUAAUUUUGAAAAUUUUAACCAGUUAAUUUUUUUAAAUAAAUGUUUAGCCGGUUAACAACCGGUUAAUGAAAAAAAUUUACAAAUUUUUUUAUUAUGUUAUAGUUAUUGCAUGCUGUUGAUUUAAUCCAACGGUGUACAGUAAUUACGGCAUUAAUACCGUAAUUUUUAUUACGGUAUUAUAGAAUUUUCCUUUUAAAAUUUUAUGUCUAUAUUUAUCAAAAAAAGUUAUCCAGAAUUAUUAUCUAUUUUUGAUACACAUUGAUUUAUUAAAAAAACAAUUAAAAACUGCAAUUCUAAACUUAUCGUUGUGCACUGUGCUUUGACCUUGGGGUGGUUUUUUUCUGUUUUUUUACGUAGGCCAGAACCUUAAUGAAGAAAGUUUUCAUCGUUAAUUGCUUUUGACCUAGGAGAAUUUAUUACUUGGACAAAUUAACACCAUUGUCCUUUGAUGCGGCUCCUAGAUAUCUAUGCAAUUUGUGUCAUUUACUUUUGCUUUGUAUUCUUUUUUAAAUGAGUCCUGACUGGUUCAUUGGCAGAUAAAUGAGUCGGUUUUUCUGUUUUUAUUUUUUAUUUUUUAUUUUUUGAAAGACGGUUUUUCUGUUACGAAACUUUUCAUGGAUGAAUUUUUUUUUUAAUUUUAUAGAUUCUCUGCGAAGGCAGUUUAGAAGUACUAAGUUUUGUUAGGUAGAAGGGUAUUUAAGUAUUUUCAUUUCAUAUUUUGACAUUUCCUUGACCUUUGAAGUAUUGAAUCAUUGUGUUGGUAUUUAAGUAAAUCUGCCCACAAUGAGGAAUAUAUAGUUCAGAACAGUUGAGGAAGCAUGAGAAUACUUGAGGAAAACCUGAUCUGCACUCUUUCCUCUAUAUGUGUCUUCAAUAUAAAUGGCUCAAAUAUAUGCGUUAUGAUCUUUUAAUAUUUCGCCUCUGAUAUUGCCCACAUUGCUUACUGCAAUAGAUAAAGCACUUCGUUUACCCCAAAUCCUGAUAGGGAAGUAUAAAUAUAUGCUUCCGAAAUAGCGCAACUCUCCAUAAUUAUUUAAUAUGCCUCUCAAUGAAGCAAUCACUUCAUUUACAAUUCUUCGAUUAUUAAUCCUACAUACACGUGUUUCUUUUGUCUCUAAAAGUAUUCUCAAUUAAUUUACAUAAUUUAAUAUAAUAAGUACCUAAGACUAGACAAAUUACCAUUACAAUAAAAUGAAUAAAUUAUAAUAGUAUUGACACAAUAAUGUCAAUAAUAAAUGCCUUAACAAACCUAUAAAUUUUAGAAUAUGGCUCAGAGUGCUACAAUGAACCACAACAAGUUAUUAUAUUAUCUAUAAUCAAUAUUCCAAUGAUAAUAGAGCUUUUCUAUUUUCAAUCCGCUGCUUUUCUGUUUAGCGAUUGCCAAAUUUUAUAUCUAAAAUUCUUCUAAUUUUACACUAAGGUUUAUUUAAAAAAAAAAAAAAGGGGGUAGGAGAGAGAGACUCAGAGAGUAUUAAAAAAUGUAAUUCUAAAUUUUUACUUGAGCGUUGUGUGAUUUUUAUCAUUUUUUUUAAGUUGGCCAUUUAUAUUGAGUAAAUAAAAGAAUGAAUAGACGUUUGGACCACUUCUUUUCUGUUAUAAUAAAACAUGAGAUGUCUUUUCUUGAUGUUUUCGUCACAAAAGAAUAUGUUUAUGUCAUCAUAGGCUUAAAUGGGGUAAGUAAAUUAAGAUCGAGGAAAAGUUUGUUUAAGCACUAAAGUCGCUAAAUAAACGAAAGGCUCAUAUAAAAAUUACCUAAAGCACCAAAUAUUGUUAUUUAGCUACUUCUUUUAUGUUACAUUAGUUUCUACGCAAAUUUAUAUAAAUAAUUUAUAACUCCCAUCAUUAUUAAAAAAAAAAAAAAACUGUAGCAAUUGUGGUUAUAUCACGUGGUGUGAUCUUUUGACAAUUCUCCCACAUCCCACCAAAAACUCUUACGCGGCAUGAACUUUUGACAAUUCUCCCAUAUCCCACCAAAAAUUUGUCAUGUUGCGAAAGGCAAUGUCAAUUGCAAUGUCAUUUCCAUUAGUCAUAGUAGCAGACAAUGGAGGUCCCGGGAUAGGACUAGAAGUUUUUGAAAUCUUGGACUUAUUCUUACUUUAUUUUUUCUUUUGAAAAUGAGAAAAGGACACCCGUUUGAGGAAAUAAUUUUGUAGAACCUCAUAUCGUGAAUAGGGGAUAAUAAGACUUUUUUUUUUUUUUACUUCACUGCAAUAUUCUUUAAUUUUAUUAAUUUUAUAUUUUAUAAUAAAUAUAAAUGUGAUAUUAAAAUAAAUGUAAUAAUAUAUACAUAUUAAAAUAACUUGAUAUUGAAAAAUAUUUUAAUAUUUUACAAUCCCGUAUUACAUUAAACCAAACUAUAAUAAAUAGAUAUAAUAUUAAAAUAAAUAUAUAAAAGUUUAAAUUAUUUUGAAUAUCAUAUAAAAUAAUUUUAAUAUUAUUAAUAAAUCAGAAGUAUUACAUUAAUUGUAAAAUCUAUCUAAUCCAAGGAUUUAUUUAAAUUUUUUAUAAUAAAUUAAAAAUAUAUUAAUUAACAUUUUAAAAAUUAAUAAUGAAAUUAAUUAUAUAAGUUAUACAUAUUAGUCUACUAGAAAGAUUUAAACUAUUUCAAUCAGAUUUACAUUUAGUGAAAAUUUUUGAAGUUAAUGGUUUUGGUUAUCGUCUACUAAGAAUCUUGCAGUUAAAAGGGGUAUUGACAUUCUUUAUUAAAAAUUUGAGGUCUACAUAACUAUUUUUUAAAAAUUUAAGGGUGUCAUUUUUAUUUUUAACAAAAAUAAAAUUUCAUUUAAAUGGCUAAAAUGGUGAAUAAUACAAUGUUACAGCUGGCGUAACAUUGUAUUAUAUGUUAAAUUUUUUUAAAUAUUUGUAUAUAUUGUUAUAUGAUAUUAUAAUAUUAUAUUUAUAUUUAUUAAAAUAUAAGAGUUAAUAUUUUUAAAUUAAUAAAGACAAAAAGUAUUAUAAUAAAAAAGAAUUCUUUUAUUAAAAAUAUAAUCAUUCUCCCAAACUUAUCCUUGUCCCUUUUUGAAAGGAAAAAAUAAAUUAGAAAAGUCUUUGGUCAUGAUAACUUCUAGCCUUGUCCCAUGGGACAUGGCUACGGUGCAGAAGCUGAAAGUAACAGCUUCGAACUUUCCCAUUUCCAUCACCUUGCAUUGGGACCUCUUUCUCUCUCCUCUAGCACCAGUGGAAGUUCCCCAUUGGCCGCUGUUACUUACAGAAGCUGUAACAUAGACUUCUAGCCAUGUCCCGUGAUGUCCAUUGUCUGCCACUAUCAAUAAUGGCAAUGACAUUGCAAAUGAAACAUUGAAAAUGUAUUUUCACAAUAUGACAAAAUGGGAGGAUUGUCAAAAGUUCACUGAAACUAGAGUUAGAUCUAAUUUCAUUUAUUUCAUAAAUUAGAAAAGUCUAUGGUCGUGAUAACUUCUAGCCAUGUCCCGUGAUGUCCAUUGUCUGCCACUAUGAAUAAUGAAAAUGACAUUGCAAUUGAAACUUUGAAAGGUAUUUUCGCAAUAUGACAAAGCUUUUGUUGGGAUACGGGAGGAUUGUCAAAAAUUCACACCACGUGAAACUAGCGUUAGAUCUAAUUUUAUGUCGUCAGUUCCUUAUAUAUUUAUUUCAUUUAUUUUAUACAUAGCUGUUUUAGGGUGAUAUUGUUUUGUAAAGAUAUAAUAGUAUGGUACUAUAAAAAGAAAAGAGGUGUGUGUAUACUUCCCAGUGUAAUAAUUAUAUGUAGAAGAAAACUAACAAGAGGAAAAAUGACAAAGAGCAAGGCGCUGGUUGUGGGGAGAAGAGGAUAGAGAAGGCAAUCUUAGCUUGUUGAUUGAGGGCUCAUUUUCUGAUCAUCGUAGCCUUGUUGGAGCUGUCAAACAAGUCGAUGUUGUCAUUUGCACCAUGUCGGGGGCUCAUUUAAGGAGCCACAAACAUUUUGAUGUUGCUUAAACCUGUUGAGUCCAUCAAAUAAGCUGUAAAUAUUAAGGUACGUAAUCCUUAAUUUUUAUGUAAUUUUAAUUUCAGAUCCAAAAUUGCAUGCAAGUCAUUAAAUUUCUUUCCUUUUUUUAUUUUUUAUUUGAUGAGUUACUUGAUUUGGUCGGGUGCCUUUUUUUUUCCUUUGGUUUUUCUUUUUCCAAAACAUAAAUAGACCAAGCACAUCUCCAAAUCGGGUUGGAGCGGGGAUUCUAACUCUACGAUGGCCAUAUUAAAAUUUAAAAUUUUUUAAUUUAUUUUUUCUUUUAUAACUACAUCUCAAUAUUUGAAAAAAUGAUUAUAUAGAUCUAUAUAUUAUCGAACCCAAAAUUAUAAUAAUACAUGUAAUUAUUCUAUACAUGCGUCAACAAGGCAACAGUAACCAAAUACAUGAUAUGCGAAGGGGGUGCAUGAUUAAGUCCUUUUUUUAUUCAAUUCAUUGUUAUUAUUUUUCAGCAGUUACCAGUGAUCUUUUUGCUCAUUAAAAUUAUUCUUAAAUAUUCAACGCCCAGAAGAGAAGCUCAUCAACUAUCAGAUCCCGGAUAAUUAAAGAGGUGAACUUGUUCUAAAUCCUUUGAUAAUUUCUAUUAAUAGCAUAAUCUCCUUGAUCCAAGAAAAAAUAUCUCCUGUUUGUCUUAAUCUUGUCAUUUAAUUUUUUCAACAGCAAAUAUAUAUACACACGCACACACACAUAUUGUUAAAAAGUGCAGAAAAACCACUCAAAAACGUGGAGAAAAACCACUCAAAUUUAUACAUGCGUCAACAGGGAAACAGUAACCAAAUACGUGAUACAAAAAGGGGUGAAUGAUUCUGUCUUUGCCUUUUGCAAGUCGCUGUUAUUACUCUCAUCAACUCCUUUCUCGCACAUUUCUCAGCAGUUACCAGUAAUAUUUAAAAUCGCUGUGUAGAUAUGCAAAGUUCCGUAAGUGCAUUAAUAAUUAUUUGCCAGAAAAAAAUAGUUGCGUCAAUAUUAAAGGAAUUGACAUCCAGGGGACCCAAUUUAGUUGCUUAAUGAUUAUUUAAUUAAUUAAUUUAUAAUAUAUUAAUCUUUUAAGUUGAAUAUUUAAAAUCUUAGACCCGAAACAAUAAAUCAUCUGAGGCAAAUAAAAGAGAAAUUAUCAUCCUUUUUUCUUUUUUUAACUUCUUGUAGCUUAUAAAAGAGAAAUUAUCAGUCAUUUACUCAAAGUUUAUUCAAUUAUUAAAAUUAUUAUAAAAAUUUAAAUUUAUUUAAUUUUACAUCCAAUGUAUGCAAUUUGUAUGAAACAUCUGUUAAAAAUAUAAAGUUAUUCGUUCAAAGUGACAAAAUAGAAGCGAACACAAAAUUGUAGUGGUGAUUAUGUUUUAGGAGUAACUUUAUUUUUUUAGUAAACAGUUGAUACACAUUUUAUAACUUUUGGAUAAUAAAAUAAUUUUUAGGUGGAUGAUUGAAAAUUUUUCUUUUCAAAAUAUUUUGAAAACAAUACCAAAUGUACCAAAACAUUGUUUACUUUCACUCUCUCUCUCUCUCUCUCUAUCUAUCUAUCUAUAUAUAUAUAUAUAUAUAUAUUAUUUCUUAACUCAUUCUUAUCCUUAUUCUUUCUAACAUAUCCACAAUCUGUCAAUGAAAUUUACUUUUAUAAAUUUAAAGAUUUUUUCAUGCAAUUUUGUACGAUGAUGAGUUCUCAUAUUUAUGUUAAAAAAUAAUUCGUAAAUAAUACAAAUGAAAAAAACAAAAAGUAGCAGGGCUGGCAAUACAAAACCAUAACUUUUUUUCUUUGAAUUUUGCAUAAAUAAAGUCAAUAGUGAUUUGUCAGCGCGAUCUUGAGAGCACGGCUUGGAGUCUCAAUAAUUAUUGACACUCAUAUUUGAAAACUUUCGAAAAGAUAAAAUCCAAUAUGAAAGGUGAAACGUUAUAAUCAUAGUAACUAGAAAAUUGAUUGAUUUACAAAUAUCAAUUUAAACAAUUUUCAUGUUGAUCGACAAUUUAAGUAGAUUGACAAAGAUUGAAGUAAUUACUGUUGGUGAUGAUUGACUUUGUCCUUAUCCUUGCCUUCUUCUUAUCAAAAAUCCAGUGUCAAUUAAAUUGGGCCAGGGUUUCUGAUUGCAACUAAUGGACUUCAUAUACGCAUAAUGGUCCCUACGUAUAUGCGUACCAAUAUUUGAUUGAAAAAGGGGGUGCAUGCUUAAUGCUCAAGUCGUCUUCUUUUGGAAAUUCAUUGUUAUUACUCUCAUCAACUCGUUCCUCACAUUCCUCUUUAGUCAAAACCUGUAAUAUUUCUUCUAUAUUCAAGGUGAAUACAGCAGCUCAUCAACUCUUAUCCCAGACAGGUAAAGAGGUGCACUUGUUCUAAAACCUGUAAUAUUCUUUUAGUAGCAGAAUCUCUGAUACUUGAUCUUCAUAGCGGUUCUUUCUUAAUUUCCAUAAACUUUCCUAGGAAAAAAAUUCUCUGGUUUUUCUUAAUCAUAUCAUUUACUUUUCUUAAGUCAUAUCAUUUAUUUUUAGUAGCAGAAUACUUGAUCUUGAUAGCCAUUCUUUCUUAAUUUCCAUCAACUUUCCUUGAAGGAUACCUUUCUGUUAAUAGCGAAACCUCUGAUCCUUAAGAUAGAAAAAGAAAUUCUCUACUUAGGUAUCAGUUGGUUCAAAAUCAAUAUCGCGAUGUUGUUUGCGGUCUUUUCUUUCUCUGUCUUUCCCUCUAGUUCAUUUUAAUUUAUUUGUAUUCCUUUCUUUGACAUUUUUAUUCAUUUUAUAUAUAUAUAUAUAUUGUUAAGCAAUAGGCAAUGGCUGCAGAAGUGGGUCUGGCUGCUUUUUCCAGCAUCGUAUCAGAAGGUGCAAAGUCACUGUUCAAACCGAUUAUACGGCAGAUCUCUUAUGUGUUCAAGUACCAGAGCUACGUAGAUGAGCUAAAAGAUCAAGUGAAACAGCUGGGAUAUAAAAGAGAAAUGGUGCAGCAACCAGUUAAUCAUGCUAGGCUACAAGGUGAUGAGCUUUAUGAGGGUGUCACAGACUGGCUACAUAGCGUUGAUGAAUUCAUCAGUAAAGGGGUUGCAAAAUCCAUUAUUGAUGAUGAAGAUAGAGCUAAGAAGUCCUGCUUCAAAGGAUCGUGCCCAAAUUUGAUUUCCCGUUACAAGGUCAGUAAACAUGCAGCAAAGGCCGCAGAAGCUGCCGCUAGUCUCAUGGGAAAAGGCAACUUCUCUAAUGUUUCCUACCGUCCUGCUCCAAAGCGGGCAAAACAUAUGCAAGUGAAAGAUUUCGAGGCCUUUGAUUCAAGAAUGAAAGUAUUUCAAGAUGUUAUGGAGGCGUUGAGGGAUGAUAAGCUCAACAUAAUUGGGGUCUACGGGAUGGGCGGCGUGGGUAAAACCACGAUAGUCAAGCAAGUUGCAAAGCAAGUGAUGGAAGAAAACUUGUUCGAUAAGGUCGUUAUGGCUGAGGUAACACAGACCCCAGAUCAUCAUAAAAUUCAAAACAAACUUGCUUUUGAUUUGGGCAUGGAAUUUGGCUUGAAUGAGAAUGAAUUCCAAAGAGCUGAACGAUUACAUAAAAGAUUGAAGAAAGAGAAGCAGCUCCUCAUUAUAUUAGAUAAUAUUUGGACAAAACUUGAGUUGGAUAAAAUUGGAAUUCCAACCGGGGAUGUUGCUGAGAAAGAUAGAAAGGAUGAUCAGAGAAGAUGCACAAUAAUAUUGACGUCUAGAAAGCAAGAUUUAUUGCGCAUUGAUAUGAAUUCUCAGAAAAAUUUCCCGAUCGAUGCUUUGCCACGAAAAGAAGCAUUGCAGUUAUUUGAGAAGAUAGUGGGUGAUUCAACUAAAAUAUCUACUUUUCAAAGUAUAGCAAAUGAGAUCGUUGAAAGAUGCGGAGGUUUGCCUGUUGCACUGAGUACAGUUGCAAAUGCUCUGAAAACUAAGGAGCUUGACUUUUGGAAAGAUGCAUUGAAUCAGCUAAGAAGAUCGGAUGCAAGAGAAAUUCAUGGCAUGCAAGCAAAUGUUUACACCUCCAUAAAAUUGAGUUAUGACUUCUUGGAAAGUGAGGAGGCAAAAUCUUUGUUUCGUCUUUGUGGUCUAUACAGUGAAGGUAAUGUCAUACAAGUUUCUAACUUAUUGAGAUAUGGUGUGGGUUGGGGUUUGUUUGAAAAUGUUUACACAUUAGAAGAAGCAAGGAGUAGAGUGCAUCGGUUGAUCGACAACCUCAAAUCUUCAUGCUUAUUGUUGGGCGGUGAUGCUAAAGAUGAAGUUAAAAUACAUGACGUCAUUCAUGUUGUUGCCGUAUCAAUUGCCGCAGAGAAGCGCAUGUUUAAUAUUCCAAAUGUUGCCGACUUAGAGAAAAAGAUGGAAGAGACAAUACGGAAAGAUCCAAUUGCCAUUUCAUUACCCCAGAGAAAUAUUCAAGAGCUCCCUGAAAGGUUGCAAUGUCCCAAUCUCCAGUUAUUUUUGUUGUUUAGAAAGGGUAAUGGCCCUAUGCAAAUUUCAGACCUCUUUUUUGAAGGGACAGAAGAACUCAAAGUGUUAAGUCUUAUCAGAAUUCCUUUCUCUUCAUUACCUUCGUCACUUGGUCGCCUCAUUAACCUUCAAACAUUGUGUUUAGAUGGUUGCGGACUAAAAGAUAUAGCAAUAGUUGGACAGCUAAAGAAAUUAGAGAUUCUCAGCCUUCGAGAUUCUGAUGUUAAGGAGUUGCCACUUGUAAUUGGACAAUUGACGAGAUUACAGUUGCUAGAUUUGAGCAAUUGUAGCAGCCUUGUGGUGAUAGCUCCAAAUGUCAUAUCAAAAUUAUCUCGAUUAGAAGAACUAUAUAUGGGUAACAGCUUUUCACAUUGGGAGAAGGUUGAAGGAGGAAGUAACGCCAAUCUUGUUGAGUUGAAGGGGUUGUCAAAGCUAACUACUUUGGAGAUACACGUUCGGGAUGCCGAAAUUCUACCGCAGGAUUUGGUCUCUGUGGAAUUGCAAAGAUACAGGAUAUGUAUAGGAAAUAAGUGGUGGAGCAGCUGGUCCGUUAAAUCUGGAUUAUCAAGAUUGAUGAAGCUCCAGGGGCUGGAAAAGUUUGGCAUUCUUUUGCAAAAUUACAGAAUGAAAAUGUUGCUGCAGAGAACUGAAGAUCUCUAUCUAGAAGAACUGAAGGGUGUUCAGAAUGUUGUUCAUGAAUUAGACGAUGGGGAGGGUUAUCCACGAUUGAAGCGUCUUCGUGUAGAAAGUUGUUCUGAGAUUUUACAUAUUGUCGGUUCAGUUAGACGGGUUGGUUGCGAAGUCUUUCCCUUGCUGGAGUCAUUGUCUCUUAUGUUUUUAACUAAUUUGGAGACGAUAUGCUACAGCCAACUCAAUGAAGAUCAAUCUUUCAGCAACUUAAGGAUUAUAUACGUAUAUUGUUGUGACAAACUGAAGCAUCUCUUCUCAUUCUCUAUGGCCAAAAGACUAUUGCGGCUUCAAAAAGUAGAAGUGGAAAACUGCUAUGAUUUGAAAAUGAUUAUUGGUAAGUGUUGAAAUUAAUUAUUGGUAGGAUUAUUGACACUGACUAAUUCUUUUUUUCUUUUUUUUUUUGGUGAAAAAAACAACGGAUGUUUAUAAUAUAUUGUUUUUGUUCAUUUAUAGGGCCCGACAUGGAGAAACCAACAACUACUGAGGGAUUCACAGAAAUCAAUGCAGAGGAUGAUCAGGUGAUAAUUUUCUGUUUAAUAAUUAAUUAAAAAAUAUAUUAUCGCGAUUGAUCUUCAAUCAUCGAAAGAAUAUUAUAUUAGAAGUUGUAGUUGAAGGAACAAAAAUGUACGGUUUUGCUUUGCAGGUUAUUUUUCCACACUUGGAGGAACUGAAACUUGGCCGUUUAAGAAGCAUCAAAAAAUUAUGGCCCGAUCAAUUUCAGGGAAUGAAUUGUUGUCAAAAUUUAACAAAAGUGACCGUGUGGAGAUGUGAUGGUCUGAAGUAUCUGUUUUCAUAUUCUAUGGUUAAUAGUCUUGGGCAACUCCAACAUCUUAAAAUAAGUUUUUGUAAGUCAAUGGAAGGGGUAGUCAACAACACCACGGGGAGGUUAGGAGGAAGAGAUGAAUUUAAGGUUUUUCCUAAACUACACUCCCUGCAGCUCACUGGUCUUCCAAAACUAAGUAGCUUUGCCUCACCAGAAGACGUCAUUCACACUGAAAUGCAACCUCAAUCUUUCUUUGAUGAAAAGGUUUUUUUUUUUUUAAUUAAUUUUAUUCUCAAUAGUUAAUUUCUUCUUUCGUUGAGUCUUCAAAUCUAAUUGUAUUGAAUUUUUAACUUCAGGUACGACUCCCAAGUCUGGAGGUAUUACAUAUUGUUUGGAUGGAUAAGUUGAGAAAAAUAUGGCACCACCAGCUUGCUUCGAAGUCUUUUAGCAAAUUGAAAAAAUUGGAGAUAUCUGAGUGUGAUAAUCUACUGAAUAUUUUUCCUCCAUUGGUAAGAUUGCUCUAUUCAUUUUCAAUUUUUAUUUCAAAUAACAUUCAACAAUUAUUUUAAUCAUUUUUGUGUUUACAAAUAAUUUUCAUUCACAAAUUAUUUAUUGCAAGUAUUGUACUUCAAACUUCUGGAGGGAAAAAAAGUAUUGUACUUCAAAUCACCAUUCUGAACUCUGCAUUUUCAAUCUAAUUUAUAGGUUCACCUGCAUUAAAGUCAACAAUAUAAUUGUUUUAAACACGAUUUAACAGCAUAAUAUAAUUCAAUUUACUUGUUUUUUUUCUUAAAUCCUAAUAAAUAAGAUUUUCAGAAAUUAAAAGAUACUUAGUUACUCAGCUUUUAAGUUCACAAAUUCAUGAUGGUCAUUUUGAAUCGAUCGUCGAUUAAAAAGUUUCCUCAAAUAUUCACUCUAUAACAGUCCCAUGUUGAUGGCGUUAGGAAGUGUUUUCCAAAAAUGUUUUCCAUUUUUAAAAGCAUGAAUAUCGGGAAAAAAUGGGAAAUACAGCGUUUUAGUUUAGUUAUUUUAAAAAUAGGCAUGUUUGAAAAUUAAAAUUUUUUAAAAACUAGCAUCAAGAUGAAAAAUGAAUUUAGAAUAUUUAAAAAUUACCUGAAAUUCUUUCUCUAUUCCUAAUACUAAAUAGUGUAAAUACAUUUUCAUUAUCUUUAUUUUUCUGGACUUCUAUUUAUUUAUUUUUGUUUUAAUUUUUUCCUUUUUUCUUUAACAAAAAAUAUCUAGUAGACAUUCAUGGUUUGUUAUUUUUCAUAAAACAAUUGUAUGAUUUUGACAUACUUUGAAUCUAGUUGAAUGCUACUCUUUAUUUUCAGGUUGGAAUUCCCAAUAGUCUAGUGAAUCUUAAUGUAUCAUACUGCAAAAAAUUAGAAGAAAUCAUAGGACAUGUUGGAGAAGAAGCGAAGGAGAAUCGUAUUGCUUUAAGUGAAUUAAAACUUUUGGAACUUGAUCAUUUACCAAGGCUUGCCAGCUUUUGUUUGGAGAAUUACACUCUUGAAUUCCCAUCAUUGGAACGAAUUUCAACGACACAGUGUCCGAGCAUGAAGACUUUUUCUCAGGGAACCUUAUCCACACCAAAGCUGCACGAAGUGCAGGUGAGUAAAAAGGAAGUAUUAAUUUACCAAGCCUUUUUAUAUGUGCAUAGAAGAUUCUACACACAUUGCACACACGCACAGUUUACUACUAACAACCUCUAUAACAACCUUUAGCUGACUCAGCUGCCAUGUCAGCAUACUCAUUAACUAACUAAUUCUAUUCUUAACAGGAAGAGGGUGGAUUGCGCCGUUGGGAAGGCAACCUUAAUUCCACUAUACAAAAGUGUUACGAAGAAAUGGUAUGUGUUAAAUCGAUUCGUCGAAAUUACUUAUGCAUCUCCCUUGCACUUGCACAUUUAAGUAUAUACACCUGCCUUGUAUAUAUAGUUUUAGAAGUUAAAACACAAAACAUGUAAGUUUAAUGUACAUAUAUCUAAUGCCUUUCAAAAAGAAAAAAAUUUAUAUAUAUCCAGUGCAAUUGUUUUGGUUUGUGCAGAUUGGAUUCCAUGACAUACAGUAUUUGCAACUCUCACAUUUUCCACGUUUGAAAGAAAUAUGGCAUGGCCAAGCACUGCCUGUCAGCUUCUUCAACAAUUUAGUAGUGCUCACGGUGGAUGACUGCACGAAUAUGUCGAGUGCUAUUCCUGCCAAUCUGCUACGGUGCUUGAACAAUUUGGAAUGGCUGGAAGUGAGGAAUUGUGAUUCACUAGAAGAGGUGCUUCAUUUGGAAGAGCUAAAUGCUAAGGAAGAACAUAUAGGCCCCCGGUUUCCUAGGCUUAACAGACUAAGGCUCAUUGAUCUUCCAAAACUCAAAAGAUUCUGCAACUUCACUGGGAAUAUAAUUGAACUGCCUGAGUUGAGAUAUCUAACUAUUGAGAAUUGCCCUGAUAUGGAAACAUUCAUAUCCAACUCUUUAGUGCACGUGACAACAGAUAACAAGAAACCUCAAAAAUUAACAUCAGAAGAGAACUUUUUGCUGGCUCAUCAAGUACAACCUCUCUUCGAUGAAAAGGUGAUUAUUAUUAUUAUUAUUAUUAUUAUUAUUAUUAUUAUUAUUAUUAUUGUUAUUAUUAUUAUUAUUAUUAUUAUUUUUCCCUUCACUUUCGUUCGCAUAGAUGUAAUUUCAUUAGAAUCAAGCCAAAUUUAAUGACUCAUCUUUUUGCAUGUCAUCUUAAUUUAUAUCUGAUUUAACAAUAUAACCGCAGUUAUUAACUAUCUUUAUAGUAUGAAUUAUAAAAAUGUCUGAAAUUAAUUGGAUGCCUGAUAACACGAGGUGAUGAACUAUAUUAAUUAUGUGUGUUACAUCUCUGUUUUCCUAGCUAAUUCAUAUUGGAUUUAGCCUCAGAUUUCAUUUAUGUGUUUCAAAGAGUAAGCGAUUUGAUACUUUUAUUUGGGAUCCUACUGCAAAGCAUACUAAUUUGGAAAUAAAAUAUAAAAUGCCGUGAUCAACCUUGUCCAUAAAAUAUGCAGGGGAAGACGGCAGAGAUUGGAUACAUAUUUUCAUUUACAACUUAAUUUUGUUGAUUUUCAGGUUGCAUUCCCUAAAUUGUGGGGGUUAAAGCUGUCUAGAUUACCCAAUGUGUUGCAUUUCUGGAAGGAAAAUGCCGAAUCCAACAAAGUGUUUGCAAACUUGGAAACUCUAGAAAUAUCGGAAUGCAGUAAGUUGCAAAAAUUAGUACCACCUUCAUGGCAUUUGGAAAAUCUUGCGACUCUGGAAGUAUCGAAAUGUCACGGGUUGAUAAAUUUGUUGACGCUCUCAGCAUCUAAAAAUCUAGUGACUCUUCAAAGAAUGAAGAUAGCUGAUUGCAAAAUGAUAGAACAAAUCAUACAAUUGCAGGUUGGAGAAGAAGCGAAAGGUUGCGUUGUCUUCGAGGAAUUGGAGUACUUGGGACUUGAUUGUUUGCCAAGCCUAACAAGCUUUUGUUUGGGUAAUUACGCUCUUGAAUUCCCGUCCUUGAAACAAGUAGUUGUGAGACAGUGUCCAAAAAUGAAGAUCUUCUCUCAAGGAGUCUUAGACACACCAAUGCUAAACAAAGUGAACGUCACCGAAGAAGAAAAAGAUGAUGAUGAAGAAGAUGAUGAUGAUGAUGAUGAUGAUGAUGAUGAUGAUGAUGAUGAUGAUGAUGACGACGACGACGACGACGAUGAAGAAGAAGUAGAUGAUGAUGAUGAUGAUGUUGGGAAGGCAACCUCAAUGACACCAUAAAAAAAUUGUUCAAUGAAAUGGUGAGUAUCAAUUAAGUUUUGGUGCUAUUUAGCAAAUAAUUUUAUAGAAACCAAUGUGAUAUAAUAUGAUUGGUUGACUGAAAAUAUAUAAUAAUAAAAAAUAAAUAAAUUAUGAGGACCAUGUAAUGUUUUUGUUUAACUAAUCAUAUUAUAUCGCAUCAGUUUAUACAAUAUUGUUUGUGCACAAGAGGUGGUGGUCAUAUAAUUACUCUAGCUUUAUUAUUCUUAUGGUGGCAAUGUAUGCUUGCUUACACGAGUAAUUACAAAAUCUGCAGAAUUCUAAAGAAGAGAUUGAGCCAAUCCUUCAGGUACAGUGAAGAAGCUAUCCCGAACCAGGCCAAUCUCUUAUACAUGAUUUAGCUUGCUCGUUCUUCUGUACUUGAAUAAUUUGGUUCUACACAUAUUUACAAUUUUUUGCUCAUGCUACAGACUUGCAAGACACUUUGGAUUUUGUUUGAUGUAUUCUCUGUUUAAGAAAGGACUUGAAUUGAUGUUUCAUGUUUCAUGUUUCAUGCAAUAUUCGAUUAGAUUCUGCCUAAAUUUCUGUAUUAUUCAUUCAAUUGGUCUUUUAAGCAUUUGAUUUCUAACCUCUCCUGAUAGAAGAUCAUUAGCCAAAGAAAACAGCAUAAAAUUUGUGGCAUUAUGAGAAUAAGAAUUUUUUUAAGUAUAGUAAAAUUAUCUCAACCAUUGUUAAAAAUAAUUAAUCCGUCAAACUGACCUUCUCACACCAACAUGCUUUAAAUUAAAAGAAUUUCGUGAAAGUCAAGACCAUGUUAUAGAUCUCGUGGAAAUAAGUAAACCCGUAAUUUUUUUCACAGCAUCAUAAGAAAAAAUCAUUUUUUAAAAGUAUUUUUGUUAGCUGUUGAGUUUUAAUAGUAGUAGCUAUUAAACAAUAACAAUUAGUGUAUAUUAAAAAGUUGGAAACCGGUUGACACCACUCGGGAAUCGAGCAGUUCACUUGUUUGCGAGUAGAAACCAACUUUACUACUAUUUACAAUCAUACCAAAAAUAGUAACUAAAGAAUCAGGAAAUUUCCUAUUCACUAUUCUUCAUUUUUUAAUGCAAAAUUCCCAUUCGAAAACACCAAUGACUUUCAUUCAAAGUAAAUGAGAAAUUACAAUGAAAAUAGAAUCAAAAUACAUGUAUGUAUACCUAAAACAAAUGAUUUUUUUUAAUUAAAAAAAAAAAGCACAGUUGAGGUGAAAUGAAACCAGAGUCAUGAUAUCUCUGGUUCCAGCUUUGGGACAACAGCAGACUUGAGUUCUAUAUGAGAAACACGUACAGCACCAAUCAGCCGCUCCGGUAAUUCAGCUGUAGUAUUUGCCUGCAUACAGAAGAGCAAGAUAAAGAAGACACACACAGAAGCAUUAUAUCAUUCUGAGAACAUUCAAGUAUGCAAAAAUGCAAGUGGCAGUGCAAUAUCUCAAAAUCAUGUCUUUUCCCUUGUGUCCAUUUAGCAGUGGGGGAAAAAAACAAUCAUACAUACCUGUACAAGGAAAGCCAUAUCAACCACCAAUGUCGUAAUUACACCAAUUACAAGGCCCAAAACUCCAUUAGCAACAGUAGAAGAAUCGAUGUCAACAUCAAUCUACAGAAAGAUGAACAAUGUUAAACCUUUUUAAAGGUAUUGGACGCUAUUUGAAAGGGGAACAUCUCAUGUACUAUAGAAAUUCCAAGAGCAUUUACUUCUAAGUACUUGGGACCGCGAAUAUAGUUACAAUCAACUGCCUUCCCCAAUAAACAAGGGGUGAUUCCAACACUCUGGCGCACUAUCCAUGAACCCUGCAUGAUUCAGUGCUUAAAAUCAAGAACAAGUGCAAAACAAAUUCAAGAGGGUAAAAAGGACAUAAAGUUUGAAGGUACAACCCAUCAAUACAUUCACACCUAAAUGCAUGCCUUCUUUGUACAAAUUGAAGUGUACCAUGCAGUAAAGGGUAAGUAUACGUUAAUAUAGUCCUACUACAUGAAGGCCAAGAUGGAUACCUUAGGAACAUAUGGAAUAAGUUUCAACCUACUAUUGCGAAAUUCAUCAUCGCCAUCAACAAACCGUUGCAAAAGUGAUCCCGUAACCAAUUGCCUUGUAACAAAAUAAAAUACCAUACUAUAAUGUGUUGAACCAGGAACCUGCAGAUGCUUAGGUUACAACUAUACAACCUCCCAAUACAAUAAGUUUGAAACUUAUACCUUCUGAAAUGAAACAAACUUUCUUGAAGAUUAAAGAUCAGUGAGAAAAGCCCUUUUUCAGAAGCAACCUACAUAUUUUAGAAUAGGGCUCAGUGCGUUAUAGAUUCAAUGAACCAUGAGAAGUUAUUUACAUUGUUGUAUCUCACAGGCAGUAUUUUCUCCUAAUGUAUCAAUGGAAAAUGCUAGUGAAUUGAAUGAAGCUAGAGCAGAGCAUGAUGUUGCUGUGUAGCUGACUUUAGCAGAUCAACUCACUAAGCUGACCUGGCAAAGUUAUUUAGCUAGUUGAGCUGAUGUGUCAAAUUAGUUAUGCAGCAAAUGGUUAUGUGAUGUAACAAACUCGUGUGUGUGUUGAGCAAAUUGUAGCUUAAUAUAAAUAUCAGUCUAUAUUCAUUCAGUUGUAAUGCUAAAGUAAUAAAGGUUCUACAAACUUCUUUACAGAGCUUUCUUUUAUUUUCUUCAUUUUCUAGCUUGCCAAACAAUACAAAACUAAGUUUCUUUCAUGGUAUUAGAGCCAUAAAUGGCGAAUACAGUUCAAAAUAACAACUCUUUUAGUUUUGUUACGCCUGUAAAGCUAGACCAAAACAACUUCAUUUUAUGGCGCGCACAAAUUUUAGCAUCGAUCUAAGGAAACGGUCUGGAAGGGUUUAUCAAUGGUGAUCAAGAAUGUCUUGAGCAGUUUCUUUCUUCUGGAAACAACAAUGGAGCUGAAAUUUUAACUGAAUCUGAAUCCAAAUCUAUUAAUCCAGAGUUCAUAGCUUGGAUGAAGACUGAUCAACUUCUGUUGAGUUGGAUGAUGUCGUCGAUACAGCAAAAUCUACUUGCUACUGUGAUUGACUCCACAACUUCAAAACAGCUCUGGGAGACUCUUACUAGUAUGUUUAUUUCUUAUCUUAAUCACAAGCUAGAAUUCAAACACUUAGAAUGCAGAUUCAAACUAUUAAGAAAGGUGCAAUGCAUAUGUCUGAUUACUUUGCAAAAGUAAAAUGUAUAGCUGAUACUUUAGCUCUAGCUGGAAAACCUGUUGAGUUAAGUGAUCUUGUGAUGCAUGUAUUAACUGGUCUUGAUUCAUCAGAUUAUGAAUCUUUAGUCACAGCUGUUUUAGCUCAAGGUGAGAAGAUAACAUUAGAUGAACUAUAUCCUUUGCUAUUGAAUCAUGAAAAUAGAGUUGAGCAAAAGAAAGGAAAAAUUGCUGGUGAUGUGAUGCACAAUAUGACAGCAAAUAUUGCUCAGAAGAACUCAUAUGCUGGAAAGAAUAAUGGCAAUUUUCAAAAAAAUUAUGGAAAUAAUUCUGGAGGUGGAAAUAAUUCUAGGUAUGGAGGUUUUAGUGGAUAUGGAUAGGGUCAGUUUAAUAAUGGUGGUAAUUCCUCUGAAAUUGUUUGUCAAAUCUGCUUCAUACCUGGUCAUGCAGCCAAUAGAUGCAAAAAUAGGUACAAUUCAUCUUUUGUUCCACAGAGAAACUAUGGCAGAGGUAAUAUGAAUGGUGGCAGAGGUUUUAAUCAAGGGCAAUAUGGUAGAGGAAGAGCUUUUAAUGGUAAUGGUGGCAGAGGUUUUGGAGGUUUUGGUUUAAAUGCUGGUUUUGGCUAUGCACCCAGGGGUUUUGGCUAUCAAGGAAAUAUAGUGUAUCCAGAUAGUAAUCCUUCUGCUUAUUACUCAUUCACCCCUGGACCAUCUACUUUUGUUUCUAGUCAAGGAAAUAAUAAUCCUGGACAGUCAAGUGCUUCAUCUUCCUCAGCUAUGCCUUCUUCACUUCCACCAGAACACAUUGAAGAUCCUUCAUGGUAUAUUGAUAGUGGGGCAACAAAUCACAUUACAAAUGAUCUAGGUAAACUUCUGGAUUCACAAGUUUAUACUAGUACUGAAAAAUUGUUUGUUGGAGAUGGAAAUGCAUUAGCUAUUACACAUGUAGGAUCAGUUGUGCUAAAUACUUCAACUUCUAAACCUUUAAGAACCAUGUUCUUCAUGUCCCUUUUAUUACUAAGAAUUUGCUUAGCAUUUCAAAAUUAUUGGCUAACAAUCCAGUUACUGUUGAAUUUCUUAGUGAUUUGUGUUUUAUAAAGGCUAGGAACACAGGGAAAAUUUUACUUGAAGGUGUUGCUAAAGGUGACUUGUAUAGAGUCUCUUCACAUGUUGCUGCUCAUUCAGUCUUUCUCAAUUCAGUUGGUCAAAAUAAAGUUCACUCUCUUUGCUUGUUCUCCUGUUUUCAAUUCUGAUCAGCUCACUGCUGUUAGUUCUUAUGAAUUGAAUAAAAAGUCAUGUCUGUCAAUUGUUACAAAGAGUUCUAUUGAUGUAAAUCUUCUUCAUAGAGAAAUUAGGACGCCCAGCAUCUUAUACUCUCAAAACUAUACUCAAAACUUGUAACAACUCUACUGCUUAUAAUAAAAUUGAAAGCUUGAAAUUUUGUUCAGCAUGUCAAUAUGGGAAAAAUCAUAUGCUGCAUUUUGAUUCAGUUGAAACAAAAACUUCAGCACCCUUAAAAGUGAUAUAUGCAGAUCUUUGGGGUCCUUCUCAUGUAUGUUCUACCCAAGGAUAUAAUUACUACUUAUCAAUCUUAGAUGAUUAUAGUAGAUUUACCUGGAUAUUUCCAUUGUCAGCCAAAUCUGAUGCUCUUGAAGUGUUUACCAAUUUCAAAAUUUUUAUUGAAAAGCAUCUUCAACUUCAAAUCAAAACUGUCCAAACUGACUGGGGAGGAGAGUUCAGAACAUUUUCCUCAUUACUCAAUGCUUCUGGUAUCCAUUUUAGACACCCUUGCCCACAUAUUCAUCAUCAAAAUGGAAGAAUUGAGAGGAAACAUAGACACAUAGUUGAUGUAGGUCUGACCUUAUUAGCUCAAGCACAUUUACCACUCAAAUUUUGGUGGAAUGCAUCCCACACAGCUGUCUAUUUGAUAAACAGACUUCCAACUCCAAUUCUAAACAACAUUUCUCCUUUCCAAAAGUUAUUUCAUCAUCAACCAGAUUAUUCAACACUUAAAACCUUCGGUUGUGUUUGUUAUCCAACACUCAGACCAUACAAUAGACAUAAGUUUGAUUUCAGAACUACAAGAUGUAUAUUCAUUGGCUACAAUUCACAACACAAGGGAUAUCAGUGUCUUCACUCUUCUAAGAGGGUUUACAUUUCAAAUCAUGUCACCUUUGAUGAAAAUUCUUUUCCUUGUGAGUCUGGAGCAGAUUUUCUUCACUCUCUUCAAGUUGUCAGUCAACAAAAAAUUAUAAGUCUUCUUUCAAUUCCUCUGUUCCUUCUGUUACUCAGUUACAAGCACCUUUAGCAGCAUCAUCAGAACACCAUCAAAAUGUUCAUCAUUCAGAUGCUCCUACUCCCUCACCAAAUUCUACUCCACUUUAUUUUUCUGAUAAUUCCAACUCAGCUUCUUCUUCUUCACCACCACAUAAUUCACCUCCACAUACAUUGCCACAACCUGCAUCAACUGGUCAUCCAAUGAUAACCAGGUCAAAAGCAGGUAUUUUCAAGCCAAAAAUUUAUUUGUCAGCUUUAUUAGCCUAGAAAUCAGAACCAACUUCUGUUUCCCAAGCACUUUCUAAUCCUAUGUGGUAUAAGGCUAUGCAAGAAGGGUAGCACUUAAAACUAAUCACACCUGGGAUUUAGUUUUACCUGCUACUCCAGUGAAGAUAGUUGGCAGCAAAUGGGUGUUUCGAAUAAAGUACAACUCAGAUGGUUCAAUUUCAAGAUAUAAAGUCAGGCUUGUUGCAAAGGGGUUUCAUCAAACACAUGGGAUUGACCAUACAGAAACUUUUAGUCCAGUGGUUAAAGCUUCAACUGUUAAGAGUUAUUCUUAGCUUAGCAGUAUUGAAUCAAUGGGUGAUUAGGCAAGUAGAUGUUAAUAAUGCCUUUCUAAAUGGCAUUUUAAUUGAAGAGGUGUACAAGGCUCAACCUGAAGGUUUUGUUGACUCAACUAAACCUAAUCAUAUCUGCAAGCUGAAUAAAGCUUUGUAUGGCUUAAAACAGGCACCUAGAGCCUGGUUUGAUAGAUUCAAGGAUGCAAUGAUCUCUAAACGGCAUUUCCAACAUUCAAGGUCUGAUAACUCUCUGUUUCAUGCCUGGAACAGUGGUCAUCUAACUCUUGUUUCGGUCUAAGUUGAUAUUAUCAUCACUAGUUCCAGUCCAACACUAAUUCAGCAAGUUAUUCAGAGUAUGAAUCAAGCCUUUGCUUUAAAAGACAUGGGGGAACUUAGCUAUUUUCUGGGGAUUGAAGUCAGCAAGUCUUCACAAGGGGUUUCCUUGACACAAGCAAAGUAUAUUACUGACAUUCUGGAUAAACAUGGCAUGACAGAUUGCAGUCCUGUGCCUACUCCAAUGUCUACUGGUUAUUAUCUCACAAAAGAAUCAGGAGAGCUAAUUGAUAAUGUUUCUCAAUAUAGGAGUGUUAUAGGAGUUCUUCAAUAUGUUACUCUUACCAGACCUGACAUUGCUUUCUCUGUAAACAAGCUAAGUCAAUUCCUUUCAAGUCCUAGAACACAACAUUGGGAAGCAUGCAAAAGGUUAUUGAGGUACUUAAAAGGCACUAUAUAUCUUGGGCUGCAAUUUAAUAACAAAGGAGCUUUGCAACUACAUUGUUUUUCAGAUUCUGACUGGGCUUGUGAUCGUGAUGAUAAGAAGUCAGUGGCUGGCUUUGCUGUUUACCUAGGCCCUAAUCUAGUCUCAUGGUCAUCAAAGAAACAAGCUGUUGUUUCUAGGUCCAGCACAGAGGCUGAGUAUAGAUCUCUUGCUCAUGCUGCUUCAGAGGUUCCCUGGAUAUAAUCUUUACUUGGUGAACUUAACAUCAAAUUGAGCUCUACUCCUAUGAUGUGGUGUGAUAAUCAAGAAGCAAUUGCUUUAGCUUACAAUCCAGUCUAUCAUGCUAAAACUAAGCAUGUCGAAUUGGAUAUACAUUUUAUCCGAGAUAAAGUUACUGCUAUAGAGAUUGAAAUAUGUUUUGUGCCCAGUCAAGAUCAAACAGCAGAUGUGUUGACUAAGGCUUACUUUCAAACAGUUUAGUUACUUAAGAAGGAAGCUGAAUGUUCAUCCUAAACAUUUUAGCUUGAGGGGGGAUGUUAGUGAAUUGAAUGACGUUGGAGCAGAGCAUGAUGUUGUUGUGUAGCUGACUGUAGCAGAUCAACUCACUAGGCUAACCUGGCAAAGUUAGUUAGCUGGUUGAGCUGAUGUGUCAAAUUAGUUAUGCAGCACUUGUGUGUGUGUUGAGCAAAUUGUAGCUUAAUAUAAAUAUCAGUCUGUAUUCAUUCAGUUGUAAUGCUAGAGUAAUAAAGGUUCUACAAACUUCUUUACAGCGCUUUCUUUUAUUUUCUUUCAUUUUCUAGCUUGCCAAACAAUACAAAACUAAGUUUCUUUCAGAAAAGGAAAAAUAAAAAGAAAAGAAUAGUUACUUGUGCAGUACAGCCUUGACGCCUAGCUACAUGGUCCAUUCUCUUUGUGUCUUUGAACCAAUCAACAGCAACAAGAUCCAUUAAAUGUUUUCCCGCAGGUAUCUGCAGUUACAAAUUGCACAAAGCACAAGAGCCAACCAAACUACAUCAUAACCUGUCGACCUAGCAUAUGCAGGAUAUAUAAAUACCAUAACAAACAACCAAAAUAUGGGGGAACCUUUGUUUUGUCAUAACAAAAAUGCUUGCUACGAACUCUAAAGUUAUUUCCACCAGAAAGUUUCCAGCAGUCACGAGCAUUAUCACAGUCAUCGUGUCGCAGGUUGCCUGAAAAAUAAGACAAAUCAAUUUGAUCAGCCUGCUCUUCCUCUAGGGUAGCAACUAAUUGAAAAUUAUAAACCAAAAAAAAAAAAAAAAUCAAUACCAUAAAAAUCCACUAAUGAGGACAUUAGCCAAAUAUACAAAAAUGAAUACUUAUCAUCCACCUGUCCUCUUGAAAUCAUUCUCAAUCUUUUUUUCAUUUGUCUGAAAUCCCAAGGAAAAAUAUGUAACUAAUACUUCCCAUUCAUGACUAUUGUCUGUCAUAUAAACAUGACAUUUAAUUGAAAUAGUAAAAUUAUUUAAUUAUUUUAAUUAACUGUUAAUCCUAUAAAUUAUUUUUGUUAAAUCUAGCAAGAAUAACUAACAUUUCUUUAAGAUAUAUUUUGGCGGUAAAUUAAAAAAAAAUUAAUUAUUUGGCGGGAAUUAUUGAAAUUGGAGCCAUUUUUUUGUGGGAAUUGAAAUAUAUUCUUUAAAUUAUUAUAUAAAAAGCAAAAUGUACAUACACACACAUAUAUAUAAUUUAUAUAUAAAAAUUCUCUAAUUUGUUCACAAGUAUCAUAGAUUAUAAUUCAGUUAUGAAAUAAAAUAACUACAAUAAUUAUAGUUAAGUGAAUACUUCAUUAAUUCUUAAUUUGCUUCCUAACAUUAAAUGAACUUGAGUCAGCCACCUGAAUCAACCAGUAACAACGCCUGAGUCAACCAUCUGAAAAAACCAGCAACCCUAGCUGAUUCAAGCACCUGCAAUUAACAUCAACACAACAGGAACAAUCGUAAAUCAGCACCAAGAACAGACCAAACCGCCAUCAAAUGCCACAAAACCAAACAGUCUGCUACUGCCAUCAAAUGCAAGCAAGCAUAUGCAACAAAACCAGAUGCAAGUGAAAUUCUGGAGAAUAUCGGAUAAACCAAACCAAAUGCCACACUUCUAGUAAUUAGACUAGAUGCAGUGUUCAAUUAAACUAAAUGUAGUCUCAUAUUACAUUCAAAUUUUCUAAAAAAACCAGUGUUCCAUCAGAGAAGCACCAAAACCAAACCAAUCUAAUCCAGCAUAAUUACCAGCUCAACCCAAAACAAUUACACAUUAUAUUGACAUAUCAAAAUUCGCUAUCAAAACAUAGCCAAAUAAAUGACAAUAAACUGAAAACAGACCCGAACCAACUGAUGUUGCAGCCCUAGUAGUCAUUGUCCGUUCCACUGCCAUAGGAGCGAGGGUAGGCUCCGUUGUUGAUGAGUGAGUAAGAUAAGGCUCCAAAUCAAUAGUUCCACCUCCUUUCUGCAAUUCAAAAAACAGAAAUUCAUAUAUGUAAAACUAUUAAAAAGUGUGAAACAACCUGUAAGUAUUCAACUUCUGUCAACUCAAUAGCACUUACUAAAGUUUUUAUACAGAAGAAAAAGGCAUUUUAAGUCCAAAAAAUUAGAAUUAUUGGUUGAACUCCAACUCCAUCAAUCCAUGCAACCAUCGAACCUUUAACGAAAAAAUGAAGCAUAAUUAACAAGACAUCUGAAUCAGAAAGAUUGUGCUUUGAUUUGGCACGAGGUGUUGGAAACAACUUAACAAAUCUAGACACAAUCUAUAACCAUCAAGUCCAAACAAAAGUCAGGAUCUAAAAUACUUUGAAAAAUCAGAAAAACCGCAAACUAUCAGUUUCAAUUUCUUUUUCACCCAUUGUAAGCUCAAACUGAAGGUAGCGGCGCUACCUUUAAACAUCAUUUGGGCUUAUACAUGUGACAUUUGCUCAUGAACAACUAAAGUUGAAUAAGAUUUUUAUAUGAAACGGAAUAUAAAAAGUCAAAGUAGAAUAUGACAGGAGCUACAAUAUAUUAUUCAGCAUUAGCAUUAUGUAUAAAAUAAAUUUAGAGGCAUCAUAUUCAUUCACAAUCUUGCAGAGGUAAUACCAGAUUAUGGCACGCAACUCUUGAAUAGCAGAUAAAGGAGGAGAUGCAGUAGGAAGGUAGUAACUUGCUUGCAUGAGAACUAAAAAGUAAUCUCCCAAGAUCAAUUAUAGAUCUCAUAAAACAAAAACAGUGAGGCAAACACAAUUAUUGUGAACAAUUAUUCAUAGAACCACAUACCAGCAACAAGAUCAAAGUCAUCUGUGUAUAAAUCGAUUCCCCACAGCUGACUGCCUCUGACCUAAACAUAAUGAAAUUACAUAAAUAAGAAGUAGAGUCAUAAAAUAUGCUGCUGUAACAGCUAUCAAUAAAUUUCCAGACAAAUGGAAUUUGAUAUGUAAGGCUAUAACUAGCAACACUUCAAAAUAAUUUGAAGUAGCAUGAUCUUACUUUAAGGAUCAAUACUACAAUCUUUCAGAAAAAUUAAAGUCUAACCAAAAUUAAAACCUUAAACAUACUAAAAUCUGGUAAAUAGACCUAUAGGAAUUCCAAUGACCUCCAAAAUAUUUGAAAAAAAAAUUAAUUUACAGCAAAAAAUGUUAAAGAUUUGUAAAAUGGAGGCCCACACUACUAUUCAAAUUACAAAAGAGGAAAGGGAGCUGGCCAUUAAAUGAUAAAGGCAUGCAUAAAGAAAUACGAGCACCACAUUAAGUGAUAAAGGCAUGCAUCGAGAAAUACAAAAAAUAUGCCCAUAAAGACGUCCACUCAAGCCUUAUAAGCGGCUUUAUGCAAAGGAAAGCCAAUUAGUUAACAGUAAAUGAAUUUCAAGGUGCAAUAAUUAAACUCCCUGAUCAGCACAUUUAAGGUUCAUGCAUUUCUACAAAACAUGUAAAUCAUAAGAACUUUUUUGGUCCAAAUGCUAACCAGUAAUUAAGUAGAUUAUCAAAGUUGUCACAGAACAAGCACCACAUUGAUUGCUAUGCAAAAGAUGAAAGUAAAAGUUAAUACUUUAUUUUAUUUUACUUUUCGAGAGUUUUGAUCAUCAUGUGCAAAAUAGUAGUAUAACUUGCUCAGUGUUAUCUCAAAAAGCUUGCUUAAAAUACCUAUUAGCACCAGUCCAAGUUGUCAAAUAAAUCCUUAUCUAUCCAUUCAUCUCUGACCUUGCCAAAAAGAUUUAAACGAGCAUCUAUAUUCUCACUCCAAUCUUUCACAAUCAUAGGCUUUAACUUAGACCAGUUCUUCAAUAUCCCUUCCACUGUGAGCCCCUCGAAAACCUUGUAAAUUGAAUCACAUUUAUCAUCAGUUCCAAAUCCAUCUGUCAAAAGGCUAAGCAAAUGAAUAUACAAUCAACACCAUUCUUCCAAACGAAUAUACAGUCAACACCAUUCUUCUAAACACAAACAAAGUUUGAACGUAUGACAGAUUUUUAGCCAUUUAAUAUUCCAUCAAAUAUAAUUAGAUCACACCUACCAAGGAUUUUUGAAAAGAAUGCAUUCUCAUCUUAAGCAGCAACCUCACCAGUAACACAUUUUCAUACCCUGUUUCCACCUCUGGUCGCACCACCAAAAAAAAUUCAGUACUAAUUAGCUUCAACAGAGUCUAUUUUUUAUUUCUUUUUUUUCCGAAAUAAACCUCCAUUCUUAUACAUAAAAUUAAAAUAUCAAUUAAAUAAACAAGGUCUAUGCUUACUAGUAAAACACGUCCAUUUUCAGGUAGAGGCAGAUAAUAAAAGAAAAUUAAAAUUGAGAUAAAAUAAGAAGAGCUUACUAUGUGCAUUUGAUCAACAAUCCAAUCCUCAACGAUGGAAUCGAUGCCAUCAAAUAAACAUGACUUAAUCUUGAAACCAUAAACUGCACUAAGCAUAGCACCAAAGCCAGAGCGUGACUAUAAAGAAGAAAAAUAAAAAGAAGGAAAAGAAGAAUUAAAUCAACAUGAAAUUGAACUUUUGUUUUAUCUUCCACAAGCAAGAAAUUCAACUGGAACAAUACAAAAUAUGAAAUUUUUAGCAAUCUUACUAGCAUUAUGCACAAAUCUCAAUUCACGACAAAUAGGGGAAUGAAUCACUAACAUCACUCAAUUCAUAUAUUCAAAUAAUGUAUCCCCACUCCUAACAAGCAACGUGCUACCACAGUCGAUUAGUUGUUAGGGUUAAGGCUUACCAUAGAGAACUGGAUGGCGCUAACUAAAUGACAAGUUGAAACGGCAUCUGCAAUCGUAUUGAAUGACAUUGAACCGCGAGGUAGGGUUUAAAUGAAUACCGGGCAGAGAUAAAUUGGUGUGGUGAAUUAGGGUUUUGUGGCUACGUUUUAUUUCGAUUGAAAAAAGGAAUUUGAGCCAGGCUUUAAUAUGUAAAUUUUCGCUUAGUUGAAACAGAGGAAAGCUUUUGGGUUAUUAAAGUGAAAGAUAUGGAAUAAUACAAAAAAUUAUUGAAGUGAAAGAGCAGGAAUACAAAAAAUCAGCAGAUGAGAUCGUUGAAGAUGCGGAGGUUUGUAUAUAAAUAUUAAAUUGAUCGUUGAAAGAUGUAUAAACCUCCAUAAAAUUGAGUUACGACUUGAAGGAUUGUAUAUAAACAUUAAAUUGGUCUAAUUUAACUUGUAUGUAAACAUUAAAUUCUAUAUAAAUACACAGAACAGAACCAUAUCAGUGUUGGAAAAAAAAAAUCCAGAGUUACAUAAAUUCAAUAAAAAAUUAUUGAAUUUUUUAUUACUAACUUUGAACACUCUAAUUUCAAUAAAAAAAUUAUAUUACUAAAAUAGUCUUAAUUGAAUUUACUAUUAAAGACAUUAGAAUAACUCAAUACUAAUAUUCUCAAAUAUAUUUCUCUCCAUAGUCUAAUCUAAUUCAUUCUAAGAAUCCUAUAGAAAAUCUAUUAUUUACUUUUUCCUUAUUAAACAGAAAAACAUGUCAUUUGUUGCUAACUAACAUUUUAGAACUAACAACAGCAGAUUAAAUAAAAUUAUCAGAAAAAGAAAUCAAACAGGAUUUUGAUCGUCGUCAUCUUCACUCUUGCCUUUUUCUUUUUCUUCACACAUGUGGCUUGCGCACACAUCCCCUCUCUCAUCCUUAGGGCCGCCCUUCAACAAUAUCCAAUCAUCGAUUAUAAUUAUUUAGAUUGACCAAAUCAAGCUUUGAUAAGAUAUUGGUUGAGAUUAGAAGUAGGCAGCCAGCAACGACAAUACUAAUUAAUAUCUCAUGAGAAUUUUAAAGAAGAAUCUAACGUUGCCCAAUUCGUUUGAUUUCAAUGAAGUCUUUCUCCUACCUAUACUUUCGCAUAUUCUCUUUUAUUUCCAAAGUUAAGGUUAUGGAUGUUGUAGAGUUAAAAGCUGAACAUUGCUAGGAAAGCAAUAAAAGGAAAUAAAUAAAAAUUAAAAAUAUAAAAAGAGUUAAGUCUUUUUUUUUUGUCUAUUAGUGUUUUUGUAUUUAAUAACGAAAGAAAAAAAUAAAGUAAAUAUUAUCUGUUAGAUUAUUAAAAUAACACUUGUCCAAAUCUCAAUAUCAUGAUAUUAGGGAAAUUUUUAAUUAAUAGAUCUUCAUUUUUAAUUAGUAGAUAUUGUUUAAUGUAUAAUAUCAUGAUAUUAGGGAAAUUUUUAAUGAAUAGAUCUUCAUUUUAGGCUAAAGCACCCAUACAGUAGUCCCCCCUACGUACUGCGAGCUUACUACAAAAGAUAAGACUAUUUAGUUGUGGGACAAAUAAAGAGGGAAAGUUAAAUAAUAUAAUUCAUUUGUUAUUAUGAACUAACCAACUCAAAACAAAAAGGAUUGAUAAUACAGUUCAAAAUGCAUGCAACAAUGGUGUAUUUAAAAUGGAACUAAUGCACAAAUAAAAUUUAUGCAUCUCUUUGAGGAAGGCUUUUAGGGCAACAAAUGAAAAUAGUGAGCUCGCAUUUUCUGUUAUCAUUCUCACCACUUGAAAAAGAGAGAAAAAAAACUGAGAGGAAAAACAGGGCUCCCUUGUUUUCAUUCCCUAUUUUUUCAGUUUGGGAAUUGCAAAUAACUUCUUUACUUCUCUCUUAUUUUAUUUUUAAAAUUUGUUUUAACUCAUUAAUUCUUUUUCUUGUUCUUGUUAAAGCGUUUAGUAAAUCAUAUGAUCAUCUGAUCAAAUCCCUAACGUUAACAUACCCAUAAUCUAUUAAUAAAAUUUAUUUGAUUUUAUAAUCAUUAAAUUGAAGAUUUGUUCAUGCAAUUUUGUAUGGUGACCAGCUUUCAUUUUUUUCUGUUAAACAUAAGAACAAUUUGUGCAUAACGUCCAGGUUGGAACUCGUAAUAACGAGGCAUCAUUUGUGGACAGAACAAAUGAAAUAACAAAAAAGCAUAAAUCAAGUCAUUAUUGAUCCUACUUUGAUGUUUAGUUUCUUUCUAAGAUGUCAUUCCUCAUUCAAGCUUUUGCUUUCUCUUUUAUCAGGCAUCUCACAAAGCUUUCUCUCUACUAAUAUGCUCUGCAUAUCAUUAGAACAUAUGAAAGCUUUUGCUUUCAAGCGCAAAAGGUAUUUAUUCGUUGAAAACUUUUAACUUGAUUAUUUCAUUAGAACAUAUGAAAUUAGUGCUUUCUUCAAGUUAAUUGAGUUGAACAACAUUUUUUAAAGUAUUUUACCCGAUCCAUUUCUUGUAUCUCACUGCAUGCCUUGUUAAAGAUUCGGCUUUUGGUCUUGAUUCUGAACUUCAAAAAUUAAAUCUUAAAACUCGGGUAUAAAAGGGGUGCAUGAUUAAGUCUUCUUCUUUUGCAAUUCAUUGUUAUUACACACAUCAACAUUUUACUAGGACAUUCGUCUGCAGUUAACAGUGAUCUUUUACUCAUUAAAAUUUUUCCUAAUAAUUUCUUUGAAUACCCGUUCUUACUUAAUAUUCAAUGCGAAUGGAGAAGCUCACCAAUUCUCUGAUCCCAGACAAUUAAAGAGGUACACAUGUUCUAAAUCAUCUAAUAAUAUCUUUUACUAGCAGUUCUUAAUUUCCAAGAAAAAAAUUUCUCUUGUUUGUUUUCAUCUUGUCAUUUAUUUUGCUUGAGUUUUAAGUUAUUGUUCAUUUGUAAUGUCUGUGUUCUUAUUAUUAGCUUUGGAUAAUUUGCAUCCAUUUUUCCCAAAAAAAAAAAAACAAUUAGAGAAAUUGUGGGCUUUUAUUCAGACCCCUGAAACCUUUCUGUUAAUAUAAAAACUCUAAUCCUUGAGCAAAAGGUGGUUAAAAAAAUAAAAGAAAAGAAUUCUCUGUUUAAAUAUCAGUUGGCUUAAGAUCAAUGUUGCUUGCCUCCUGUCUUUUCUUUGUUUUGUUUGUUUGUUUGUCAUUUUAUUAGAUUUGCUUUGUAUCUAAUUUUACUUGGAGAUUAAAGAUGAGUGAGAACUGCCCUUUCUUCUGAAGCAACCUACAAAUUUUAGAAUAGGGCCCAGAGUAUUAAAGAUUCAAUUAACCGCAAAAAGUUAUUUACUUGCAUCACUUGAAAAUUGAGCUGUUUACAUUAGAAAUUUUCAUGCAUUCACGAGCAAUAUCAUCAUGUCACAAGAUAGCCUGAAAAGCAAGUUUCCUCUGUUUUCGUUCCUUUGUUUUCAUUCCCCUGUUUAUUGAAUUUUUUUUUUUUGGCCGGAAAUUAAGAAGAAAAAAUUGGUAAAACAAGUUGCCUCUGUUUUCAUUCCCCUGUUUUUUGUGGAAAGAAUAAACCAAACUUUAAUUUUUUAUUUUAUUUUAUAUUUUGGUUUUUGAAUAUGCAUAAAUCAAAUCAUAUAUUAUUGAUCUUACUUCGGUUAUUUGCUGUUUAGUUUCUCUCUUAAAUGCUUUUUGUGUGUUUCCGGUAUUUGCUUUUAUAAAAGUUUUAGUCCCGAAUCAUUCGUUCAAGGAUUUGCUUUAUGUUUUAUUAGGCAUAUACAUUGCUCUGUCAAUCAAUAUUCAUUUCAAUUUCACAGUACACAAGCAAUGUAUAUACCAAAAUUACUCAAAACACAACAGGUAUUAUUCUAUGAAAACUUAAUUAUUUCUUUAGAAUAUAUGAAAACGUAGAGUUGUGAACUGGUGCUUUCUUCUUCAACAUGCGUCAACAGGGCAACAAUAACCAAAUACAUGAUAUAGAAAAGCGGUGCAUGACUAAUUCUUUUUCUUUUGCAGGUCUUUGUUAUUGCUCUCAUCAACUCUUUUCUCACACAUUCCUCAGCAGUUACCAGUGAUCUUUUUCCUCUUUCAACUUGUUCUUAAAUAUUGAAGGCCAAAUAGAGAAGCUCACCAACUCUCUAAUCCCAGAUAAUUAAAGAGGUGCACGAUUUCUAAAUCAUUGAAUUUUUUUUUUUUUUUGAUAGUAGAAUCCCUGAUCCUUGAUCUUGACAUCUGCUCUUUCUUAAGUUCCAUCUACUUUCCAAGAAAAAAUUUCCUCUGGUUUGUUUUAAUAUUGUAACUUAUUUUGCAUGAGUUUUAAGUUAGUAUUCAUUGUUAAAGCCUGUGCUCUUAUUAUUUCUUUUGGUUAAUUUGCAUGCUCUCCCCCCCCCCCCCCCAAAAAAAAAAGGUUAGAAAAAGAUUAUAGGCUUUUACUCAGACCCUUGAAACCUUUACUGAUAAUACCAAAAACUCUAAUCCUUCAACAAAAGAAAGCAAGAAAAAAAGGUCCUAAGUUUAUUGUCUUUUAUUGGCUUUGUACCAAAAACUCUGAUCUGUUGGCUUUGUAUCAGUAUUGCUUGUUUGUUGUCUUUUAUUUCAUUAUUUGUAUCUAAGUUUAUUUGAAGAAUACAGAUCAGCAGGAAAAGCCCUUUUUCUAAAGCUAACUAUACAGAUUUUAGAAUAGGGCUCAACCACAUGAAAAUAUUUACGUUGUAAUAUCUCAUAUUAAUAAUCUAAAAACAACCAAUCCAACAAGUUCAAAUUCAGUCAAAUCUUAAAAAAAAUUGCUUUUAAGGAGUACAUGAUAGCUAUUAAACUUUGGUUAAAGAUCUUUUGGGCAAACGUGAAAUUAAGUCAAUCAUAAAUCAACCAAUCCAACGAGUUCAAAUUCAUCACUUGCAAAAUUAAGUUUUCUUCCGAAAUUGAGUUGUUUCCAGUAGAAAUUUUCCCGCAGUCACGAGCACCAUCAUCAAAACAAGAUUAUUAAUAUAAGAACAAGAGUUGAGGAAAAAAAAAUAGUUAAAACAAGAUUCCUCUGUUUUCAUUCCCCUGUUUUUUUUCGUUUGGUGAUUGAAAAAUUUUAUCUCUAAACUUUUAUAAUUUUCCAUUAAGGUUUAUAUUUAAAUAAAGAGUUAAAAAAAUCUAAUUCUAAAUUUAUGGAUUGAAUGAUUAUUAUUAUAUUCUCUUAGAAUUGGUUACAAUAUCAAUUAAAUAACGAAUAGAGUUAUUGAUCACUUUGUUAAAAAUGAACAUGUGUUCUGUUUAUAUGAACACGGGCUGCACGCUUUAAGUCUUGUUCUUUUACAAUUCAAUUGUAUUGCUUACUCCCAUAAACUCUUUACUCACAUUCUUCUGCAGUUAACAGUGAUCUUUUGCUCAUUAAAAGUUUUCUUAUAAAUCGAAGGCCAAGAGUGAAGCUCAUAAACUCUGUGAUCCUAGAUAAUUGAAGAGGUGCGUUUGUUCUAAAUACUUUAAUAAUUUCUUUCAAUAGAAUAAUUUCUAAUCUUUGAUCUUGAUAGCAGUUGUUUCUUAAUGUCCAACAAAAACUAUCUCUUGUUUGUCUUAAUCUUGUCAUUUAAUUUUCUUGAGUUUUAAGUUACUGUUUAUUGUUAACUUCUGUGUUCUUUUGCAGUAUUAUUAAUGGUUAAUUUGCAUCCAUCUUCCAAAAAAGUUUUCUUUCCUCAAAAAAUUGUUGGUUUUCCAUUCAGGCCCCUGAAACCUUUUUCUAAAAAGUUGUUUGUUGUCGUUUCUUUCUUUUUCUUCCCCGGUAGUUCAUUUAAUUUAUUUGAAUCCAUUUUUUUUUCAACAGCCAAAAACUAGAUAUAUAUUGUUAAGCAACCGGCAAUGGCUAUAGAAGCGUGUCUGGCUUUUUUAACCAACUGCGUAUCAGAAGGUGCAAAGUCACUGUUCAACCCGAUUACACGGCAGAUAUCUUAUGUGUUCAAGUACCAGAGCUAGGCUACAAGGGGAUGAGCUUUAUGAGGGUGUCACAGACUGGCUACAUAGCAUUGAUGAAUUCAUCAGUGAAGGAGUUGCAAAAUCCAUCAUUGAUGAUGAAGAAAGAGCUAAGAAGUUCUGCUUCAAAGGAUUGUGCCCAAAUUUGAUGUCCCGUUACAAGCUUAGUAAACAAGCAGCAAAGGCCGCAGAAGCUGCCGCUGGUCUCGUGGGAAAAGGCAACUUCUCUAAUGUUUCCUACCGUCCUACUCCAAAGAGCACAGGACUUAAUGACGGGAAAGAUAACGAGGCCUUUGAUUCAAGAAUGAAAGUAUUUCAGGAUGUUAUGGAGGCGUUGAAGGAUGAUAAGCUCAACAUAAUUGGGGUCUACGGCAUGGGCGGCGUGGGUAAAACCACGCUAGUCAAGCAAGUUGCUAAGAAAGUGAAGGAAGAUAAGUUGAUCGAUAAGGUCAUUAUGGCUGAGGUAACACAGAACCCAGAUCCCCAGAAAAUUCAAGACAAGCUCGCUUCUGAUUUAGGCAUGAAAUUUGACUUGAAUGAUAGUAUACACCAUAGAGCUUCUCGACUGCGUGAAAGGUUGAAGCAAGAGAAGCGGGUCCUCAUUAUAUUGGACAAUAUUUGGACAAAACUUGAGUUAGAUGCGGUUGGAAUUCCUUCUGGAGAUGUUGAUGAGAAAGAUAGAGAGGAUGUCAAGAUUGGGUGUCUUGAUAUUCAAAGUUUGAAUAUCAAAAUCAAACUUCUAGAUAUUCAAACUUUGAAUAUCAAAUUCAAAAUUCUAGAUAUUCAAAGUUUGAAUAUCAAACUUUGAAUUUUGAAAUUUUGAACAAUAAUAAAUAAUUAAAAAAAUACGUGAAUAGUAGCCAAGAUUUUGGCUAUAAAUAGAGGGACUCAUUCCCUCAUUUGUUCAUCCAAUUUUGAGAAGAGUUUUCUUGUAUUUAGAGAGAGUUUAGAGAGCUUGAAAUUAUAAGCUUUUGUUUUAGUGUUUUGAGAGUUUGGGUGUAUUGGGAUUUUGGGAAGUGAGCUAAAAUACUACAAUACUUGUAACUCCUUUUCACUAGUAAAAUAUUUCCUUCUGUCUUCGCCCGUGGACGUAGGCUAAAAGUCGAACCACGUAAUUUCUAGUGUCCUCUUUUGUGCUUGUUCUUUAUUUUCUUCCAAUUUUACUUUAGCUGCGUGUCUGCUUCACCCACCAAUUUCCUAACAGUGGUAUCAGAGCUAUUGGUUGUAUUUUUGGAGUCGGGUACUGUUCACGUAAGGGGUACUAUUCACGUAUACGGUACUAUUCAUAAGAAACGGUGGGAGCGAUCCAAGAAUUUUGUGGUGUAAAGCAGGGAAUAGUGGUGUGAGUAAAACAACUGUGUGGUUUUGUACAUGUCUAGGAAAGUUUUGUCACAAAGGCGAUAAGAGCUUAAGGAGUCUGGGUUUUAAGUAGGACCAUUGUGACCCCUCCAGUCUUUCUUGGGAACUUUCCUGGUGUACAUUCUCACACAUACUCACAACUAUUCAAGGAGGUACACUAGCUUGUGUGCGGUAUUUAUCAACAAAAUGGCGGCAAAGUAUGAAAUUGAGAAGUUUAACGGAAAUAAUUUUUCGUUGUGGAAAAUGAAGAUGAAAGCUGUAUUGAGGAAAAAUAAUUGCUUGGCAGCAAUUGGAGAAAGGCCCACGGAGAUAACUGAUGACAAGUGGAACGAGGUAGACGGCAACACCAUUUCUGAUCUACACUUGGCACUUGCAGACAGAGUAUUAUCCAGUGUGGCAGAGAAAAACACAGCGAAGGAAAUAUGAGAUACUCUCACAAAAUUGUACGAGGCCAAGUCACUACACAACAAAAUCUUCUUGAAGAGAAAACUCUAUACUCUUCGAAUGGCGGAAUCUACAAUGGUGACCGACCACAUCAACACCUUGAAGACUCUAUUUUCACAAUUCACAACGUUGAGUCAUAAUAUAGAGGAAAAUGAACGUGCAGAGCUUCUACUUCAAAGUCUACCAGAUUCAUAUGAUCAACUCAUCAUCAACCUGACAAACAACAAUCCAGCGGACAGUCUAGUUUUCGACGAUGUUGCAGCCUCCGUAUUAAAUGAGGAGAGCAGGCAGAAAAAUAAGGAAAACAGACAAGCAAGUUCGCAGCAAGUGGAGGCACUAUCAGUGACGAGAGGGAGAUCAACGGAACUUGGCCCCAGUGGGAGUCAAAAUCAGGGUAGAUCAAAAUCCAGAAGUAAAAUGUUAAAUGCUACAAAUGUGGCAAUUAAGGGCACGUCAAGAAAGAAUGUUGGAGUAACUAGAAGAGAAAAGAGGGCAAAGAACCUGAGUCAUCAAAUGCUCAAGGUUGUGUAGCAAGUACCUCGGAUGAUGGCGAAAUUCUUUACAGCGAGGCAACAACUGUUUCAGAAGGCAGAAAACGACUUUCUGAUGUCUGGCUUAUAGACUCAGGAGCUACCUGGCACAUGACCUCUGGGAGAGAAUGGUUCCACACAUAUGAACCUAUCUCAGGAGGAUCUGUAUAUAUGGGAGAUGAUCAUGCCUUGGAGAUCGCCGGUAUUGGUGCUAUCAAAAUAAAAAUGUUUGAUGGUACAAUUCGCACAAUUGGAGAGGUACGACAUGUCAACGGCCUGAAGAAAAAUCUAUUGUCUUUGGGACAAAUGGAUAGUCAUGGGUACAAAACUCAUGUGGAGAAUGGAAUAAUGAAGAUCGUUAAAGGCGCGCUUGUAUUGAUGAAGGCAGAAAAGAUCGGUGCUAAUUUAUUCAUGCUUAAAGGAGAAACACUACAGGAGGCUAAUGCGUGUGUCGUGUCAAAUGGAGAAGAAUCAACGAUGAUGUGGCAUCUCAAACUUGGCCACAUGUCAGAACAAGGCUUGAAGAUUCUCUCUGAGUGAAAAUUGCUUCCGGGGCUCAAAUCGGUAAGUUUACCAUUUUGCGAGCAUUGUGUUACAAGUAAGCAGCAUAGAUUAAAAUUCAGUAGAUCUAUUGCUAGAAGUAAAUGCAUUUUAGACUUGAUCCAUUCUGAUGUUUGGGAAUCACCGAAUAUAUCCAUGGGAGGUGCAAAGUACAUGGUGACUUUCAUUGAUGAUUAUUCCAGAAGAUGUUGGGUGUAUCCAAUUAAGAAAAAGUCAGAUGUAUUUCCUGUGUUUAAAGAAUACAAAGCGCGGGUGGAACUUGAAUCUGGUAAAAAGAUCAAGUGCUUGAGGACAGAUAAUGGUGGAGAGUAUACAGACGGUGAGUUUCUUGCUUUCUGUAAGCAAGAGGGUAUUCAGAGGCAAUUCACGGUGGCAUACACUCCUCAACAAAACGGAGUGGCAGAGCGGAUGAACAGAACUCUUACAGAAAGAAUAAGAGCUAUGUUGAGGACUGCUGGUCUACCCAAUUCAUUCUGGGCAGAAGCAGCCAAAACUGCCUGUUAUAUAGUAAAUCGGUCGCCAUCUACAACUAUUGGGUUGAAGACGGCGAUGGAGAUGUGGACUGGAAAGCCAGCUGAUUAUUCCUACCUACAUGCAUUUGGAUGUCCUGUGUACGUGAUGUACAAUGCCCAAGAAAGAACAAAGCUGGAUGCAAAAUCUAGAAGAUGUAUCUUCUUGAGGUAUGCUGAUGGAGUAAAGGGGUAUCGUUUGUGGGACACCACUGCCCACAAGAUCGUCAUCAGCAGAGAUGUUAUUUUUGUAGAAGAUCAACUGCAAAGAAAAGAUGGAGAUGAUGACACUGUAAAAGAAAAGUCAGAGACUGUGCCGGUAUAUGUCGAAAAUAAUCCAGAAGAUUCAGAUUCUUUUGAAGCAGCACUAGAGCACGAAGAACAAGAACCAGUCGAGUCUGAGGCUCCAGAAGUUCGUCGGUCAACUCGUGAGAGACGACCGCCGGUGUGGCACUCGGAGUAUGUCACAGAGAUCAACGUUGCAUACUAUCUUCUAACAGAGGAUGGAGAGCCUUCAACUUUCCAUGAAUCUUUAAACAGCUCAGAUGUUGCUUUGUGGAUGACAGCAAUGCAGGAAGAAAUUGAAGCUCUAUACAAGAACAAGACAUGGGAACUUGUACCACUACCACACGGAAGAAAAGCCAUUGGAAACAAAUGGGUCUACAAGAUCAAACGUGAUGGCAAUGAUCAAGUGGAGCGGUAUCGUGCGAGAUUGGUGGUGAAAGGAUAUGCUCAGAAAGAAGGUAUUGACUUCAACGAGAUAUUUUCUCCGGUGGUUCGACUCACAACAGUCAGAGUAGUCUUGGCGAUGUGUGCUACAUUUGACUUACAUCUUGAGCAGUUGGAUGUGAAAACUGCAUUUCUUCAUAGAGAACUUGAAGAAGAAAUAUAUAUGCUCCAACCAGAAGGUUUUGUAGAAAUAGGAAAUGAGAACUUGGUUUGCAGGUUGAACAAAUCUCUAUACGGUCUCAAACAGGCGCCGAGGUGUUGGUAUAAGAGAUUUGAUUCCUUCAUCAUGAGCCUUGGAUACAACAGACUCAGUUCAGACCAUUGUACAUAUUAUAAAAGGUUUGAAGAUAAUGAUUUCAUCAUUUUGUUGUUGUAUGUGGAUGACAUGUUGAUAGCAGGUCCCAACAAAGAUCGAAUCCAAGAAUUGAAGGCACAGUUGGCUAGGGAGUUUGAAAUGAAGGACUUAGGACCAGCAAACAAGAUUCUAGGGAUGCAAAUUCACCGAGACAGAAAUAACAAGAAGAUUUGGCUUUCACAGAAGAACUACUUGAACAAAAUCUUGCGGCGCUUCAACAUGCAAGAUUGUAAGUCAAUUUCUACCCCACUUCCUGUUAAUUUCAAAUUAUCCUCAAGUAUGUGUCCUAGCAAUGAAGCAGAGAGGAAGGAGAUGUCUCGAGUACCGUAUGCAUCAGCAGUGGGAAGUUUAAUGUUCGCUAUGAUAUGUACAAGACCGGACAUUGCACAAGCAGUGGGAGCAGUCAGUCGAUACAUGGCGAAUCCUGGUGGAGAGCAUUGGAUAGCUGUGAAGAGGAUUCUGAGAUACAUCAGAGGAACCUCAGAUGUUGCAUUAUGUUAUGGAGGAUCAGAGUUUAUUGUCAGGGGCUAUGUGGAUUCAGAUUUUGCAGGUGAUCUUGAUAAAAGAAAAUCCACUACUGGUUAUGUGUUUACACUUGCGGGAGCAGCUGUAAGUUGGGUUUCGAAGCUGCAGACUGUUGUGGCUUUAUCUACAACAGAAGCAGAAUACAUGGCAGCUACACAAGUUUGCAAGGAAGCUAUUUGGAUACAAAGGUUAUUGGAGGAGUUCGGGCACAAACAAUAGAAAAUUCCUGUGUUUUGUGACAGUCAGAGUGCCUUGCACAUUGCAAGGAAUCCAGCCUUUCAUUCCAGGACAAAGCACAUAGGAGUUCAGUAUCACUUCGUUCGAGAAGUAAUGGAAGACGGAAGUGUGGAUUUACAGAAAAUCCAUACGAAGGAGAACCUAGCAGAUGUUUUGACCAAGCCGAUAAAUGCUGACAAGUUUAUCUGGAGUAGAUCCUCUUGUGGCCUAGCAGAAACGUAAGUAACCUGACAAUGGCGAAGCAGAAAGGAUGGUGUGGAGAUUGAUUGGUUCUCAAUCAAAUCUCCAAGUGGGAGAAUGUCAAGAUUGGGUGUCUUGAUAUUCAAAGUUUGAUUUUGAAAGUUUGAAUAUCAAAAUCAAACUUCUAGAUAUUCAAAGUUUGAAUAUCAAACUUUGAAUUUUGAAAUUUUGAACAAUAAUAAAUAAUUAAAAAAAUACGUGAAUAGUAGCCAAGAUUUUGGCUAUAAAUAGAGGGACUCAUUCCCUCAUUUGCUCAUCCAAUUUUGAGAAGAGUUUUCUUGUAUUUAGAGAGAGUUUAGAGAGCUUGAAAUUAUAAGCUUUUGUUUUAGUGUUUUGAGAGUUUGGGUGUAUUGGGAUUUUGGGAAGUGAGCUAACAUACUACAAUACUUGUAACUCCUUUUCACUAGUAAAAUAUUUCCUUCUGUCUUCGCCCGUGGACGUAGGCUAAAAGUCGAACCACGUAAUUUCUGGUGUCCUCUUUUGUGCUUGUUCUUUAUUUUCUUCUAAUUUUACUUUAGCUGCGUGUCUGCUUCACCCACCAAUUUCCUAACAGAGGAUGAUCAGAGAAGAUGCACAAUAAUAUUGACGUCUAGAAGUCGAGAUUUAUUGUGCAUUGAUAUGAAUUGUCAGAAAAUUUUCUGGAUCGAUGCUUUAUCGAAAGAAGAAGCAUUGCAGUUAUUUGAGAAGAUAGUGGGUGAUUCAACUAAAAUAUCUUAUUUUCAAAGUAUAGCAAAUGAGAUCGUUGAAAAAUGCGGAGGUUUGCCUGUUGCACUGAGUACAGUUGCAAAUGCUCUGAAAAAUAAGGAGCGUUACUUUUGGCAAGAUGCAUUGAAUCAGCUAACAAGAUUGGAUGCAACAGAAAUUCAUGGCAUGCAAGCAAAUGUGUACACCUCCAUAAAAUUGAGUUAUGACUUCUUGGAAAGUGCGAAGGCAAAAUCUCUGUUCCGUCUUUGUGGUCUGUACAGUGAAGGUGAUGCCAUAGAAGUUUCUGACUUAUUGAGAUAUGGUGUGGGUUGGGAUUUGUUUGAAAAUGUUUACACAUUAGAAGAAGCAAGGAGUAGAGUGCAUCGGUUGAUCGACAAUCUCAAAUCUUCAUGCUUAUUGUUGGACGGUGAUGCUGAAGAUGAAGUUAAAAUGCAUGACGUCAUUCAUGUUGUUGCUGUAUCAAUUGCUGCAGGGGAGCGCAUGUUUAAUAUUCCAAAUGUUGCUAACGUGGAGAAAAAGAUGGAAAAGACAAUACGGAAAGACCCAAUUGCCAUUUCAUUACCCCAGAGAGAUAUUCAAGAGCUCCUGAAAGGUUGCAAUGUCCCAAUCUCCAGUUAUUUUUGUUGUCUGCAGAGGGUAAUGCCCCUAUGCAAAUUUCAGACCUCUUUUUUGAAGGGACGGAAGAACUCAAAGUUUUAAGUCUUAUUGGAAUUCAUUUCUCUUCAUUAUCUUCAUCACUUGGUCACCUCAUUAACCUUCAAACAUUGUGUUUAGACUGCUGCCAACUAGAAGAUGUAGCGGCAAUUGGACAGCUAAAGAAAUUAGAGAUUCUUAGCUUUCGAUAUUCCGACAUUAAGCAGUUGCCACUUGAAAUUGGUCAAUUGGCGCGGUUACAGUUGCUAGAUUUGAGCAAUUGUAGAAGCCUUGUAGUGAUAGCACCAAAUGUCAUAUCAAAAUUUUCUCGAUUGGAAGAACUAUAUAUGGGUGACAGCUUUUCGCAGUGGGAUAAGGUUGAAGGAGGAAGUAACGCCAGUCUUGCUGAAUUGAAGGGGUUGUCAAAGCUAACUACCUUGGAGAUACAAGUUCGGGAUGCCCAAAUUCUGCCGCAGGAUUGGGUCUCUGUGGAAUUGCAAAGAUAUAAGAUAGGUAUAGGAGAAGCGUGGCGCAUGUGACGCGUUAAUUCUGAAACAUCAAGAUUGGUGGAGCUCCAAGGGCUAGAAAAUGUUAGCACUCUUUUGGAGAAUUAUGGGACUAAAAUGUUGCUGAAGAAAACUGAAGAUAUCCAUCUAAACGAACUGAAGGGUGCUCAGAAUGUUGUUCAUGAAUUAGAUGAUGGGGAAGGUUUUCCACGAUUGAAGCAUCUUUCUGUAGAAAGAUGUUCUGAGAUUUUGCAUGUUGUCGGUUCAGUUGGACGGGUUCAUUGUACAAUCUUUCCCUUGUUGGAGUCAUUGUCUCUUUGGUUUUUGAGCAAGUUGGAGACAAUAUGUGACAGCCAACUCACAGAAUAUCAAAUUUUCAGCAACUUAAGGAUUAUAGAAGUACAAUUCUGUGACAAAUUGAAGCAUCUUUUCUCAUUCUCCAUAGCCAAAAACCUACUGCGGCUUCAAAAGGUAGAAGUGGAUGUUUGCGAUGAUCUGGAAAUGAUGGUUGGUAAGAGUUGAAAUUAAGUGUUGGUGGGUUUAUGGACUUCGCCUCAAUUAUUUUGAAAAAAAAAAAAAAACAACGACAAAGAUUAAUUAUGUAUAUUGUUUUUGUUUGUUUAUAGGACCCGACAGGGAGAAACCAACAACUUCUUUGGGAUUCAACGAAAUCAUUGCUAAUGAUGAUCCUGCUCCAAAGGUGAUAAUUUUCUGAUCAAUAAUUAAUUGAUUAAUUUAUUAUCACGAUUAAUCUUCGAUCAUCAAAAGAAUAUUAUACUAGACGGUUGUACUUGAAGGAACAAAAAUGUACGGGUUUUCUUUGCAGGUUAUUCUUCCGAGCUUAGAGGAAUUGAAUCUCAGGGACUUAAGAAACAUGAAAAAAUUAUGGGCCGAUCAUAAUCAAGGAAUGUACUGUUGUCAAAAUUUAACAAAGCUGUACGUGAGCAGUUGUCAUCGUAUGAAGUAUCUGUUUUCGUAUUCUAUGGUUAAUAGUCUUGCGAAACUCCAACAUCUUGAGAUAAGCACUUGUUGGUCAAUGGAAAGGGUAGUCGACACCACGGGGUGGUCAGAAAGAGAUGAAGGAAAGUUGAUUGAAUUAAAGGUUUUUCCUAAACUACACUUCCUGCGGCUCGAGAAUCUUCCAGAACUAACAAGCUUUGCCAAUACGGGACAUAUUCAUUCAGAUUUAGUUGUUGAAUUCCCUUCUUUGCUAAGCCUCGAGAUUGAUACUUGCAGUAAUAUGUUAAGAUUCAUCUCUACGAGCUCACCAGAAGACACCAUUCAUUCUGAAAUGCAACCUCCUCCUCUCUUUGACGAAAAGGUUUCUUUUUUUUUUAAUAAAAAAAUUAAUUUUAGUCACAAUAUUUAAUUUGUCUUUUCCUUGAGUCUUCAAAUUUAGUUAAUAUCCACCUCAAAUUUAGUUAUCAAUUGAUUAUGCCAUUAAUUGAUUAAUUAGUUAUUUAAUCUUUAACUGCCAGGUACGACUUCCUGGGUUGGAGGUAUUACAUAUUAGGUCGAUGGAUAAUUUGAGAAAAAUAUGGCACCACCAGCUUGCUUCGGAGUCUUUCAGAAUAUUUUUCCUCCAUUGGUAAGGUUGCUGUAUUCAUUUCGAAUCUUUUUUUUUUUCAAAUUACAUCCAACAAUAUUUUAACCAUUUUUUGUUUACAAAUGAUAUUCAGCCACUGAUUAUUUAUUUCAAGUAUCGUACUUCGAACCACCACUCUGAAAUCUACGUUUUAAGUCCAGUUUUUAGGUUCGUCAGCAUUAGAAUCAACAAUAUAAAUUUUUUAAACACGAUUCAACAGCAUAAUAUAAUUCAAUUAAAUAGAUUUUGCUCAUAUCUUAAUAAGUACGAUUUUCAAAAAUUAAAGGAUAGUCACUCAUCUUAUAGGUUCACAAAUUCAUCUAUAUAUUUCUCUUUUCCUUAAUUCUUCACAUUUCGAUUGGAAAAAGAAAAAAAGAAAAUAAAAGUCUUCAAAUUUAAUUAAUCUCUUGUUUAGUUACGAAUUGAUUAUGCCAUUAAUUAACCACAAAUUCAUGAUUAUUUACAACUGACCCGUGAUUGUAAAGAAAUUUCCUUGAGUCUGGAAGUACUUAAUAAAGAUCCACUUUACAGCAGCAGUCCCUUGUUGACAAUAUUGGGAAGUCUUUUCCAAUUUUUUUUUCCAUUUUUAAAUGUACAUAAAAAAAGGGACCAAGGAAAAGGGAAAAGGCGGCAUUUUGGUUGAAUUUUUUUUCCCUAAAAGGAAUAGUUGAAAUUUGUAAAUUUAUGCUUAAAAACUGAUAUCAAGAUGCAAAAUAAGUCUAAUAUAUUUAGAAAUUGCCUUAAAUUCUUUCUACGUUCCUAAUAGUAAAUAGUGUAAAUGCAUUUUUAUUAUCUUUGUUUAUCUGGCUUUUAUUUAUUCAUUUAUCUUGUUGCUUUUUUUGUUUAACAAAAAAUUAUCUAGUUGAAUGAUAUUCUUACAUUUUUACUUUUUUAAUAUACACACAUAUGCACACACUUUUGUUUAUUUUCAGGUUGGAAUUCCUAGUAGUCUGGUGAAUCUUAAUGUAUCGAAUUGCCAAAAAUUAGAAGAAAUAGUAGGACAUGUUGGAGAAGAAGUGAAGGAGAAUCGUAUUGCUUUCCGCGAAUUAAAAGUUUUGAUACUUGAUUAUUUACCAAGGCUUACCAGCUUUUGUUUGGAGAAUUAUACUCUUGAAUUCCCAUCAUUGGAACGAGUUUCUGUGACACAUUGUCCGAACAUGAAGACUUUUUCUCAGGGAAUCUUAUCCACACCAAAGCUAUACAAAGUGCAAGUUAGUAAAAAGGAAGAGGGUGAAUUGUACCAUCGGGAAGGCAAUAACCUUAAUUCCUUUAUACAAAAGAGCUACGAAGAAAUGGUAUGUGCUAAUCGAUUCGUCCAAAUUACUUGCACAUUUAAAAAUAUGUUACAAAAAGAUGGUCUGUGUUAAUCGAUUCACCCAAAUUGUUCAUGCAUCUCCCCUACGCUUGCACAUUUAAACAUAUACACCUACCUUGUAUAUGUAGUUUUAGAAGUUAAAACACAAAACAUGUAAGUUUAAUAUGUGUGUGUGUAUAUAUAUACAUAUAUAUAUAUCUAAUGCCUUUCAAAAAAAGAAAUUUAUAUAUCCAGUGCAAUUGUUUUGGUUUAUGCAGAUUGGAUUCCGUGACAUAGAGCAUUUGCAACUCUCACAUUUUCCACGCUUGAGAGAAAUAUGCCAUGGCCAAGCACUGCCUGUCAGCUUCUUCAACAAUUUAUUUAAGCUGGUGGUGGAUGACUGCACGAAUAUGUCGAGUGCUAUUCCUGCCAAUCUGAUACGGUGCUUGAACAAUUUAAGGUACCUAGAAGUGAGGAAUUGUGAUUCACUAGAAGAGGUGCUUCAUUUGGAAGAGCUAAGUCCUAAGGAAGAACAUAUCGGCCCCCUGUUUCCUAGGCUUUUUAGCCUAAGGCUCAUUGAUCUUCCAAAACUCAAAAGAUUCUGCAACUUCACUGGGAAUAUAAUUGAACUGCCUUGGUUGUCGACGCUGACUAUUGAGAAUUGCCGAGAUAUAGAAACAUUCAUAUCCAACGCUGUAGUGCACGUGACAACAGAUAACAAGGAACCUCAAAAAUUAAAAUCAGAAGAGAACCUCUUGGUAGCUAAUCAAAUACAACAUCUCUUCGAUGAAAAGGUAAUCAUUAUUAUUAUUUUUUCCCUUCACUUUCAUUCGGACAGAUGUAAUUUCAUUAGAAUCAAAUCAAAUUUAAUGACUCAUCUUUUUGCACGUCGUCUUAAUUUAUAUCUGAUUUAACAAUAUAACCGUAGUUAUUAACUAACUUUAUAGUAUGAAUUAUAAAAAUGUCUCAAAUUAAUUAGAUGCCUAGUGACAGGAGGUGAUGAACUAUAUCGAUUAUGCGUGUUACAUCUCUGUUUUCCUAACUAAUUCAUAUUGGAUUUAGGAUCAGAUUUCAUUUGUGUUUUAAAGGGUAAUCGAUUUGAUACUUAUAUUUGGGAUCCUACUGCAAAGCAUACUAAUUUGGAAAUAAAAUAUAAAAUGCCGUGAUUAAUCUUGUCCAUAAAAUAUGCAGGGGAAGACUGCAGAGAUUGGAUACAUAUUUUCAUUUACAACUUAAUUUUGUUGAUUUUUAGGUUGCAUUCCCUCAAUUGAGAUAGUUAAACCUGUCUAGAUUACACAAAGUGCAGCAUCUCUGGAAGGAAAAUGACGAAUCCAACAAAGCGUUUGCAAACUUGGAAAGUCUAGAAAUAUCAUAAUGUAGUAAGUUGCAAAAAUUAGUACCACCUUCGUGGCAUUUGGAAAAUCUGUGGGAACUAGAAGUAUCGAAGUGUCACGGGUUGAUAAAUGUGUUGACGCUCUCAGCAUCUAAAAAUCUAGUGAAUCUUCGAGGAAUGAAGAUAGCUAAUUGCAAAAUGAUAGAACAAAUCAUACAAUUGCAGGUUGGAGAAGAAGCGAAAGAUUGCAAUGUUUUCAAGGAAUUGGAGUACUUGGGACUUGAUUAUUUGCCAAGCCUAACAAGCUUUAGUUUGGGUAAUUACGCUCUUGAAUUCCCGUCCUUGAAACAAGUAGUUGUGAGACAGUGUCCAAAAAUGAAGAUCUUCUCUCAAGGAGUCUUAGACACACCAAUGCUAAACAAAGUGAACGUCACCGAAGAAGAAAAAGAUGAUGAUGAAGAAGAUGAUGAUGAUGAAGGAUGUUGGGAAGGCAACCUCAAUGACACCAUAAAAAAAUUGUUCAAUGAAAUGGUGAGUAUCAAUUAAGUUUUGGUGCUAUUUAACAAAUUAUUUUAUAGAAACUAAUGUGAUAUAAUAUGAUGGGUUGACUGAAAAUAUAUAAUAAUAAUAAAUAAAUAAAUAAAUAAAUUAUAAGGGCCAUGUUAUGUUUUUGUUUAACCAAUCAUAUUAUGUCGCAUUAGUUUAUACAAUAUUGUUUGUGUACAGGAGGUGGUGGUCGUAUCAUUACUCUUGCUCUAUUAUUAUUAUGGUUGUAAUGUAUGCUUGCUUACACGAGUAAUUGCAAAAUGUGCAGAAUUCUAAAGAAAAGAUUGAGCCAACCCUUCAGGUACAGUGAAGAAGCUAUCUCGAACUAGGCCAAUCUCUUGUACAUGAUUCAACUUGCUCGUUCUCCUGUACUUGAAUAAUUUGGUUCUAAACGCAUUUACAAAUUUUUAGUCAUGCUACAGACUUGCAAGACACUUUGGAUUUGUUUGAUGCAUUCUCUGUUUAAGGAAGGACUUGAAUUGAUGUUUCAUGUUUCAUGCAAUUUUCAAUUAGAUACUGUUUAAACUUCUGCAUUAUUCAUUCAAUUGGUGUUUUAAGCAUUUGAUUUCUAACUAGUCUUGAUAGAAGAUCAUUAGCUGAAGAAAACAUCAUAACAUUUGUGGCAUUAUCAGAAUAAGAAUAGUUUUAUGAGUAUAGUAAAAUUAACUCGACCAUUAUUAAAAGGAAUUAAUCCGUAAAACUGACUUUCUCAGACCAGCACCCUUUAAAUUAAAAGAAUUUCGUGAAGUCAAGGCCAUGUUAUAGAUCUUGUGGAAAUAAGUGAACCCAUAAAUGUUUUCACAGCAUCAUAAGAAAAUCAUUUUUUUAUUAGUAUUUUUGUUAGUUGUUGAGUUUUAAAAGUAGUAGCUCUUAAACAAUGACAAUUAGCGUGGUCGUAGUUGGGGAUCGAGUAGUUCACUUGUUUCCUAUUACACUCAUUCCAAAAAUAUUAUUACACUCAUUCCAAAAAUAGUAACUAAAGAAUCAUGAUAUUUCCUAUUAAGUAUUCUUUAUUUUUUAAUGCAAAAUUCCCAUUCGAAAACACCAAUGACUUUCUUUCAAAGUAAAUGAGAAAUUACAAUGAAAACGGGAUCAAAAUACAUGUAUGUAUACCUAAAACAAAUGAUUUUUUUUUAUUAAAAACAAACAGUUGAGGUGAAAUGAAAACAAGGUCAUGAUGUCUCUGGUUCCAACUUUGGGACAAUAGCAGACUUGAGUUCUAUAUAAGAAACACGUACAGCUCCAAUCAGCCGCUCCGGUAAUUCAUCUGUAGUAUUUGCCUUCAUACACGAAGCAUUAUACCAUUCUGAGAACAUUCAAGUAUGCAAAUAUGCAAAUUGCAGUACAAUAUCUCAAAAUCAUGUCUUUUCCCUUGUGUCAUUUAGAAGUGGGGGAAAAAAACAAUCAUACAUACCUGUACAAGGAAAGCCAUGUCAACUACCACUGCCGUAAUUACACCAAUUACAAGGCCCAAAACUCCAUUAGCAACAGUAGAAGAACAUGCCAACAUCAAUCUACAGAAAGAUGAACAAUGUUAAACCAUGUUAAUGGUAUUGAACAAGCUAUUUGAAAGCGAACACAUCCCAUGUACUAUAGAAAUUCGAAGAGCAUUUACUUCUAAGUACUUAGGACCGCGGAUAUAGUUACAAUCAACUGCUUUUCCUAAUAAACAAGGGGUGCUCCCAUCACUCUGGCGCACGAUCCAUGACCCCUGCAUGAUUCGGUGCUUAAAAUCAAGAACAAAUGCAAAACAAAUUCAAAUCAGUAGAAAAAGGAAAUGAAGUUUGAAGGUACAACCCAUUAAUACACUUACACUUAAAUGCAUGCCUUCAUUGUACAAAUUGAAGUGUACUAUGCAGCGGAGGGUACGUAUUAGUUAACAUAGUCCUAAUACAUGAAGACCAAGACGGAUACCUUAAGAACGGAUGGGAUAAGUUUCAGCCUACUAUUGCGAAAUUCAUCAUCGCCGUCAACAAACCAUUGCAAAAGGGAUCCUGUAAUUAAUUCCCUUGUAGAUGUAGAUGCUUACGUUACAACCAUACAACCUCCCAAAACGAUUAGUUUGAAACUUAAUACCUUCUGAAAUGAAACAAGCUUACUUGAAGAUUAAAGAUCAGUGAGAAAAGCCCUUUUUCAGAAGCAACCUACAUAUUUUAGAAUAGGGCUCAGAGUGUUAUAGAUUCAAUGAACCACCAGAAGUUAUUUACAUUGUAGUAUCUCAUAGGCAGUAUUUUCUUCUAAUCCGUCAAUGGAAAAGGAAAAAUAAAAAAGAAAAGAAUAGUUACUUGUGCAGCACAGCCUUGACGCCUAGCUACAUGGUCCAUUCUCUUUGUGUCUUUGAACUAAUCAACAGCAACAAGAUCCAUUAAAUGUUUUCCCACAUGUAUCUGCAGUUACAAAUUGCACAAAGAGCAAGAAGAACCAACCAAACUACAUCGUUACAUGUCGAACUAGAAUAUGUCGGAUAUAUAAAUACCAUAAGAAACAACUGAUAAGCCCUAAACUGAAACGGUUAGAUAAACAACACAGUAGAGAGCAGAAUGUUGUUGGAAGUAGGAAAACUGGUAUUUAUCUGCAGAAAUAAACCAAAACACCCAAGCAUUCGAAAGGCUUGGUAUCUCUCCCAAAAUGAACAAGCUCACUACGAAAUAAUUCUCUAGAUCCCCUUCCCAAAAAACAGCUCCUCUCCAUAUAACCUCCUCACUUCUACGCCCAAAUAGAAUAACAGAAAACUCUAACAAAUUAUCAAAACAGAAUACCAUCAACUUAUCACUAACAGAAAUGCAUAACAAACUCUUUUAUCUAUACUACUUGAUGACACGUCAGCCACGAUUGGUAUUUCUGGAAUUACCCUUGCGCCUUGCAUAUGUGAAACGCACUUGUGGCCUAACAUUACCAUCCGCCCAAACUUUCACCUUGUCCUCAAGGUGGAAAUCGGGAAAUUGUUGUUAGAUCAGAUGAAAAUCCUCCCAAGUUGCCUGAAACUCAGCCAAGGAUUUCCAUUGGAGCAGCACCUCCGCUUCACCGGAUUGACCAUUAACCUUACGACGAACUCCCAACAAUUUUUCAGGUUCCACCACGAGUUCAAGCUCAGGAGUCAACUGUGGGGGGAUGGUGGGGGAAAAAGAUGACACACCAAGUGCUGCCCUCAACUGCGAAACAUGAAAGACAGGGUGGAGUUUUGCUGUUUGAGGCAAUUUUAGUUUGUAUGCCACCUUCCAGAUACGCUGAAGAACCUUAAAUGGUCUACCAAGUCGUCCAAUAUGGCAUCACGAUCCUCCAUUAACUGUUCUACCAAAGAUACCGAAGCAGCUCCUUGCUCAUACCGAAUAAGAGGGGGUGGAUCCCUUCCAUAGAGAGCACGAAAUGGAGUACAACGUGUAGAAGAGUGGAAGGAAGUAUUAUACCAAUACUUAGCCCAUGCCAACCAGCGAGCCCAACUUCGAGGUUUUCCAGAAGCAAAGCAGCGUAGAUACGUUUCUAGACAACAGUUGACAACUUCUGUUUGUCCAUCAGAUUGUGGAUGAUAGGCGGUGCUUCGUUUGAGAGUAGUUCCCUGCAGCUUGAACAAUUCACUCCAAAAAUGGCUCAAGAAUAUCUUAUCUCGGUAAGAGAUAAUUGACUGUGGUAUCCCAUGAAGCCUAAAAAUUUCACGAACAAAGAUUCCAGCAACCGAAACAGCAGAAAAAAGGAUGUUUCAAUCCUAUGAAGUGAGCAUACUUACUCAGCCUGUCCACCACUACUAAGAUGGCAUCCCACCCUUUAGAACGAGGCAGCCCCUCAAUAAAAUCAAGUGUGACUUCCUACCAAACCUGGGCUGGUAGUGGAAUAGGUUGAAGUAACCCCGCAGGAGUAGUGGCCAAAUACUUAUUCUGCUGGCAGAUGGUGCAUUCCCGUACAAAUCUGGUGGCAUCCUUGCGCAUACCUAUCCAAUACAAUUCUGCUGCUAAGCGUUGGUAAGUUUUUGUUUCUCUCGAAUGUCCCCCAAUUGGAGUGGUGUGAAACUCUCCUAUGAGAGCAGAAAGAAGCUUAGUAGUCCGAGGAAUAACCAGCCGACUCUUGUAGAACAAUAAUCCAUGCUCAACUGAUAACCCCAUGUGAGAUUGUGUACCCGAAGUUAUGUCUUCCCUAAGUUUCUUCAGAAAGGUAUCCUUUGCCAACUCAACCUUUAAGGAAUCCCAAUGUUGCCACUGAGGAAUCGCCAAAGCUGAACACUUUGCUGAUUCUGUUAAGCGUGAGAGUGCAUCCGCUACUCAAUUACUUGCCCCACUACGAUAUUGAAUAUCAAAAUCAUAUCCCAUGAUUUUGGUGAUCCAUUUUUGAUAUUCAACUCCAACAAUCCUUUGCUCUAAAAGAAAUUUUAAGCUCUAUUGGUCUGUUCGCACAACGAAUCGCCUUCCCAACAAGUACGGCCGCCAUUUCAGGAUUGCAAACACUAUGACCAUUAGUUCUUUCUCAUAUAUGGACUUAAGACGAGCCUGGGGCCCCAAAACUUGGCUAUAGUAAGCUACUGACUGUUGCCCUUGUAGUAGAACAGCUCCUAACCCAAAACUAGAUGCAUCAGUCUUAACAAUAAAUGGCUUUGUGAAAUCAGGCAUUGCCAACACAGGGAUUGAAGACAUAGCUUGUUUGAGUUCUUCAAAUGUCGCUGCAGCUUCUAGACUCCACCCAAACCUAUCUUUCUUGAGCUGAUCAGUCAAUGGCGAUGCGAUUCUAGCAUACCCAGCCACGAACUUUCUAUAAUACCCCGUCAAUCCCAGAAAUCCCCUUAACGCUUUCAGAUUAGUGGGCGUUGGCCACGAGUUCAUGGCUUGGAUUUUACUUGGAUCCGCUGCCACCCCUUGUCCUGAGAUGAUAUGGCCUAAAUAUGCCACUUGAGUCCUUCCAAACUUGCAUUUUUUUCGGUUGGCAUAAUGGCUGUUGGCCUGCAAUAUUCCCAAGACGAGAGCCAGGUGCCGCUGAUGGGAUUCCACUGAAGGGCUGUAAAUUAGAAUGUCAUCGAAGAACACUAGAACAACCUUCCGAAGAUAAAGUCGGAAGACAUCAUUCAUCAAGGAUUGGAAAGUCGCCGGGGUAUUCGUUAGUCUGAAAGGCAUGACAAGAAACUUGUAGUGUCCAUCAUGCGUUUGAAAAGCAGUCUUAUGAACAUCCUGACUACUGACUCUGAUUUGAUGGUAGCCCGACUUUAAAUCUAGCUUGGAAAAAAUUCUAGCACCAUGUAACUCAUCUAGGAGUUCAUCAAUGACAUUGAUGGAAUACUUAUCUAGUACCGUCGCUUUGUUGAGAGCCCUGUAAUCCACACAAAAACGCCACGAUUCGUCUUUCUUUUUAACUAACAAAAUUGGGCUCAAGAAUGGACUAUUGCUGACUUGGAUUAUUCCCGCAUCUAACAUCUCUUGAAUCAGUCUUUCAAUCUCAUCCUUCUGGGCAUGAGGAUAGUGGUAUGGUCGGACACUAACAGGUUGAUUGCCGUCUUUGAGCAAAAUGGAAUGCUCAUGUCCCUUAGUAGGUGGUAAGCCCAUGGGCAUGUUAAAAACCAAUUCGUAUUCUGCUAGGACUUGGUUUAGAUUCGGUGGCACCUUAGGGCUCACUUCGCACAGACCUUCAAAUUGAUUACAUUCCACCAAAAUUCCAGCUCCCUCGUGCUUAAUGGUGCGCAUCAUUGCCUUUAAUGAAACUAAAGUCUUGCCAAGGGAAGGAUCCCCUCGUAGAGUAACAGAUUCAUUUCCGAGCAUGAACUUCAUCACCUGUGUCUUCCAAUUUGUGUGUGUCAUCCCCAAAGUUUCAAGCCACUGAACUCCUAAUAUAGCAUCCGAGCUCCCCAACCCAAGCGGCAAGAAUUCCUCUACAAUAUCUAUUCACUGUAGAUGAAUAGUCACUCCUCGACAUAAACCUUCUCCCCUUACAGCCACUCCAGUACCCAUAGUCACCCCAUAAGCCCCAGUUUUAACAAUGGGUAUCUGCAUCUUACUAACCAAAUCUAGAGAAAUAAAAUUGUGGGUCGCACCUGAAUCAAUCAGUAUCACCACCUCUUGCUCCCCGAUAGACCCUUUAAGCUUCAUCUUCUUUGGUGUAGUCAGACCAACCACUGAGUUAAGAGAGACCUUUACCCCUUGAUUAAUUUCGGCCGUUUCCAGUUCGGGAUCGCCUUCACCCGAACCUUCUUCCUCUUCCUACUCUGCUUCGUCCAUGCCGUAGGUGAGAAGGACAGUCAAUUCUUUCUUCUUGCAGCGAUGCCCAGGUGCCCACUUUUCAUCACAUCGAUAACAUAGUCCCUUCUCUCUUUUCUUCUGUAAUUCUGAAUUGGACAACCUCCUAACCUCUCCCGAAAAUCAGGCCGUGUUAUGAUUUGCCCUAAAUGAAGAUCGCGAAACUUCAGAAUGGAAGUUCACACCUCGCAUUGACCCUCCUGCUCGAUGAAACCCACCAUCUGCUUUGUGGGCCUUGGUCACCCGUAGUUUCUCCUCAAUCUUUUGGGCUAAGUCCAUGGCCCGGCCUAAAUUACUGGGUUCUAUGAUCCGAACCUCGAUCCGGAUUUCAGGCUUCAACCCGUUGAUAAAAUUUCCCAGAGCUAGUUCGUAUAUAAUGUUCUCCAAUGGCACCGAAAGUUCGAUGAAUUUCUGGCAGUAUUCUCACACACUGCUAUCUUGAGUAAGGGCUAGCCAUUAUUCAUGGAGAGAACUGGCUUGGAUUACUCGGAAUUGUUUCAAGAUUAGUACCCUCAUCUCUUCCCAAACCAUCAUGGAUCUCUUUCUAUUCUCCCAUUAAUACCACAACAGGGCAUCUCCCUCAAAAGCUAUUAUCGCCGCCUCAAGUUUUUCUUCAUUGGAUAACCGAUUUACGGAAAAAUAUCGUUCAGCCUUCAGAAUCCAGCCAUCCGAAUUUGAGCCAUCGAACAGUGGCAUCUCAAGUUUUCAGAUUCGAAAAUCAUGGCGAGUUCCGCCUGAGCUCGACCUACCGCCGAAGUUGGGGCUGAGCAUCUUUUCCCUUUUAUUCGAAUACGAACCUCCCGUAUCCUCCUGAAGUUUGAUGAACUGUUCGAAUCGUUUGUUCAUCGUCAGUAUUUCAUCCUUCAACGAUCCCAUUUCCCAUUGAAACUCCUCCUGCGCAGCACCAUCACCUCCUCCAUGGAAUCCAUUCGUUGAGCAACAUUUUGCCAGUCAUUUUCCAAGUACGUGAUUGCUUUGAUACCAAUUUGAUAAGCCUUGAACUGAAAUGGUUAGAUAAACAACACAGUAGAGAGCAUAAUGUUGUUGGAAGUAGGAAAACUGGUAUUUAUCUGCAGAAAUAAACCAAAAUACCCAAGCAUUCGAUAGGCUUGGUAUCUCUCCCAAAAUGAGCAAGCUCACUACAAAAUAAUUCUCUAGAUCCCCUUCCCAAAACACAACUCCUCUCCAUAUAACCUCCUCACUUCUACGCCCAAAUAGAAUCAUAGAAAACUCUAACAAAUUAUCAAAACAGAAUACCAUCAGCUUAUCACUAACAGAAAUGCAUAACAAACUCUUCUCUCUAUACUACUUGAUGACACGUUAGCCACAAUUGGUAUUUCCGGAAUUACCCUUGCGCCUUGCAUAUGUGAAACGCACUUGUGGCCUAACAACAACCAAAAUUGGCGGGAACCUUUGUUUUGUCAUAACAAAAAUGCUUGCUACAAACUCUGAAGUUAUUUCCAUCAGAAAGUGUCCAGCAGUCACAAGCAUUAUCACGGUCAUUGUGCUGCAGAUUGCUCGAAAAAAAUGAGAUAAAUCAAUUUGAUCACCCUGCUUUUCCUCUAGGGCUGCAACUAAUUGAAAAAAAAAAGAUUAAUUCCAUAGAAAUCCAUUAAAGAGGACAUUAACAAAAUAUAUAAAAAUGAAUAUUUAAGUUAUCAUCCACCUGUUCUCUUGAAGUCAUUCUCUUAAUCUCUUUUUUCAUUUGCCUGAAAUCCCAAAAAAUAUCUAACUAAGAACAAAAGUUAGAAAAGGUGUGCACACGCACACACACAUUGCAUUGGAGUUCGUGAAUUUUUAUCUUUUAGCUCAUUCUUUAUUUUAUUAAAAUGGUAGAUCCCUCGUUAAAAGGUGACUCUACAUACGUGUAUGUGUGUGUUCCCUAUAAAAGGACUGAAGAAAAUACAGUAACACGUAAAAAUAUGACUUAAAAUGGCGACCCAAUAGAAACAUAUUAACCCAUAACAGCGCAAAAUAAAAUGUGAAAGCAAGAAACUUACCAGCAAUGCUAUUUAACAUCUGAAGAAGACAGUGUUGCUAAACAUUGACACAUAACCAACACCCCACCCUUUUAGAUCAAUCUGCAUAAGAUGCUGUACUUGUGUUCUGGGCCUACCAUUUUGAGGUUUUAGUGGGGAAAUGUUGAAUCCACCACCUGAGAAAUCAGAAUACAGGAAGCAAGUGGUGCAACUUGGCAUGACUUAGCACUUGUUAAUUCUCUACAUCAACCAAAGUAAAGGACAGAAAACUAACUCUCCACGUGAGCUCGUACAUAUCCUGGCUGUGGACCACAGUUCUCAUGCUCCCUAGAAUGAAAUAACACAACUGCGUGAUAACAAAACACAGCUUAUGGAAACUUCUAGUGCCAGAAAAGAUAGAUUUAAUUUCAAGAAGUGGGGAAGCAAGAACCUUACCAUAACUCGCAGCGUCAUUUCAACGCCAAUAACGCACUUAACAAAGGCCGCGGGGCCAAACAAACCUGCAACCAAAUGAAUUCAUAAAUAUAAAUAAAUUCCGUAGAGGAAAGUAGGAAGAUUAUUUAAAUAAAAAUGAUAAAUUUCAGGGAAUUCCACUAUCCUCUGAAUAAAACAGAUAACCCAUGUGGUUUUAAAAUUCAUUAGACCCUUCCCCUGAACUUUUCAAAUUUGCCACAGAACUCCCCUAAAAUCCAUAUGAGACCUUUCUAGAGAAUUUUUUUGGAAUCAAGGAGAAGCUUUUAGACGAACUUCUAAACCAAACUAAGCCCUAUAUUUAAGUCAUAUUGAGGAAACAUAAGAAAAAAAAUUCCAGAAAAAGUAUCAGCUAAGAAUUAAAAUUAAAUUCAUCAAAAUGAUCUCAAUCACUAGAUUUUUUACUGUCACAGUAUAUUUAAAAACUUGCAGAAGGCCCAAAGAGAACUUAGGACUGUACCGAGGGAAAAAUAAGACGGUGUAUUUAUUUUAUUUCUAAAUUCCAACAAUUACAUUGGGACACAGAAAUUUUAGGUAAUUUCCUCACAUAUUAUAUCAGAAGACAGGAAAGGGGAAAGAAGAAAACAAUAAAUAUUCUAUUCUGACCAAAGCAUAAAUGAGAUGAUUGAAUCAAGAGACUAUUACAUUGGAAACCAGUCCAGCUGAAGCCUAUGAUGGAGAAUAGCCGUAUGACCAUCUAUCUUGUGAAGAUAUGUGUAUAUGGACUUAAAUGAAGAAACUGGAAAAGUAGAGAGCUGUUGUGCAGAUUGACUUCAGUUGAUGGGGUUUAUUUGAUAUCUUCCGCUGACAUGACAUGAAUUCAUUAUAAUCUGUUAUAACGAAGCCCAACACACUGAUAUAAAACAGAGGCUGAUGAGUGGUGCCUGAUAGAGAGUGAAUAUCGUCUUCAUUUGUUCAUUAUUUUGCAUAGAAUCUGUUCCAUUGUGAUCUAUGCAUAAUCUUCUGUAAAUCACUUGUGAUUGGGUUAGUUCUUGAUCAAUAAUAAUGAGUAAAUUUUCCUUCUAAGUUUGCUGGUCUGUGUCUUUGUUUUGUUUCUGAUAUAGCUUCUUUGUUCUGGGUUUCUUGAUUAGAUUGUGUUCUUGGUAUUUCUACUUACCAAGAUUCGUGAGUCUUGCUGUGAUUUAGGCUUAAAAGUCUUAACAAGUGGUAUCAGAGCCUGGUGAAUUUCAGCCAUGUCUCUUCCAAGGCAUGAAAUUAAAAAAUUCACCAUUGGUGGUGAUUUCUCGCUUUGGAAGCUGAAAAUGAGAGCUCUCCUUGUGCAUCAAGGGCUUGAAUCUGCCCUGGAAGAAGAAGAUCCAAAGGCCUCUACAGGUUCGGGGAUUGAUGACAAAAGGUGACAAAUACAGAAUCGAGCUCAUAGCACUUUGAUUUUGAGUCUUGGUGACUCAAUCUUGAGAGAGAUCUCUGAAGAGAAGACAACCUUAGGAAUUUGGAACAAGGUUGAAACCCUGUGUAUGAAGAAAUCCCUGGCUCACAGAUUGUUCUUGAAGAAAAGGUUGUACACAUUCUCAAUGAGAGAAGGGGUUACAAUACAAGAUCACAUUGACACUUUUAACAAGAUCAUUCUUGAUCUUGAAGGGGUGAAAAAUGUAAAAAUCUGUGAUGAAGAUAAGGCAUUCUUCUUGCUGAGCUCUCUACCAAAGUCUUAUGAAGGCUUUGUAGAUACAAUGCUCUAUGGGAGGACCACUUUGACUCUUGAAGAUGUUAAAGCAUCCCUCAGUUCAAAAGAGAUUCAGAAGAACAGUGAGCUUGAAACAAGUAAUGGUGAGGGGCUGAUUGCAAGAACAGAAAAGAAGAAAGAUCAGAAGAACAAAAAUCAAGGAAAAGGGCAUGGAAAGAACCAAGAAACUGCAGACAAGAAGAAAAAGAAAAGAAAGUGCUUCUACUGCAGAAAGGAGGGGCAUUACAUAAGGGAUUGCUUUGAGAAGAAGAAGAAGAAAAGUCAAGAAAAGUCAGGGGAUGCAGCAGUAGCCUCUGAUGAUGGUUCUGAUGGAUAUCAAAGUGUUGAUUUACUUGUGGCCUCAAACAGCAAUACAAAAAGUCAGUGGGUCAUAGACUCUGGAUGCUCUUUUCACUUGUGUCCUGACAAAACCCUAUUUUACAAAUACGAAGCUAUUGAUGGUGGUAGAGUCUUAAUGGGAAACAAUAAUGUGUGCAAUAUUGUUAGUGUUGGUUCUGUAAAAAUCAAGAUGUUUGAUGGAACUAUAAGAUCUCUACAUGAGGUGACGCAUGCUCUUAGGCUAAAGAGAAAUUUAAUCUCUUUAGGCAUGCUAGACAGCUUAGGGUAUUUCUUUAAAUCAAGAAGUGGUGGUUUAGAGAUAAGAAAGGGGACUGAGAUAGUGAUGAAGGGGGUUAAGGAGAAUGGCUUAUAUGUAUUGCAAGGCUCAUCAAUGCCUGUUCUAGAAGGAGUUUCUGCUUUUUCUGAGGAAGAUAGAACCAAGUUAUGGCACCUUAGGCUUGGUCAUAUGAGUAUCAAGGGGCUGCAAGAGCUUAGUAAACAAGGGCUACUUGGUGGGGAUAGAAUCCAGCAACUGGAGUUUUGUGAAAACUGCAUUUUUGGCAAAUCACACAGGUCCAAGUUUAACAAGGGGGAGCAUAUGUCUAAACAAGUUUUGGACUAUGCACACACUGACCUCUGGGGGCCUGCUCAAGUCCCUUCCUUAAGUGGUGGCAGGUAUUUCAUGUCACUUAUUGAUGAUUACUCAAGGAAGGUAUGGAUCUACAUAAUCAAGACCAAAGAUCAAGCCUUGGAAAAAUUCAAGGUCUGGAAAUCAUUGGUAGAAAAUCAGUCAGGCUUCAAGCUGAAAUGUUUGAGGACUGAUAAUGGCUUGGAUUUUUGUAGCAAAGAAUUUGAGGAAUAUUGCCAAAAGCAUGGCAUAAAGAGGCACAAAACAGUAAGGUUCACCCCCCAGCAAAAUGGCUUGGCUGAGAGGAUGAACAGGACCUUGGUGGAUAAAACCAGAUGUAUGCUGAUAAAUUCAAAGCUUCCAAGAAGUUUUUGGGCAGAAGCUGUCAAUACAGCAAGUUAUUUAGUUAACAGAAGCCCAUCUUCUACAAUUGGCUUCAAAACACCAGAAGAAUUGUGGAAGGAAAAACCAGCAAACUACAAAAAUCUCAGAGUUUUUGGGUGCCCUGCUUACCUCCACAUCAAUCAAGGCAAACUGGAUGCAAGGGCCUUGAAAGGAGUCUUUGUUGGAUAUCCUGAUGGGGUUAAGGGGUACAAAAUCUGGUGUAAGGAUCAAGGAAAGUGCAUAGUCAGCAGGGAUGUUGUGUUUCAUGAAUCUGUAUUGCUGAAAGAAAGUACAGAACAUGAUACUGGGCUGCAAGACAAUCCAGCAGCUAACAAACAAUUUGGAUCUGGAACUUCCAAGGUUAAGGUGGAGCUAUUGACAGAUAAAGGCAGUGAAAAAGAAACAGCUUUUGAUGAUGAAAGGGCCAUAGCUGAAAGUGAGGAACAUGAGGUAUUAAAAUUGCCACAAGCUGACUUACAGAGCUAUCAGUUAGCUAGAGAUAGAGUUAGAAGGGAAGUCAGAGCACCAGUGAGGUAUGGUUAUGCUGACUUAAUUGCCUAUGCACUAUUGUGUGCUGAUGAAAUGAUAAUUGAAGAGCCUGCUAACUUCUCUGAAGCUAUGGAAAGUGUGCACCGUGACAAGUGGCUUGAGGCAAUGCAAGAUGAAAUGGAGUCACUUCAAAGAAAUCAGACCUGGACACUUAUACCAAAUCCAAGAAACAAAAGGUUGAUAAGCUGUAAGUGGAUUUUCCAGAGGAAGGAAGGAAUUUCAGAUAUUGAACCUCCCAAAUAUAAAGCAAGGCUAGUGGCUAGGGGGUUUACACAGAGGGAAAGUGUAGAUUUCAAUGAAAUUUUUUCUCCUGUAGUGAAGCACAGUUCAAUAAGAAUCUUAUUAGCCAUGGUAGCUUUACUUGACUUAGAGCUGGAGCAGAUGGAUGUAAAAACAGCCUUCCUUCAUGGUAAUCUUGAAGAACAGAUAUUGAUGGCACAGCCUGAAGGAUUUGAGUGUAAGGGUAAGGAGGAUUAUGUUUGUCUGCUGCAUAAGUCCUUGUAUGGACUCAAGCAAUCCCCUCGACAGUGGUACAGAAGGUUUAAUGAUUUUAUGGUCUCAAAGGGCUAUCACAGAAGCAAAUAUGACAGCUGUGUUUACUUUGGUGGAUCAAAUCAAGGUGGAGUUGCUUAUUUGCUUCUGUAUGUUGACGAUAUGUUAAUUGCAAGCAAAUACAAGUCAGAAAUAGAGAGGUUAAAGAAUCUGUUAAAGGCUGAGUUUGAAAUAAAUGAUCUUGGCAAUGCCAAAAGAAUCCUUAGGAUGGAUAUUAUCAGAGAUAGAUCUGCUGGCACUUUAUUCUUGAGUCACGAGAAAUAUAUCAAGAAAGUUCUGGAGAGGUUUGAGAUGCAAGACUGUAAACCUGUUCAGACUCCACUUGGUCCACAAUUCAAGUUGUCAGUAGCUCCAACAUCAGAAGAUGAGUCUCAGAUGAAUGAAUUCCCAUAUGCACAGGCUGUGGGGAGCCUGAUGUAUGCAAUGGUAUGCACCAGGUCAGACAUAGCUUAUGCAGUAAGUGUUGUCAGCAGAUAUCUUAGUUGUCCAGGCAAGGUUCACUGGAAUGCUGUCAAAUGGAUAAUGAGGUAUCUAAAAGGUUCUUCUACUUGUGGUUUGCUGUAUGGGAAGACUAAGAGUGAAAAAAUUGAAGUCAUAGGGUUUGUAGACUCUGACUUUGCUGGAGAUCUUGACAGAAGAAAGUCUACAUCAGGAUAUAUGUUUGUGUUAAAUAGUUGCCUGAUCAGCUGGAAGUCAUCUCUUCAGUUUGUCGUUGCUUUGUCCUCAACUGAAGCUGAGUUCAUUGCAACUACAGAGGCAGUAAAGGAGGCCAUGUGGCUAAGGGGCUUGCUUAAUGAGCUAUGGUUAAAUCAGAAGAUUGUUCAGGUUUUUUGUGAUAACCAAAGUGCCAUACACCUGGUAAAGAAUCAGAUGUAUCAUGAAAGAACCAAGCACAUUGAUGUGAAGCUCCAGUUUAUCAGAGAUGAAGUUGGAAAGGGUACAGUGGUUGUGUCCAAAAUCCAUACCAGUGUGAAUCCAGCUGAUGCUCUAACAAAAUCACUUCCUACUGCAAAAUUUGAGUUCUGUGUGAAUCUAAUGGGCAUCAUGCCCAAAUCUAACUAAAUUUAAGAAGAUGAAUUGUAGUUGAAUGAAGGUUUUUAGGUGCUGUAUUAUUAAAGGGAUCAACUGAAUCAACUGCAAGGUGGAGAUUGUGAAGAUAUGUGUAUAUGGACUUAAAUGAAGAAACUGGAAAAGUAGAGAGCUGUUGUGCAGAUUGACUUCAGUUGAUGGGGUCUAUUUGAUAUCUUUCGCUAACGUGGCAUGAAUUUGUUAUAAUCUGUUAUAACGAAGCCCAGCACACUGAUAUAAAACAGAGGCUGAUGAGUGGUGCCUGAUAGUGAGUGAAUAUCGUCUUCAUUUGUUCAUUAUUUUGCAUAGAAUCUGUUCCAUUGUGAUCUGUGCAUAAUCUUCUGUAAAUCACUUGUGAUUGGGUUAGUUCUUGAUCAAUAAUAAUGAGUAAAUUUUCCUUCAAAAUUUGCUGGUCUGUGUCUUUGUUUUGUUUCUGGUAUAGCUUCUUUGUUCUGGGUUUCUUGAUUAGAUUGUGUUCUUGGUGUUUCUACUUACCAAGAUUCGUGAGUCUUGCUGUGAUUUAGGCUUAAAAGUCUUAACAUACCUCUUCAACUAAGCUGCGAUACAGAAGACUACAAUCCCACCUGCACAAAACAUGAAAAACGGUGUACGUGCGGCAUGAACUUUGAGAAAGGUACAUAAAAAAGAUCUGAUGGCCAAGAAAUACAACAAUUGUACAACCAAAAGAGGAAGAAAUCCAUGUCUAGUACGCUGCCCUCUUCAAGACCUCUAAAUACUGAGUCAAAUUGAUAGGAAUUUCAUGGAAAUAACUAUUCGACAAAUGAUCAGCCUUGCUGGCCUUUAUAAGCCAACGCAAAGAGAUUAUGGAACAAUGCAAUGGUGCAAACCAAGAAUUAUUAGGGUACAGACAAUAAAAUUAAAUAGAAUAAUUUGAACACAUUACUAGCAAACCUUGCCAAGAGACUUGUUAAAAUCUAAAUCGCAAACCAGCUAGAUUUGCUAGGAAACAGGUAAUUUCAGGCAGCACGCCUUCUCCUGUUUUAGAACACUCUUUUAUGUAAUAGUGACUUCAAAAGUGUAACAUGUUUUGAAAAAAAAAAAAGGAAAGAACGUCUUUGACACUUCAUGAAAUGGCUAAGAUAAAAGCUUUAAUUCUAGUACAACAAAUUAAUAUAACUAACUUCAACCAUCAAUUGAUCUAUAGUUCAGCAACAAAAAAUACAGAUAGCUACAUUUAUUUUGUCUUCAUCAAAUACCAUUAGCUAAGUGGAGAAAAGUUAUAAAAAUGAGUCCCAGUCUUUCUUUAUUAAUGAAGCAAUCCAUCAAACUUCAAAAGCUAUUUUCAUUUCCACAUGCUUCAUAUACUUAAGCAACAAAAGUUUGUAAUAAUCUUUAGAAAGCACCAUGCAGAUUAAUUAAAUAUAUUCAAAAAGGCACAUACAGAAUCGGGACUGGAGACAAUGUGAAUUGCACAGCAUACAAGAGGAAAUAUAAUACUCAGCUUACAUAGACAGCCAAUAUAGUCUUGAUUAUGUUAAAGUAACUAAAAAUAAAAAAUAGAAAAGAAGCAUACUCGUAUCGUGUCCCAUCCAUGCUCAUGACAAGUUCAAAUAUUUCUUCACAGCUGGCCUUCAUAACACCAACAGCCUUCAUUGCUCUACUACAGCUUCUCGGCUGCAUUAAGUAAACUUUAGAUGAUGGUUCUGACCUAAACCAUUUUAAUGCUUGGCAAAAUCACAUCCUGAGCAUAGAGUAAAGAAAGUGGCAUACAAGGUAAUCAACUUCAAGAAGCUCUUCAGAAAUGCAUAAUCCUGUUGGGGAGAAAAGAAAAAAGAAAGAAUACAAAUAAAAAGAACUCACAAACAAUUCAUUUCCUGCACUACACAUCAUCAGCAGUUUUGCGGGAACACAAAAAUGUUAUAAUAACUUUUCUUGAUUGCCACCCACAUGCUAAACUGAUCAAAUACAAAA
This 235223-nucleotide long non-coding RNA is filed under the name Citrus maxima (pomelo). RNAcentral describes it as "long non-coding RNA (CMAX_LNC001430)". Lineage: Eukaryota; Viridiplantae; Streptophyta; Magnoliopsida; Sapindales; Rutaceae. The record is from RNAcentral.